CAGGAAACCAUAGAAAUUACAAGGUAGGUUUGGCAAGGGCACAGAGGUGCUCUGUAUGUUCUACCAUGACUUCGAAUGACCAUGCCUUCCUAUGAGUGCAGGCACCUAGUUUGGACUAAAACAGGUUGUGUACUUCACCUAAGGACUUUCACAAUGGCAAGCAUGUCAUCUUUUUAAACCUAUAUAUGCUUUCUCUUGUUCUCAUCUGGAGAUUUUCCAUUAUCCAGUGCUAUGCAUGUUGUGUGAAAAUGGGUUUUAGAUCAACAGACUUUUUAUAUGCACUUGUGAACCUUUUGCCAAGACUUUCCUGUCCACGUUUUGUGAUCUCCCUACUAGUAGCACGUUCUGCAUUUGUACAUUGAUUCUACACUAACCUUGGUCCUACAGCAGACGAUCAUAUUGGUGUUUCUUUCAUAAUUUUAGCGAUCAAUAUGUGUGAUCGCUUCCUGUGGCAAUCAGUUCUUGAACGGAGCCUUGCAUUCUUGCCCUCUUAAAGAAGUAUCAGUCUAUUGUUGCACCACUGCAGAUAGCAAGAUCUUCCUUUGCCCUCACUUGACCCUUCAACAAAAGUUUGACUGCAAGAAGACAAGAAGGACUCCUUACCAAACCUUUAGAGACUGUGGAUAUAGCUUUUGUGGAUUACUUUCUUUGGAGGUAUAAUACAGAACUCUCCAUUGCCAUGAAGAGGAAACAAAAACGGUUCAUUCAAAUGGUAUUGCUGUUUAUGGUGGCUUUAAUUUUCUUGCCCAACAUUGGUCUCUGGUCUUUGUACAAGGACAAGCAUUUCAUGAAAUCAGCAGAAGCUGGAGAACAGGUAGGAAAUAAGCAAACUUACUGUGAGAAACACAUUGCUUUUGGUGAAUGAGGACAAUGUCAGCAGGCUACCCUCACAUUAGUCACUUGAAACGAUCUGUUUAAAGGGAUUGAUUUUACACUGUCCUCAGCUCCAGGAAUUGAUGGGGAUAAGUGAUGGGAUUCCACAUAUGAUUAAGAGAUUAAUCUUAAACCCUUUUGAGAAGGUGUUCUGGAAAGUCUGCUGAAAUUUAGUAUAAAGAAAUGCUCCUGCCAGCAACCCAUUUUAAUGUUUCCCCUAGGACUGUUCAAGAGUGUAAAUAAGAUGCAUUUAAACAAGCUGUUUGGUGUAGAAUGAUAACAUCGGCUUGUAUAAUAUAUAUAUAUAUAUAUAUUCAUGCGCUCUGCACUGGUAUGAUAUGAGCUGUUCCAGUUGAAAUCAUUUUAAUUGUUGCCUAUGUAUAUUCAGGGUAUAUUUUGGUAGUGUUUCUUUAAGCAUCCUCCUUUAAGUUUCCUUACAUGCCCCCAUUUCUCUCUCUCAUCAUUCUUUGAAACACAGUAAGAUAAAGUGAGGAGACAGAUAUGUUUAUGGAUGGGUUUCACCCACAGAGUCCAGAUAGGAAUGUGUGAGUUUCAGCAAGUGACUUAAUAAAACUCUGUCCCCAUGGUUAAAUGUUAGGUGGCUUAUUUAAAUGAUCAUAUUAGACAUCAUAGUGUCUGCACUAUGGACUUUUGUGAAUUUAAAAAAAGUUUCAUAUGUUUGCUACAUUGAUGUCUGAUAAAGCUUUAUAAAUAAUCCACUGAAUAUUAAACCAAUUGAUUAAUGUGAUUGCACAGAAUUUGAGGUUUAAUUUAAGUCAUCCACUGUGCUUUUUUGGGAAACAUUUUGCUUGCUACUUUAAUGAAUAUUUAAGUUGUAGUGAAAACAGGCCGUUACUUGGAACUGGUAUAUCAUAAAUAUAGAUCAUUGGAAUCUGGAUUCUAGACUCCAGCCUCAGAGUGAACUGUAUACUGGCCCUGAAAAAGACUUAAAACUGAAGUAUUGCAGCAAUGAUGGCCACAUCUUGGGACCUAAACUGUUUCUUAACAUAACCCUAUCUUAACAUGUUGAGCCUGCAUCUAUGAUUAAACUUCAUUCAUUGUCUUCUAAACUAAAGCAUUGGUGUCAAACACAGAAUGGUUUAAUGGAAUAUAUCCCCAUUCAAAUUACGAGGAACUCACCCACCAGUGCAUAGUUUAGGUGUUACAUGUCAAUUCAACAGCAGGUUGGUAUGUUUGAUCAGAGGUAUGUUUGAUCACUUACUAAUAUGUAAUAAUUUCAAAUUUAACAAGCUCAUUUCCAAAAACUGUCUGGGAAAGUUUGCACCCAAGCUUUUCACUCAUGUUUGUCUUUAAAGGACUAUGUAAUACAGGGUUUAUGAUUGAUCUGUGGUGACAUAUAGGCUUAAAAAGCCAAGAUGGAAAAAUUGAUAAGCGUUUCCAACUCUAUUUUCCCUAAUUUUACAACCACAGUUCACUGCUUAGUAAGUACACUCCACAGAUGGAAACCAGUUACAGUUUUACCUGAAUUAAAAUAAAAAGAUUCUCAGUUUUAGACACAGUUUAAACAAGGUAAGAAUGAAAGGGACAAUGUAGGUACCAUAAUCACUUAAUUUUAUUGACAUAGUUAUGGUGCCUGGGGUCCAUUGGCACUGUCCAACUGCUCGGUGUCAAACCAUUCUUGAUUGGUUUAACACAGAAUGAGGGUCCCCCAUGGACCCAUAGCUGUAGCCCCUGCUGGAAAGUAUAUCUAACACAGAGAUUAUUCCACAAUAGCUAUAUCAGCGAUGAUUAGCAGUCCACUCCCAGCCAACCACUUCUACCCAUCUCUGCACUGGCUAAUGUAUUGACACUAUCUCAAGCUCCAGAGUGGGGUAGGGCUGUGGGCAUCCAGGGACCCUCAAUCAGUGUCAAACCAAUUGGGAUGGUACUAGAGGACUCCAGAUACCAGAAUCAAUUUAAAAAUAUAAAGUGGUUAAGGCUCCUAGACUGUCUUUUUAACCAAGUAAAAUGUAAGAUUGGUGCCUCCGAAAAAAACUUAAUUUAUGGAUGUACUGGUUAAAUGCAGCUCUUAAGUAUGUGUUUUUUUGAUAGGUUUCCUCAUAUGGACUGCUAGCUUUGUGGCCUUAUUGAUAGAACUGAUGUCCUGCUUUAAAAAAUGCACCUGUACCUAAACAUUCAAUUCAAAGAAGGUCUUGCUGAACAGUGUUUUUAAUGUCUUUGGAUUUGUAGGUCAAAGCAGCAUCAUUUUUGAUAUUCUCAGUUUUGCAAAUGUUACAGAAUUGCACAAAUUGCUUCUGAAAGAGGUACUGAUAUCGGUUUAUUGAAGGGGUUAAUUCAUACAUACCAUAUUCAAUCUAGAAGUGUUCUUGACAUAUCAAGAUCUAUCAGCUUUCUUAUGAAAAUGCCUUCAGUACUCAAUCUGUGCCAGAUUCAAUUAGCUAUCUGCUUCAGUGUGGCUGUACAGUCAAUAUGCUCAGUGGUGCACAGUGUUUUCAUGAGCACACAAUUCCUUGUUACUUUAUCAGCUCUUUGAUAGAACUUAAGAUUUAUGAUUUGCUUUUUAUAAAUCAUUGAGUUUCUGCAGUAGUCAUGACGUAGAGUAUGUAGCCAUCAUAUAGCCUAGAUGGGCAUGAAUAGUUUAAUUUGUACUGUAAUGACAGUCUGUGAGCAGUGUGGUGUAUAAUGGUAAAUAGUUGAUUGGCCAUAUAAAUAAAGAUCAAGAUAAUCAGAUAAACUGAUAAACAUGAUUAAAUAAGUCCUUGAACAUAUCGCAGGCUGUCUUCCUGGACACGUCACUUCUAUAAGUACAUUGUUUUUCAGAGAUCCAGCACUAAAACUGUUAAAGAAUAGUGUCUAUUUUAAAUGUGCAUGGUAAAGGUUAACAAUUCAGCACAUUAACAGUUUCAGUGCUGGAUCACAUACUUACAAGAAUCUUGACGGGUCACUAAUUCUCUUUGCUCCAUGAGACUCACCUGUACUUUACAUAAAACAGUACUGUGGAGAAUACAAAAAGGGUGGGCACUGUCGUUACAAUGAAACACAGUAGUGUAAACAAAAACAAAGUUAUUUGUGUUUCACUUUACAUGAAACUUACCUAAAGGGUUAAUGAAAAAUAUGUUGCUUUGCAAUCUGCAGAAUCCUCUCUGAUCUCAAUAGUUGACAUUAUAAAAAACAGAACUCUUUGUUAGAAAUUUCCUUCAUCCUCUUCAGGGGAUGCAUGUGAGGUACCCCAGUCAAAGUUCAAUAUAAGUUGUUGAUGACUGUGAACACAAUUCAGUAAAGAUGAAGAAGAAUACUGUGAUGCUCUGAUGAUAAUGGAAAUCAGAAAACAAAUCACAGGAGAUAAGAAAAUGUUUUUUCUUCUCUGCAAUAAAUAAAAUACAGAGUUGAGUUGACUGUCACUGAAUUUUGGUGAGCAUAAACAAGUUAAAGGGACACUGUAGGCACCCAGACCACUUCAGCUCAUUAAAGUGGUCUGGGUGCCAACUGCCAUCACCCUUAACCCUUCAAGUGUAAUUAUUGCAGUUUUUAUAAACCGCAAUAAUUACAUUGCAGGGUUAAGUCCUCCUCUAGUAGCUGUCUACCGGACAGCUACUAGAGGGACUUCUGGCUUCUUAGACGACAUUUGGUCAUCAAACCACGCUGGGUGUCCUCACACCAUGCAUGAGGACCUCCAGCAUUGCCGAAAUCCCCAUAGGAAAGCAUUGUACAAGGUCUAAUGCACACCUGCGGCAAGGGACGGAGACUGGACGGAGACUGACCCAGCGCCGAGGGACAUCGGCGCUCGGUCCAGGUAAGUGGCUGAAGGGGUUUUAACCCCUCCAGCGACGUGGGACAAGGGGUGAGAGGGAGGGGUCACUCCAGGAUUCUCUAGUGCCAGCAAAACGGGUUUGUUUUCCUGGCGCUAGAAAUCCCUUUAACUACACAGAUGUUUCCUGAAUAUCUAUGUGUGUUAUCUUUUAUAAGAGCUACUAUCUGACAAAGUUUUACAGAGUCAUUCACGGAUGCAUGAAUUGUCAUGAAAUCACAAGCAAUUUCAAAUUGCACGGUGAAAUAACCAAAGUAAAAACAUUGACAGGGUCAUUGACUAAAGUGAGGAUUCAAAAUGAAUGUCAAAGUGAAGGUAAAAAUAGCAGAACUGGAAAAAUUAUCUGCUUCCAGUUUGGCUACUUUGGCCUUACAUUUGAAAUUCACUUUAAAAUCUCACUUUAGUUAAUAGCCUUGUAAGACAAAAAAAUCUAAUUCAACCACUGUGGCCUAAAAUAAAAGAUUAUGCAUAAAUCCCCGACAAUUCAAAUUUUAUUGAGUGAUCCUGCCAGUCUUUAACAUUUUCAUUAAUACAAUCAUUAUUAUCCAGUAAGACUAAAUUGUUGCAAAAAUAGUAAAUUCAACAAAAAGUUUAGGUUAAAAUUGCCAAACCAGAAACACAGCUAAAUCAGAGAUAUUUUUUCCCUAUUUAGAUCCUAUGAUUAUAUCCUAUGUAAAUUGCAGGGCAUUGUUCUAGCACUGAUGAGGCUUGAAAAUGUCAUCAUUCUUGGUGUAAGUCAAGAUACGUAAUAAAUGUACUAAUUUUUCUUAAAAUGCUUGGUCAUUUUCUGUGUUAAACAUUUUCAUAACCUUGGUGGUUGUUUCACCAAACCUGCUAAAGGAACACUAUAGUGAAAGGAACACAAACAUGUAUUCCUGUCACUAUAACUGCAAUAUCACUAUUUAGCCACUGACACCUCUGUAACCUAUGCAAAAGGUAAGUUAAUUACAUUUAUUCCAGUGCCGCAUGGGUCUGCCUGCCCUGAUCCACCUCCAUGGCUGAGAUCAUCAAAACUGAUGAUCUCAGCAAAUCCAAUGUCUUUCCAUAGGAAUGUUGGGAGGCUAUCGCGCAUGCAUGGCAAAACACUGGAAGUGUCCCUAGACAGUAGUGUAAACACUGCCUUUUCUCUGAAAAUGCCUAUAGACACCAAAACAACUACAUUAAGCUGUAGUUGUUCUGGUGACUAAAAUUUCCCAUUAAAGUUCAAAUAGUUGGAUAUCACCCCAUGACAUGCGAAAUCUUCUGAAGAUACAUUAACUAUGUGUGCAUGUAUUGUUGCACUAAAAUGCUAUAAAUUGUUAUUGAAGUUCACUUUUAUUUAGAUUUGGAACUUGUGUUUUUUUUAUCAUUUUAUAUUCUACUCAUGUUUGUUUCUGACUAUCUGAAGAUAGCUUGCUAACUAGAUAGAUAGACAGACAUAUAGAUAGACAGACAGAUAUAUAUCUGCUUCACCAGUUAUAUUUGAUAUAAUUUAGAUAUAUAGAAAGAUAGAUAUAGAUAGAUACAUUUAGUAUAGGAAUACAACAACUUUCUAUCAAACUGGAGUUUACAGUACAGAACAUGUAAGCUUUAAUAUUUUCAGUCUCGGAAAAACCACAUACAAAUACAAAACAACACCGUAAAAUUAGAAAUUGAAUGGGUUACUGGUCUCUUAAAUCAUCAUGUGACAGCCUAUAUGCAACUGCAGCCAUUUUAUAGACAGAUAUAUUUUCAUGAAGAAAUAUGGUGCAGUCUUUACUCUUAUAUGUCACCAGUCCUAUUGUCUGAAGGUAUAUUAUUUAGUGUUCACAUUUGGAGUACCAGUGGAAAAUCCAUAAAGUAUAUUUUUAUAUGAUUCUUGGAUGUGUUUUAAAGUUGUUUAUGCUUUCUAAAUUCAAAAAGCAGGGCUUCUCCAAAAGACAGGAGAUGUUUCAUCCAAAAUCCUAUCAACACAACAUGAUAUAUUAUUUGGAGAUAUUCUGGAUACAAGUUGCCUCUUACAGAGUUAUUUACUAAAGUGUAUAUUUAAAGUGAAUUUCAAAUUUAAGGCCAGAGUAGCCAAAACAGAAAGAAUAGCGGUCAUAGAACAUGUUUCCAAUUCUGCAAUUUUUACCUAAAAAUUGUAAUUCACUUUGAAUACAGCUUGAAAUUUUACGUUAGUGAAAAAGCCUGUAAGACUAUUAAUAAGUUCAACCAGAAUGACUAUCGUGUUUCCCCAAAAAUAAAACAUCACCUUUAAAAUAAGCCCUAGUGUGUUUUUUUGGGGAAAAAUUGAUAUGGGACCCUGUCUUAUUUUUGGGGAAAGACGUUAUUAGUGUCUUACCUAAAGUUUUGUCUCAAGCUGUUCAAAUAUCAUGUGUUAGCCCGGAGUUUAUUUUCUUUCAUAAUGAGCAACAUUUUCCCUCUCAGAACAUCAAAUCAACAAUAUGUAGAUUUUAAGAAAACAUUUUAGUGACACAGAAAGAUGCCUUUUGUUAUUUAAGCUAAUUGUAUAUAAUCUGUAGAAUAGCUGUUUUUAGCACUUAGAAGCUAUAUAGAUAAUCUAGUCACAAAGAAGAAAUAUGUGAACAAUUUAAUGUAAUGCUAAGAUCUUGAUUUAUAGAAUAAUUUUCUAGGCAGUGAUUCAGUAUUCACUGGCUAGCAAAUUAUUCAAUAAACUGUUUAGGCUAUAUGAAUUUUGUGAUUUACAAUCAAACAAUAGACAAGCUUUGGGCAGAUGAUAUUAAAUCAUUUGUGCACUGUAGUAGAUUUUAUAGAUUAUGGAUUUGAUGUCAGAUUUAAGGCAUUAUAAAAAUCCCAAUGGGUAACAUUGAACCAGCAGUCCAUGGCUGGAAGAUUAUAAAGAAGAAUUAACUGAGUAGCUUAGCACUCAACAAUAAAGUAUCUGGGUUGCAAAAAAUAUCUGAAAUUUAACCCCUUAAGGACACAUGACAUGUGUGACAUGCCAUGAUUCCCUUUUAUUCCAGAGCCAGAUAGCACCAUUUAGUUGGAAUUUCAUGCUUUUAAUGAACAAGGGAAGAAUCAUGUUGUAAAUGAAGCUGUAUACAAUAUAACUGCAUAGGAUCAAAAAUAAAAUAUUUCCCAUUGUCACUUUUGACUCUGUUUUAAGUUUAUUUUUGUAUUCUUGAGUUUCCAAAAUAAAAUUAUUUUGGAGCUAUGGAUAGUACAUACCCUUAGGAAGACCAGCUUCUCGUGUAAUGAGGUCAUGCACGAAUGUUUGGAAUUUGUUUACUUCUUAACUGAGCCUGUAGUACAAUUGCACUAUAAAUUGUGAACCUUGACUGAUCAGCAGUAAUUUAUAAUUGUAUGUGAUAUGUUCUUAUAUUGUUUGCUUGUAAUAGUUUUCACAUAUGGAUUGUGUCGCAUUGAUUUGUGUGCUAUCCUGCCUCUCUUAAAUAAAGAAUUUAAAAAAAUCAAAUAUCUUAUAGUUUGGCUCCCAAGCAUCCAAAUAUAUUAUUGUUAAAUGGUGAGGCAGAGGUUAGGUAACUUUUGCAAAGCCAACAUCUAUGGACUUGGAAUCACAUCAUGAGUAAUUUCUCAGUUCAUGCUGCAGUGUGCUUUCCAAAGGCAUAAUUUUCAGCAAUUUUGCCCACUUUUUUGUCCCAGAUCAGUCUUUUUGCUUUUAAAUGUUUCAAUAGAAUAAGAAGUGGGAAGUUCUCUGCGUAACCAGAGGGUUCAUAUAAGUUCCCACUUAGAGCCAUUGCAGCCAUUGGAAUCUACAAGAUUUAUUUUUAUGUACGGAAAACUGAGCCCAUUACCUGACUCUGUUCAACAUUAAUAGCAAAUACAGAAAGGCUGAACUUGGAUGCUUGUCUCUUUUCAGCUAUGUAACUAUGUAAUCUAUGUAAAAUAUGCAGGAUGGUAUGACUCAGCAGACCUACAUCACAAAAUUAGAUUUCAAGACGGACCCUACAAUUCACCAGUUAUGUAGUGUAUCAUUUAAAUCCUGCUUUGUUAAGCUUAUAACAUUAAUAUUCAGAUCAUAUUGUAAAAGUCCAGAACUGAAAUAUAUAUAUAUAUAUAUAUAUAUAUAUAUAUAUAUAUAUAUAGCUGAUAUGCUUAUCAACUGCUAAAAACACAUUCAUUUAUUGAAAUGACAGUUGCAGCUUAUUUAUUCUACUAUGGUUAUUCUAUCUACAGUUGCAAGAAAAAGUAUGUGAACCCUUUGGAAUGAUAUGGAUUUCUGCACAAAUUGGUCAUAAAAUGUGAUCUGAUCAUCAUCUAAGUCACAACAAUAGACAAUCACAGUCUGCUUAAACUAAUAACACACAAAGAAUGAAAUGUUGCCAUGUUUUUAUUGAACACACCAUGUAAACAUUCACAGUGCAGGUGGAAAAAGUAUGUGAACCCUUGGAUUUAAUAACUGGUUGAACCUCCUUUGGCAGCAAUAACUUCAACCAAACGUUUCCUGUAGUUGCAGAUCAGAUGUGCACAACGGUCAGGAGUAAUUCUUGACCAUUCCUCUUUACAGAACUGUUUCAGUUCAGCAAUAUUCUUGGAAUGUCUGGUGUGAAUCGCUUUCUUGAGGUCAUGCCACAGCAUCUCAAUCGCAUUGAGGUCAGGACUCUGACUGGGCCACUUCAGAAGGCGUAUUUUCUUCUGUUUAAGCCACUCUAUUGUUGAUUUACUUCUAUGCUUUGGGUCAUUGUCCUGUUGCAACAUCCAUCUUCUGUUGAGCUUCAGCUGGUAGACAGAUGGCCUUAAGUUCUCGCAAAAUGUCUUGAUAAACUUGGGAAUUCAUUUUUCCUUCGAUGAUAGCAAUCCAUCCAGGCCCUGAUGCAGCAAAGCAGCCCCAAACCAUGAUGCCCCCACCACCAUACUUCACAGUUGGGAUGUUGGUGUGCUGUGCCUUUUUUUCACCACACAUAGUGUUGUGUGUUUCUUCCAAACAACUCAACUUUGGUUUCAUCUGUCCACAGAAUAUUUUGCCAGUACUGCUGUGGAACAUCCAGGUGCUCUUGUGCAAACUGUAAACAUGCAGCAAUGUUUUGUUUGGACAGCAGUGGCUUCCUCUGUGGUAUCCUCCCAUGAAAUCCAUUCUUGUUUAGUGUUUUACGUAUUGUAGAUUCGCUAACAGGGAUGUUAGCAUUUGCCAGUGACUUUUGUAAGUCUUUAGCUGACACUCUAGGAUUCUUCUUCACCUCAUUGAGCAGUCUGCACUGUGCUCUUGCAGUCAUCUUUACAGGACGGCCACUCCUAGGGAGAGUAGCAGCAGUGCUGAACUUUCUCCAUUUAUAGACAAUUUGUCUUACCGUGGACUGAUGAACAGCAAGGCUUUUGGAGAUACUUUUAUAACCCUUUCCAGCUUUAUGCAAGUCAACAAUUCUUAAUCGUAGGUCUUCUGAGAGCUCUUUUGUGUGAGGCAUCAUUCACAUCAGGCAAUGCUUCUUGUGAAAAGCAAACCCAGAACUGGUGUGUGUUUUUAUAGGGCAGGGCAGCUGUAACCAACACCUCCAAUCUCAUCUCAUUGAUUGGACUCCAGUUGGCUGACAUCUCACUCCAAUUAGCUCUUGGAGAUGUCAUUAGUCUAGGGGUUCACAUUCUUUUUCCACCUGCACUGUGAAUGUUUACAUGGUGUGUUCAAUAAAAACAUGGCAACAUUUCAUUCUUUGUGUGUUAUUAGUUUAAGCAGACUGUGAUUGUCUACUGUUGUGACUUAGAUGAUGAUCAGAUCACAUUUUAUGAUCAAUUUGUGCAGAAAUCCAUAUCAUUCCAAAGGGUUUACAUACUUUUUCUUGCAACUGUAUCUAUCUAUCUAUCUGUCUGUCUGUCUGUCUGUCCAUCCAUUCAUCUGUCUGUCUCUCUGCAUUUAUUUCUAAAAUAAUAAAUAUUUAUAAUCUCAGCAUUUCAGUCUACAGUACAAUGUUUCAUAUUUUCUGUUCAUAUGGAUAAUCCUUUUCCUUUCUUUUCUUUUACCUCUGUGACCUUGGAUUUUUAAGCAAUUAUUCACAAGCUAAUUUUGUGGAUGGCUUGGAAACAUUAUUGCAUUGGAUUUGUCUAGUUUUUCUACAGAGCUGAUAUAAAUUUGAUUGACAUUAAGCAUCGCUGAAAUAAGUAAGUAAUAAUAUCAGCCUCAGUGAAUUGCCUUCUCAUCCUUAAAUUCUAGCAGAUUUCCUACGUGGUUCUGUUUCUUCAGCAAUAAGUUAUAGCUACAUGGGGAGAAAUCUACCCUUUACGACUCUUAUUAAGGCUAAGAAACAUGUAUAUUAUUUCAUUUCUUGUUUAAAAAAUCAAUACGUUGAAGUUGUUUCAGUAAAUAAUGUAAUACAGGUGAGAAGAAGAGUGCAUAAAAUAUAUUUCUUGUACAUUGCAAAAGUGCAGAGACUUUUAUACUUUCACCUAAUCCAGAUCCCUUGGCCAUCCGUUUUUCACAGUAGAUGGCACUAUAGUCUGUGUUGUCACCCAGACUAUGACUACUGCAUUUCUUUUCCUAUGUAUUUUCUUGUUUAUUUUCACUUCAGGGAUGUUUGUCUGUGUCUAUAAACUAUCAAGUCUGUUUUUAUUUAUUUUUUUACACUGCAUUAAAAGUUUAUUUCAAUUCCAAUCCAAACACAGGUUUUAUAGAGAACUUUAGACUAUUUAAGAUUGAACAUGACUUUUGAUGUUUCAUUGGUCUGAAUGUAUUUUUUAAUAGAAUUAUGUGCCCCUUUACAUUUGCAUUUUCAUAUAUCCCUCUUUGGAUUUGGGCAUUAAAUUUAAUAUAAUUCCUAAACUUCCUCUAGUACUCCCUUAGACACCUGUUCAUUAUGGGGAAGAACCAAGAUAAUGAACAGGCAAUAAAGUGGUGACUUCAUUUUACUUGCUAUGGUAUUGCCGGGUACUUGUCUAACAUAAGACAUUUUAAGGAUAAAGUGCCUUCUGUUACUAAUCACUUGGCUCUGGUCCCAAGUUCUAUAUGUAGAACUUAAUCCACCUUACUACAUUUCUUCUUUCUUUUUAAUAGAUCUUAGAAUGUUUCUUGAGCUGUUUAUUUGUUUGCAUUUUUCUUUGACAUGUUACUUGUUUAAUGUUUAGUGUCCUUGGUGAUCCUAUAAAUAAACAUAAGAAAAUAGCAUAGAAAUUAUAUUUUAAAACAUGAAAUGCAAGUGUUUGCAUAUAUAUGUAUAUUUAAUCUGUUUUUUUGAGAAAAAGGAAAAAAAGGUCCAAUAAAUAUUAUGUUGAUUCUUAUUGGCAAUAUACAAGCACCAAUACCAGUGGCAACAGGGCUGAGGGUUGUGGCGCACCAGUGACAGAUAUAGGGGUGGUCCAGGAAGAGGUGACAGCAGGCACAGACAGGGUCAAGGCAACUGAGGAAGACAUAUCCACCCUCUCACAGCGCCAAGCUGACUCAACUGAGCAGAUCCACCAUUUACAGACCUCACACACGGCCAAGAAGGCAUGGCAUAAUAAUCUAAAGGUCAGGGGCAUAGCAGAAUCCGUAGUGGAUGGCGAAUUACCCCACUUCUUCAGAUGCCUCUUCUCCGCCAUACUGCCCCAACGGCGCACAAAACACGCUCUCACUAAUGGGGUUCAACGACUCCCUAAAUCCCCAAGGGCACCGGCUGCAGCCUCCCGAGACAUCCUGAUCCACUUUCUAACAUUCCAGGACAAGCUGGUGGUACAAGAGGCGCCCAAAUCCAACACCCCACUCAAGCUUGAGGGCAUGAAACUCACCUUUCUCACCUAUGUAGGGCCACAUUGGAGUGGAGGUGCUCCAUUCAAGGUAUCAUGAAAAGAAGGGAGGUAUGAAUCAACCACAGGUGGGGACCAUCCCAUACUUUAAUUGCCACCAAAGACAGCACUACACACCGGCUUAAAACAUCAGACCACAUCCCGACAUGCAUUUAGUAUUCAUGCCCUUACGAGCGAUGCACUACCUCCCAUAUCUAUCUAGGGACGCUUACCAGCCCACAUCAGAAUGUACCACCUCCCAUUAUACCACUUGUUUUUCAUUUCCCCCACUAAGUUGGGUCGAUCACCAAUACUAGGUCAGCAAUUGCCAAACUAUUGUUACAGCCCGAGGGGUCCUCAGCAUCUGUUUUUUGGGUAGUUACACUCCAGUUAUAUUUCUGUUUAAUGGUUAUGAACAGCCUAAUAUUACUUAUACUAUUUUCUCUACAAUGUAUUCUACAAUUGUCACAUAGUGGGAAAAUGCAUAAGAAAAAGUAGUCUCUAAGUUAUUUUAUGAUAUCCUUUGAAUGCAUUGGAAUUUCAGUCAUUCAGCCAAUGUAAGUAUUUUAUAAAGAUGUUAUCUUUAUGAACUACUCAUUUUUUGGUGGGAAGGAGUUUAUACACUGCCCCUUUAAUAAAUAUGUGUUUUUAUGUUUAUCUUCUAAUGUAAUGUGAUAAUAGACAUUGGGAUCUUUAUUCUAGCUGUCUUUGAGAUUUGCUUCCAAGAGAAUUAUGUGUGUAGUGGUCAGUGGUGUAUUUUGGAUUUUUGCUGCCCUAGGCACGACUAAAUCCGGGCACCCCCAAUAUCUAAAUUUGCCCCCCCAAUUCAUGUCAAGGCCAUUUUUUGGACUGACAGACACAUGCCUUCAUUGAUACAUGCACUGAUAUACACUCACUGACAGAUACACAGUCAUUGGCACACACAUACAGUCAUUGGCACACACUGUUUAACCCCUUAAGGACCAAACUUCUGGAAUAAAAGGGAAUCAUGACAUGUCAGACACACUCUCAGAUACACAUAAAAUGACAUACACACACUGACAGGCACACCCAUUCUCACUCACAGACACACACUGACAGCUACACUCACUCACUCACUCACAGUAAGGUGGACAGCCCCAGAACACAAGGCAAACAAGACAUUUGUCUGGGAGCUUGGAGUGGCAUUUUUUUGGCACCCCCCUGAAAGUGCCGCCCCAGGCCUUGUUUGCCUUGUAGUAAAUAGAUCCCUGGUAGUGGUGCUAUUGCUAGUUGUUGUCGCUCCCUUGUGAAUUAUAUUUUUAUGUGUUCAAUCUUACUCCAAAUAUUAGGUUUCAGCUUCUGUUUAGUGUCUAUUACCUUUAUAACAAAGUAUGAAUGACUCUUAAUAGAUAAAUAGGCUACAUGGGCUGUUAUUUAUUUAAUAAUAGUUAUAAUAAUAAUUUCCAAAAGUGUCUACUGGCUUUACUGAUGAUUUCUUUAUUAUUUCAUUUAUAAGCAUAGUUACCCACAUAUAAGAAAUAAGAAUUAGAUGUGUUUGCGUAAAAUCAAUUAAAUUCACUUUGAUACUUGCACAUUAAGGUUAGGUGAUCUAAUGGAGUGAUCUGUUGUCAUUUCCACAGAUUUGAUCAGACCUAGCUAAAAUGUAUGACAUUUUUACUAUAGUACAUGCACUAAAAGAGCAUUCACCCUUUAUAUUCCUGUUCCAAUCAUCUUCCUGGGUCUCCUGGAAUUUAAUCUUAUAUCAGAGGUGCUCUUGGGUAAACUGAUUGUCAACAAUUCUUCCAUUUCCAGCUGUCAUAGCGUUAUAAAUAAUUAAAUGAAUUCCCUGCUCAAGUCGAGAAUGCAGACGUGCCUCUCUUAAAUAAGUGAAAUUAUUAAAAUCAUAUAAAAGGUUCUCUUGAUCCCCCAGCUAAUAUUAGCCCUUUGGGGUAUUCUGUUUUUACUGUGUUAUAUCAGAAUGAACGAUGCUAUCAAGCAUCAAAUUAGGUAUUAUUUGGUUCUACUUCUAGCAAUAUUAUUUAUGGGAAUAUAAAAAAUACAAUUAGUCUCUUACUGUAUUUUAUAUAGACAAAUCAUUUUUUAUGAAUAUUAAGCAAAUACGCAGACAGCAUUUACAUUAUGCUAGAUAUAUAUUUUUACUUUGUAUUAUUGAUUUCAUGAGCCCAUAUACCGUGCACUUUUCACUUUUCUAGCAGAAAUGGAUGCCAUCCAUAGACAAUUUUUUAUGGAAAACUGAUAUAGAUAACUAUUUAUAGAGGUGUCCUGCCAGUUCCAUAUUUAAAGCCUAAGCAAUGCUUAAUUAAAACAAUGAUACGAUGCACACACAAGCAUUAAACGUUUGUGUAAAAAUCCUUGCAAUUUUUAUAUUGUAUGUUAUAAUUGUAUCAGAAAGUAUUAAAACCCUUAGGGCUCAUUUUUAUGCUUCCUGGUAAAAUCAAUCAUCAACCAUUGUCAAUACCAACAGCUAAUAGCUGUUUAUGACUGAAAAAUAAUGUCAGGGUUUUGUUGCCAACACUAGAGUUUAAAGUUUGCAUCCUACACACAUUCACCUUCAGCAAUACAGAUCUCCAUUUCAGAUGUAUCAUUUUGCAAACUGUACAUACAUCAAGAAAAAGUUGCAGGUUCCAAUUCACUGCACUAGCAACUCCACCCUGACACUAUAAAAGGUCAGAUCAAUGUAUGAACUCUUCACCUGCAAUUAUCUAAGUGGGUUGCCCUUUGUGUUAGCAUACAAAAGUAUUUUCUGAAAACUGCAUAUGCCAUGCUUAUAUAGAGGCAUUAAGGCUUAAAGGAUCACUAUAGUGUCAGGAAAACAAACUUGUUUUCCUGACACUAUAGCAUCCUUAGGUCCCCCCGACCCUCAGAGCCCCCCUCCCAUGGCGCUGAAGUGGUUAAAACCCCUUCAGCUACUUACCUUUAUCAAGGGCCGGGCUCCCUCGGUGCUGAUGACCUCUCCUCCCCCGCCAACAUCAGCUCCAGAGUGGAGCGGAAUGCGCAUGCGUGGCAAGAGCCGUGCGCGCAUUUAAACAGUCCAUAGGGAAGCAUUUCUCAAUGCUUUCCAAUGGACAUUCUGCACGGAAGACAGCCACUAGAGGCUGGAUUAACCCUGCAAUGUAAACAUGUUUACAUCUGAAGGGUUAAAACCUGGAGGACCUGGCACCCAGACCACUUCAUUGAGCUGAAGUGGUCUGGGUGACUAUAGUGUCCAUUUACUUAAAUAUGGAAUCAAUGUAUUGUUUUAAUGGUAUAAUAACUAUUGAUAGUUUGCAGUCAUGAACUUGUAAUUUCCGUUUUAUAUCUAGACAACGUAGAGGUAAUAUUUAUCAGAUGCAAACGAUAGUACAUUUUAUCAUCUAGCAUUGAAAUCAGGUGUUACUUAAUGUUUAGCAUGUCCUAUUAAUCUCGAUAAUUAAACAUUUUAGAGCCGUUUUAGAGAUUACCAACAUUUUGGAUAAUGAUUGCCACUGGUAAGGAAGCGAACCCUCAGCCUAUCAUUAGGUGAUCAUAAUGUAAUACUUGUACAUGUGUAGGCUAAUAAUAAUAAUAGGAUUGCAAUCAAACAUUGCAUUUUUGAUUACAUUUAAAUUGUCACUCAAAGUAGAGUAUGUCAAUCUUAAGCAGGAGUCUGAAAAGUGUAUAACACAGUGCGUGGUUCAAACUUUAAAAAUGUCUUGAACACUUUCUGACAGAACUAGCAUAGUACCUAAUUAAUCAAGGAUCUGUAACUGCUGUGACCAAGAUCAAACAUUUUCAUCAAAUGGCACUUAUGAGGUCUAAACAAGGUCAGAAUGGCUAAGGGUGAAAAGUUCCUUUUGAGUGUGUGAAGCCAGUAAUUAACAUCCUCUGAAAAUACAAGCAAAGAUAAAUUCAACAAGAAGCACAUAUUAUUCAAUAUCAACUGGAAAGAUUUACGUUGAAAAAUGAAAACAACUGGUAACAUCAGAAAUUAAAUUGACACCCCAAAUCCCUACAAAAGCACUUUAAAAGCGCUUACUGAAAAGCUUUAUGUGUGAAGGGUGUGUCCUCUUUUUUAGUUUAUAAAAAGUGCAGAUUUUUAUUGAAAUUUGCACUUUUAUAAAUUAACCUCAAUCAGAAAACAGGACCUGUUACUUCCUGGUUUGGUUAUCUCAGUGGAGCUAACCUCAAGAGGCAGCGAUUGCUCAGAGCACCUGUUUAGCAACGAGGUCUCAUUGAUCUGCAUUAGGAAGUCUGUGACAGGAUAACCACAGUAAGUCUGGGCUAAGGAAGAUGGGGAUGACCUUUGAGAUAUGCCCUGAAUGAAAAAUAAUGCAUAAUUAAAUACAUGCAUGUUUUCAUUAAGGCUAUAUCUAUUACUUUUUUUAUUUGGAAGUGUAGUUUCUCUUUAAGAAAAAGGGACUUGUCAGAAAAAUCACCCAGAGCUUAUAUCUUCAUUUGCUCUUUCACUUCAGUUCACAUACUUCCUGCUUAACCUUAAAUCUAUUUUGGAAAUAUAGUCCCUCAUAGGGGAUAUGCUAGCAUUAUACAAAUACUGUAUAGUCGGGGCAAAUGCAAACCAUUUUCUGGAGAUCUUUUCAUACAUAGGACUCAGGGUCAUACAUUUAAACUAGAAGUAAGGAGAUUUAGUCAAUGGCAUACAAAAUAGAUAGAUAGAUAACUUAUCACACAAGUUAGACCAUUCAAUGAAUGAUGAAAAGUAAAUAAUAAAUUAAUAUGUACAUACAAACAUUACAGUAACAAUAACAAGCAGCUUAACAAUAUAAGAUAACACUUGCCAUUUAGUUAUCAAGAUUGCUACAGAGUCUUUAUGUAACCCUAUGGCACUUAGAGAAUAAACAGGAGGUAACUAUCAGAGUAACUGAUAUAGCAGCAACAUCACACAGAUAAAGAAUAGGAAAGCAAAAUAAAUAUAAACUGACAGACUACGAGCAUUUAUAAAAUAGUUAGCUAAUAGAGAGCCAGCUUGGAUUGUGACUUACAAAUAAUAAUAAAUAGAGCAUGCCUGAUCAUGAGUGCUGGAUGGUAGGAAUAGCCAAUGCCUACGUUGGCAACUAAACUUUGCAGCCCCAAUAGAAGGGUUCUGGAUUUCUGUAGCCAAGAGGGUGCAGGAGCCCUGUAAUAACUACCAACUAACCUCCAGGUCGGUAAUUAAGCAUAUACACUGUACCUUCCAGAAGUAACACUUCAGGUGUAGGAAUCCAUGUAGUAAAGGUGGUAUCAGGGAGCAAAGCCUACUAAUGCUCUCCUAGAGAAGGUCCGAAACUGGAACCUCAGGAGCCCUGCUUUUCCAUCCCAGGCCCUGUCUCUGCCUUUGUUCUCAGUGGGGGGUCUGUGGGAUCUCUGUAGGGACUUCACUUUUGGCAAAAAAGUGUUGCAUAGAUGAUAAUAAGCCUUAAAAAAGCCCAUAAUUGUUUUCAUGGGCGUAGCCUGCCUCGAGGUCACUGCAUGGUGGUGUUCGGUCUCCAUAGAGAGAGUUCAGACAGGCCGGUUGUGUUCCAAAGAACCCCUGUGGUCCACAUACUUGAAUGCCACAGAAGGAGAAUGUCAGCAUAUCCCUUAUCUAUGGGGGGGUGAUGACAGGGAUCUGAGUAGAGGCUGUGGAAUUAAUUACAGGUGGGAAGAUUGGAUACCACUCUUCACUUGCUUCACUAGAAAACCUGCACGAUCAGAUCUACUAAAUGUUCUCAGAGGUCCUCCAGAAUGUUUGCACCCCAAGCCCUCCAGUUUACCAGGUGAACCCAAGUGUUAUUGUGCCAAUAGAGUCAGAAAUAAGUAGAAAAUGUUGCUUUGCACACAGAGCUCAAACUAAGUGCGACCACUCAGCAAGGCAGUGAGGCCCUGCCCCUGCAAAAUACUUUUGAACACAUCCCAGCAAUUCUAGAUAAAUCUUGAGAACCACAUACAUUGCUUAUGAGUCUGUUGUCAGGCACAGCAUGGCUACCUUGUUGAAUGCAUGGUCUAAAGACAAUUUUGUUGUGUCUGAACAUUGCUUGGGAUUGAGUUUUCGUAUUGAUUGUAAUGUAUAUUGCAAAGGAGUUUCAUUUUCAAGCAUUUUACAAAUAUAUUGCCAUAAAUUGUAAGACAUGGCAAAUUUGCUGGGUGCUAUUAUAUAAUUUAGUUUUUGGACAAAUGAUACCUGACUUUGUUUUCCAGGUUUGAGUAGUAGGAGAUUUUUGGAUAUCUACCACUUUAUUGUGGGUUUUUGGGUACUGGGAAAAAGUCUGUGGAGUUAUAUUUGUGAGUAAUCUGGUUCUUUUGUGUGACAAAUAUGAGGAAAGUGUGAGAAAGAAAGUAAAGUUAAGUGUUUCACAGAUUUUGCACUGCGUCUGCACAACAUUUGCACAUUCCAAGCUUUUUGCAAUCAGUUAUAAAUCCACCGAAAGCUUGGAAUAAAAAUAGCACUUGUAGGUCUUCAUAAAGUUCUUCACGUGCUUCAUAAAACUACAAAAUAUGAAUAAAACUGUUGACAGCAAACUAACAGUGAAUCUGCAUUAAAGGAACAUUCCAAGCACCAUAACCAUUACAGUGUAUUAUAGUUAUUAUAAUACUAGGAAUAUCCCAUUUUAGAAUGGCUUGCCUUCUUACUUUGAAUGCCUUCUCUGUAGAAGCUUUUGUUAGAUCUCCUGAGCUACACUGCGCAGUGCAAGGCCAAAGCUUUGGCUGAGAAUGUAAGGUCUACAUCACAACAUGAAGAGACAGGAACAAUUGCAGCUGCCUAAAUCCACAAAAGAACUGUGAUUAGUUGUCGAAGUUAUCUAGAACAACCAACCUGCCAAGUUUGUUACAAAAUUGUGUGCAAGUGUACCUAGAAUAAUUGAUACUGUUUUGAAGUUGAAGUGUGGGCAUACAAAAUAUUGAUUUGAUUUAGAUUUUUCUUCUGUUCACUUAGUGUGCGUUUUGUUUAUUGAUAAAAUAAACUAUUAACAUUUCUAUUUUUGAAAUCAUUCUUAUUUUACAGCAUUUUUUUCUCAGCUGCCCCAAAUGUUCAUAGAAUGUCGGUGUACAUGUGUAUAAAAGAUUUUUGGAAGCUGCCUCAUUUCUUUUCAUUAAUGUUAAGAAAUUGCCCAUGCCUACCGAGCCCUCAACUGCAAAUUAGUAAUGAAUGGAAAAGGAAAAAGGCACUACUAUGUGACCUUCACUAAACUGUUACAAGGGCAACAUGGCUCAUUAGUAAAACAUUUAAGGGCAGUAUAGAAUUAGAUUAUUUUUUAUGUAUAAGAAAAUAUUAUGUAUUGUAACUGUGUGUUUGUCUAAUGCAGGAAGCGAGAAAUGAAAAAUGCAAUUUAGAAAAGAUGUAUAAAAACACGUCUGCAUUCGUGAUAACUUUCUUGAUAUUGAAAUAGACUAUAGACAGAGACAAAGCUUUGCACACUGUAGAUCUCAAGGUUAAGUAAGCAAGUCACCAAAGCAAGACAUGCUAAAUUAAUAUGAUGUGUAACCAAGACAAGAAGUGCUCCAAGUUACUGACCUUUCUGUUACCUCUUCAAACUACACAAGUCAUUUAACCAGGACUACAUUUGCAUAAUUGUGAACUACAGUAAGAUAAAUGGCAAGAAUGUUGGUAUUUCCUUUAGGAUAAUGGACUUUUAAUCUAUAAUUAUGUAAAAUUUUCUGGAAACCAAAUAUGACACAGGCCGUGGAAUAUUGUGUGUCCUAUUUUGUUUAGAAUAUAUCAGGGUUAUUAAUUCCUAAUGUUACUAAAGAGAACAGGAAAACCAAUUUUGUUUAGUUUAUUUCUUUUCAACAGUAAGGAGUAUUGUUGUCCAAAUUGUUAUCCAAAAGUGGAAUGCAGUCCAUAGCAUCUGGCCUUGAAUUUAUGUAUCUGUGUGGGUUGAAGACUACUAGAUUAAUAUACUAGAUACUAUCACUGAUUUGGAUUCAAUCACUCUGAUAUGGAUGAAAACAAUGCCAGUCACAAGCAUUGUCGUCAUGUAUUGCUUAUUCAACUUUGCAUUGUUUAGAAUUUAGUCAUUUUGCAUUUGUGUUUGUGUGAUAAUAAGAACGAAACAGUUUUUUUUCUACAUUACAAAAAAAUUUUUUUACAUUUACAUUUAUGCUCGAAAAAAUGCUUUUAAUAGAGAGAAAUUAAAAAAAGAGAAUACUUGAGAGAAUUAGUAAGUAUUGAGCAUAUUCUAAUGUUUCCAGAGAUGAAGACUUUAUAAAUAAGGUAUGGUGUUCUAAAGUGUUGAAGUAAAGUGUACAUUUGGGCACUGUAUGAAGUGAUUGACUUGCUGGUCAAAAAGUUAUAAUGGAAUAUAGGGUGACAUGAUGUCUUUGAAAUAGUAUGGACUCAUACUGAUUGGGGGCUUCGGAGGUCAACAAGCCUAUAUUAAAAAACAAAACAAAAAAAAAUUCAACAGAUAGCCAGUAGAGAGAAAGGAAAAUAUAUUAUAUGACAUACAAGGGUUUAUGUUAUUUGUAAUGAACACCACACAAGAUUUCAGAAAUUGUAUAAUUAUUUAAACUUAUGUAAAAAUAUGAAGAGCUCUCAAUUGUAGUUUUUUCAAAAUUCAGUCCACAUAUUGUACCUAAUCAGAAAGUAGCAUAGUUAAUAUAUACAUUUAGAUGUACAUGCAUAAUUAAUAUAUACAUAUAUACAUACAUUUAUUUUUUGCACAGAUAGAAACAUAGAAUGUGACGGCAGAUAAGAACCAUUCGGCCCAUCUAGUCUGCCCAAUUUUCUAAAUACUUUCAUUAGUUCCUGGCCUUAUUUUAAGUCUAGGAUAGCCUUAUGCCUAUCCCACGCAUGCUUAAACUCCUUCACUGUGUCAACUUCUACCACUUCAGCUGGAAGGCUAUUCCAUGCAUCCACUACCCUCUCAGUAAAGUAAUACUUCCUGAUAUUAUUUUUAAACCUUUGUCCCUCUAAUUUAAGACCAUGUCCUCUUGUUGUGGUAGGUUUUUUUCUUAUAGAAACAUAGAUCAUUGAUCAACUUCUGGCUAUAUGGAUGCUUUGCACGAAACACAAAUAGUGUGUUAUGUCAAUAUAAAGACAUAUUAGCCAUACAAAGACCUAAUUAGUGAUGAAUGAUAGUAAGCAUAACAUAAUAGCUGAAAAAAAGAUGUGUCCAUCAAGUACAGCCUUUUUCACAUAUGUUUUUGCUGUUGAUCCAAAAGAAGGCAAAUACCCGGUCUGAAUCUAUUCCAAUUUUGCAAAAAAUAGGAAAAAAAUUCCUUCAUGACCCCACAAUGUUAGUGUUAGUGUUAGUAUUACCUCAAUAACUAAUAAUACUAUCCCUGUAUGUUGGUUAUUACAUGGGACAUGACAAGUGUGCUUUUUUUUCUUAGCAGAGUAAGGGUUUGUUCUGUUUACUGUAUUACUAUUUUCCCAAAGAUCACAAAGGGGAAAUUGGGAUUCGGUAAGCCAAUUACUUUGAUAACAUAAUACAGCUCUAAGUUUUUAUAUGUUCAUAAUAAUCACUAUAAAAAGGUAAUACCACAACAUAUACACAAGCUGGGCAGUGUACCCUCAUUUCUCAUCUCCCCAUAGUUGCUAGAUUGCAGGUCUGUACUUUUGAGCCAUAUUAGCCUAACUGUGGAGCAGAAGGGUGUCUUGGAUUUAUAGCACCUUUUUAUGAUGUUGAAUGACAGACUGGAGCAACAUUGAAGAAAAUUGUGUCUCUCCUAGCUUAAAGGACCACUCUAGGCACCCAGACCACUUCAGCUUAAUGAAGUGGUCUGGGUGCCAGGUCCAGCUAGGGUUAAUCCAUUUUUUCAUAAACAUAGCAGUUUCAGAGAAACUGCUAUGUUUAUGAAUGGGUUAAGCCUUCCCCUAAUCCUCUAGUGGCUGUCUCAUUGACAGCCACUAGAGGCGCUAUGCUUCUCACUGUGAUUUUCACAGUGAGAGCAUCCAGCGUCCAUAGGAAAGCAUUGUAAAUGCUUUCCUGACGACUGAAUGCGCGCGCAGCUCUUGCGGCGUGCGCAUUCAGCCGGCGUAACGGAGGAGGAGAGGAGGCAGAGAGCUCUCCGCCCAGCGCUGGAAAAAGGUACAUUUUUACCCCUUUCCCCCUUCCAGAGCCGGGCGGGAGGGGGUCCCUGAGGGUGGGGGCACCCUCAGGGCACUAUAGUGCCAGGAAAACGAGUGUGUUUUCCUGGCACUAUAGUGGUUCUUUAAGCAAAGCUUCAGUAAACAGGAAUAUUUUGUUGUAUUUUCAUCUAUAAUUAUGCUAAAUUUUCUAGAAACCAAAUAUGAUAAGAUUUCUUACUUAUUCUUAGGGUUAGAAGGAAAGAUAUUAACCAGAUAUUUUCUUAUGUAAAAUUUAGAGUGAACUUUAUAAUGUAACUCAAAUUAUUUUAUUCAUCCUUUUAACUAGCACAAUUUUGUGUAAAUAAGAUAUUAUUUACAUGCUGUUAAAGAAUGUCUUGUCAUUUUUGAAGGAAUAAAACAUUACUAGAGAGCACUGUUUGAAAAUUAGUGAUGCAUUGCUUGUCACUUUCUACUUUCUAAUACAAUUUAUGCCUUAAAAUGUAACAUCGCCCAAUCAUCAUGCAUCAGUGCACCAAUUUGACUUGUUUUUAGUGUUAUUUAUUUUCUUUUUUUAUAUUCAUUGGUAUUAUGCAUAAUUUGCUUGUCUGCUAAAAUAGCAAAUAGACAUCAAUUUUUUUCUUCUAACACCCACUCCUUCCGAAUGGAAAAACUCUGUAAUUUCUACAGAGGUCACCAUAUAUAUUUGCCAGUCACCUUGUUCUCUUUGCUAAGGCGUACUGUGCUCCCCCAAGUGCCCCACCACUGUUCCUGUUGAUCCCUUUGUUGCCUGACCUUUCUGCUUGCUUACUCAUUCAUGAACCUGUGCUGCCUUGACCCACUUUUCUACUAUUCUGACCUUGUCUUUGUCUUGUCCCUAUUGGUGCCUCAUUUUGGUUUACUAAAUAAUUACAAAUUACAGCAUUCUAAGCUCCUGCUGCUUUAUAUCCUGACAGAACAACUGAGCCUAAAUAUGGAGCUCACAGAAGUGGCAGAAAUACUCAAUACCCUUUCAAGACAAGUAAUCACACUUACAUAAGCAGUUCAAGAAUUAGAAGCACAAGCAACUACUUCUAUGGAAAACCUGCCAUAACCACAUCCUGAAGGUCUUCUGAUACCCCUACUCCAGGAGCAAGCAAAUGAACCAGAACUGCAAAUUCUACUCCAUGUAUGCUUUUCUGUGUGCAGAUCCAAGUACCUCACUUUCAUAAUGGCUUGUGAAUUGCUGUUCCAUCUCAAUCUCUGCACCUUUUACUCUGAAGCAAAACAAAUCCAUACUGUGAUUUGUCAGUCUAUACACAUCACUGUGAUUUGUCAAUGUGUACACAUCACAGUAGACAAAAUAUAACAAAAAAUAUGUGGAUGGGGUAUGAAAUCCACCCACAGACGAUACCGCAACUGCAAGUAAAAUGUCUUAAAUGUCAGGUGAAAUAAUCCUGAGUUUAAGGCCUUGAUAGAGUUAAUUCCAGUGCUGGGCAAUCCCACAUAUGCAGUAAGUUGCACAAAACAAAAUGCAGUCUGCACUCAGGAGUAAACCCUUAUGAUCCAGAGAAAAUCACAGAAAUAAUGAAAAAGUGCACAUUUAUUGAUAUAAAAUUGCAGCGAUGUAUGGCAGAAAAUAGUCAUGGCAGCACUCCAAAACUCUGGAUAUAAGAGCAGGAAUAUUGAGUAAUGCAAACAGAAUAUUAUAAUCACAAGGUGGAUAUACAGAUAUCCAGGCAAGGGCAACACACUUGUAAAAAAUAGGAACACUUAAGGAAUGAAAUAUUAAGUAGUUGUGAUACACUGGUGCUUUCUACUGUUGAGAAAGCACCAGGGGUGUGUGAAACGCAUCCAGGGUACAUACUCUUACCUUUUUGCGGGUGGUAGUGUAGGUGGUCUUCCUCAACUCUGGCAGCAGCAGGUAUCACAACUACUUAAUAUUUCAUUCCUUAAGUGUUCCUAUAUUUUGCAAGUGUGUUGUCCUUGCCUGGAUAUCUGUAUAUUCACCUUGUGAUUAUCAUAUGCUGUAUGCAUUACUCAAUAUUCCUGCUCUUAUAGUCAGCUUUUUUUGGAGUGCUUACAUGUCUAUUUUCUGCCAUACACCACUGCAAUUUUUAUAUCAAUAAAUGUGCACUUUCAUUAUUUCUGUGGAUCAUAAAGGUUUACUUCUGAGUGCGGACUGCAGACUGCAUUUUGUUUUGUGUAACACAUCACAGUAGAUUUGCCCACUGCCUCUUACCCCCAGUAAUAUUGAAAGAUCAAAAGAACCAACCAAACCCUCAAAGCCUACCUUGAUUGUUAUACCACCCACCUCCAAUCUGAUUGGAAAGAUCCAUUAUCUUUUGCCGAUUUUGCAUAUAUUUCAAACAUUCAACUUGUAUAUCUCCCUUUGUACUCAAUUAUGGCUACCAACCUUUCUUGGUCUUCCUAGUCCCACAUCUGUACAAGACACCAACAACUGCCUCCAACUAUUAUCCCAGGGUUUCAAGCAUGCACAAAGCACAUUACAGGAUAGUCAACGCUCUUAUAAAAACAACUGCUGAUCGCAAAAUGAAUACCAGCCCCUACGAAUGCUGUGAGUAAAUCGUUUGGUUAUCAACAAAGUAUCUAAAACUUUCCUGCCCAUCCAAGAAACUGGGAGCAAAGUACAUAAGGCUAUUCGGCAUCAUUAAACUGAUUUCUCCAGUGGUGUCACAACGAUCUGCCAUCUAUCCCACAUUCCAUGUCUCUUAGCUGAAACCCAUUAUGGACAACCCAUUCCCUGCUAGAAUACCUCCAUAUUCAGUCAUAGUGUCUAAUGAACCAGAAUAUAAAGUCCAAAAUAUACAUCGCUCCUGUAUCAGGUAGGGAAUCCUUUUAAUACUUUAUCAACUGGAAUGGAUAUGGCCCCAAAGAGAGGUUCUGGGAACUGGCUUCCAACGUUCAUCCUCCAUACUCUAGAUAGGGAUAGCUAGAGUUAAAGGUAGAGCUUGUUAACUAGAGCUAGAUCAGAAUUCGAUGUAGUUAAGUUUAGGGUAAGCAAGGAUUUACUAGAGUUAUAGGGUUAGAGUGUGCUAGGCUUAGCAUAAAAUGUAUGCAUUAAUUUAGAAAAAAAUAAAUAAAUAAAAUAUAUAUUUAUAUAUAUAUAUGUAAUAUAUUUAAUAAAAAAUAUAACAUAAAUAUUGCGGGGGUUUCUACUGCUUUUGCAAAAUGGAUCUGUAUGCCAUAACUGCUUCAAUGAACUAACAUAGUUUUGGUGAUUACAAUAUCUCUUUAAACGAAACCUCAUGAACACCAGAGGUUUUAUUACUAAAAAGGUCAUAUCCAAAAAAGUCCUGUUUUAAGAAAUGUGUACAAUGUGCUAUUCCAUGCUUACUAUUUUGUCUGAGUUUUGUGAUUUAUUUGAUAGAAUUUCUUUUUAAAUUUUUUUUUUUUUUAAAUUACCACGUGACAUGGGGAAGAAAACUAAUUUGUGGUUUUACCGAUAUGUAUACAUGAAUCUGGAAGAGAUUUAUUGAGACAGAAUCAUUAACUGAGGAGACAAGCUAAAAAAAUGGAAGCUAAAGGAACACUCGUAUAUAGGGUUAACCCAAAAACUGUAGAAGUAAAAGGAAAGAAGAAAUGAGUGUCCUAUGAGGAUAUAAAAUUUAACCUUUAAUAGUAAUAAUAAAAUAUUGUAUAAAUGUCCAUAAUUAAGGUAAUACUAAAUAAUAAACUGAAGUGUAUGUACACUCUAAUAGGUGACAAUCAAAAUAGGAAAAUAUGUGAAGACUUCCUGUAAUUUGAAAUAAUUUGAUACAGGAAUGGCUAGGUUCUGUUUAAAAGUAUACAGAUACCUAAGUGUACAUAUAUACAAUUAAAAUAACUGAUAAAUAACAGAAGUAUAUACAUGCGGAUAGGAGGUCCUGUUCGAAAAUGACAGAGACCUUCACUGCUAAUAUAAACUGAAAAAAUACAUUUAGUUGUUCUAUUCCUAACAUAUUUGUGAUCUAAUACAUGGAGAUUUAGAGCUUAAAUGUCACGAUCGCAUUCGAACACAUAUCAUCACCAAUAUGUGCCGCCGGACAGCAUUUAUUCUCCUAUUUAAUUUACUAUUUCAGUUUCAUGUCUCCAAUCCUGUGUUGUACUUUAUUGCUACCGAAUAUUUCCUUUUUCUUGUGGGGAGGAUUGGUGCUUAUGUAUUAUCAAAUAUCUAGUUAUUGAACUAGACAGGUCUGUUGUUACAAACACAGACUAAAUCACUUAGAAUUUUCCCCCACCCACAGCGGUAGCAUAUUUUUUCCAUCUAAGAAGCCUAUAUUUAACAACUAUCCUCGUUACAUUUAUGGUUCAUGAAUAUAUCUCCUUUUAGAUCUUAGGGAAAUAUAUUUCUUCUGCAAUAUCACACCUAUCUGUCUAUACAAUAUUUUCUAGGCUACAUUUUCUUUAACUUAAAGACACCGGACGUGCAUGCCUGACUUACCUGUGGAAUAGUAUCAUAUACCAAUCUAAUUCAUUGGUUAUACAAGUUAACGACAGUUUCGGUUACCUACUAAUUGUGAAACAUCUGGUUUCGCAUACAAAUUAAUAUUCAAGUCUCUGAAAACUUUUGAACAGGACCUGCUAAUGUCCAGGGUAUUUGUCAGUUAUUUUCUACAUUGAAUACUAUUGAAUAACGGACAGCUAACUUCUAUUCAGAUUCAGGCUCCGUGGAUUGCAAAACAUAGUUUUUGCUCACACUACUGAGUGAAGGUUUCCGAGAACAUUCAAACAGGACCUUCCUUUCAUCAUGUAUAUACCUUAGUUUUUUUAUUUUUUCAGUUUAUAUUAGCGGUGAAGGUCUCUGUCAUUUUCGAACAGGACCUCCUAUCCGCAUGUAUAUACUUCUGUUAUUUAUCAGUUUAUUUAAUUGUAUAUAUGUACACUUAGGUAUCUGUAUACUUUUAAAGAGAACCUAGCCAUUCCUGUAUCAAAUUAUUUCAAAUUACAGGAAGUCUUCACAUAUUUUCCUAUUUUGAUUGUCACCUAUUAGAGUGUACAUACACUUCAGUUCCUUCACUAUGGACAUCUAUACAAUAUUUAAUUAUUACUAUUAAAGGUUAAUUUUAUAUCCUCAUAGGACAGAAUCAUUAACUAUUCUAUAGCAACUUACUACAUGUUGAUGGACAUUAUGUGAGUUGCUAUGGUGAUCUGUUUGCAUUUUGCCCCAGAAGAGCACCUGAUUUUGCAUUCAUAACUCUCCAAGCUAGAGUUUUAUGCAGAACUGCCAAUCUACUGUGGAUUUUUUAUAUUCUUCAACAAGUGUCAAGAAUAUAUACGGCUUUAUUGCAUUCCUCUUUUAUUAAACAUAGGUUGCAAUAAAAUUCCCUGUCUGACUUUUCAAUUUUGAAUUAUUAUUCUAAUUAAUAUUGUUCAGUGAUAAUAUAUUUCCCAGUAAAAGUUUUACAUUUUGCACAAUUGUUCAGUAAAUGGCACAUUUAUAAAUCUAUUCUUUUGUGCCUUUAUAGAACAACGUGUAUGUUUGUUUUACCCUUGCUAUGGAUGUCUGCCCUACCUUUAUAAAAUAUUCCCCAAAUAUUUGCCUUGUUUCUUUAAGGAAGAGUUUAGUUUGUAUAAGUAAGCACAUUCUUAUAUUUUCUUUGCUUUAAUUUGUAUCUCUAAUGGAUUUUAAUUAAGUUGAGAAUUCGUACUGGAAUUGCUUAUGGACAAUUAAUGCAGAUACUUUACUAGUGGUGUGAUAAUACAAAGUCUUUGGGGUGAAUUUACUGUAGUUUAUUAAAAAUAAAAAUUGCAAACAGCGACUGAAAUGCCUUGUUUUUCCAUUUUAGCCUACAUUUUCUAAUGUUAUUUUAAAUACAAAAACAUCAGCUAACAGGUGACUGUACCUCGCAAUUUCAGUGGCCUUAUGGAAAUACGUUAGCCAUUGAGACAUCUCUGCUUUUAUCUUGGAAUCUUUAAAAAUAAAUUACUUGCUUGGUGUGUAUUACAACAUAUAUAUAUAUAUGGUAUCUCACACUGAAGAAAUGACACUCUGCUACAAUGUAAAGUAGUAAGUGUACAGCCUGUAUAACAGUGUAAAUUUGCUGUCCCCUCAAAAUAACUUAACACACAGCCAUUAAUGUCUAAACCGUUGGAAACAAAAGUGAAUACACCCCUUAGUUGAAAUGUUAGAAAAUAAUUGAACAUUAAUUGAUUUGAGGCAAUAAACAAAUACUUGAAAAAAUAUGAAGAAGUGUAAAGCAAAAGACAAAAAUGCUUACUAUUAAAGGAACAUACCAAGAAUACAGUAGAGGUUAUGUGUCAAGUGUGCCCUGGGCCCCUCAUGGGUCUUUAAUGGUUAUGGUGCUUAUUGGAGCUACACUUGCAUACGAAAUAUUGCUGUGUGACUCCUUCAUUGGGAAUAGUCUCCACCACUAACAAGACUUUCUUUUUUGAUUGUGCAGAAUAAUUUGACUACAAUUUUUUAUUGCACAGUAUGAGUGAAACUACUUUACAAGCUACUAACGGCCAUGUCAUGAUUGUUAUUAUUUUAUGCAAAAAUUUACAGACUCUUAAAGCAGGCUUUGUACAUCAGCUAAGUCAUUUCCCACGCAAGCAUGAUGCUGUGGCUUGGGUUUUCCCCAAAGAAGGUAGCUGCACAACUUAUUUGUAACUAAAACAGAAAAUAAUUAUUUAAAAUGUCCCCCUUUUGACCUAUACAUUCCAGAGUUUGACUUAUAGCUACAACACGUUCUGCAGUUCUCAGGAGUUAUGAUCCACCCUGGGAAGCAGAAAGUAGAAUAACCUAUGAACAAUAGACUUUGCAAUUAUAUAAAGUUGUUGUGGUUCUUCAAACAACUUUUUAAUUCCUUACGGACCAAUCACAGUUCAUGUCAUCAGAAUAAUCUACAGUAAAGAAUGUUAUUCGAAAAUGUCACAGUCAACAAUUGCUGGUGCUGAAUUUUGUUGAUAUACCAAACCUAAAUUAAUAAGUAUAUGAUAACAUUAGCAUUUAGGGGCCAGGUUUUUGUGACAGCAAAUAGUAACAUUUGGUCUUUAAGCAUCGAGAUUAGAAAAGAGACUAGAAAACUACCACAACAAGAUGACAUAUUCUUAAAUUAGAGGGGCAAGAGUUUAAAAAUAAUCUUAGGAAGUAUUACUUUACAGAGAGGGUAGUGGAUGCAUGGAAUAACCUUCCAGCUGAAGUGGUAGAGGUUAACACAGAGUUUAAGCACAGAUGAAUCAAACUAAGUGUAGCAUCUCAAGUAGUGGUUGUAUUCAUAUGAAUACAACCACUACUUGAGAUGCUACACUUAGUUUGAUUCAUCUGUGUCUUCUAUAUAUGUUGUGGAGAGGAACAUACUUUUCCUUGAAGAGAGGGGUCGUGUGAUCUACCCAAAAAGACACAAGACGCUUGGAAGUUUAGAGCCUAAAAACUUGAAAAGGCUCUAAUAAAUGUUAGUUUAGAUACAUUUGUCACUCACACACUGUUUUACUAAAAUUUGUAAUCUACUGCACUAUUAUUUGUAUAUAUCUUUUUUCUCUUUUUAUGUAUAUCACUUUGAGAUCAACGUAGAGGGUAAGUGUUUUUUGAAUUAUUGAAAAACACGUUUUACCUCACAUUAUAAUAUAGCGCUGCACUCUUUAAAAGCUGAGGACCUAAAGGUGGGAACACCAGUAAGGUCUAAAGUUUUUUUGGUGUUUAUAAACCUAUCUUAGACUUAAGAUAAGGCCAGGGACUAAUGAAAGUAUUUAGAAAAUUGGGCAGACUAGAUGGGCCAAACUGUUCUUAUCUGCUGUCACAGUCUAUGUUUCUGUGUUUUUCUGAUAUGCUUUUUUUUUGUUUUUACAAUUUAAUAGUACAUUUAAACAUCAUUAAAUUAACCUAAGUAUCAGUAUUCUAAUAUGAUGCACUUAGUAAAUAUAUUAAUGCUAUAUUGCAUUAAUUUGUAAAUAACAAAAUAAAAAAAUUAAAGACUUUAACCCCUUAAAGACACAUGACGGAAAUAUUCCAUCAUGAUUCCCUUUUAUUUCUUAAACUUUGUCCUUAAAGGGUUAAAGCGAUUUUUAAGUAAGAAUGUAUGCAAAGGGUAUUACAUAUAUAAUCCUUUAUAUUAUGAUGGCUUUGAAUAUAAAUGUGUAAUAAAUGCUUUUGAAUAGAUUGUGUCAUAGUUUGAGGUUUAUGGCUUUAGAUGAUUGGCUACCGGCUGCAAUUUAAAAUGUGUUGUAUAGAUUAAUAGCACAUUUAAUCAGUUUUAUACCAACAGUGGUCAAUUAUUGAAGCUGUGCCAGAAAGUGAAAUUUCUUCUAGUUGUAAACUCCAUAAAUGGUGCACAAACUGUAAAUGAGAUGUUGUGCUUAAAAAUAUGAAAUCAUUGUAUUUUUCAAGGAAAAUUACAAAAGAAAAUGAUAGUAUAUUUUUAGUUACUAUGUGUUAAGCUUAAGAUUUAGCUUAUCAAAAAAAUGUCAGUAUGAACUGUAAAUUAAUAUUCCUUGCAUUGAUACACCACACCAACACAGUCCAACUAUAUUUAUACUUUUUAAAUACUUGUAUAAUUUCAAUUACUUGUAUAUAUUUUAUACAUCCAGACAUGUAAUUCUUCAUUCUGAUCAGUAGAUACAACAAAAAUGAUGUGGCAUUGGAAAGUCUAAUAGCUAGCUAAAGGGCUGUCGUGAAUUGUUCUUCUGGCUUAAUAGUUCUGGUGGUAUGUUAUACUAAAAAAAAGAGUCAAUAAUAAUAAUAAUAAUAAUGAUAAGUAUUAUAUUUCAUUAAAAGCUAAUCUUGGAAAUGAUGUAAAAAAAAUAAAAACAUUUAUUGUUGUACAAAGUUUUUUUGCACUCGUAUUUUUAUAUUUUCUUAUGGAAAAUGAAAUCUGGCCUUUUUUGAAAAUGAAAAAACUUCAUCUCAUAAAUGAAUAAAAUAAAGAACAUCUAGUGUCUGCAUUAGGAAAGAUCACACACUAUAACUUUACAACUUUACUCUAUUUUCACUAUGUGAAAUCUUUCUUUCUUCUAGUCAUCUUUUUUUCUUUACUUCACUCGUAUUACAUUUCUGUAUUUUCAAUUGUUGAGUUUCAUAUGAAUCCUAAAUUAUAAUACUUUUUCCAAAUGAAUGCCAGUUGUAUUCACAAACUUCGGAGGCACAAUAUAAUUAUAUCAAGUAGUAAUAGUUGGGUUGUGUUACUGCUCAUUUCCAAUUGCUGACAAUUUCAUGCUCCAUUUAGUUCAUCUCAUUUAUCUUCCAAUGGUGUGAAGAAGUCCAUUUACUUCCUCUCUCACUGCCUUCAUUCAAACAUUCUCAUCCUUGUUUCAUAAAAAAAAAAAAAUCCAAUUUAGCAUUGGCGCAUGUUAUUAAUUUAUACUUAGUUUAUCUGUAAUGCUUUGCCUAUGUCUAACUUAUGUUGUAACAUGGAAUGCAAACAUGUUUUCAUUAAUAAUAAAACAGAACAGUUAAUCAAUAUGGAAAAUUAUUGUGUUAUCCUUACCUUAUGUUUUUAUUACAUUUUAUCUGGGAUAGGUUUACCCUGAAUGGUUAAAAAUGUUUCUUUUUCCCCCCAGAUGUCAAAAAAUAUUUAAGAACAGGUAUUGCUUUCUUCAUUUUAAGUAUUCUUCCAUCAACACACAACAUUUAAGUAAAUGGAUUGCAAUAGUAUGUUGCUUUUAAGAUCACAGUAAGGUUAUAUUUAAAUGUAUUAUGAGGGUUGGACCUGCAAAAUCUAUUUAUUAAAAUAUUAUAAUGGUGUUUUGUCACUUGAAAUUAUUUGGUAUCUUUUUUUAAUGUAUUAUGUAUAUAUUUUCUAGUACACUGGUAGAAGCAUUUUCCUAGUUCACAGACCAACUAAAAAAGUAAUCAAUAGAAAAAAAAGAGUAGGUGCAGUUAAAAAAAAUAUAUAUUUAUAUAUUAUAUAGUGUAACAAUGCAGUUAUUGUGGGCACAGGACAUACUUGAAAAUGAGAAAAAACUCAAUCCUUCCUGGUAAAAUAUUUUAUAAAUAAUAUAUAUAUAUAUACACACACACACACACACACACACAACUAUAAAAAAGUUUUACUGCUCCACAUUUUUUUCCUUUGUUGCUCACUUCCCACUUAAUCUGUGAAUAAAAUCAGCAUUUGGUGAUGGUACCCUUUCCAUCAAUCAUCUUUUUUAACAUAAACUAUUUAUUUCUUUGGUGCCAAGCAAAGAAUACAGAAUCACGAAUUAAAAUGGACAUUUACGUCCAUUGCAGAGCUUGUUUGAUUCAUGAUUCAGUUACAUUUCAGCUUGGAUGUAAGGAAUUAGACCGAUCACUCAAUUUUCCCAAAUUCGGAUGAAUUUCUGUUUGUACGAAAAAGAAUCUCCACAUGUAGAACUUACACCUGUAGGAGCACAGGAGGUCAUACAAGGUACCUCAAGCUGUCUCACAAGCACACGAAGAACAAACUACUAUUUUCACCAAUUUCAUUGCCCCUAAUCGAUUCCAGGUCUAAUUUCCACCAGCAGUAUUUCUGACCUUGGCUUUAUACCUGAUGGAAAAACAAAAAUUGACAAAAAACUGAAUGAUUGCUGCAGCAAUGUCUUUUUUAUAUUUCUGACUAUAGUUAAGAUCACAAGAAAAUUACAUUGUAAUCUCUGCAGGCUUAUAUAUUAGUGUCCCUGAGGAUCUCAGUAUAUAGAGCUGCCUACCCUGUCAUCGCUAAAAUGUAAUUCAGAAUGCAUAGUGACAUAUUUUGUUUCCCAGAAUAACAUUUGUACUUGUUAUUUCACAUUAAGAUUGUAAAAGUUUAAUAUCAAUUACAAAGAUCUGCUCAUAUUUUAUUGUAAGUCACUUUCUAGCUGACUAUACAAGCUUUGUUCAUUACUGCUUUAUGCUCAGGAAUAAUAUUAUUCCUUAUUGUUCUGUACUUGGCAGAAUCAGUCAAAGGGCCAUUAUUUUCAAAGAAAGCUGUGACCAAUUGCUUUAAAAAUAAAUGAUACCUGCACUGAAUCAGAAAGGAAGAAGGUUCAUUAAAACUGCUGUUCUUUUGCACUCAUCAGUCUCUCUCCAAUGGAUUUGACGUUGCCUGCGAGACUUAGUAUAUAUUAUGUUUAUUGUUAGAGAUUAUCAUUCUGCAUAAAUUUAUUCUUUUACAUGAAAUAAGCAUCAACAGUUAAACAGUUAUCGUAUCUAAGACAGAAAUAUAACUUUGUAAAGAUAGUAAAAUACACUGUUCCCCUACAUUGUUGUAUUACUUAUUGAAGACUGGCUAAGCAUUUCUUUAAAUCCAAUUUUCUUCUUAAAAUGUUUUCCUCGGAAUAAUGUAUUUCAUUUAAAUAAAAAUAGAUGAGAAUGUAAUUAGGUCAUGUCCUAUUCAUUAUUUUAUGAUUAUUUGACGGUUAGUCAAUACUCUGUAUACCCGUAGUUUAAUCUAAGUUGUAGGCAUGUGCAUGGGAAAAAUUUUCGGUUCGGCAUUCCAAAAUUCAGGACUUUGGUAAUUCGGGACUUCGGCAAUUCGGCACUUCGAGACUUAGGGACUUCGGCAACUUCGGCACUUCAACACAUCGGAAAUUCGGUAAUUUUGGAACUUCUGCAAUUCACUCUUCUGAACUUCAGGUAACUUUGGCACUUCGCCACUUCGGGACGUCGGAAUUUCUGAACUUCUCUUGCAGCCACUUGGUAGAUAACUCUCUAAUUCCCACGGUAUUAGGGAGUUAUCUACCAAAAGGCUGAAAGACCUAAAUUGGUCUUUCAGCCAAAUUUACUAAUACUAAGUAAAGAUUACUUAGCAUUAGUAAAUUAUGCCCCUACUCGCUAUACGGCGAGUAGGGGCAUCUCUAGUAAACAGUGGGCAGCCAGUGGCUGCUCACAGUUAAAAAAAAGUAACUGCUAAGUUACUCAGUCAGCCACAUCCCCAGGCGCAUUAUUUUAAAGAAAGAGAUACCACAAUCUUUAUCUACUUCGACAAGCAGAGAAAAUGUAUACUUUUGUGUUUUUUAUUGUUAAUGAUAGCCGUCAUGACUUUCCCAAAAAAAAAUAAUAAAAAAAUAUAUAAAUAUAUAUAUGUAUAUAUAUAUUCAUGGUUUAUAUGAAGAGCUAUCAGAAAAUAAAACAAAUUGGUUUCUGUUGAUUACAUUUAGUUGAUCAGUUCAUUAGAACAGACCAAUGGGAAAUGCGUCUGGUCUUUUUUUUUUUUUGUAUUUCGAAGCACUGAUGGUCAAGUAUAAAUUAUAGACCUUAAACCUCAUAUCCUGCAACCCACUCCUUUACCCAUUUUAUCACUUGUUUCUAUAAACGUUCCUCUAACAUUAAAGGGGCACAGUCACUUUGCUAGAAUUUACAUCACUGCAUAAAACUAAAAAAGCCCCAACAACUUGUGUUAACAUUUGUUUUUAUUUUUAUUAAGGGUUAGAUAUCCCAAUGCAAUAAAAUAGUAGUGGUGUUAUAGCAGAUAUAUAACAAACAAAAUGGGAGAAGGGAGAAUGAAAAGAGGAAUUCGUAAUAGUUAAAUAUUUGUGUAGAGAUAUAGCAUGACUAUCUAGAAUAAAACCAAGGUUGAGCAGGACAAUAUGAAAUAUACUUUAUCAUAGUUCAGAUAGUAUUAGUGAUUGAUUUCUCUACCAUUUUGCAAGGAUAAAAUAUAUAUGUUAAAGAGUCUAACCUCUGGAGAGUUUUUAUAAAAAGAAUUAUGCAGUAGAAGAGGACUGAGUAACGAGUCCAGUGGAAAGAAAUAUAAAUAGAGAAGAUUAAAGUUUUGAAAUAGAGAUGAUUAAGAAGAAUGGAGAUGACAAAAAAUUGAGUAGGAGAGAAAGAGGAAAAAAAGAUAGUGAGGGGGAUGAUCAGUGCAUAAAAAGGAUUUCAUAUGGAUUUCUGUGUUUAAUUUUAUUUUUCAUACAUCACACAUACAUACUUCUUAAAUAUAGGGAUAGGUAAACAUAAUAGUAAAAUCCUGGGACAGUUCCCAUUUAAUUCUUCACCCUUUUUUAACCAUAAGCUAUUUUGUAAUUCUAAGUUGAAUCUGUCAUGUUCCUCCAUAGAGGCUGUAGGAAGCCUAAAUGGAAAGCCUUAAGGAAUAAGAGGUGUGUGUGUGUGUUGAAGGAGAGAAAUGUUUGCACCUGUGCCUCCUAAGCAAUUUCAGUUGUAUUGUUAACUGCUGACAUUAGUCUUGCAAUGCAAGUUAAUUCAGCUUAUUAACAGGUCUAAAGACCUUGGUUGUAAAUAUGUCUGUUGUGCAUGUAAGUAUAGCAGUUAUGCUUUCUUUUUAUGGAGGAUGGCAAUAAAAUAAUAUUCUACCAAUAAAAUGUGAUUUAAUCAUUAAUAUUAAUGAAUAAGUCAGUAUGGUCAAUUACUUUUGCCUCUUUGACACUCUCCAUGUAAAAUGCAACAUACAGUUCAUCAUAGCUGAAGGUUCUUCUUUAGUUUAUUCCAGGUGGUGAGGUGUCACUGGAAAUAUGCAGUUAUUUUAAAAUAUAGUCAGCAAAACUACACUUCUUCAAGUAAAAUUACUCAUUAAUAUGCUGCCUGCAAAAAAAUAGCUUGAAACAGCCAUUUUUCCCCUACUAUAUAUUUAUAUACCACUACUAAAAUAGGAGUGCACUUGCAUCCAAAACAAUUUAUACUAAGCUUCGAGGUGAUGGAUAGCUUUUGCAUUUUGUGCAUAUUCCUGCUUUUCGUGUCAGUGCAGAAUCACUUGAUACUGAUAUUAUUUUUAAAGUAAUGCAAAAAAUGAAAUUAUAAAAGUUGUGUUGCUUAAAUAUAACCCAGUUUCAACAAUACACCAGAUGGCAAAUAGGAAUUUUAGUAACUUAAUUCCACCAAAUAACAAAAAAAAGCAACUUUACUGCCCACUCAGGGGUAUUUAGCAUGCAUGUAAUCUAACAUUUAGGGUUGUCACCAUGCUUGGAGAAAAAUACUGGCCAUGCUAAUUUGCAUAAUAAAUUACAUAUGAUUGACAUCACAUGGCAUGAUAUAACGGUUUGUGUGUAUAAUACUGUGUCAUUGUGUGUACACUUUGUCUGAGUGUGAGCAUACUGUGUAUGUGUUUGUACUAGUGAGUCAUUUUAUGUAUUGUGUUCUAACCCCAUGAUGCCUUUUCAUUUAGGGUUGACAUUCCUGGCUUCCUGAUAUCCACAUUGCUUUAGCUAGAAUGGUAUAUUAUAUAUAAAUAUAUUAAGUAUAUUAACAUACUUAUCAGCAUUAUGCAGUGUAGGUAAAAUAAACAUACAAGCAACGGUGGCAGAACAAGUUAGGCAAACAGGAACAAAUGGUAAGAUGAUCCUAAUUAAACCAGCUUUAAGCCUAUUGACACCAUACAGAAUGCUUGUCCUGUUCAAUCAGACAUCUUACCAAUUAAUCUGUAAGUAUUUAGUACUGUGUACGUUCUGAUACUCUUUUAUGCAAUGCUCACUUAAUUAAUUUUGCACUUAGAAAUGGGGUAUCAUGUUCACAAGCAAGGGGUGACCACAUAUUCCCUUUAACCCCUUAAGGACACAUGAAGGAAAUAUUCUGUCAUUAUUCCCUUUUAUUCAAGAAGUUGUGUCCUUAAGGGGUUAAACUGGGUGUAGGAGACUCAAUUUGGUUGUCCAUAACCCCCUUGUUCGUCUACUGAAAGACUUAUGAGUGAUCCCCUGUUAUGCCCCAGCCACCAACCCCCCCUGGCUGUUAACCACAAAUUUUUGGGAGAUAUAAUCUACCAAACAGGGGGAGCAUUCUCUACAUAGCAGCCAGGGUGAGCGUUCGUUGGUUUUCGCACAUGAACUUCUGAAAGCCAACAGGCCCUCCUGCAAAUUCUCUGGAACUGUUUUGGGCUAUCACCUUGUGGCCAGUCGGUCAAAACUUUGCUUGUUCAAUAACUUUCAUUCUACCAAAUCGAUCUGAGUGCUUUUUGGAUAUAUUGUGUGCUCAGAUCGGUACUAUUCAGGAUUAUGAAUUUCGUGGGGUUCCUGUAUUGUUUUAUGUAUUUUUUUUUAUAUUGUAAAAUAUGCAUGCAAGUUUGUGUUUUUGAGAGAUAAUUGAGUUUUACUAAUUUGAGCUUAAUUAUCUCCCAAAGACAAGGGGUCACAUAUAUAAAGUGCAUUAUUCAAGGCAACAAUAAAGUUAAUGCCGCUGCUUCUGUUGUCAAUAUGAUGAACCACAAUUUUAAAGAGGAAAGUUCAUUUGCAUGCAUUUAGUGACUGUAGAGUGUUUUGAGGUACAUUUGAUAAAGUUGUAUUUAGUCAAGAUAUGUUAGGUCUCUGUCUGUAGCCUGACUUAAUCCUGAUCACACAUCCUGACCCCUUUGGUUCCUGAUGAACAAUCCCUAGACCCUGCUAUAUAUAUUUAAUAUGUGCCAGUGAUGCCUGACAGAAAGGGAAUAGUAGGAAGUUUGGUGCUUGAUUAUACCUGUCUGUUCAGCCUCUUAAACCUACAGUGACUUCCCUAACAAAAGAAUUAAGAUAUUGAAGUGUGAAAGGAUCAGUUUAAAAAACAUAGUGCAUUUUAACAUGAUAACUAUGCUUAAAAUUAUCUGAUUUACAGAAGUUAACUUAUCUGCCAUGAAGAAUCUUAAAAAAAUGCUGUAUGUUUGUUUGCUUCUUACUAAUGUCAAUUAUAUGUAAUUAUGGUACAUACCAAGAACACAUUUAAAUCAAUUAAUGUAGGUAAUAUUUAAGUACUUUGAAGUAUUCAAAUUUUAUUUUGCUGUCAACUAAAACCUCUAAAAUAAGAAAAAGUAUUAAGUCUGUGGGUAGAAUAAUUAAACUGGAAAAAUGUGAUGGCCCAGUAUAAACAUACAUAUUUUAUUUGUACCUCUCUAAUCAACAUUUCCAUUUGGAGACAAUGCAUGACAAUAUGUCCUUUCUACAAUUCAGGAACAUUUUUAUUCUGAUGGGAACAUACACCGAUCCAGUGAGUUAGGCUCAUAAAUAAACAUAAGAUAAUCUUUUGCAAUUUAUUUAAAAAGCUAUUUAAUUAUGCUAUAUAUGUGUUAUUUAUUUUAUGUAAACUGAAUCUGUCACAUUCACUAAGCCUUGCUUCAUGAAGCUUGACGUUUAUUUCUUCAAACCUAUGGCAAGUCUUUGAUAUUUUAAUUAAAACAUACUAACUAUUCUACAAAAUGUUCAAAAUCUACAUCAUUUGUAAUUGAAAUUUGCACAGGAGGCAUACGAUUUUAAAAUGUCUUCUUCUGUUAACAUAUUAUUUUGUGAUAAAUAAAGCCAUAAUGUGUCAAUCUAGUGUAUUGUUACAGUAAUACAGUGAAGUAUUAUGAUGGCGUGUUGGUUAGUGUUAGCUUAGAAAUAAUACAGGGUUUGCAUUAUAUACAUAUUAUUUGCAAUACUCAGCUUUUCAUAAAGCAAAGCAGAUACUCAUGAAAAUAUCAAGUAGUAGAUUGUCCAAAUACAACUUGCACAAAAAAUGGUAAAUACUAAACUUUGAAUUGUGGUGAUUGCACUUUGUGAUCAGAGAUAACACAAUGUAUUAAAAAGAGCAGUUUGUAAAAUUCAUAUUUAAACUAAAAAUGUUUUUCUUUGCAUCUGUUUCGUAAGUUGUGUAAUUUUUUUUUUUUUUUUUGAAAUUACACUUGAAUAAUGAAUCUAUACAUCAAAAUAAGUUAUAUUAAUACUUGUAUUAAUGGCGUACCCCAAUCAUUUUAAAAUACAUUUCAAUGUCACUUAGCAAUGCCAUGUUGGGUAUUUGCAAUUAGGUCCCCCUCUGCAAAACUAAACAUCAACUUACACAGAAUCCAGCAUUGUAAAAAGCUCCCUGUGCUGGUUUUCCUUCCCCCAUUGAUAUCACAUCUGCCCUUGUGAGGUCCAGUCAAAUGCUUCUCAUAGAAAGGCAUUUGAUUGGGCCAUUUUCACAGGCUCAUUUUGAGCUCUGAUCCAGGAAGCAGAGGGAGGGAGUUGGGUUGGACAAGGCUUGAGAGUUAAAUUCAAAUACUAAAUGCUAAAUGUAUUUAUGGAGGGGACAUUACAACUUCCCCUUACUGGCACACUUCCUACAAGGGGAAGUUUAUUACAUCAUAUGAACUCACUGUGUGAUGAUAAUAGACAUCAUUUUUACACAGGAUUGAUAUUGCGUAGCAUUUAACAGAGUUCUGGGCUGCCUAAGUCACAUUUGUGUAACAAGCCCCCUGGCAUGAAAGUGCAAAUAUCCUCGUGUUUGCAGUGUUUCAAGCACAAACAUUGCAUAUUCAGAUUUCUACCACUAUGACCACUUCUAACAGCAUGGUGGCUGGAGUAACCCUUUAACAGUGGAUCCAAAGCGUACACAUUGGACACAUUUCUUUACUAUUAAUGCAGACGUGUUUUUAUUAACAUUACUUUAUUAGAAAUCAACUAUUUAUCCUUUAUAUAAUAUAUUUUUUAAGUUAUACAGAUGCCAAAGUAGUAAUAAAAUAUAUAUAUAUAUAUAUAUAUAGCACAAAACACACCUUAAUAAAUCUGUGAUUAGUGUGUAAAGAAAGAAAAUGUAUCUUUUGUGAAUAUUGCACAGCUUCCUCUAGGGAUAUUCCAUACUGUAUCCUUGUACAACAAAUAUAGCCAAUAAAAAAAAAAAAGAAAAUACAGAGGAUUCAGCUGGAGAUCUACAAGAAUAAAAAGCAAAAUAGCGUAAUACAGUAUAAAGUGCAGCUAUGUGCGCUAAACGAAGUUACACUCACAGGAUGGAGACUUGUAUAAUCGCCUUAGGGUGCCUUCCCUUAGAAUAGUGGGGAGGCUGAUCCAGUCCUCCUUCUCCACUUCUGGUAGUGUCACACCAAUAUGGAAGGCAAAAAUAUAAUCUGUGGUCUUACUGAGAAGAUGUGUGUGUGAGGAGCUAUGGCUUGAUAAGCUGAUAAAAUCCCCUUUUGCCACGAAUUUAUCAGGAACCAAGAAUUUAUGAGGAACCAAGAAACUCACCUGUUCAGGGUGCACAAACCUCCUUUGAGGGGCUGCCAAUGCAGGCCCAAACUAAAAUGGCAUCUGAGAGGACUAUGACUCAGGAAGGAGAGGAGACCCAGACAUCACAGGCAGCUGGUAGUGUGUAUCAGAGGAAUACCUCCAACUCAGAUGCAUCUCCCUCCACCAAGGGAGAUAUUAAAAAACUCCUCCUGGACUUAAGAGAGGUCUGGAUAGCAGACCUUGCCAGAGUACAAGUGGAGGUAGGCAGGCUGAGGCAGCAGAUUGGAAACAUCCAGUCCAGAGAGGACAACUCGGAGCAGCAAGUAACAGAAACUCACUCCCAGGUGGCAUUCGUCACCCAACAACUGCAGCACCUCUCCAGUACAGUGGCUUCACUAGAAGCACGGAAAAGCAUUAGGGUACGUGGAGUACUUGAGGCUAUAGGCCCAGAGACCAUGGUGGACUAUGUCCUCAAAGUCAUUCAGGUGAUGGAGGGCAAGGUAAAAAGUGAACCACCACAUAUUGUGUCAGCCUUCCGGAUCAGAAAGGCAAAUACCGCUCCUGCGGAUGCACCCAGAGACAUAAUAGCAAUUACCCAAGAUGUCGCCGUCAAGACAUCCAUAAUGGCCCAUUACAGGAAGCUCCCUAGUGUUACAGUUUAUAACUGCAGAAUCUCGGUGUAGCGGAUCACCUGGUAACCCUACCGGUUACCUCCGCUAUUUCUCUUCCUUCAGCUGAACAUUUAGGGCAUAAAGAGACCCAUUUCCCCCCAGUAACUGGAUGACACACAGUUCUGGAGGUACAACAACACUUUAUUGGCCACACAUGGCUUUUAAGCAUAACCCCAUGCAUGGGGUGUAACACAUGACAUACAAUGUUCCCUCCCAGGAACCUAGUGUGGGAAAGGGCUUUGUCCCUUUGUCCCCAAAAGCCUGCCACCCAGCCACAGGGUUUCCCACAUCCAGGUACAGGGGUCUUCACCCCAUGAGCUUCUGUACCUGGGAGACCAAGCACAGGAAAAAGGGACCGUCCCUUUUGUCUCCCAGGCACAGAGAGCCCACACGCGGGAAAAGAGCUGGUCUCAUUGUCACAGCGGGCACUGCAAAGCCCGCCACACUUGCCAGUGCCCUAGAAGUGCCUACACGAAUCUCAGGUACCCUCACAGCUGUACUUCCCUCAACCAGGCUCCGCUCGCGAAGUCUUUGUGUGAAACCCUACAAAGGUAGGGUCUCCUUUCGAGACACGUAUGCUUCCCCUGGAUGGCAUUCUUUUGUACGAAAUGGCGGCCACCCAGGGUAACAACCAUUAAUUACUUCCCUUCUGGUUUUACACGCAUGUUGCAAAUGUGAAUGUUCUGAUUAAUUGGUGUGAUUGUUCUAAUGGGGCACUGGGGAGGUCCUCGUUCGGGAAACGAAGGAGUCAGGAAACAAUCCAUGAACACUCCCGCUGGCUGGAGUUCAUCUGCACGAAUUGUGGCAAGCCAGCAGUAUGCUCAUUAAUUGCUUCCCUUGUGGUUUAUGAUUUGACACCAUGUUGCGAGGUGUAAAUGUUCUAAAAUAAUAUUCUAAAUGGGGUAUCGGGGUGGUCCCCAUUCAGGAGACGAACUAAUUUACUUUGUGGAAGCACUCCCAAAUUGGGAGCAGGCAGAAAACAUGAAAAGAUGGGGAAACACACAUAAUAACAGACAGGCAAUUAACAGGCAGCGGUCCCACCACACUCAUUAUACGAUGACUUACCCUUCUAAGUCCUCAUGGGCAGACGCAAGUUUAUGCCAGUGACCAGGGUCCUGAGGGAGCAAGGCAUUAGAUACCGAUGGGGAAUGUUGGGAACCCUGGUUGUACAACAUGAAGACGUGAUCCAUAUACUCUCGGCCUCAGAAGACUCAGCGGAGUUCCUGAGGGGCCUUUAAAUUCCACAUGUACCUUCUGGAGCACAAAGGGUGGAAGUGGCUCAGAAGACUACAGUCCCUAGAACAGAAUGAGAGCACAGAAUAAAAAGAGGAGAAGAAGUGCAUUCCCAGCAACUGCAGAGUCCCCCUUAGGACUUUCUAAAUAAAAUAUCAGCCAGUCAGCAGGGCAAACUCCUAACCCUACACGCACUUCUUUCAGGCCGUUACAUACUCGGCAGAGCAGACACCACAACCGUGGCUCUGAUGUUGGCUUACCAAAACCAGAAAAAGAGUGCUUUUUCCCUUUGUUAUUACUAUAUGCAAACUUAUGAAUCAUUCCUUGUUUUACUUUCAUUGAUAUAGGUAUGAUGUUAACACUGCAAAAUUUUGUGGCUGUGUCCACAACUAAAUAAAGAAUUUAAAACAAUAUAAUCUGUUUUAUUUGGUGUAAUAAAUGUAAAAUAUACAUACUUAAAAUUAAAAAUGAAACAAUACUUGGUGCGUUUCAUUCCACUAGAAGGGAGCAAUACUUCUAAAUCAUAUGCUAUUAUGUGCCUAAAAAGAGCUAAUUGCAUAAGCAACAAAUAAAUGUUAACAGUUUAAUCACAGUAAGUGCAUAAAAACACAUGCUUUGGAUAGGGAUUAAAUAUAACAACUGGAUUCGCAUAUUGAGAGAUAUAUGAUACGGUUCUCUUUUGCAUUUUUAGCCUUUCAGGCUUCCAUCUUCUUAUUUUGUCUGGGGUGGAGCUUUGGGACUCAGUAAGUUUUGCAACAGCUUGCAAACCGAGUGUUGAAUGCAAGAUGGCUGCCAUUUGGAAUGCACACAUCAUCAAGAUACAACCGCCAGAAGUGGCACACCGAAAGUGACAUCACGCAAACACCUUGAAAGCAGAAAAAAUUACUUUUGGUGAUCUGGAACAGCUGACCAUCGCUGGAAACACACACUGGAUCACCAAUGGGAUCAAAGACUGUCCAUUUAUAAGGAAGGACUGAGGGGGAGGGGAAUUGCUUUAAAAUGUUAUUUAUUUUUUAUUCUUUUAUUAUUUUUUUUCAUGUUAUUUGGGUCUCUGAGACAGCCCCAUUAGUCAUACAAAUACGUAGGCUUGGCUCGGCUCUGGCAGACAACAGUCCAGAGACCUGAUUACCACCACGGUGUCUUAUUACUACAGGUAUCCGCUAGCCCAUAGGAAUCACGACCAAAGAGCUUUAAGAAUACCUACUUUCACCUAAAGUAGUGGUUGGUGCCGGAUAUAUAUCCUGGUCUCACAAUAGUGCUGUUUUUAUGUAUAUAUAUAUAUUUUUAUGUAUAUACUUUUAUGUAUAAAUAAAUGUUGUUACUUUUAUAGUCAUACUUGACUAUCUUGUAGUCACUAUAUCUCGAUUUCCUAAGUGCCCUCAGUUGGUGUACUAUUUGGAGAUAGUUGAUAAUAUCACAAAAUAAUAAUCUAUAAUCAUUGAUUUGUGCUAAGCUAGAUACAUAUCUGUGCAAUUUUUUAGGUUAAUUUCUACUAUUUAAAUUGUCCACUUUUAUACAUUAUGUGUCUAGUCUUUUAUUUGUAUCUCUAUUUGAUAUUGUUUUAUAUGUAGUCUUAUGCAUGGGCUCCAAAUCAAUGACAUGUAGCUAAAAUAAUUUUCCUAUAGGAUGUAUAGGGAGCUAUUUGUUGUUAAACAGUGCAUUGCAGUGAGUGCACUUUUGUGAUUAGAGAUACAAAAUAGUAAGAAGUUUAAAAAGAGCAGUUUGUAAAAUUCAUAUUUAGAAUUUUGUUUUAUAUAUCUUUGUAUCAGUUUAAAUGAAGUGGUCUGGGUGCCAGGUCCUUCUAGGGUUAACCCAUUUUUUUAUAAACAUAGCAAUUUCAGAGAAACUGCUAUGUUUAGUAGUGGGUUAAGCCUUCCCCCUAAUCAGGGCCGGACUGGCCCACCGGGAUACCGGGAAAUUUCCCGGUGGGCCGUCGGCACCUGGGGCCAGGCAGACACCUGGGUCUGCUGUCGGCCGCUGGGUAGGUCUUCUGGCGGCCGCUAGGGAGGUCUUCUGGCGGCCGCUGGGGGAGCUGCGCUGGCUCUGCUCCCCAGCGCGCAGCUGAAUGAGACCGGCACCGGAAUAUGACGCCCUCGCCGGUCUCAUUCAGCAGCGCGCGAGGGCGGGAGGGCAGAGCCAGCGCAGCUCCCCCAGCAGCCGCCAGGACAAGUCCGCCAGCGGCCGCCAGAAGACCUCCCCAGCGGCCGACAGGACAUGUCCCCCAGAUGCCCCCAGAAGACCUCCCCAACGGUAAAAGUCCCCCAGCGGCCCCCAGAAGACCUCCCCCUGGCAGGUAUAAGUAAUGUGUCUGUCUGUCUGUCUGGUGUGUGUGUGUCUGUCUGUCUGUGUCAUGGUGUCUGUCUGUCUGUGUCAUGGUGUCUGUCUGUAUGGUGUGUGUGUCUGUCUGUCUGUGUCAUGGUGUCUGUCUGUAUGGUGUGUGUAUGUGUCUGUCUGUAUGGUGUGUGUGUGUCUGUCUGCCUGUGUCAUGGUGUCUGUCUGUAUGGUGUGUGUGUGUGUCUGUCUGUGUCGUGGUGUCUGUCUGUCUGUCUGUGUCGUGGUGUCUGUCUGUAUGGUGUGUGUGUGUGUGUCUGUCUGUCUGUCAUGGGGUGUGUGUGUGUCUGUCUGUCCGUCACGGGGUGUGUGUGUGUCUGUCUGUCCAUCAUGGGGUGUGUGUCUGUCCGUUAUGGGGUGUGUGUGUGUCUGUCCUUCAUGGGGUGUGUGUGUUUGUGUGUCUGUCUGUCCGUCAUGGGGUGUGUGUGUCUGUCUGUCAUUCAUGGGGUGUGUGUGUGUCUGUCCGUCAUGGGGUGUGUGUGUGUCUGUCCGUCAUGGGGUGUGUGUGUCUGUCUGUCCGUCAUGGGGUGUGUGUGUCUGUCAGUCAUGGUGUGUGUGUGUCUGUCAGUCAUGGUGUGUGUGUGUCUAUCUGUCCGUCAUGGUCUGUGUCUGUCUGUGUCAUGGUCUGUCGUGGUGUGUGUGUGUGUCUGUCAUGGGGUGUGUAUCUGUCAUGGUAUAUGUGUGUUUCUGUGUCUGUCAUGGUGUAAAUGUGUGUUUAAAAAUAGUGUUUUUGCUCAAUUUUUUUUUUCCCACGCAGCGUGCUGGUCUCCCUCAACUGGCCCUGCCUCUAUAGCUGAGAUCAUCAAGCUUGAUGAUCUCAGCCAAUCCAAUGCUUUGCCAUAGGAUUGGCUGCAAAACGCCACUCCAAUCAGCAUCUCCUCAUAGAGAUGCAUUGAAUCAAUGUAUCUCUAUGGGGAACGUUCAGCACCUACAGAGUGUGGAGGCCCUGAAUGUAGGUGCACUAACACAGGAAGCACCUCUAGUGACCGUCUGAGUGACUGUCACUAGCAGUGUCACUUUGAAGCAAUGUAAACACUGCCUUUUCUCUGAAAAGUCAGUGUUUACGUUGAAAAGCCUGUAGGGACAUGCUAUAGACACCAGUACCACCACAUUAAGCUGUGUGUGUGCGUCUGCUAGUGAGUGAGCUUGCUUGCAUGCGUGUGCCUGCUAGUGAGUGAGCUUGUGUUUUUAUGUCAAUGAGCUGAUGUAUAUCAGUAAGAUUGUUUGUCUAUGAGGCUGUGUAUCAAUGAGCUUGUGUGUGUCACUGAAAUGUCAGUGAAAUUGCCUGUGUCUGCAUGUGAGUAUGCUUACUGUAUAAUUAAAUGUUUUACCCUGAAAGGACCAAUAUUUUAUAUUAGAAAAAGCAAUAUAUUAUAUAUAUAUAUAUAUAUUUAUAUAUAUAUAUAUAUUACUCAAUCAUCUGUCCUGGCAAGACAUAGCCUUACAUAUUACACGCGACAAUAUAUGGCGCAGUGACUUAUGGGGCUGGCACAAUUUUUUUUUCCAGGGCUGCUUUGUAUCCCCAGUCCGGCCCUGCCCCUAAUCCUCUAGUGGCUGUCUCAUUGACAGCCACUAGAGGCGCUUGCGUGCUUCUCACUGUGAUUUUCACAGUGAGAGCACGCCAGCAUCCAUAGGAAAUCAUUAUGAAUGCUUUCCUAUGUGACCGGCUGAAUGCGCGCGCAGCUCUUGCCGCGCGUGCGCAUUCAGCCGACGGGGCGGAUCGGAGGAGGAGAGGAGGCAGAGAGCUCCCUGCCCAGCACUGAAAAAAGGUACGUUUUUACCCCUUUCCCCCUUCCAGAGCCGGGCGGGAGGGGGACCCUGAGGGUGGCGGCACCCUCAGGGCACUAUAGUGCCAGGAAAACGAGUAUGUUUUCCUGGCACUAUAGUGGUCCGUUAAUGUAAGUCGUGUAAAAUUAUUUUUAGAAAUCACACUUGAAUAAAGAAUCUAUACUUUAAAAUAAAUAAUGUUAAUAAUUUUAUGAUAGGGUUACUCCAACCUUUCUUACAUAACUCUCACCUAGCUGUAGCGUGUAACGAGUAGCAACAUGGUUUGGAACAAUUUGCUAAGGAAGUUAGCAGUUGCAAUUGAGAAUAAUGGGAGUCAUAAACUGCUACUUAGUGACUGUCUUUAAAGGGACACUCCACUGCACGCAUAUAAAAUAAAUAAAAAUCACUGUUUAGUAGAUAUAGCCAAAAUGAAAACUUGCAUGAAUUUAAUUAUGCAUUUACUAACUGGGGAAAUACCUUAAAACAGCUUGCAAAACCUGAAAAUCUAUUGUCCGCUGCCUUUUCAAGUCCUCCCCCUCUAAUCCCACCGAGACUUUCUGUGGCUGUCCAAUCACAGACAUUCCAUGCAGCUCCAUGAGAGGUCUUUGCAAGGCAGGUGCUCUGGACAAUUGCUGUCUCUUGAGUUUAGCUCCAUUGAGAUAAGCAACCGGAAAGGACCAGGAUUGGUUGCCUGGCUGACAGCUAGGUGGGUGUAACAAGGUUAUUUUAUAAAAGUUUAAAUUUCUAUUGAAAUCUGCACUUUUUGCAAAAUUUUAAAAAUAGGACACGCUCUUCAUAUAUAAAGCUUUUGAGCAAGCAAACAUGCUUUAGAGGUCUGGACUGCCCCUUUAAGUAGAGGCAAUUGAUAAAUGGUCUCUGCUGGUGAAAUUGUGCAUUUGUUAAACAACAGCUACUUGCUAACAGUGGAGACAGACAAUUUAGCAAGUAGUGGCUGGCUGGUAGAAAGUAGUAAAAACAUUGAAAACAAACCCCAAUUCUGAUGGUAAUAAUCACUGGAACCUCUUGUGCAGCGUUGAAAACCAUAGUGCAAACCCUAGGCAAAAAUUCUUAGAGUAUGUUAUAGCAUGGCUAUUUCAGCCUAAAACUUUAAUUUUAAUUUCAAACAAUUCCAUGUUAACUGUCUAAAGCACAAUGUAAAUUCAAUUUGCAAAAAGGAGAAUACCAGCAUGAAAAUUCUGAUUAAACCAACAAUCUUGCGGGAAUCCCUUUUUGUAAUGUUGGACAAGAAUAACAAUACAACGGUAACGAGCUGAGAUGAACAGAUGGCUGUUUUUCCUAAGGUUACUCUCCCACAGGUAAUACCUGCCAUUAAUAAUGGCAUCUAAGAAAUGCAAAAUAAACAACGGUCUAUUUUAAUUCCUUCCAGAUUACUCAGGUCAGGUGUCACUAUAUAUUUGGUAUUUGCCAAACCCUGAUGCUAAAGGGGUUAACAUUGAUAUAAUGUAUAUUUUCCUUUAAAUGACAGCCAUAGGACAAAUAUACCUAUUGAUUUUAUUUUAUUAACCAAUUAAUGCAAUAAUAUGCUUAAAGCAUUUUGGUGAAAUAAUUAAAAUUAUUGAUUGCGUAUUUUUAUUUUUGCACUUUUGUUUUUGUAAUUUGUCUCAGAGUUGUUUUCCACAAUGGAUAAAAUAUUCAGAUAAAAUAAGGACUGCCAGAAAGGGUGGUUAAUGUAUAAUUUAUAGCUAUAAUUAAAAAGUAUUUUUAACAAAGUGUCAUAACAUAGUGAAAACUAAAUUGGAUUGUGAUUUACUUUGUCUUGUAGAGCAGCUUGAUUUAGUGCCUGUGACAAGACGAACACCUCUGAUACUGCUUAAAAUGUGACAUUGUAGAAGUAUGCUUGUUUUCUUACAGCUAGUUGUAUUCAAUAUAGAUACAUUUCUGUAUCAACUGUGACUGGAAGUUGUAUAUAUGAAACAGAUAAAUAAUGGAGUGAUUAUACAUGUGGAACACUGAUGACACCCCUGACACACAGAAGCAUCUGAGGGGGGCAUUCAGUCCUUGGCUAAAAGCUAGCCAUCAAUCUUGGAGUGCUGAAUAAAUGUUGUUCAUAUAAUUUCGUUUUUGUUAUUUUUGUGUUAAUAGACAUUUUCAAAAAAAUAUUGACAAAAUGUUUGCAUAUUUAGUUAUUAUUCCUGCCAUGUACAACUACCAGCAUCUGCCCCUCUCCUACUGCCCUCUUCCUUCUAAUUUUGAAUUUAACCGCUUAAGGACACAUGACGUGUGACAUGUCAUGGUUCCCUUUUAUUCCAGAAGUUUGGUCCUUACGGGGUUAAUGAGGAGGUUAGGAGGGAGGGAGGGGCAUUCUCUGUAUGGGAGAAGUUGUGUUCCACAAAUUGCAGAGUAUGGGUGGGAUACAUUGGAGUCAUCUGAGGCAGUAUGGAGAUAGGUGUUAUUAGGAAGCACUGCCCUGUGACCAAAAGUAUAGUUAUCUUAUGCACAUAAAUUAGUAGAUUGUGCCCACAAGUUAAAGGACCACUAUAGUGCCAGGAAAACAUACUCGUUUUCCUGGCACUAUAGUGCCCUGAGGGUGCCCCCACCCUCAGGGACCCCCUCCCGCCCGGCUCUGGAAGGGGAAAAGGGGUUUAAACUUACCUUUUUCCAGCGCUGGGCGGAGAGCUCUCCUCCUCCUCUCCGCCUCCGUUCCGCCCCGCCGGCUGAAUGCGCACGCGCGGCAAGAGCUGCGCGCGCAUUCAGCCCGUCGCAUAGGAAAGCAUUUACAAUGCUUUCCUAUGGACGCUUGCGUGCUCUCACUGUGAAAAUCACAGUGAGAAGCACGCAAGCGCCUCUAGUGGCUGUCAAUGAGACAGCCACUAGAGGAUUAGAGGGAAGGCUUAACCCAUUCCUAAUUAUAGCAGUUUCUCUGAAACUGCUAUAAUUAUGAAAAAAUGGGUUAACCCUAGAAGGACCUGGCACCCAGACCACUUUAUUAAGCUGAAGUGGUCUGGGUGCCUAGAGUGGUCCUUUAACUAUAUUGUGCCCAUACAUAACUUAAGCUGUGUGCACAUGUUAACUAUCUCUUGGGAACAAUCUACUAAAUCAUGCACACAAGAUCGUAACAUUGUGGCCAACAUUUUCACAUGUCACAUUUGAGGCUCCAUACUGUUGUAUUCUAGCAAUACUGAUAUGUUUUAUGCACAGCUUUGGUUGUCUUUUGCUUUUUUUGGUGCUUUAAUACUCCAUGUUUUAAUUAUUUUUUUUUUUAAAUAACUCACUGUGUCCAUUGACUGCAAAUGCUAGUGAUAAUUGUUCCUUUCUUGCCAGUGUGGCGUUUCAUUAAAUUAAGGAUAUCUUUUUUUAAAACUUUACAAGGUGAUUUUCAGUGAGAAUUAGUAUUUGAAACAUUUGGUCACUGCAGUUAGAGUGGUAUAAUGAAUUACAUUAAAUCCUCAUUAUUGACUGAUAAAGGGUUAAUGAUUGAAGCGUUCAAGGUCAGCUCAUUUAGAAAGUAUCCAGGUAUGACAAUUGCCAAGCAGUUAAAUGAUGAAAGUGAAGAUGACAUAAAUGCCAAUUAACCUACAUCAUUAUAACAUGAGCAGGCAUUUGCAAGAACAGCAAAUAUAUAUAGUAAAAAUGUGCAGGGUCAGAUCAGAUGAAAUGAUCAUUAUUUAUUUAUCUGUUUGUCAGUCUGUCUGUCUAUUUCAUACAGACUGUGUUUUAGGUACAGUACAGCAUGGUAAGUAAUAUUGUAAGUGCAUUAUACCCAGUUGUACACAGUUUAUUAUUAUUAUUGCCAUUUAUAUAGUGCCAACAGAUUCCGUAGCACUUUACAAUAUUAUGAAAGGGGAUUUAACUAUAAAUAGGACAAUUACAAAUAAACUUACAGGAACAAUAGGUUGAAGAGGACCCUGCUCAAUCGAGCUUACAUUCUAUAGGAGGUGGGGUGUAAAACACAUUAGGACAGGAAUGUGCAAUCAAAUAAGGUGGGCUGCCCUUUAGGAGAGGGCAAGAGACGGGUAUGUGAGGUAGGGGUUCCUUUACAGUUUGACUGCCACCUUGCAGUGACCUAAUUCCAGAGCAGCUGUAGGAUAUGCAAGUCCCCGAUUGUCCGAGAUUAGUUGGGGUUAAGCUCCCAGAUACUAGUGAGAUCUUUGCAUACACUUCACAGCCCAGGAUUUUACAGAAAAGGCAGAAACUGCAAAUUCAUCUUAAUAUUUAUUUCUAUUUAUACUAUGUUAAUGCAAUAUCUUUAUAAUCAGUUAAAACAAAAUAAUCAGCUCCAUGCUGGAGUGUUCCUUUUAUGUAUUUUAAGAAUAUUUAUAUUUAGUAUAAGUAUAUUAGGUUCAUAUAAUCCAUUUUUUUAUGUUAUCAUUGGUCAUGUAACAGUAUUUAGAACUGAAAACAUAUUCUUCCACUCCUUAUUUUAUGAUAUUCCUUCUGCAUACCUACAAAGGGUCCCAAUUUAGGAGGGAGGGACAGUCCCUAUUUUGGGCCCAAAUCCAGGAGGCACUCUUUUCUAUCUUAAUGUUCCUCUUUUCUAGGAGCUCCAUAUUGUUGGUGUGUACAAGUGUAUAUCAGCAAAAAUACUCACAGUAAUUUACCUUUAACUUACAAUAAAUAUGUUUAGAAAUUAGUCUGUGUAAUAAGAUACAAUGUUCUUGUUCUAAAUUACAUUGUAUUUGUAUAAGUCGAUAUUAGUAAUUCAACAAAAAUUUCUCAGAACAAUCCAACCCACUCACACCCCUAAAAUUAAAGUGUCUCUCUUUGUCAAUUUGAAAUAUUGGGAGAUAUGCUUUAACAGAUUGUUGAAGGAUCAUAAUCACAUUUUACUUUAAUAUUCAAGGAGAUACGCAAAAUGAGAUUUUUGGUAGUUCAGUCUCGUUAAGAAAUAAGCACCUUUUUUCUUUCCUCCUUUUUUGAGAUGGACAUGGGAAUGUUAGCCUCUGUUGGUUUUAUUAAGUUUGCUUGAUUGAACACACAUGUCUGCACUUUAUUGAUUUGUUUGACUUUGAUAUGUAAAAUGUUUUGUACUUUGCACUUUAUACAUGGCUUGAUAAGGAAACAUUUAGUGUCGGAAUGUUGCCCACUUCUUUGGAUGGGUGAAUAAAUCAUCAUUACACCAUUGAAUGCCAUGUGAUGGAGUCUUAGUUUUUCUUUUAUUGUUUUGAUUCUGUGGGACAAGGGUCUGGACUCUUGGCACAGGCACCAAAUAUAUAUUUGAUUUUUCAAUUGUGCUCCUGUAAUUAUUGUUUUUCAUUGAUAUUGCAUAGCGUUAUUGUUAACCCUCACACCAGCAAUUGAUUAUGUUAUUAAUUAUUUGCCCACUGGCUGGUAGCACUGCCUUUGGGACAUCGAGAAAUUAGGUUAUUUGAAACUUUUCACUGAAUAUCAACCGAAACAAAUAGACACGUGACCAGAAGUUGGUCAAAUCUAAAACAUUUUUUAAUUUGACCAAAUGACUGACACCACAGAUUGCACAUGUCUGUUUGUCAGCAACUACUAGUCCUUCUCAGUAGCUUUCACAUUUAAAUUGGCACAUUACUUUUUCAGUUAUAGUUAUAUUAUACAGUAAAAUUCACUUGUAUUGGCUUUUGCUAGGGCGAGAAUUGACACAGACAAUCUUAGAAUGACAAUAUUAAAGCUAAAAUUGCCAAGCAAUGUCUUUAAUUCAGUUGAGUUGAAUUGUAGAAUGUUUUCAGAUUAGCUAUUUAGCCUAUAUUUGAGAAAUGUUUCACUCCGAUGAUGACAGGAAGGUGUGCUCCUGCAGCUCAAAGUUAUAUGUAAAAUGUAUAAGAAAAUCUAUAUAUUAUUUAGUAGCAAUCCUUCAAGAGAUAGAUUUCAGAAGACACAUGUCUACAUACUUUGCCAAUUUUAUUUGUGUAGUAGGUAACUUACAAGAUGUAUAUGAAAUUGACAGAAAGAGUUUUAACUUUUGCUGAAAAACUGUUCAUAUGUUCAUGAAACCUAUAGAAUGCUAGGUACCUGGCUAGCAUUGCAUGUUUAGUUAGAACCUAUGUUUAGUCCCAGUAUGUGUAGCAUCAACAUAAAUAAACUGGCUUUUUAUGCUUUUAACAAACCUUCAAUCCAUUAACCAAAUACAGCACAAUGGUUCUUAUGUGUAAUAAUCCAGUUUUUCCAUUGCCAAAACACAAUCUGUCUGUUGAGUAUUUUUGCUCACCAUUUCAAUCUAAGUACGGCUCACAAAGAACUUUUUUCUUUCCAAAACAACACUUGAAGUAAAUGAUAAAGUUUAGAGAAUUAAUCCUGAAAAAAUAAUUAAAAUUAUGGUUUUAUAGUUUGGAUUGAAUUUUUGUAUUUUUUUUUUGUUUUUGCUUAUUUCCAUUAGAGAAAUUCAGGAGCAAUUUCAUGAAUACGUUUUCACUUCAAAAGCUUUCUCUUGAAACAACAAAGUUGAUGAUCACAGUUUUAAAGAUCUUAGCUCUGCUUAGUACAUGAAAUAAAAUCAAAGAAAAUAGCUUAAACAAAUUCCAUUCCAUGUUCAAUUACUGAAAAUCCGAUGUACAAACUUUGACUCUUUGGUUAUGUACGAAAAUAAUAAUUGGGACAGUAUUGUACUUGCAAAAGCUAACAAGAAAUGGACUGCUUCUUGUUUGACAAUUAAUUAUUUGACAAAGUAAAUAUUAGAUAUUUAUUAAACAUGCUAAAAAAUGACUAGAUUUAAUUUUUUUCUUACAUCACACUUUUUGCACUGUAAUUACAUUUUAUAAUUACUUAUUUGUUGGCAGCUGAUAGAUUAAAAUUAAAUGUAGCUUUCAGCCUGGGGGUAUAUUCACUGAAUAGUGAGCUACUGUGACUAAACCCUUUCACUACCAGAUAUUACCAGCUUUUAUGUUCAUCUAGAAAGUAACUGGUCACAUCAAUGUAAACCGUGACAUAUAGCUGUAUCUAAAAUUAGGAGAGAAAAGAAAUCAGUUAUAGAUACAUAAAAAAUCUCUUUAUGUAUAUAUCUCAACAUUUUUACUUGUCUUUUUACAAAAUACAAGUCUAGAAAAUUGAGGGAAGCAAGGACACCCAUACUGCUUGUAGUCGCAAGGUGUAGAGAAGCCAUCAAGUGUUCUGUAAGCUCACAGAUGAGUUCUACAUACAGCUCCUUGCAGCUCCUGUUGUACUAAUGCACAACAUCACUACAGAUUGAGACACAAAGGAGCUGCUUUUAGAACCAGCCCAAGUACAGCUACCUGCGACUCCCUCGUGCCACCAGACACCAGAGAUGAGGUUCUUCUGCUCUAGUAAACAAGAAGGAGGGAACCUCAUUCUCAUGCCCAGUGAAUAUGAUUGAUCAUUCAUGGCAAAGUGUUGUCAAUAUUUGUGAUUAUGCAAUGAAUGCAUAAAAUGGUCACCCAGUAGAGGUGCCAUGAUAGACUUAUGAGGUGAACUGUGUCUGGGAAAUACAGAGUUAAAUCUUUUUGUUGACUGGUAAAUACCCUGAAAUGGUACAGUAAUUAACGCAUGUUAUAUUUUCCUGUUUUGUAAAAUCAAAUAGUGUAGAAGAAUUUAUGACUGAUCUUUGGUUCUGAGAUCCAUCUAUAACUAUUACCGUGGCCUUAUCAUAUAUGUUCUCAGAGAUUUGUAUGAGAAACAACAGAGCGUGCAUGCAUAUUUUUUGUUCAAUGAAGGGUUAUUCUCAUAAAGUUCUGGAAGUGAUUUUAGAUGCUAUUUUAUUUUUUCUUCCUUUCUGUAUUUCUCUAAUGUCCAGCUUUUCUAAUUGCAAUGUUUAUUUGCAAGACAGUUUAAUGUCAGUUAAGUGGCACUUAUGUGAAGAGCUGACAUGACCCUUUUGCCAGCCAUGCCCAAUGUCCUGGUAUCAGAUCUUUGGAAUUGGUGAGAUAUGGUAGCAGAAACUGUGUUAAAGGUAAGGUAAAGUAAGUCACCAUACUAUUAAUGUUGAGAAUAGAACAAGUCAUGAAUUUCUUUUUAAAAAAUUUAAGCAGAAGCACAAAUAGUAUUCAGUUUUUUCCAAUUUCCCACAACUGCAAGCUGAGUAACGCAUGUAUCCAGUAGAGAAUCAUCACUAGCAACUUGCAAAAGCACUUCAUUCAUGAACACUUACAAGAUUUUAUCAAAAGAGAGUAACCUUAGCAAAAUAUUUAAUGAAAUUAAAUUUUUCAGACUUUUAAGAAGGUGUUUGUUUUGAAUGCAGUCUUACUAAUUGACAUGCAUAGUAUGAGUUAAUGUUUAAAAAUGUUCUAAUCUCAGUUAUUCAGCAAUUCAGCUGAAUUUGGGCCAACCAGCUGAUUGGUUGGUUCACAAAACUUGUGCAAAGGACGAGCAUGUUCAUUUUUUUUUUUUUUUUUAAUUUGGAGUUCCACCACAGGGCACCAAAAGAAGAGAUGAGUGAUGGGAAAAAUGAUGGCAACGGGCAUUUAUUUUUUAUACAUUGUUGUAAUACUCCCCAUUUGGUACAUUGUAGCAAUUCAUUGAGUCCACCUUAGCACACUGUUAAUUAUUACAGUCUAGAGAUUGACUAUCAAUUAGUGGAUUUAUUAUAGAGGAAUUGAAACAACCUGAAAAUCUUUUGUUUCUGAAUGUCAUUCCAAUUGUGUUAUUAUUAAAGAUUGGUAUAUGUUUUACUUAGUUUAUUUUUAUUAUUUAUUAUAUUAAGGAGCGCACAUACUGUAUUUCAUAUUUUGAGUUUACUGCUCAUCACGUCGCUUACAAGUGUAUGUAGCUGCCCAAGUUUGGAUUAUUUUUAUUUUGUACCUAUUCUUAUAUUGUUUAAGAUCGGAUCCCCCUAAUAUGAGAAAAAAAGCAGACACUCCAAUGCCUUAUGGAAGUAACAAUGUAAAUUGAUUACAAAUAUAAAUAUAGCUAUUGGAACAAUGUUGCAACAAUCUAUGGGGAUCCAGUAAGAACAGUAAGGUAGGAGGUACAGGUUUAAAAAAAACCCUUCAAUUUAUUCAUAGGAUAAUAAAAUAUCCAGUAUAGGUGUAGGGAAAGAGGUAGGCAUGGGAAAGGGAGGUGGGUAUUAGUGUUGAGACAAAAAGUGGCUGCUUGAGAGAGAUUCCAGCCAAUUAUGGUAAAUUUAAUAAUCUGAUUAAAGGGAACACAAGGAGGGUAAAGAGCAGUAGUAAUCUACACACCUCUACCUUAUCAAUCAAAUAACUAACAGUUCAGACACUAAGAGGUGAGGGUAAAAAUGACACUCAAGUACCAAAUUGAUGUAGAUAAAGUAUCUUGGAUAAGUGCUGUAUCUAGGCAGCACCCUAAUCAGGAUGAAAGCAUGCCCCAGCCACUUCCCUACUAAGAUACUGGUUGAUAAGACUGCACUUGAAGUUAUCCUCCCAUAACUGAAAUGUUCCAGUCAGUCCCAAUCUGCUAAUGGAAAGCAAUAAAAACAGGGGGGUAGGUGCAGCGUUAUUUAAUUUGCUUCAGACUGUAUCAUCUAGAUUUCUCAUUAUAUAAAGUAUAUUUUUAAGCUUUUAUUGGUAUUUACAAAGAUGCUCUUAGAUAGUUAUAACCAUGUACUCCAUUUUUUUUGUAUUAUUUUCGUCCCUUUUUACUCUUUUUACUUUAUUUUCCCUAAAUAAUAAUUAUUUUUAUCUAAUAUUGUUUAUGCAUAGAUAAUUUUAUUAUUAAUAGAAGUUGUUUUAGUGUCUUAUCUUAGUUUUUUAUUUUUAUUUUAUGUCUAUAGAGCGGGCUAUUGCUCCUCUUAUUUCUUUUUAGUAUAUGUGUUAUUACAGUUUUUUGCCUGUAGGGAGCUACUGACCCUUUUAUCUUUGUUAUACAAAUUACCUGUCUACCAUUUUUUUGGAUCCCUAGCUUAUCCAGGUAGACGCCAUUUUGUUGGAGCCAAAAAAACAAAACAAAAACUUAAUAGGUCAUGUGACUAUGAUGUCACAAAACCGUUAUUUUCAAAAUCCUAACCCUAUUUAAGAAGCUCAGGUCCCAUUCACUUUGUAAAACACUUUUGAUAAAGCCUAUCCAAGGAGAAAAUCUUUAAGUGUAUUGUUUAUAACUUUUUUACAACUAUUUUAUUUUAUUAUAUAUUGAAUUCCUUUUAUUAUUUUUUGAAUAUUAAAGUACUUUUUUAAUUGGAAUAAUACAACACAAAAUAAUUUUCCUAACUCCCCAUCCAAGGUAGAAAAUUUGGAGUGGGGGUAAGGAAAGAAGGUCAGGAUGGUGGUACCAGCUCCACCUAAAUAUGGGCUUGAACCCCGAUAUAUGUAUGAUAUAAUAAGUAUAUUCACCGUUAAGACAAUGUUACUCAGGAAUAAGGUAUCUAAAAAGUAUAAGCAGUGAGAAUUCUAGCAUCUCUAAUAAGGCCAAGGUUAUUGGAGGACAAAAAUAAAUAUGGGUGCAAAAACAGCUUUAUUAACCUUAAAAUGUCCACAAAAUACUGAAAUAAACAGUAUAACCAAUAGCUAUUAGGACGCAAUCUAUAAGCCCCCCCCGUAGCACCUAAAUUAAAUGUGGGUAUGCUGUUAAUCCACAGUAAAGUAGGGGCUCAAUAAAAAUAAAUAUAAAGAAACCCCAAACUAAAAAGCAAAAAGAGGGGGGGUGGUAAAGGAGGAGGAGGACGGGUCACAAAAAGCAGAAUACCUUAAUCGAUGCUAGAAUUCUCACUGCUUAUACUUUUUAGAUACCUUAUUCCUGAGUAAUAUUGUCUUAACGGUGAAUAUACUUAUUAUACCAGUUUCUUGGAGGAUCCCUUAGGGGGUUAUCGCUCCUUUAGUUCAAUUUUGUUUUUUCAUACUUUUUUAAUUGGACCUGACUUUGCUACUAUUGGAUUGUUUGGAGCUAUAUCCCUGGUGGGGAUCAUAUCACCCAACCGCUUUGGAUUGAGCAAACCGGAACUUGCUCUUUAGCAUAUGAGUAGGUUUAACUUAUUUAUUUCAGCUUACACUCCUUUUUACGGUGUACACUAUUGUGGUUCUGUUUGUUUAUCUUCACAUAUACAUGAAAGGAAGAAUUUAUAUUUACACCUGUAUCCUUGAGUGGGGAUCAUACCACUUCAAGCGCUAUCAGAGGAGCCAGGUUUUACGGCUCCAUUACACAUGAGUGUACAUUUUAUAGUUUUUACCUACCCUUGUUUCAUAGCUCUACAUACUUCACCAUAUACAAUUUGUAUUUGUUUAUUUUAUGAGGAUACCCCCUACCACCCCUUUAAUAUGAAGAAUUACCUCUGCCCUUGAUCCAUAGAUGGGAAUUAUUCUACCCAGGCGCAUACACUGGAGCUGUAUUGAAUCUCCAGGAAAGUGUGAGUGCACAUCUUUUAUCUUACUUAUCACCACUACAGUUUUAAAUACUACACUAUUAUUUCUUCUCUGGUUCUCUCCACAUAUACUUUGUCAAGGACUACUGAAGCACUGCACCUACCCCCCUGUUUUUAUCCAGUUUUCUGAUCAGAAAAGAUAGACUCUGUAUUUGUGUUCAAGCUGCUUUUGGACUAUUAUCAUUUUGCUUCUGCGCUGAAUUUAUUUUGUGUGAUUGUGUAAUGGAAAGCGUUUCAGCGCUAUAGUGCGCCUUUAUCAAGAGCAUUGUAUUGAGAAGAUCCUGCCGGGUAUUUAAAUGGUAACGGUCCAUGUGGCAAACCUAGCCACUUAUAAUAUUCUGGACUAUGCACAGAAAAGGUUGCCUAUAAUAAUCCUUGUACUGUCUGGUGUAACUUGGCUGUAACGUGUAUUACUGUAUGUGUAUAUAGCAUUCGUAUGCUGGCUGCUUACCAGCGGUGGUUUGGUCGUCAAGCGCGUGGAGCCGAAAUCAUCUACUCGACGGCGAGAACCCCGCUGGACUUCCAGGCCAUUCGGGAGCUCCGAUAUUCCCCUAUUACGGUUUCCCAUCGGUGUUCGGUAGUUUCAGGUGAACUCAUAGGCAAAGUGUAUUUCGUGCGGCGUUCGGUUGUUUUAGCUGGGAUCUGAGCGGUAUUCUCACGAAAGGUGCGCUCAGACCUCAGCUAUCUACCGAACGUCCAUUCAAUAAAAUCUACCAAGUAUUGUAAAAGUUAUAGAUUUUAAUGUGAAUUGUCGGUUCUGCUGCACGGAGGGAUAAUCCACUUAACGGUACAUCCCAGUGGGAGUAUCCCUCUCGUCCAGCAGUGCCUGAUGGGAGAAAAGGUCUGAAUGUUAAGUCCCCCAUGUAGUUCCCUACUGUAUUACCUCUGCUAUGACAGUAUGGAAACCCCUUGCAUGUGGACUUGCAUAAAUACUGGAUGCUGUGAAUAAAAACCUCAGUUGACUCCCAGAACUGUGUUUCGUCCAGUUACUGGGGGAUUUGGGAUAUCGCCUUACUUUACAGCACUUGACUGUGGAUUACCUUCUUUACCAGUGGAGUUCGUGGGAAUUAAUAUUGCCGCUCCGCUACAGUCCAUCCCUCAGAUGACAUCAUACGGCCAAUCGAUGCCGCAAUAUCAGAGGGGGUGGAGAUAGCCCACAAACCGGGGGGUGGAGUGGCAGGUACUGUUCAAGCCUGCAUGUUAGAACAGAAUUAACCCUUUGGGACUUAAAAGUAAUAAAUGAGUGAUACACAUUAUACCUGGAAAUAAGCUCAAAGUAUUAAAGAAUAUUAUGAAAAGAUCAUAUUGAAAAGAUGAGCAUUGAAUAAGACUCUGGGCAUUACUAUGGAAAGACCAUACUUAAAAGUACACGGACAGCAGGACCACAAGGGUAUACUGUGCUAGGAAUAAAACACAAGUUGGUUAGAUGAUAUGUGCCUAGAAAGUCAAGUAAAAUAAUAAUUUGCACACAUCACAGUAAAUGUUAUGUGCACUUAUUGUUAAGUAGUUUAAACCCAGCAGGAUAAAUUAGAACUAAAGCAAAACAUAUCCCAAGAUGUAUACAUUUUAAUAGGCCCUGCUUUGUGAUUAAUUAUGGUGACUAGAGAUCUGAGAACAGAAGUACCAUAAUAUUUAAAUCAAUAGAAUAUGAUAUAUCAUGGUCCUGCCCAAAUACAGUGUCCAAAGGUCUUAACAGAGAAGACAUACCAUUUCAUUUGAACCAAUAAUUUACAAACUGAUCAGGUUUAGAUAGAAUAGAUAGUUAAGAAAAAUACACAAUUAAUUUAUUUUUAUUGUUAUUAUUUUGUUUUUAUUGAUGUCAGGGUCAUUUUUACCCUCACCUCUUAGUGUCUGAACUGUUAGUUAUUUGAUUAAUAAGGUGGAGGUGUGUAGAUUACAACUGCUCUUUACCCUCCUUGGGCUUCCUUUAAUUAGAUUAUUCAAUUUACCAUAAUUGGCUGGAAUCCUCAAGCAGCCACUUUUGUCUCAACAUGAAUACCCACCUCCCUUUCCCAUACUUACCUUUUCCCCUACACCUAUACUGGAUAUUGUAUUAUCCUAUGAAUACAUUGAAGGUUUUUUAAACCUAUAUCCUACCUUACUGUUCUUACUGGACUCCCAUAGAUUGUUGCAACAUUGUUCCAAUAGCUAUAUUUAUUUAUAUAUUUAUUAAAUUUACAUUGUUACAUCCAUAAGGCAUUGGAGUGUCUGCUUUUUUUUCUCAUAUUAGGGGGUUCCGAUCUUUUUUUAGCAGAUGAAAUUCUGAUAAGUCAAACUGUCUGCAAAUCAAAAACAAAUUUGGAAGCAGAAUUUUGGAAAUGUGGCAAAGAAGUUUGGCUGUAACAAAUUUUUAUGCAACGCACAAGGCUAAUUAUAACAGGUCUACUUUGAUAACAAGAUUGAAUACUAGUACUUUCCCAACUGAACGCUGUUAUUCUUCCAGGUCUACUCAAUCAUCGGAUCAGAAUUUUCUUUCUUACUUUUUCCUUCUGAACUGUGCAUUUGUCCUUAACGUCUAAAAUGGAGAAUGACUUUCCAUUAACAGAUGAUAUUCAUGCUUAAUUAAAGUUACUGUAGCAUUACUUAACAAAACCUACUGCAAAUUUAAUGCAUUUAAACUUUAAUAGUAUGUACCUUUGAAAUGAUGCAAAAUGUUAAAUGUUCUAAAUUAUAAAUGUAUUUUUUUUAAAUGUUUGCAAUUUAAAAAUUAAACAUCAUUUUAAGUAAAAGUGUGUUUAAAUAAUGAAGUGUUUUAAAAUUUAAACAUAUGUGAAUAAUAAAUCACUUUUAAUGUUUCAAAUCCGUAGCUACUUUCCGUACUAAUGUAUUCCUCUUAAGACAGGAUGGUGCGGAUAUCAACUAAACUAUGAAAUUGCCAAGGCAUAUUCAGAGGAAAUAAUUUGGUAUUUUUAAACGUAUUUCGAAGGAUGAAUUACACAUGUAGUUUGCUAGAUUUACCAUCCUCUGUAAUUUUCCAAACUGACUCUAUAUCGAUCAAGAUGAGUCCACAUUCAGAACCCUCCCAAAUCAGCUGACUAGCCCUAAAAGUAUCUAAGAUUGAAUUUCUAGAUCUAUUUUCCUCAGUUAAUAUUUGACUACUGACAGAGCAAGCAUGUCAAGCAAGAUUAAAUAAAUAAUCAUUCGGUGAUUGAUAAAUAUAUGAAUAUUUUUCUCUGUAUGGUAUUUGGAAAGUUUCCACAUUGAUUUUUUUUGCAAACAAUGAAUUGUUCUGGGCCAGAUGUACACAGAGUCCAUAUUUAUUCCUGAAUUGCCUUUAGUAAAUAUCAAUUUGCAUUUCCAGGGAUUUUGGUAAUCUAGACUGUAUGUGUAUGUGACCAAAUCCCUUUCUGGAUGGUAUUGCACACACCUAGAUUUAAUAUAAAUAUUUUAUUAAGUGGAAAAUGUGAAGAUAGAGUCAUAGCUAAUGUUUUAAAAUGACUCAAUGAUGUGUGGUAAAAACAACACCCGCUGUGUAUCAGAUCCUGUGAAAAUAGGAACCAGUCAAUGAUAUUGUCAAAGAAAGAGGAGACACAAACAUACAGCAGAGGGAGGAUUUAUCUGAAUGAUAUUAAUCACGUCUGAGUUGAGAAAAGUUUGCAUAACCCAUGGGUUUGCAUUUGUUAAAAUAUACAUUAUAUAUAUGUUUUAUUCACCCAUGAUGUGUGAAGCAAGCAUGUAGUUCUCUCAAAUCAGCCUCAAGCCCCUUGUCCAAAUAAUUUUUCAGACAGGUAUACUUCGAAGAUCUUUCAUAUUCAACAAUAUGAAUAAAUCAUUUUUUUAGUGAAUUGAGAGGAAGUGAUAUUCUUUUAGUGUUUUUAAUAAGAACACUCUCAGUGUAUCUAUGUACACAUACUGGCCAUGUUAUCAGCAGAAAUCUGAUGAAUUGAGCGAGUUGCCGAAGUAGAUUGCAGGUUAGAAGUAGCAUUAAAGUGACACAAUACUCAGAGGUGAAGUAAAUCAAUGAAAUAUAUAUUCUGUAAAUGUAUAUUGAAACAUGUGAACUAUAUAACUUACAGAAUAAAAGUAUAUAUUAUUUGUUAAGGAUCUAAACACAAAUUAUUCCAAUGAACAGCCUCAUAAAAUAUUAAAUACUUUCACUAUUUGGUUUAACAUCUUCUUGCAAACUUGGAUUACAGUUUUUAUAUGACAAUAAUUCAUUUUUAUAAGCAUCUUCUUUUGACUUUUAUUUUUAUUCAAUCCAAUGAUCAACUCAUUAUACUCUCCACAAAAAGGACCCACACAUGAUCAUUAAGUCAUCAAUUAUAUUUGCUGCUAUAAAAAUGUGUCCUUGAGCUUUGUUGACCAUUGAUUAUCACUUAGCAUUUUGUAUGUACAAUGAAUUAUGAAGCAAAACCUGUUUGUCUUCUUAAUCCAUUUGCAAAACCUGUACUUUUGCCAAAACUUUCCUUGGAACAAAUUAUGUUAGUGUGUUGUGUCAUCUUAUUGCGCUUGCCAAAAAUGUACAGAAUCAGAACAUGAAAUGCAGCUGCAGCCUGUUUAAAACAUAUGCACUUGGAUAGGCUAAACCUUAUUGACACAUGCUAUCUGUUAACCUUAUUAAUAACGUAGCACUGUAUUUAACCCAUUCACUACUCGUGUGUUUGUAAAAAAAAGUUGAGUUGCAGAUUUUUUUAAAGAUAGAUACGUUGUUCUAAUUGAAAGCAUAUUGCAGUGAAAAGGCUUACAAUUGUUUUUUAUUUUGCAAAGUAUUAUAUUUUAGGUAAUUAUUUUAAUUAGUUGUAUAUGUAAUUAAUGUUUGUGGGACUCCUGGGGAAAUAUUGGAUAACAGAUUUCUGCUUUCUUUUUUCAACGUCCAAUUCAAGCUGAAAGGACAUACAUUCCAAUUAAAGAGUUUGAACAUAUUAUUGGCUAGGAAUAAUCAAACAUCACCUCAAGAAGGAUGAGUCAUUAUUAAGUGUGAAUCAGCUAAUUCUGCCUUCACAUACAAAUCAAUCCCCUUUGUGACAGUUCUUAUUUAUUAUUUAUUUCCAUGAUUUCCAUUUUUUGGCAUGUCAAAGUAAAAGGAAAACACAUUUUAUCAUACACAGAACAAUAUGGUUGAUCUAGAUGAAAACUCUCUAAUUUCUUAAUUACAGUAUAAAUGCCAUAGCAAAUAUUUUAUGAUAUGUAUGUGUGGUCAAACAAACGCCACACCUGACUACUUGUAUCAGUUCUCUUUUCUGACAGACAGUAAGGCACAACAAUAAGAUGUUCUAUUACAACAUUAUUAUUGCAAUUGUAGACAGCACUUGACAUUAAAAAAAAUAUACCGUAUGUCACCAAUCUUAUUGAAUAGGAAACCAAGAGGGCCACACACACCUGAACACACUUAUAAUGGUGCUGCUGUGGCCAAUUCAUACAUUGUACAAGAUGCAGCACACUCACCCAUUCAAAAACAAAUUAAGUGUGGGGCAGGAUCUGAUUAUCAUGGCAACUGGACGCGUUUUUAGAGAGCUCCUCGAGGCACACAAAGAAAGUCCAUUUUCUAGCUAUUUUAAUAAUAUUUUCACGGAGUGCAACAAAUUCUAUGCUAUACACCAACUGAGAGAUCUGGGAGCACUUCCCAUGGUCUUUACAGUCAUCCCAGAUGGCAAUUACCAGUGAGGGCGAGCAGGUGCUGAGAAAGGGAGAGGCGGACAGUUUCCUGAACAGAUAAAAGCAGAGCUCUGAACAUGGUUCUGACACCCUCCUCCCCAUUGGACCGGUGGGGGUGACCCCAGUCGCUACCAUGAUGGCUCCCAAGUUUCAUUAAGGAACUUGGCAGUGUCGCAGAAGCAAGCAAUACUGUUGAAGGUACAUCUAAUAUGGUAGACACCACAAGUAACACACUUCUUGGAGAAAAGAGGUCCACUAUUCUCCCACAUUUAGAGGCACCCUUCGAUGCAUUCUGGAGGAAGCUGAGGAACAAACAGACCUUACCUGGGAUGGCAGAAGUUCCUUCUAAACCAUCUCAAUGCAUCCCAAACUGUCCUGCAGCUCUCACCAAGUGCACAACACGCCUGAGGCGGCAGAGGCCAAACUGGUGCUCACAAGGAAGGCAGUAUAUCUGCAAACAUUGACGCUGUGAGACAUGUUUAAUUAGCCUGGUUUAUGUCAUAAUAUAAAAUUAUGUAGAAUUUACGUAUGCUAUGUUCCUGUUUUUUACAUUUUAUGUUGUCAUACUUGCUAAAGCUGUGGUGGCACUGCAUGCUUGACUGUGUUUAAACCCAUGCACAAAAAAAAAAAAUAUAUAUAAUAAACAUCUAAUGUAGUCGCAAAUAAUUUUGGCAAGUCCUUUAACCAAUUAUACUGCAGCAUCUGUUUUUAGGAUUAACAUUUUAUGUGACUAAAGAAUAUUUAACAACUCCUUACUACUAUAUCUUUGAAGUGCACUUUCAGUUUAGAGAAGAGCUCUAGAGCAGUCAGUUUUCUCCGAUUCAGAUGCUCAGCAUGAUUUUUUGGAAUUGAAUUGUUGGCAGUGGUUAGUUUUGACUUUAUGAGCUAUUCUUUUAUAAAUAUCCUUGCUGGUGGGAAUCUGAAACCUGCUCAUCUAUUACAGUUCACUUAAACUAGAUUCUGCUGCUGACUUGUUACAGAUGUUGUGCAGGAAAGUCGUAAUAUUGAACAUUUACAAAGAUAAGCACAUUAUCAUAAUAAAAUAUGGAAAAUGUGCUUAAAUAAAAAAAUAUGGCUGAAGAUUUUUCUUUAAGCUAUUACCAUAAGCAAAUUGCUCAGAAUGUUGUAAAAGUAACAUCUAUUGUUGAUGAAUUGAAUACAAUAUAGUAAUAUCACAGCUAAAUCCAAAGGCUACUACUCCUUACUAAUUAUUCUUGACCUCUCUGCUGCCUUUUACACCGUUGAUCAUGCUCUCCUUCUUCAAUUUCUUCAAUCGCUCAGUCUCUGUGACCCUAUCCUAUCAUUGGUUUUCCUCUAACCUCUCCCAAUGUUCAUUCAGUGUCUCCUUUUCUAAUGAAACCUCAUCCCCUCGUCCUGUCUCGGUUGUAGUCCCCCAAUGCUCUGUCUUUGGUCCCCUUCUAUUUUCUCUUUAUACUGCCUCUCUUUGCAAACUUAUCUCAUUUGGAUUCCACUACCACUUGUACGCUGAUGACACCCAGAUAUAUCUCUCCUCCCCUGACCUCUCCCCUGCCGUCUUGCAACAUGUCACUGCUUCCCUUUCUUCCAUCUCUGACUGAAUGUCCUCCCGCUUUCUGAAACUCAAUCUCUCUAAAACGGAGCUCCUUGUCUUUCCUCCUCCUAAUACUGAUCCUACUCUUUCACUCUCCCUUCAAGUUAGUGGUAUCCACAUAAGUCCAUCCUUACAAGCGCACUGUCUUGGCAUCAUACUUGAUUAUGGCCUUAACUUUGAGCCUCAAAUCCAGUAUAUUGCCAAAUCCUGUAGAUUCCAUCUUAAAAACAUAGCCCGCAUCCACCUCUUUCUUACGCAAGAUGCUACCAAGGAGCUUGUCCAUGCUCUAGUAAAUUCCUGCAUGGAUUAUUGUAACCCUCUCCUAAUUGGGCUCUCUGCUCUGCCUUCUCCUGUCCAUUGCUCGCAACUGUACAGCUAACUCGCGCUUGCAGGACUUCUCGCGGGCAGCUCCCUUCCUAUGGAAUAGCCUUCCUACCACCAUCAGACUCUCCUCUAGUCUUCAAUCAUUUUAAGAAGUGCCUUAAAAACCAUCUCUUUAGGACAGCUUAUGGCCUCCCAGAGUAACCCCUACAUCACAUACCUGUCUCUUGCUCUCUCCUAAAGGGCAGCACUUUACUCUCUCCUCCAGCUCUGCUUCACCCCCACCUUAUUUGAUUGCUAUUUCAUGUCCUAAUGUAUUUUGUACAUUCUAAUUAAUCAGUUUGUGACAUUUCUCAUGAUACGGCCUUAAAGCAGACCUGAACUAAAAUACAGAGAAACACGUUUGGCAUCUAAUACAUUAUAUAUCUGUAAUUUUUUUCCAAUUCCCUAUAUCUGGAUAAGAGAUGUAGAAGGAGACCACUAUCUUGCUCAUGAAUCCGCGUAGGACCACUUUGUAAUGUUGGUGAUUCCUGACUUUACCUGAGGUCCAGUUGCCAAAUUCCAUACUUUACAAGGUAUUUUCAUUUACCAGUAUGUAUGUGUAGUGGGGCUCUAUGCACAUAGGCAUUUUAUUUAUUUAUUUAAUUUUACAGCAAUGGAUUAAACAUAAGAAAGCAGAUGUAACUAGUGGCUAGUAAAAUGGGACAGUUGCAAAAUACAUUGUAAUCAAGGACAAGUCUAUAAAACAUAAGAUUGCAGUAUCAUUUUGUCUUAAUCCCUUUCAAAAUGUGCCACAACAAAUAUUUCUUGCUGUGUCUUUCUUUUCUUUGAACUCCUUUGCACAUAUCACUACAAUUCUUAAGGUCUUCUUCUGUUGUCCAGAAACAGAUAUUGACAUGAUACUUAAAUACUAUUCUCAGUAGACUCAACAGACUCAAGUAGAGUGCAUUACUAUAUUGGAGCUGUAUCAUAGUUAUAGUAGUUUUUCCAUAUUUGAGAGUAUAUAGAGUAAUUAUUCAAAAAUACAUACACUGUGAAAGAAUGCACAUAGUAGCUCAGGAAGUAUUCAUAUGUAAUAAAACCACAUGGAAGGAUGCAAGCAAAAAAAAUAACUAGGGACAGACCUCCUUAGGUUUCUUUAAUCUAAACAUCUUGUGACCAUACACGCAUGUUGUGCUUCCUUCCUCCAAAUCACUCUUCUGGCACCAUUUAUUUUAUGUAGUUAUUCAGAAAGCAUCUUACGUGAUAAAUUUAAUGAGCCACUGUACUUACUGAAACAGGCUAAGUGAAAUGUUCUUGGGCCUACGGGAAGAGAGGUCUUAUGUAUUAAUGUCUUAUUAAUGUUUACUUACUUAUGCAUUCAGAGAGGCUUCCAUAAAUUGAUCAUUAUAGUAUUGACUUCUAAUCAACAAUUACACACAAUAAGUAUACUUAGUGAGAUACUUUGAUUAUAUAUACAAAUCACCAUUCUUAAUUACACUACUUUUAUUGCAAAUGUAAUUUUCAGAGGCAGACAUAGACAGUAACAGAGGUAGACAGUAAAACGGGUGAUCAAAGAGACAGAUUUGUGAUGGAGAAACAGACAUGGGGGUGGAUGAAUCUAUUUUGUGCAUGCUAGGAUGUCUACAUAUUUUUGGGGUGUGUUUUAUGAAACUAUUUUAAAAUGUUUACUUUUAGUUUUUUCAUGGAUACAUAUUUUUAAUAGAAAUUGAUUUAUAUUCACUGAAAAAUAGUAAUAUAUUGAACAGGUUCUAGCAAAUCUAUAGUGUAAAGUUUUUGACUGAAGAUAUAAAUUAAUGUGUCAUGUACAUUAUUUUCCUUUGUAUUGUAAAUUUUUUUCAUUGUAUUUUUUCCUAUACAUUUAAAUGUAUUUACUGUACAAUUUCAAAACUCAAAAAGAUAUGAAUGUUAAAAGAAAAAAUAGAAAUAUAUUCUAUAAAUUCUUAAUUAUAAUAAAGUUUCCCAUUAAUCAGGUUUUGGUUUGCGAUACCCUUAUUUUUCUUUGCACAAACUCUUGGAAUCACAAUUCUUCAUGGAGCUGCAGGUGUGCAAAAACCUAGUAUUGAAGGACUAAAGAUGUUUUGGAAAUGUAUUUAUUUGUAAGAAAGAAAAGACAUUACAAAGAAAGAAAUUAAAUCUUUGGGCUUCAGUCCACUUGGAUAAUGACUUCCUGUACUUAAUGAAAAUGUCUGCUUUUUAUUUCUCCGCAGUGUGCUUUCCCGGCAGAGAACAAAAGGCAGGAAUAAGAAGUCACUUCUUUUAGGAAAAAAUUAGGAAAUAAAAACAUAAAAAUAUGAUUGGUUCCUUGAUAUUUUCUAUGUGUUUUGACAGUUUUGAAAACAAAUGUUAAGUGUAAAUUAAACAGAAUACCUUGCUCUCCUUUCCGUUUUCAUUUGUUUUAAAUAUAUUAUACCUACUUCUCUUUUAAAAAAUGGCAUAUUAAUGUAACAAUCAUGUCAGCAUCUCCAUAAUAGGUUAUUGUGGGACAAAUUGUUACUUAUCUUUACUUUUUUAACACCAAGUUUUUUUUUUAUUGUUUCCAUAAUCUCGUAGUGUGCUUAGUGAUGCAUUUUUUAGGGAAAGAUGGCAUUUAUGUCCCAUAGGUGUACUCACGAAUUGUAUUAUUUAUGAAUGUAGAUAUCUUUGUUUUCACUUCAAGGAUCCUCUCAGGAGAAAUGGUGUUUUAUUUUUAUUUUUGUAUAUUCUUCAACAUUUUGUUUUAUACUGAAGGCAAGCUUAUAUACACAGCUUCCUUGGUAGACUUGUGCAGAAAAAAGAAUAUAGUAAAGAUAUUUCAAAGUAUCACCUGUCCCAGAUUAUUAAUUUUCCAGUGAACAUAAAGAAUACUGUGUGAGAAACUCAUUAUACCAAGCAUCAAGGAGAAUUAGAUUAUCAAAUUAUGUUGAUAAACAUAUUACAAUGAAUGAAUCAUGUUAAUAAUUUAUUAUGGGGAUAUCACAUUUAUUUGGCAUCAUACAGGAUAAAUAAUAGCAUUAUUUUAGACAAGGAUAAAGGAUGGAAUCAUGGGCUUUAAAAAUCAUAGUUACCAAAUGAGUUCAGCAAUCUCAAUUUCUUAAAUAUUCUGGACACCCAAUUGCUUGGACACUGUCUUAUAAAAUAAAGAUUUUUACUUCUUAAAAUAUAGAAAUAAUCUUCUACAUUUAUUUUUUAGAACUUGUUUUGUGCAUAUUUGGAUUGGGAUAGUAUCCCACAGUGUUGUAUUGUUUGACUCUCUAGAGAUUGCCUACUUUCUUCAGCAUUCAAUACUGAAACAACAUAGUUUUCUGUGCCUGUUCUUGUUGGUUAAAAUAGCUAUCAGAGUUUAAGCCCUUAGUGACCGCGGAUGUACCAAGUACAUCCACCAAAAAAUGGUCGUUAAUGACCUCAGACAUACCUGGUACUUCCACUGCAAAUUUGAGCGCUGGAAGCUUGAACGAUAUUGCAGCGAUGCCUGUUGAGGCAUCCUGCAAUACCUCCCCUGAUUGCCGGGCUGCCAGGUGAUCGCUUCCCUGGCACCCGUCAGUGGCGCCCAUCUGUGUAGCAGAGCAUCGGAAGCCAAAAAAAAAAAAAAGUUAAAAAAAUAGGUAAUAACCCCUACCCCAGGACUUCGGACAUACCUAGUAGGUCCAAGGUAUUCCUAAUUACUUACAUGAUCACCACCAUUCCCCCGCCGGCGAUAGGUCUUCCUCUCCAUCUGGGGGGACUGUCUGACAGAGCAGUCCCAUGGCCACAAUAGGUGUCCAUAGUGUUGCCUGCAAAGGGACUGCCUGAACUGACAGGCAGUCGCCCUGCUGGUGAAAAAAAGUUUUUAAGAAAGUAAAAAAAUAAAAUAAAAAUAAAGUUAUUAUAUAUGUAAUACUAAUAUAUAUAUAUAUAUAUAUAUAUAUGUAUAUGUGUGUGUGUGUGUGUGUGUGUGUGUGUGUGUGUGUGUGUGUGUGUGUAUAUAUAUAUAUAUAUAUAGAAACUGGCUUGCACUCACGGUUUUUUGAAGUUAAAACGAUAUCAUUUAUUGCAAAUUCAUAAAAACUCCGGUCAAUGUUUCAGCCCCCUUCUCUGGCUUUCCUCAGGAUCAUACAGGUAUUGCAAGCCAGUUUCUAUAUAUCUUAUAUUUUUUGGCACUGGGCUAUUGCACCCGGUAAUAUUAAUUUUGGCGUGUGAGUGCAAGGACUAAUAAGUUUCGAAAGUCAUAAUAUUAAAGUAUCACAAGAAAUCACCAUAUUAAUCUCCCUCUGUGCCAAUUAUUUAUUGUGCUAGAUGUCAAAAACUCACUGCCUUUACAAGAUGAUAACGUUGAGAGGCAUUCAGAAAUGCAGGUAUUGAAUACUUAAAAUCAUAUCAGAACUGUUGUUACCACAGAGCAAAUGGGGCAAUUUCCCUGGAAUGCAGAACAUAGGGUUCAUGGUAGUUGCCACUUGAGCCAUUUAUUCCAGGGCGGUGAGACAUAUGGCAUAGGCAAUAUAUGGCCCUUAGAUCACAUGAAUAUGGCCAUCAGCUUAAACAAUGGUGGGUUAGCCAGCCAGGGGAUGGGGGAGGUUAAAAAAAAAGUCCACAACUGACCAGUAUAUUGGCAACUCUUUAUUUAUAAUAUUUUUAAGUACAAUUUAGAGUUGAGAACUUGUCCAUCCUUAUUGAAAGCACACAUACUGAUGAAUACACAGAAUGAAUCUGCUGUGAAUGCAGAUGACUACAUCAAUCUGUUGCAUUAUUUUUAGUUGAACACUAUAGUGUUAGGAACACAAAUGGGUAUUCAUAAUGCUAAAGUGCCCAAGUCACUGUUUGAAUGACUGAGCUACACUACCAGGGUUGAAAAGGUGAAUUUAUUUACCUUUGCUUGCUUGUAGCACUAUCUCUGGUGUUCCGCUAUGUCUCGUUCGCUGGAAUCAUCUAGAUUGAUGAUCUUAACCAAUCCAAAGCUUUCUAAUAAGACGACUGGUGCCCAUGUGUGGCAAAACAGCAUUCUGCACCAAUCAGAUGGUCUCUCUAUCACAAGAAAUUACAGCUAUGCUUGUUUAAGCAAAUUUAAUAUACUGUUGGUGUGCUUAGAUUGUUAUAACUUAAAAUACUAAGCACACUUAAUAAAUUAUGAUGUGUUCUAAAUAGACAUCAGCGUGGUGCAAGUACACAGAGUUAGCGCUAUAAUGAGUGAGAUAAGCUUAAUGGAGCUUUGGCCAAAUUUUAAAAAAAGGUCUAAUUUCUUUACCAACUUUGCAUCAUUCUCAGGUCCAGUAUGACAGUUUCAUUUUUGGACACUUUUUUUUUUAUCUUUGUUUUUUUCUUCUAUUUAGAGAGUCCCAGAAAUCUAAUAAGUGUGCCAUUUCAAAACGUCAGCCCAGGUGAGACUGUUUUAAUUCUUUCUAGAGAGUUUUCUAUUACUCUUGUAUUCUUACUUUACCAAUUACCUACCUUCACCUCAUGCCUACUCCUUUUACAGAGUAGACUGAUGUACUGGACUAUUGUCUGGCAAAAUGAUUACUGAAUUAAAAACUCUUAGAAAGACCAUUAAUGUAGACUGUGAAAAGUAUUAACCAUUAUUUUCUCAUUUAGAAUUUUUAUUUUGUAUAGAGCUUUUAAUCAAGGACUGCCUUGCCGAUAAUUGAGUUCAAGUAAAUGUUUCACAUUACAAACAUGCACACAGAAUCCCAGAAACAGGUUCCUGAACUGUUUCUUUAGAAAAUCUCUUUAUAUAUACUAUAUAUACUAUUUUAUACAGAUAAGAACAACACAAGUUGUUAAAAGCAUUCAAAAUCUGCAUACUUUUUGUGUAAAUAUAAAAAAAAAAAUUCUUUUGAGGCAUAAUCUUUCACUGUAAGUAAAGAUUUGUGAAGUAAAUAGGUUUAUUAUGAACUAUCAGCCACAUGUGAUUCCUGGCUCUCAGCUCAAGUGACUACAGCCUUGCCUCAAGGUCUUCCCUUGUCAUGUACACACAUUCCAUUAUCCAACACAUUUCACAUACAGUUACCCAUUUUACAGCGAGUCAACACUAAUAUAUUAACCCCAGCAUAGCACUUCAGUGACUCUUCAACUUGUUAACCCUAAAUAUAUAGACACAGAAACGUUAAAUAACCACAGCUUCCCAAUCCUUCCAAAUUUUACUUAGCUUUUCCUAUGUGGUUCUCCAAACCUAUUUGUUUGUUGUUUUAACUAAAAUUACUUUGUGCUUGUAAGAUUUACGAAUCGCAAAAACUAUUUUUUUGCUAUAAGUGUACAUCUGUCAUUUAUUAAGUAAAAAUUAAUUCUGCAGCGCUCUGUAAGCUAAAGAAUGGUGAAAACAGCUGUACAGAGUCAAUAUAGAAAAGCCAAUAAAAAAAGCCACUGAAGGGGUUAAAAAGCCCACUGUCAAGUUACCUGUUUGAUAAUGUGGACCAUAAUUUGUUUAGUGCUUUUAUUUAAGUCUUCUCGCUCAGACAAUAUGACCAAUAUUAAGUUAUGCUAAAAUAAUAAUAAUAAAAAAUAAAAUGUGGAAAAUACCCAGGUGUUCUUCUGUGCACUUUGUCAAAAUAACUGCUGACAAUAUUCAGCUGGAGGUAAUGACAUUUGUUUCUGAGAAUGUAGUUCGAAUAUUCAAUCUCUAUUAUCUAUUUCUCAUGACAACUUAAAAUGCAUGCUGUAAAAUGUGCACUUGAAUGUCUAUUUUUGACUUGUAAAAAUGCAUAUGUAUCUAAAUUGAGUAAUAUACAUAACAAACCUGAUUUAACUAACAUUUUACCUUUUAACCUUAAUAGUAAUAUUAGCAUUUCCAUUUGGCUUGCUAGGGCUUCUAUUUAUGUAAUCACAAUUUAAAAAAAAAACAUUAUUGUGAAAACAUGUUAUUAAAGCACUAAAACAAAAUGUUCUGGUCUGCCUUUCUCUGUAAAUGUAAAAUUACAGUUGGAUGUUGGAUGCAGGUCUGAGCCAGGCUUGAGCCAACAGCCCAGUUUAAUAUAUCUCAUGUUAUUCAUUUAUAUGACAAGCAAUAAUGAAUGGGACUUAUUUUCCCAAUGUUGUAUGCCAGUUAUAAUAUGCUGUCUAGAAUGCAAAACUGCUGUUAUGAUUUACUACAUGGAAAAGACAUGCUAAAUAUAAUUUUGUGAAUGAGCAUAGACUUAAUUUCUGACGUGACUUCUAUCAGGGUUAUUCAGAUUGCAAAUGUUCAUACUAUUCAACAACGUCUUUAUUUUGUAAUUCAGGAAACCAAAUGGGCCUGACUUUGGUCGAAUUUUCAGCUGGACUAAAUGCCGGUGGAUUGCUAAAAUCCAAACUGAAUGCUGGAAAUCCAAGCCCAAAAACUUCAAAUCCGGGUCCAAAUAAAAAUAAAAAAAAUCCAAACCAGCAGGAAAAUAGUUAAGAACCUUUUCUUGCACAAGGGUUAAGUACGUGGUGGCUGGCCAGAACUUUUUAGCCAGCCACCACAUUACAAAUAUAAAAAUAAUAAUACACAAAAAAAUAGAACAAAAAAGCGCAAUAUAAAAUAAAAUCGUCUGUAUGACACCAAAUAUUACAAGUCCUAAGAUUAAAUUUUUGUAGCUGCCAGAUAUAAAAGGUUAUUCCGCAAACCUAUGUGAUAAAAUUGGAUAAAAAUAAUAAUAAUAAUAAUUUGGUAAUAAAUCUAUGAAGGUCAAUAAGAUGUUACCUCUGUGUUACUAUAAUGGAGGGCAGCCAUUUCUAUCUAGUUUCUAUGGGGACUGGGAAAUAACAGGGGCAGUGCAUAUGUUAAGCAUUUUUAACAUAUUAUUUAUUUGAUUUUGAUUUAAUGGUUGUCCCCUAACCUGUGACCGUGAGGUGGGGGACUUCUAAAAGUGUAAUGGGGUGUGGAGAGAUCACUGUCCACCCUCUGUCCGCACCGGUGGCCAGUGGGUGGGGAUCGUUUAUAUUCAUUUAUAUUCAUUGUCCUUAGGUGAGGAGACCUUACCACAUGGGUCCUUACUAGUGACUGGAAGGCAAAGACUUCCCAGUCUCCAGUUUCAAAUAUUUAGUAGACAUGCCCCCACCUGCCACAAAAAAUAUUAUUUACCCCUUGAAUUUUUAAAUAUGUAUUUACAUUUUUACACCUUUUUGCUUAAGCUAAUUCUGGUCGUAUGAAAAAUUCCAACCAGAUUCCAUCCAAAUAAAAUGGUAAUUAACCAUUCAAAUAUGGUCCACAUUCAGCCAAUAUUUGGAUUGUGAGCAGCUGGUUGCAUAUUUUAAGCAUUUUUAUUAUUCUUUUUUUAUUAUUCAUUUGAUCUCUUUCUAUAUUUUAUUAAAUGCCUGUCCAUAUGCCAUGGUCAGAACCCCAAAUCAUAAAACAAAUGAGCAGGCUUAUCCAUUUUCAUUGUUUCUGUCAUGGGUGGCAGUAUGGAAACCUGGGACCCCUGAGUGCCUGAUGAGAAGUUGAGUCUUCAGCGUGGAAGUGGAUUUAUCAGGGCCUGGUGCAGGGCAACCACAUGCCCCCUGGUGUUGAGCACCAGCGUUUGUGCGGCCACAUACCAGGUCCCUGAUACAGCUUAGCGGAACAAGGAGCUUGGAAAUAGAUUAUAUGCAGACCUCCCAGGAACUAGAUAUGGAGACUCUGCAGCAGACAUGUAUCCAGUACAGAAACUGGGCAAGGCUAGGAUAGUCACCAAACAUGAAAACAAGACAGAACUAAUAGAACCCAGAACCAGAGAAGGAUAGGAAGCUAAACCCAGAAUAUGUACACAAUACAUGGGCAGGACUGGACAGGACUGUACAUGGAAUGGGAAUACAAACUAAAACAAGACAAGAUAUGAAUGGCAAAACAGGAGGAGAAUUAACUAAGUACUAUAUAUGAAAAUCAUGGGGAUUUAGUCACAUUAUAUGAUCAUACAUUGCAUAAGCCUGCCAACAACGCCAAUGUACCCCAUAUCUGGCAGGUCCAACUCUGCCUAAUGCAAGCUAAACCAACCAAAGAAAACACAUAUAGUACUUACCUGCAAGAAAGGGCAGAAGACUUGAGCAGCUGCCUUCAGGAACACAAACAAAAGGAAUGAUGGAAAACAAACGGGUGUGGCAACAUAAAACAAACAUUUAAAUGAAUCCAAGAGACUGGGAAUUCCAGGGACGGAUUACAGGAAUGAACCCAGAAAAACCCAGCAUAAAGAAAACCAGACAUAGAAUAGAAAACCAAAAAAAUAAGAAAAACUAAACAAGAACUGUAAAAAGAGUACUGGAUACCAGAAGCCAUCAUCAGACUGAUCCACAGAACAUGGCAUGAUGUGACAUUUUCAUGUUUUCAUCAUAUGGUGAGUCAGAAUUACAGAAUUAGAACAACCUGCAGAUUGGCCAAAAUUCAGACUAAUUGAUUUCAAACCAAAAUGAGCCGGUCUAUUUAUCAGGGAUAAGGUAAUUGUCUAACAAGGACUUUAUUGUUAUUGAUGCAUGAAAUAUCCCUAGCCUACAGCAGUUCUUGAAAAGUCUGUGGCGCAAACCAUCUUAAAUAGUGUAUUUUAAUAUGUUACAUAGUUACAUAGCUGAAAAGAGGCUUGCGUCCAUCAAGUUCAGCCUUCCUUACAUUUGUUUUUUGCUGUUGAUCCAAAAGAAGGCAAAAAACCCAGUUUGAAGCACAAUUUUGCAACAAGCUAGGAAAAAAAUUCCUUCUUGACCCCAGAAUAGCAGUCAGAUUUAUCCUUGGAUCAAGCAGUUAUUACCCUACAUUGAAAGAUUAUAUCCUUGAAUUUUCUGUUUUUGCAAGUAUGCAUCUAGUAGCUGUUUGAACAUCUGUAUGGACUAUGAUAAAACCACUUCUUCAGGCAGAGAAUUCCACAUCCUGAUUGUUCUUACAGUAAAAAACCUUUCCUUUGCCUUAGACGAAAUCUUCUUUCUUCCAGUAUAAACGCAUGACCUCGUGUCCUAUGUAAAGUCCAGUUUGUGAAUAGAUGGUUUGUAUUGGCCCCGAAUACAUUUGUAUAAUGUUAUCAUAUCCCCUCUCAGGUGAUGUUUUUCUAAACUAAAUAGGUUUAAAUUUGUUAACCUUUCUUCAUAGCUGAUAUGUUCCAUUCCUUUUAUUAAUUUUGUAGCCCGCCUCUGCACUUUUUCUCUUUAGAACAGGUGCCCAAAAUUGACAGCAUAUUCAAUAUGUGGUCUUACCAGUGAUUUAUAAAGAGGCAAAAUGAUAUUCUCGUCCCGAGAAUGAAUGCCCUUUUUCAUGCAUGACAAUACCUUACUGGCCUUAGCCACUGCUGAUUGACAUUGCACAUUGUUGCAUAGUUUGUUGUCUAUAACAAUUCCCAAGUCCUUUUGGUGUGUUGUUAUCCCUAAUUCACUUCCAUUAAUGGUAUACAUUGCUUGUGUAUUCUUUACGCCGAAGUGCAUAACUUUGCAUUUUUCAACAUUAAAUUUCAUCUGCCAUUUGAGUGCCCAGUCCCCCAGUCUAUCUAAAUCCUUCUGCAGCAAAGUAGUAUCUUGCUCGCAUUGUAUUAUUUUACAGUUUUGUGUCAUCUGCAAACACUGAAACAUGACUUUCAAUGCUGUCUUCAAGAUAAUUUAUAAACAUGUUAAAUAGGAGUCCCAGAACAGACCCCUGAGGGACACCACUUGCCACCUCUGUCCAGCUUGAAAAUUUACCAUUAAUGACAACUCCUUGUACUCUGUUUUUAAGACAAUGUUCUACCCAAGAACAAGCAUUUUCAUCUAGACUGAUUUCCUUGAGUUUGAACACUAAUCUAUUGUGUGGAACUGUAUCAAAUGCCUUGGCAAAUAGAUGACAUCCACUGCAACACCCUGAUCUUACUUACUUCUUCGUAGAACGCAAUCAAGUUAGUUUGACAUGACCUGUGCUUCAUAAAACCGUGCUGAUUUUUGCUGAUAACCAUGUUCUUCACAAGGAAUUCUUGAAUAUUAUCCCUUAAUAACCUUUCAAAUAUUUUCCCAGCCACAGAAGUUAAGCUCACAGGUCCAUAAUUUACAGGCAAGGAUUUUGAACCCUUUUUGAAUUUAGGAACCACAUCUGCCUUCCUCCAAUCCUCUGGAACUCUUCCUGAAAGAAAAGAAUCUUGAAAGAUUAAAAACAGAGGUUCAUUUAUUUCUUCACUUAGUUCCUUAAGUACUCAAGGAUGGAUACCGUCAGGCCCUGGAGCUUUGUUUAUAUUAACUUUCUUUAGUUGCUGCAGCACCUUGUCUUGAGUUAACCAAUUACAAUUAUUCUACAAGUUUUUAGUAGCAAUCAUUUGCACAUCUAUUGCCAUGGGUUCUUCCUUGAUAUAUACAGAGGAGAAAUAGUUAUUUAAAAUUCCUGCCUUUUCCUGGUCUUCAUUAACUAACACCCCAGUUUCAGUUUUUAGUGUACCUACACUUUCAUUUUUGUUUUUUUUAGAAUUUAUGUACUUAAAAAAUGCUUUGGGGUUGGUUUUGCAUACUUUAGCUAUCAUUGUUUCAUUUUGAAGUUUAGCAAAUCUAAUUGCGUUUUUGCAUGCAUUAUUUGCUUCCUUAUAUCUUUUAUAAGAUGCAUCUGAUUUGUCCGAUUUAAAUGCUUUAAAUGCCCUUUUCUUAUUUUUAAACUCUUGUUUUACUUCUCUACUAAGCCACAUUGGUUUUAAUUUGUUUCUUUUAUAUUUAUUUCCCAAUAGUACAUACUGAGAAAUGUACCUUUGUAAUAUUUGUUGGAAGAUGAUCCAUUUAUCCUCAGUGGUCUUUUCAGUAAAGAGUUUAUGCCAGUCAAUAUAUUGUAAAACUGCCCUUAACUUAUUGAAAUUGGCCUUUUAAAAAUUAUAAGUUUUAGUAUACCCCAUGUGCUCUUGUUUUUUUGAGUUUAUUUCAAAGGACACUAUAUUGUGAUCACUAUUUCCCAAGUGCUCACCAACUUGAAUGUUGGUCAAAAGAUCAACGUUGUUUGUUAAAACCAGGUCCAGACAAGCGUCCAUUCUAGUUGGUGCUUGUACAAGUUGUGACAUGAAUGUGUCAUUUAACAAGUUUAAAAACCUAAUUCCCUUUGCUGAGCUCCUAGUCUCUCUGUCCCAAUUUAUGUCCAGGUAAUUAAAAUCACCAAUAAUUAAAGUGUUACCCAGAUUUGCAGCUUUCUCAAUUUGCUCCAACAGCUGUUGUUCCUCGUCAAUAUUAACAUUAGGUGGUUUAUAACAUAUUCCAACCAAUAGUUGGUUUCCCUUCUUUUCCCCCAAGCAGAUAUUUACCCAUAAAGCUUCCACAUUUUCCUCAUCGCAUUUCACUAACUUAAGAUUUGGCUUUAAAUCAUGGUUGACAUACAAACAUACCCCACCACCCUUCUUGUUUUUCCUAUCCUUCCUAAAUAACAUGUACCCAUUUAAGUUAACUGCCCAGUCAUGUGUCUCAUCCCACCAUGUUUCAGUUAUGCCUAUUAUAUUGUAUUGCUACUGCCUCUAGUUCCCCCAUUUUGUUAUUUAGGCUUCUUUCAUUAGUAAGCAUACAUUUAAUAUCAUGAAUCACUUGUACUUUUUGUGAAUUAUCAACAUUACAUAGCUUCUCUGUUCUGAACUUGCCCCUCCCCCCCCGUCUCCACCACCCUUAUACUAUGAAUACUGUUUGUACUGUGCAGUGGAAAAUAAUCUUGAUAGCUGCAGGAUUUCCUGUGUUGUAACUGUGAUGUGCAAGUUCCUAUAAAGAGAAACACUGGAAGAAGAAUGUAGAAUAGGUGUCUGUAACAUUUACAAGGUUAUUCACUUGAGUGAAUGACACUCCGCUAAAUAAAGCAAAAUAAUCCAUCUGGAAUUCAUUAAUGACCAGAUUUUGUUAUACAGGCCCCGAAUAGUACUAAAAUUGGUCUGGCUUUAAACCAGGAAGAACGCAACAGAAAAGCUUUGACAAAUGUGUCAAAUCCAGACUCGGAGAAUUCAACUCCGUGCCCACACUUGCAGCCGUUCGGGCAAAUAGUCAAAACCCUUGGCAGCAUGAAAAUGUGUUAGCUAGCAAAUGCUUGAGAGCCACCGGCCACGGGGGUCAGUUAGACCCAGAUUACUAUAAUGGAGAGGUUGUACCAACAUAUGCCACCACCUGCAUAUAUGGAACAUUUAAUACUACCGACUGGGCAUGCAUUGCUGCCCAGUAACUUAGAAGGCCCCAUCCCAUUGGGACAGGAUCUGCAAAAUAACAAAAAACAAGAGGACAUCAGAUGUGAGCUUCUUGAGAGGGAUUACCUAGUGUCCCUUCCAAUAACAUUGUGUGGGAGCCCUGACAAUUAUAAAAUUGAGACCCUGGUGUCCCUCCCCUGGGCCCCACCCAUGCCAGUUUGUGGGGGUCCUCAUACUUACUAAAUAGGGUGACACUCUGGCACUCACCCAUGCUAUCACUGUUGGCUCUUAUAUUUAAAAAUGGGGAGGACCUUGUGUCCCCUCCCAUAACCCCCACCCAUGUCGGCGGAUGGGCCCCAUUAUUUAUAAAAUGGGUUGGAUCUAAUGUCCCCUCCCCAGCCCCCACCACAACUUUUGAAACACAAAGAAAAUUCCCAAGAAUACCAAUUUGCAUCAUCAUACAUGUAAAGAACAAAAACAAAACACAAAACAAUAGCACUCUCUGCUCUACAAUAUUCAAUAAAUAAAAAUACUAAAGUGUAAUAUGUACCAGUGGCGGAACUACUGUCUGUGCAGCGGGUGCGGCUGUACGAGGGUCCUCAUGCUUUGGGGGCCCAUGGACGUAGGGCCACCCGAUGGGUAUUGGUAGCAGUAUCGGACGCUAGGAGGAAGUGAGAACAGGUAACAUCCUCCCAGCUUAAAUAUAGAGCCACACGGGAGGGAAGAGGAGGUGAGCAAAAUACCGCCCGAUGGUGGCUAAUGAUUAAUAGCCUAGAAUAAUAAUAAUAACAUCCAUCCAUCUGGGAUUUCUGCCAGGGCUGAGUGGCGAUGUGUCCACGGUUUAGGCCGGGGUAUUAACCUCCCUAUUGCCGGGCUAUUGUGCUGGUAGACCGGGUGGAUCAGGAGCGAGGAGUGCAGGGUUCAAGGACAUUCAAGUAAAUUGCUGUAAAUAAGUAUUUCAAAGUUGUUCUAUUACCAACUUUUGGGUUUAUUAUGUGUAUCUGUGAUCUGUGUGUGCAUAUGUAUCAGUGUGUCAAGGUGUGUGUAUGUGUCAGUGUGUGUAUCUUAGUAUGUGUAUUUUAGUAUGUAUAUAUGCCAGUGUGUGUAUCUUAGUAUGUGUAUCUGUUUGUCACUGUGUGUAUCUGUGUGUAAAUGUGUGUGUGUGUGUGUUUGUGCCAGUGUAUGUAUCUCUGUGUCAAUGUGUGAAUGUGUUUGUAUGUAUUAGUGUAUUUGUGUGUUUGUAGCUGUAUGUCAGUAUUUGUGUCUGAGUGUGUAUAUGUGUGUGUCAGUAUGUGCCAGUGUGUGUAUGUGUCAGUGUGGGUAUGUAUGUAUCUAUCUAUCUAUCUAUCAGAGUGCGUAUCUGUGUGUCAAGAUGUGUAUGUGCAAAGGUGUUUGUAUGUCAAGCUGUGUGCAUCUGUGUAUCUAUGUGUGUAUAUUUGUAUGUAUAUCUAUGUAAGUAUGUAUGUAUGUAUGUAUGUGGCAGUGUAUUUACAUACAUCCCUGCAAUCAAACAAGAACACAACAGGAAAAGACACUCCUGCAAUCAAACACCAAUACUACACACAAAUGUACAUCUACAUUUAAAAGACAACACUACAUCCAAACAUGCCCAAGUAUUCAAAUGCAAACAAUACACAUAAGUACACCACUGCAUUCCAAUGGCAACAAUACAUACAAAUACAUCCCUACAUGCAGGCACUCUAUAGAAGAUCCAUGCCUAAAUAAAUUAAAAUGCACAAACACUGCUCACAAAUACAACCCUGCAAGGAAGGGCAAAUGGUAGAUGCCCAGUUAUCACAGCAUGAUGGGAGGUGUACAAUAGAUGGGGAUAUAGCCUUUUGCAACUAUAUUAGUUACAUCACUGAUAUGUGUAUAUGUCUUAAUGUCAAAAUACACACACACACACAUAUAUAUAUAUAUAUAUAUAUAUAUAUAUAUACACACACACACACACUAAUGUUAAGCAAAGCAUUCCACAGUGUCCCAAUCUAUUCAGAACAUAUCUUGUGCUAUACUGUUAGUCAUAUCUAGCAAAAACCUACUUAUUUCAUGUUGCCUGACUCAAUAAAUUUAGUAUGAUUCUUUGAAACUAAAAUUAGCUAGAUAGUGAAUUAAAUAGUACAAAGUUAUAAAGUUUUUGCAAUAUUAAAUUAAAUUAAACAAAAAAGAAAAACAUUUUAUAGAAGACUGCUGGUAUUCAAAAUUGUUUUCUAAAAUGUUUAUCAAAUUUAAAUGGUUUUGAUCUUGGUUGUGUAUUGAAAGGAACUGUUUUGAUACAUAUUCCAUAUCUAGUUAUUAUGAACUUACAGAAUCAUAUAUUUUGAUCAAUAAAAUCUAUCAGUUCGUGUGUGGAAUAACAGAGAGGGUGCAUGUGCUGGUUGAUCCCUAUACUUGUCUAAAAGUAAAAAAAAAGGAUUUCUAAUCCCUAAAUAUUUGAGAGCCGGCUCAUGAUCCCUCGAUGUCAGAAGCCCAACAUAUAAAGUUGCCAAAAGUUAAUCAGAAUAAUAGUACCCUAAUACCCAAAUGCCAUAUCAUGUAGGAGAAACAAAGUAUUAGAUAAGUAAAUAACUUACAAUGAGAACAAAAAUCCCAGUGUCACGCAAAAUUGUGGUACACUGGGAGAAAGUACAAAGCCUUAAACUGUAUUCUUAGUGAUACAAAAAGUAAUGGUCUACUUAAAAAGAAAAUAUAAACAGGGUUAUAAGAGGUGGGUGGUGUCCACCUUAGGAAAGAGGGUAUUUACAAAGAGCGGUAGAAGGUCUGCAUCCUUAAACUAGACUCAUCCGAACCUCCCCUGUUCAUUGUGUCCCAAAAUGCCAGAGAGGGAACCAAGAGGUUGCAAAAGAUAAAGGUAGAACAAAUUAAUAAAAAUCUUUCACUGUCCCAAUAUACCUCGGCACUACACAGAGCUAAUGCCAGUAACCCUGAACAGUCAAAACAAAAAUUCAAAUGUUCAUAGUGCUACCCAAGUGCAAAUUGAAAAUAAAAGAGCUCAACACACGUUUCAGCAUGCUAAGACACCGUCAUCAGGAGCAGAGUGGUCAUAGGUAUCCUCUGAGUUGGUUUAAAUACCCAGCCCUCAAUUAGCCAUGUAUGAAUAAUCCGAUAAUCAGACAGCCCACAAGCCAUUCUGAUGGCAGAGGUGUGGCCAGGGAGUGUGGCAUCAUAUCCAAAAAUGUUGAUCAAAUAUAAUUUUUUAAUUAUAAAAGUAGUUUUUCAUAAGAGGAUGCAAAGGAAAGGAGAUUGUUUGUUGUAGUUGAUUGGUAGCUCAUAUACUUGUAUAUCAAACAUCUAUUAACAUACAUAAAAGAGAAAUUGUGAAGAAAAACUCUGCGUGUCUCUCUUCUCAAGAAUGUUUGAGUUAAAGAAAUAACAAAAAAAAAAAUACAAGAUGAAUCAGGGAGUUAUGUAGUUACUUAGCUGAAAAGAGCCAUGCAUCCAUCAAGUCAGUCUAUCUUACAUUUGUUUUUGCUGUUGCUGUUGAUCUAGAAAAGGCCAAAAAAAGCAAUUUGAAGCACUACCUUUUUUCAACAAACUAGGAAAAAAAAUACGAGACAGGGGGAUAUGAUAGAAACAUUUAAAUACAUAAAGGGAAUUAACACAGUAAAGGAGGAGAGUAUAUUUAAAAUAAGAAAAACUACCACAACAAGAGGACAUCGUCUUAAAUUAGAGGGGCAAAGGUUUAACAAUAAUAUCAGGAAGUAUUACUUUACUGAGAGGGUAGUGGGUGCAUGGAAUAGUUGAAGUGGUAGAGGUUAACAUAGUGAAGGAGUUUAAGCAUUCGUGGUAUAGGCAUAAGGCUAUCCUAGACUUAAGAUAAGGCCAAGGACUCAUGAAAGUAUUUAGAAAAUUGGGCAGACGAGAUGGGCCAAAUGGUUCUUAUCUGCCAUCAUAUUCUAUGUUUCUAUAAGAAGUUAUUACCCCACAAAUGAAAAGUUAUAUCCCUGUAUAUUCUGUUUUAGCAAGUAUUCACCCGAUUUCAUAUGUACAGACUCUGAUAAAACCAUCUCUUCAGGUAGAGAGUUUAAGUUACUAUAUUUACUGUAAAAAGCAUUGUAUUUAAUGAUAUCAUAUCCCCUCAAAGGUGGUGUUUUAUCAAAUCUUCCAAAGAGAUUUAAAAUUGUUAACCUUUUUAUAAAACUAAAAUAUUCCAUUUCUUUUGUUAAUUUUUUUAUUACGCCUCUGCAGUAUAUCUUGUGCCAUAUCAAAUGCCUUGGAAAAUUGCAAGUAGAUUACAUCCACUGAUCUAUUUACCCUGAUCUAUACUUCUACUUAAAAUUCAAUUUAGUUAGUUUGACAUAACCUAUGUUUUAUAAAACCAUGCUGAUUAUUGCUAAUAAUAAUGUUAUUCUCACUGAAUUCCUGAAUAUUAUCCCUUAAUAACCCUUCAAAUACUUUCCCAGCCACAUAAGUUAAGCUCUAGGGUCUAUAAUUUCCAGGCAAAUAUUUUAAACCUUUUUGAAUAUAGGAAACACAUGUGCCUUCUUUCAAUCCUCCGGUACAAUUCCUGAAAGAAAAUCAUUUUGAAAGAUUUAAACAGGGGUCUACUUAUUUCCACAUAGCUCCUUAAGUACUCAUGGGUGAAUACUGUCAGGCUACAGAGUUUUGUUUACAUUAACCCCUUAGUGACCAGACCAUUUUUCAAUUUUCCAACCGUUAAGGACCCAGGGUUGUUUUCACAUUUCUGCGGUGUUUGUGUUUAGCUGUAAUUGUCCUCUUACUCAUUUAGUGUACCCACACAUAUUAUCUGCAGUUUUUAUUGCCAUUAAAUGGUAUUUCUAAAGAUACAAUUACUUUCAUCAAAUCAUAUAAUUUUCUAUAAAUUCUUUUUAUAAAAUAUGAUGAAAAAUAAAAAAACACUUUUUCUAAUUUUGAUCUCCAAAAUCUGUAACGCAUCUACAAGCACCAAAAAACACCUGUGCUUAAUAGUUUCAAAAUUUUGUCCUGAGUUUAGAAAUACCCAAUGUUAACAUGUUCUUAGCUUUUUUUUGCAAGUUGUAGGGCUAUACAAGUAGAACAUUGCUGUUUCAAAAUAUAUAUAUUUAAAAGGUAUCAAUAGUGACAUUGUAACAUUAUCUGUCAUAAAUCUCUGAAUCACACCUCACAUGUACAUAUUUUUUAAAGUAGAAAACCAGGGUAUUCAAUAUGGGGUAUGUCCACUCUUUUUAGUAGUCACUUAGUCACAAACACUGGCCAAAGUUAGCAUUUAUAUUUGUUUGUGUGUUAAAAUGCAAAAAACAAUUAUGAACGCUAACUUUGGCCAGUGUUUGUGACUAAGUGGCUACUAAAAAAGUCUGAACAUACCCUAUUUGUAAUACCUUGGUUUGUCUUCUUUUGCAAAUGGUAUGCCAUCAUGGGGGUAAUUCUCAUUCCUGGGCUACCAUAUGCUCUCAAAGGCAACAUAACCAAACUGACAAUAUCAUCACUGUGAUAUGUUUUACUGUUUUGAAACACUAAUAUUUCUGUUCAGCGAAGUCUCGCGAGUAAAACUGUACCCCCCAUGUACAGGUUUUAGGGUGUCAUGGAAAGGUACAAGGUUAAAUAUAGCGCUAACAAAUUAAAUUCUUUGGACUUUCGGUCUGGGUUGUCAGGCAGAUCCUUCAAAUUGCAAUCAAUAAAAUUACUUAAUUAUGUAAAAAUAUUACAUAAAUGUACACGUAGAAUUUAAAUAUAUAUACAUAUUUAUUUAUUUGAAAUCUAUGUGUAUAUUUAUGAAAUUAUUUAUGUAAUUAUGUAUAUUGAUAUAUAUAUAUAUAUAUUAGAUAUAUAUAUUUUGUAUUUUUAUAUAUAUAUAUAUAUAUAUAUAAAAUUUCAUUCUAAGUGCAUAUUAAUAUCAAAAUAUAGUUAGAAUAAAUCUACAUAUAUAUAUUUUUUUAUCGUACGUAACUAGUACAUCCGCGGUCUUUAAGGACCGUUUUUUGUCGGACGUACCUAGUAUCUCUUGCCAUAGGAUACUCCUUAAUAUAUACUGAGGAAAAAUUAUUUAAAGUCCCUCCCCUUUUCUGAUAUACAUUAACACACCCUUCUCUGUUUUCAGUGUACCUUUUUUUUUUUUAAUUGAUAUACUUAAAAAAAAUGUUUUGGCUUUGGUUUUCCUCUCUUUGGCUAUAACUUUCUCAUUUUCUGGUUUAGCCAAUCGAAUUGCCUUUUUGUAUGCAUUAUUGGCUUCUUUAUCUUAUAUAGGAUGCCUAUGAGUCGUCUGAUUUAAAUGCUGUAUAUACCCUUUUCUUAUUUUUGAUCUCUUGGUUUACUUUCCCACUAAGCCACAUUGGUUUCAAUUUUUUUUUUAUAUAUUUAAAAAAAAAUUAAAAAAAUCUAAGGAAUAAAACCCAGAGGGAGUCCAGAAAGACUUUUCAACAAUUUAAGAUUAUGGUCAGAUGAUACGAUUAUGGUCAGUUGAGGUUCAUCAAUGAUUAGGGCACAGCAUUUAGUUUUAUUGAUUGUCAUUUUGUUAAUUUUUCUGGUUUGUUUAAUAUUGAAAGUUCAGAAAAUCUAAGGCACAUAUCUGAUUGAGGAACAGCUUUUUAUUCCAUUACAUUUUACAAUGUAUGCUGUAUAUUCUGUAAGAAUGUAUGCUCCUGGCACAAUUUGAUCUGAGCUCUGUAAAUGGAAAAUAUUAAGAAACAUGCAAUAUUUUUCUUUACAAUAAUAAAGCAAAUAUAUUUAGGUAUUUGGGCACUUACAAUAAUAAAGCAAAUAUAUUUAGGUAUUUGGGCACUUAGUAGAUGACAUAUUCACAGUAGGAAAAACUGUAAACAGGCUUUCCUAGCCAGAUUAAAUAAAAGUGAUGAGUAGUUUGUGUCACUUUUUCCAAUUUUAUUUAAGUUAUGAACUUUGCUAUUUCAGCUUUCUAAUUUAUACCUUUGUAGAUAAACACCAUAACAAACAGAAUUGUAGCAUGCUGUAUAUUGAAUAUUUAACGACCCAUCUAUUAUAGUUAUUUUGAAGUUAUUAUACUUCAUAAUUCUAAGUAUUUAACGUUGAAAAAUCUCUUAAAUAACUUGGUUGAAAUACAGCCUUUCCUCCUAGCAUGUUAGCAAGAAACCUUAGAAAGAUGAGGCUUGUCAUUAACAUUAUCUACAUCUUUGGGAUGAAGGUAAGAUUAUUAGUAAAAAAAAAAAUGACAAAUCAUGUUUCCUCUAUUCUAGAGAGAUUUAUUAGAAGAAUAGGGUGUCUCUGAACAUCUUCACAUGGGCCAAAAGCAAACCAUGUUUGGAUGUCGCCCUAAUGCUGACACUGCCUUAUAAUCCUGUGUCCUUUUUUCUCACUCUUUGCAGUAAUUCUAAUUUUGGUUAUGAUAUCUAUGAUUUUCAUGAUAAUGUGUGCAGUGCAGUUAUACUCCUGAGAGCUUAGUUUCAGUAGUCACUUUAUUGUAGACAUAUUAAUGUUCUGUGUGUACCCCUCAAUUGUUAUACAAAGCCUACUCUCGUACUUCCAGCAUGUCCCGUAGUUCUCUUCUGUUUGAAUGUCUUAUCAUUAUUUGGUAUCUAGACAUGUUUACUAUGACCUCUACAUUAUAAAAAUGUGGUGUUCCAUCAAAACAAUGGAUAACUCUUUUUUGCUAACUGUUUGACUUCAUGCAAUAUGUAUUAUUGUGUUACCUGAUAUUUUUCCUUUUGAUUUUGCUGACAUGGUGUUGCAGGAUGUUUUGUACUCUUAAGCACAACAAAAAUAAAGUUUUACAAGAAAAAAAAAAACCUCAUAAUAUAUGUGGAAAUUGAUGACUUUUUCUGGAUUUUUACAUCCAGGUAGAAAAAUCUUCUCUGUCAGCUUAAAAACUAUUGUUAUUGUAAAGGAAUACUAAAAUUCCCAAAUGAUCUUUACUAUUACAUCAAUCGUUAGGGUCAUUGUUACAGGUAGCAUUAGAAGAGAGGGUAAAUAGUGCAAUACCAGCGUAUACAUGCCAUAUUCUACUAACAAUCUGUGGGAGGUAUUUUCCUCUGCAGCUGCCAUUUUCACCUGCUGCCAGUAAUACAGUUUGAGAAUAGAAUUAGUGAAAAACAUUGAUGCAUGUACAGCAUAGGUGAAAUACAUAGGAAGCAUGUAUGGCUAAUUCAAUAUAAUAUAUAAAAAGAAGAAUGGGUUCCGUUUGCAGGGACAGUCACUUCUUUGGGAUAAAAAGGAUUCUCUUCAUAUGUCCCACACAUUUGUUCCCCAGGGCCUUAUAUACUCUAGCGAUUUGACAAGAUCAAACAUGUUGAUGGGCUAUGGGGUAUCCAGUUCAAAAUCUAAAAGCAUUGAAUUUGCUUUUACUGUUUUAUGACAGCUGAGACUAGUAUAUGCUCUGAGACAUGUCCACCCAGCUUGCAGUUUGUUUCAUUUUCCAAUUGAAUGUUGGAGAACCCAAACAAAAUUUCAUUAUCAGAAAAGAUUAUUUGGAAGGAACCUACAAGCAAUUUAUACAUUAACUAAGAUUGAGUUAGAGAUAAAACUAAAUGAAGAGGACUUGGGAAUAAUUAUAGAUAACAUUCUAGGCAACACUGUGCACAAUGCUGGUCUGCCAUUGCAAAAGCUAGCAAGGUGCAGUGAUGUAUAAAAAAGGGGUAUUGAAGGAUAUAAUUCUGUCUAUCUAUAAAUCAAUGGUAAGACACCUACCUAAAUAUGCUGUGUAAUCUUGCACACCCUUUUUUUGGAAGAAUAUUGCAGAACUAAAAAAAAGUGCAGAGGCGAGCUACAAAAUAAGUAAAGAAGGGGUGAAAGUCAUUAGUUAUGAAAUAAAACUAUUAAAACUGCAUUUGUUUUCUUUAGAAAAAGGGAGACUUAGAGAAGAAAUUAUAUUACUAUACAAAUAUAUACAGGGUCAGUACAUACUGCCAUGUGUUAACCUGUUCAUUACCAGGAAUAUACAACAGACAAGAGAAAAAAAAGAAAGAAAGAAAAAGAAAGGUGUUUUUUUGCUUACAGAAAAGUAACGGGUUCAGAUAACCUAGUUUGAAUUAGUAAAUAAUAUUUUAACUCAAAACUAGGUGGAUUUCUUUUUAAUGCUCGCUUCUAUUGAAGAGGAAAAGGUUAAAAAAGUUUGUUACUGCUUUAUUUUCGUUUUAUUUUUUAGUUAUACAUUUCAGUCAUUCCACAGGGCUACUUUUAUUGAACACUAUAGUCUUGUAUUCAUUACCUCAUUCUGUACAAUUAGAUUAAGGUGUCUGUACAACAGGUUUCAAUACAUCACUCUGUGAAAUUAAAUAGCAUACUAAUUAUCUUUGAUUAAAUAGAACUCGUAAGAAAAGGGCAUAUUUUUUGUAUAUUCUUUUGUUUUGCAGAGAUACAUUUUCUUUAUUUGCUUUGUUAUAUUGUUGUUGCAUUUUUAAUUAUAUGGUAUCUGCCUACUCUGUUAUUUACAGAACAAAUACUUAUUUAGCAUGUCAUAAAUCAAAAGAUAGAUAUAUAUAUAUAUAUAUAUAUAUAUAUAUAUAUAUAUAUAUGUUUUUUGUUUUUUUUUAAAGCUAGCAAUUAUCAUUUGUUUGUAUAAUUGGAAAUGUAUUAAAGGGCUAUUAUUUUUUUCAUUUGUUUUUAAUUCUUGUAAUAAUUUAUAAGUGUGGGAAUAAAUUGAUAUACAUGAUGCAAGAAUAUUACCACCUUUCGAUGCUUGAUUCUUAUAACAGUUGAACAAUGCAAAACAGUGUAUUUUAUUAACAAAAAAUUAAAGAAAAGGGAGAAAUUAUUUGUAAAUUUGUAAGUGAUAACAAUCAAUAAUCCAGUCAUGCUAGAAAUAUUAAACUGAAAAGGUAAUUCAUAUAAUUUUAAAAUAAAAACAAACCUCCACUCUGUGGGUUGUGUCAAAAAUGGUAAACCGGAUUAAUACAUUAAUAAAUAGCUCUCUCUGUAUAAAGUUGCAUUAGGUCAUCAUAAUGGUUGCCAGAAGGACCCCUAAUUGGAAAAUGCUACUAAUUUCUAUAGAAAUAUGUAAAGCUGCAUCUUGCACUAUAGCAGAUGAGAAACAUAUAUAAAGCAUUUCACAGUUUAUUUCACAGAAGAAAAUUUCCGUUUUUUGGUUUUCAAUUUACAGUUGCAAACUGUAUAAUAAUAUGUAUGUGUCAUAAUAUAAGAACAUUUUUCAUUGAUAAAAACAUAUAUAUUUUAAAAUGUUGUGCAAAUUGUAAAUUGCCUAUGCUUAACCAAGAUUUUAGGUCAAAUUAGUAAAAUUGGCUAAAAUAUUCCAACUAAGCUCUUUAUUCACUUUGAUUUUGGCUUAAAGAAUUUAAUUCUCUGGUCAGUUCCCAACUAUUGUUGGUUUUGUAAAUAGCCUCAAAUGCAUAUGGGGUGGCAUUAUUUUACUGUGAGCAUUGUAGUAAUAAAUAGCGGUUGUCUAAUAUUUAGAACUUUUAGAUUAAUCUGUACAUAUUUAAGUGAGGGUGUAAAAAAUUCUCAAUACAAAUUAUAUGGCAUGUUAUAUAAGAUAGAGUAAAAUGAUAGGUGGAGCACCUUAAAUAUCAUCAUAAGUUUGUGAAACGAUAAGAGAAGAAACAAACUUAUAGUGUAGCAAUCCUUGGAAUAACAAUAAAAUAAGGAAUACUAAUUAUACUGACACUUUUUAGGAGCUUAAGUCCAGCUCCGACUUAAGCGCUUGAGCAGUAUGAUCCCUGCCAGUGGAUAUAGAGUAGUAGUUUUGAUUUGUCCAAUUGUAGUUCCUUGUAACGUAGUAUAUAUAGGUGGAGAAAGUAUAAGAUAAAAAUACUAAUAUAUUGCAGUAUUAACUAUAUAAAAUUCCAGAGGUAGGUAAGUAUUGGAUUACACUCAUGUGGUUUGAAGCCUAGGAUGUAUGGUGGAGUGGUAUGAUUCCCACUCUGGGAUUUCUAGGUAAAGCAGGUAAAGCAGGUUCUCAUAGAUAAAAGAGAAUAAAAAGAUAUAUAGUGCACACUGUGUGGUAAAAAGUGUAAGAUGGAUAAAAACUUAUUUACAUGCAGUUGGGCAAUUUCAGAUUGCUCAUUCACAAGCACAUAAAUGGUUAGUAUCUCCAUCAAGUAUCAAGAGGUAGCAGUGUUAAGGUCCAAGAUAAAAAAAAGGACUUUAUUAAUAAAGCCGAGAAAACAUAUAUAUAUAUAUAUAUAUAUAUAUAUAUAUAUAUAUAUAUAUACAGCCAAAAGAAAUCAGCACUCCCAGGAUUUAUUCAAAAAACGAAAACUUUUCUUUUUUCCAAUGGUCAGCGUUUCAGUUCCGCUAGGGAACUUUCAUUAGGACAGAAUACAAACAUAUUUAAAAAUCAGCAUUGCUUAAAUAAGGAAAGUAAUCAAGUAAACUCACAGUUCAGAUGUGCAGGGGGCCGACCGUUCUCUCUUCCGAGUGAGUGGGUGGGUACAGGGAGCAUACAUCCCUCUGAUUAUGUGCUCAGGUUACUUCCUGAAUGCCUGCGUCCUCCAUCUCCAUGGAGACGUCGGGCGCAUGCGUAUUGGACAAACUGCUAUCUCUCUGCAUCUACCCCUUGUACGGGAGCUGGAUCUCACACGCCAUGCUAAAAGAAUACAUUAUAUCAGUGUAUAAAGCCUGUUACAUUAUGAUACACUCCUCUAUGUGAUCGUACACAGGCUUCCAGUAUAUCUACUAGCCACUGUCACUACAUACAUAAAACUAAAGGUAUAAGAAAACCUAAUUAGCAAAUUAUUCUAACUCAUAUAUAGGUCAUCCUGUCUAACACAUCUCUGUGAUUAACCCCAGUGAACACUUUACUUUAUAUUCCAAAAUCAAGUGCUCAGUGUAUAUUCUAUGAUAUUACAGCCUGAUAAGAUGCAAACUAAUAUGUAAUCUGCAACCUCUCUUCUCAAGUACAUCUCAAAGUGCAUAUUACACUAUGUUUAAAAAAAUAAUAAAGUGCUCAUUUUGUUCUAUAUUAUCAAAGGCUAUUUAAGCCUAAUCAUCAAACUAUUCCUACAUUUUAUCUAUGCAAAAAAAAAAAAUUCUAUAAAAAACAAAGUGCCAAGUGCAUAAUGUUAAAGUGAAACUAAUGCUACUAAGUAGUCCACCUAAGUGAUCCUUUGUAAACUUCUAAAGUCUCCCAUAAAAUAAAGAACUAUGUGUAUAAUUUUAUAUGUGCCAAACCUUUCUAUUCAUAUAGAGACCUAAAUUAUGAUAUUCCUUAACUAAUAUAGAAAAAUAAGAAUAAACCAUACUUUUAUAUCUAGGAAACAAGAAAAGCAUACGAGGCAUAGCAUGCAAAGGAUCCUUAACUCAUCCUACAUUAUAUCCAGAGCCGUGGUUAAAAGAUUACCAUAAUGGUGUAUAUUUGAUGCAACUUCAUAAUAAUCUAAUCAACAACAUAAAAAAAAAUUUAAAUUAAAGUAGGCCUGACGACACAGUUAUAAACAUAUUCACAUGUUCUUAUUGCUAUACUGAGCUAUAUUCCAAUAAACUAUGUCCCUCACUGCCAUAUAGUGCCACAUAGCCUGUUAGAGAAAGGAAAUGUAUGUUAAUUUCUCAUUAAGUCCAUAAGGGGCCAAUGUCCCCAACUUUUGAAUCCACCAUGUCUCCUUCUGUAGCAACUGCUCCUGUCUGUUGCCACCUCUCCUUGAUAUUGGAGAGGCCAAAGGGUGGCCUUUCUCCAGGAAAAUAUAUAGUGCACACUGUGUGGUAAAAAGUGUAAGAUGGAUAAAAACUUAUUUACAUGGAGUUGGGCAAUUUCAGAUUGCUCAUUCACAAGCACAUAUAUGGUUUGUAUCUCCAUCAAGGAUCAGGAGGUAGCAGUGUUAAGGCCCAAGAUAAAAAAAUGACUUUAUUAAUAAAGCCAAGAAAACAUAUAUAUAUAUAUAUAUAUAUAUAUAUAUAUAUAUAUAUAUAUUAAAAAAUUAUAUUAAAACAAAGUUCCAAUAUACACUAGCGCAUUUCACCAUAAAGUGGGCGUUAUCAAAGUGUAUUACAGAACAUUGGGACCUAAACUGCUUAAAUAGCUAAAGCUACAUUUUUACUUUUAUUAAUUAUUUAUUUCUAAAAUAUUUUACCAGGAAAUAUACAUUGAGAUUUCUGUUGUUUUCAAGUAUGUCUUGCGUCCACAAAAUAAUGAUCAUGUGACGUCAUAGCUAUUAUGUAGAUAUGAACCAUUUUAUCAGGCAACGCUUUAAAAAUAUAUAUUUUAUGAUAAAAAGAAUGGGGUAGAUACAAAACAUAGCAAUAAAAAAAACUGCAUAUCUUAAAGAAGUUAUUCACAUUUUACAGAUUUUGGAAGUAAUCUCUUGGAAAGAUAGUUAUAUUUUGUUACAUGUGAUGACGAUGAGACAUUUUUAACUAAAGCAAGUUUUAUAGAUUAACAAAUACAGUAAAUGUUUGUCAUAUUUUUAAUCCUAACAAAUAAUUAUCUUUGGUUCCUGGAGACUUUUUAUAUACAGGUUCAAAGAACAACGAUGGGCACCAAGUUUGCACCAAGUUAUGCAAAUCUGUUUAUGGCCUGUUCGGAAGAAAAAUGUGUACCAAGGCCAUCCUUGGAUUGCAAGCUUAGUGUCCUACCAUCGUUUGAUCAACAAAAUAUUUUUUUUAUUUGGACAGGCAAUAACACAGAUUUGAAUCUAUUUUGAAAGUACCUUAAUGAUAAUAGUUGGGGACUUGACCUUAUGUCCACUAGUAGCCUGAUAGAAAUCAUUUUUUUUAGAUUUGAACAUUCCAAUACAGGACUUUGUCACUAAGACAAAACAUUUUUGAAGUCAGCUAUUUUUCUGGCCAAUGUCUUAAUCAUCAUUCAUGUAAAAAAGCUAAAGCAGCUAAGAUAUCCAAUUAUAUUGUAGCCAUAUCCUAUAUAUGAACUUAAAAUAUAUAUCUUAUACACAGUUUAUAGAAGCCAAAAUGACUCUUUAACUGAUGAAAGAUCAAUCAACUUUUCUAGCAUUGCCAUUGUCUUAUUGAUUUUGUAUUUAGAAGGUGCCACUAUUUGCUAUAUUAUUUUUGAACAGUGUAAUAUCUUUAAACAUAUUUGAAGUAUUUGUUUUAAAAGAAAGUUAUUUAUUCAAAAUGUGAAAUGUGAAAAAAUAAUCUAAGCUGUCUAUAAUUUUUUCAUACUCACAGUAACUACCAAACCAUGUAAUAACUAUCAUGUAGUAACAGGCUACCACAAACACCAUGACACCUUCAGUAUUUUGAAGUGGUCAUGGUGCAAGUAGCUAUGUGCAGUGUUUCAAUCUGAAACUCUGCACAUGCUGAUAUAUUAUUAGUUAUCUACUACAGCUUUCAUUAGCCUAAUGUAAUUAGCCAUACUGUAAUCAGUGAUGCUCAUCUGACCCUCUCAGUCAAUGAAUGGCAAAGGUGAUACUCUACAGAAGCUGAGUGUCAUUUAUCAGGGCUGUCUUUAAAACGGGGCAGCUGCCCUGGGCCCAAUUACUCCUGGGGGGCCCAAAGCAGCUGCCCUGUGAGCCCCUUGCCUGAAACCAGGACCUGGCAACCCACCGGGAUCCUGAGAAAUGUCCUGGUGGGCUUCAGCAGGCAAAGUAAUGAAGGUGUGUUCAUGUAUUAGUGUUUGUGUGUAUCUACAUGCUACUGUGUAUGUAUAUCUGUGAAUGUAUAAAAUGUAUGUGCAUACAUCCCAGCAAUCAAACACAAACAUUACAUCCAAACAUACCCCUGAAUUCAAGCUCAAAAAGUAUAUAUAAAUACACCCCUUCAGUCAAACACAGAUACACACUCACUAACAGAUGCACACACUCUCACUAACAGACACAGAUACACUAAGACACUCACCAACCGACAUACACACUAGCACACUCACUAACAUAAUUACACACUCUCACUGACACACACUCUUUGGCAGACACACACACUCACAAACAUACACAGACACACAAACACACUCACUAACAAACACAGAUACUUACACACUCACCAACUGACACGCACACACUAUCAAUAUUUUUUUUAUUAUUUCAAUCCACCCAGCCUCCAUACCUUUGCUGGAGUGCUGCAGUGGAUUCUCCAUUUCCCUGGGAUCCAGUGAGGAUCCUUUAACUGCCGGUGGGACAGGCGUGCGGUCAAUUAAGGCCGCAAGGGAGCUCUGAUCUCCCUGCUCAGCUCCCUUGCGCACCACUCAGUGAUGCCGGGGCGAGAGUGAUGUCAAAUUCCACCCGCCUCCCACAUCAGGUAAUGCCAACCUAUGGGGGGGCCUGAGGUGACCAGCCGACCAGCUCCUGGGCUCCCAGUGACAAGAGGCUGGCAAGAUAUCAGGGCGUUUGAAAGUGCCACCCAAGGCAAAUGCCUUGUCAGCCUCGAGGUAAAUACACUGCUGGGUGGAGGGCAUGAUUGCAUGCCAUGGGGUGGAAGUGUGAGGGAGGGCAGGAUCCAGGGGGCCCACGCAAAUGCUUGCCCAGGGUCCAAUCAAUGUUAAAGAUGGUCCUGUCAUUCAUUGCAGCUCAGUGCCAGAUGGGACCCAUUAAAUUUGCAAAGAUGGCUUGCCCCCUUUCUGAGGAAUGGCUUCAGGGUACUCCUUGCAUCAUAACUAUUAUAGUCAUUAAGAUGCUUAGAUUAACCUUUACAAAAAAAAAAAAAAUAAUGAUGCAGCUAAGCCAAUCUAAUUGUUUCCUUAUUCAUUAAUUGCAGGUAAUACAUUUUUUGAUACAUAAAUAAGAAACACUUAUUGACAUUGUGCUUUUGGUAAAAGAACAGUGAUUCCCAAACUAGCCCUCAAUGUGCACCAGUGAUCAAAGUUUUGUCAAUGUCCCCUGUCAACUGGGAAAUGCCUAAAUCCCGAGCUGUUGGUAUGCCUGGAAACUAUUAAGAUAGAAAGAGAAAGUGGGGGAUUUCAGCUGUCCAAAGCACGAUUAAAUAGAAAAAAAAGAUAAGACAAUAUAUAAAAUAUAAAAAGUAAAUGAUACUCUAUACCUAUUUUUUUCUAAUUAAAGAUUCCUAACAUUAGAUAAUUAAUUUUGCAAAUCAUGUUACAAUGCUUACUAUUCAUUCAAUAUAAAUCAACAGAAAAAUUAUAGUUAUGAUGCAUCACUAUAGAGAGACAAGCUGGUUGGACAACUGCUUGCUAUUAAAUGUGUAAACAAAUAGUAAUUUCUUAAUCUUUUUUAACAUGGACCCAAAUUACAUAACAAAACAUUUUUCAAAUGUAAAAUUAGCCAAAAUGACCUUUUUUUCAUAUGGUGUAUUAUAUAAGAAACUUAAAUCUGUAAAACACCUUUAUUAUGUAAUUUCCUAUGUACAAGAGGUCUUUAUUAUAUUUAGGAAAACAGUGUUGCUACACUCAUUAGUGUUUUUUGGGCAGGUGCCACUGGUUUUGAAGAAUAUAAUAUGCAUUUUCAAGUCUUUGGGGGUCGAGUGAAACAACAAAGGUAUUGAGUCCCAACCAAGUGUUUGAGAACAGAGUGUACAUGCUGGCUUAAAACAUGUAAACUAUAUUUUUAUUGGCAUUACACUGAGAAUUGUGCACACAAUUUUGACUUUUUUUCUCUUUAGUUUCAGUAUGUAUUUUACAAUGCAUAUUAAAUAAAACAUGCUAAUACAUACAUUAUACACACACACACAUAUAUUUAAACCACCUGCCCAAUAUUGUGGAAGUCCCCCUAAUGUUCCAAAAACAGCUCUGAUGCAUCAAUGCAUGCACUCCACAAGACCUCUGAAUGUAUCAUGUGUUUUCUAGCACUGGGACAACAGCAGCAGAUUUUUUUUUAAGUCUUGCAAGUUGCAAGGUGGGUCCUACAUGGAUCACAUUUGUUGUUCCAGCACAUCCCACAUAUGCUAAAUCAGUUUGAGAUCUAGGGAAUUUUGAGGCCAAUGCAACACCUUGAAUAAUGCACCCUGCCACACUGCAAACCAUUGCUGAACAUUUUUUGCAUUAUCCUGCUGAAAGAAGCCACUGCCAUCAGGAAGCACUAUUGCCAUCAAGGGGUGCACAUGCUCUGCAACAACUUUAGGUAGGUGGUACAUGUCAAAGUAACAUCCUCAUGCCAGGACCCAAAGUUUUCCAAAAGAACAUUGCCCAGAGCAUAACACUGCCUUCAUUUUCCCUGCCUUCUUCCUAUAAUGCAUCCUGCUGCCACCUCUUCCCCACGAAAACUACAGAUAUGCACCUGACCAUCCAUCUGAUCAAAAAGUAAAUGUGAUUUAUCAGACCAAGCAACUUUCUUCCACUGCUCAUUGGUCCAGCUUGUUCCAACUUUAUUUCAUGCCCAUUGAUAGUGCUUUCGGUAACAGACAGGGGUCAUCACGGACACUCACCUUUCUAAUAUGACCAGCAUUACGUUUUGUUUUUUUAAGCAAUUUGUGUUUUAGUAGUUCUUCUGUGUGAACUGGGCAUACAUAACCCAGACACUGGUUCACUUGUUGUCUUUUCUUGCACCAGUUAUUAUGGGUACUAACCACUGCAAAAUGGAAAACACCCCACAAGACCAGAGCCGAAUAUAUAUUUCUUUUUCUAAUAUAUAAUAUUGGUCCUUUCAGAGUAAAAUGUUUAAUUAUACAGUAAGCAUACACACAUGCAGACACAGACAAUCUCACUGACACACACAAGCUCAUUGAUACACAGCCUCAUAGACAAACAAUGUCACUGACAAACAUAAGCUCAUUGGCAUAAAAACACAAGCUCACUUACUCACUAGCAGGCACACACAUACGCAAGCAAGCUCACUCACUAGCAGGCGCGCACACACACACACAGCUUAAUGUAGUGGUUCUGGUGUCUAUAGCCUGUCCCUGCAGGCUUUUCAAUGUAAACACUGAAUUUUCCGAGAAACGGCAGUGUUUACAUUGCUUCCUAGUAACUUCACUCAGACAGUCACUAGAGGUGCUUCCUGUGUCAGUGCAUUGGAUUGGCUGAGAUCAUCAAGCUUGAUGAUCUCAGCCAUAGAGGUAGGGCCAGUCGAGGGCAGACCAGCACGGUGUGGGGAAAAAAAAGGUGAGUAAAAACACUUUUUAAAUACACACAGACACACACAUACACCAUUACAGACACAGACACACAUAUACACCAUGACAGACACACACACCCCAUGACACACACACACACCAUGGCACAGACACACACACACCAUGACACAGACACACACAUCAUGACACAGACACACACACACCAUGACACACACACACAUACCAUGACACACACACACCAUGAUACAGACACACACACCAUGACACACACACACAUACCAUGACACAGACACACACAUACCAUGACACACACACACACACACACACACACACACACAGCACACAGACACACACACUGACACAGACACACAUACCAUGACACCAUGACAGACACACACACACACAGAUACCAUGACACACACACACACACACAACACACACACACAUGACACACACACGCACACACACCAUGACACACACACAUACCAUGACACAGACACACACACAUACCAUGACACACACACCAUGACACACACACACCAUGACACACACACCAUGACACACACACACCAUGACACACACAUACCAUGACACACACACACCAUGACACAGACACACACACCAUAACACAGACACACACAUACAUACACACUGACAGAAUGACACAUAUUACCUGUGGGUGACCGGCUGAGUGUGCUAGUGGCCGCAGAGGGAGGUCAUGGUGAGGGUGUGUGUCAUGGUGUGUGUGUGUCAUGGUGUGUGUCUGUGUCAUGUUAUGCGUGUGUGUCAUGGUGUGUGUUUGUCAUGGUAUGUGUGUGUAUCUGUGUCAUGGUGUGUGUGUGUCAUGGUGUGUGUGUGUGUGGGAGCUGGCCGCUGGGGGAGCUGGUUGUUCUGUCUCUGUUCCCCCGCCCUCACACACAGCUUAAUGAGACCGGGGCCAGAAUAUGACAUCAUAUUCCGGCCCCAGUCUCAUUAAGUUGCGCGCUGGAGAGCAGAGACAGAACAGCCAGCUCCCCCAGCGGCCGCCAUCAGUCCUCCCCCUGCGUCCGCCAUCAGACCUGCCCCAGCGGCCGCCAGCCCACCCAGGUGUCUGCCCAGCCCCAGGUGCCGACGGCCCACCGGGAAAUUUCCCAGUAUCCCGGUGGGCCAGUCCGGCCCUGCACAAGUAACUCAGAUCAUUUUGCUUGCUCAUUUUUCCUGCUUCCAACACAUGAAAUUCAAGAACGGAGUGUUGACUUGCUUCAUAAUAUAUUCCACCCCUUGACAGGUGCCAUUGUAAAAUAUAAUCAAUGCUAUUCAUUUCACCUCUCAAAAUUUUAAUGUUGUGGCUGAUCAGUGUAUGCAUACAGUCAAUUUACUAAAGUUGAUAGAAACUCAUAAUGAAUUAAUAAGUUUAGACCAAAAUAACCAAAUUAGAAAUAUUCUAUAAGUCAUCUAUUUUGGCCAAAAAAUUUGCAAAUUCACUUUGAAUUCACUUUGAAUUACAGGUAAAAUACACCACGUGUACGUGAUUGUAUUGUUCAGUCGUGGUCAUAUACAUGAGAUGUACAGAAUGUUUUAUUAUAUAAGUAAGUGGACUUAUAUAACACUUUAUACACAUUAUAUAAAAUAAAUAUUUUUACGCAUGAAAAAUUGAUAUAACAGUGAAACAACAUUGAACAUUAUUUUGAUUAACACUAAUAUCAUUUCAUGGUAUGUGUGAAUUUUUAUUGAAAAUAUGUUGUUUUUAUAUAGAAAAUAGCUUAAUUAACCCCACUGGACCAUGCUAAUGCUCAACUAACAGUUAUAAAAAAUGUAUAUUCCAGAGAAUGAAACAUGUAAAGCAGUUCUUAAAAAUAUUGGCAUUUCAUCUUAGUUUCUCAUUAUGUGUAUCAUACUUGAAAAUAGAAAAUAAUAUAUUUAAGCAUUAAAAAACCUUAUAAACUAUAUAAAACUGUUACCACCGAAUAAAAGUAUCCCAUAUGUGCAUUCUGUUGCAAGAAUGUCUUUAGUGAGAUGACUGUACCCCCAAACUAGAAAACAACAGGAAAGUAUCCAGUAGGAAUGUGUGGUAAAAAUUAAUGAGAACACAAAAUAAAAAAAUGCUUUGGGGUUUACUUUCAAAACUUUAGUUUACUUUUGAUGUUAUUGUAGAUGUGCCUGAGUCUGAUUUUAUAUGAAGUCUUUUAUAUAUAGUAAAUGAUGUAGGAUUCUUUUUUAAUAUACAUUUGACUGUUUUAGAAAAUUAUGAUUAAUGAUAACAAUGCGUUUAGGCAAUGUUUUUUCUUAUCAUUAUCAUAAUGUUAUUACUUUUAUUAAAAUUAAAAAAAACCUCUGCUUUCUUUACAUUACAUUUUAAAUUAACUUAAAUUAACCUUGUGUAAAAUAGUGAAAACAUUUACUGUAUGAAUCUCAGACAUUCUCUUCUGAAGUAUAUCACAUUUUAAAAUACAGAUUUGGAUUCCAAAAUGCAGUGAUUGUAUUUCAUCUACAUAUAUACCGUUUUGGAAUGAAUGACCCUGGACUAUUAAAUUAUUAAAUUAACCUGUUCUUCUGAAGAUAUCAUACAGAGAACAUGUAUUGCUGUACAGCUUUGACUGCCUUUAAGAAAGAGAAACUGCAGGAAACAAAGAGCACUGGGUCACGACUAAUCAGUUCUGUCUGACCCUGGGCAUGUCACUUUAUUUCAAAAAUGCCUGAAGUACCAAAACUGUAAGGUUUUGUGGAGUGUUUUUCAUAGUAGUAUUUUAUGGCUUUUAUGAGCCCCUUUGUGCAAAACUGUUAUUAUUUCAUUUUUUUUAUAUUGUGCAAUAAUAUAAACUCCUAAAGUUUGUGUAAAUGUUAUAUAAAUAUUUCUUCUAUAUCCAUCCAUGAUCUAACACUAGCAGUAUAAAACAAGUAAAAUCAGAAUAAUUACCUGCACACUGCUUUAAAUCUCUGUGUACAUUUCAAUAACAGAGGUUUCUAGUAUCACCUCAAACACCAUUACAAUGUAAGCUCAACUGCUGAUGUCAAGGUAGAUCUCUUGAGUCCUAUGCUAACAAUUUACCUUGCUGCUUCCAGCUGAAAUGAAAAAUAUCUAAUGAGACAGGUGAGGGUAUUCAUUUGAACCCCUACAACCUCUUGGGUGAUAGCAAUAACUAAAGUAUUCAGCCAUAGUUAAUAAACAAAACAAAACACAAAAUGUUACCUACACCCAAUCCCAAUUGGCAGUUUUUGUUCUAUUGCCAUUAAAGUGUAAGCAUAUGAAAAAAAAAUAAUUCUUUGUUAAAUCUUAAAUUGUUUAAGAGAUCUAUAGCAAUAUACCUCAGCACAGAAUGCACCUGUCAUGGUUGAAUAUAUGUAUUACCUGUUAUGUAUUACAUUUAUAUAUGUGUGUAUAAAUAUAUGUUUAUAUAUAUAGUUCGUAUAUUGUAUUUUUUUAAUAGUGGAUCCUAUUGUAACAAUGCAAUGUUUUGUGGACAAAGACCCAGUACAUACUUGAAAACGAGAGAAAUCUCAAUGUAUCCAUCCUGGUAAAAUAUUUCAUAAAUAAAUAAAUAAAUGAUAAUAUAGUUAAUAGUUAACAAGCAGAGCAAUACGAUAUUUAUGUUUUAUUAAAUUAUUGAAAUUAGAGUAAGAUUACACGAGUUAUAUUUUACAUCAAAGCUGUAAUGUCAUAAUUCUAAGCAAAAUUUCCCCUGAUUUAGACAGGAUGGGAUUAGACCCCCUCUCUAAUGUAUACAAAUGAUAGGUAAUUGGCAGUCAUAUAAGAGCAUUUAAGAUAAUCAUAUUUUUAUAUAGGGUUUCUUUAAAUGUUUUGGACUUGAAAGGCAUUCAUUUUGUUCCACUCUGCUUCCUUUCAGCAUGGCCAGGGUUAAUAGUGCCACUGUGAACUUCAGUAGUGUUUUAAAAAUACAGCAAAAUUGUCAUUUUACAAGACGUGCAGUGUGAAUUAUUCUUGACUGACAGUUAACAAGCAUUUGUCUUACAAGCUAAUGAAAAUGUCAUUCUCCCAUCUCUAUCAUAUAGGAGACACCUCUCCUAAAAAAAUAGAUUCCACAAAAUAUUUUUUCAAUGUGCCAUAUAUAUUCUAAGUUAACAAAAAAAACACUCCCUGGGAAAGUCUCUCAAGGCUCCAUAACCAAAAUGGUUAUUGCUGGGACAAAUGAUUAUUCAUUCAAAAUGGGGUAUGCAGGAUUCAGUUCUGCUAAGUCAUGUUAACCCUUUUUUUCGCCAAAUUGUCACAGAACUGUAUUUUUGUGUGAGUCUGCACCUAUUGUGUUAUUGCAAGGUAAUCACUGCAAUCAGGGGGGAUAAUGCAUGUAUUGCCCCUUUAAAACUUUACAGUCACACAACAACUAACUAAGCAAAUAUGGUGGCAAUGACAACGUUGUCAACGAAAAAACUUUACUUGGCAAUUCAGGUUAAAAGACAACAAAUGGAAAACCUAGUUAUAUGCAGUGAAGUAUAUACCAUAAUUAAGACAGUGAAACAAAAAUGAAACAAUGUGUGCUAAAUAAUGCUAUGGGGCUCUAAAGUGUACCCUAGAAUAAUGUACCCUGGAAUGGCUAUACCCUCUAAAACAGUGGUGCCAAAAAUAUAGAUACCCAGAUGUUUUAAAACUUCAUAUUCCAAAAGGCAUGCAAACCACAUAUUCCAAAGGCAUGCAGAUCAUCAUGGGGGUUGUAGUUCUUCAACAUUUGGGGAGCUACCUUUUGGGCACCUCUGCUCUAAAUCAUCUAAACUCUGUCUGUGAAUAACCCCAAAAUAUUGAUCCACCUAUCUACAAACUCCCCUUUUUUUAGGUGUGCAAAAUACCACAUGUUCUAUGUAUGCCGAGAUGCAAUACAAAUCUCUGAACCCCAAAUACUAUUAUGCUGGUAAUGGAAAUAGGAGGUAAAUAUAUAAGCUGACUCAGACUUGUGACUGACACCACAUACAGUGGAGAGAUCAGGGAACAAUCUUUUCAAGUCACCUUUUUUAAUGUUCUAUGUAUGUGUACAUCCUACCACAAUGACCAGCACUGUAAUAUUUGGAAUUUAACAUUUUGUUAGUUCGUCUUAGUGUAUUUGCAAGUUAUGUGUUGUUUAGCACAGUCAAAUAUAGGGGUAAGAGUUAUGCAGUUUGUAGACAGAUUGACAAACCCUUUGGGUUAUUCCCAGACUUGAAUUUAGGUGAUUUUGUGGGUAUUGUCACUCAAAACGCCUUCACACCAUUAUUUAGUACAUAUUGCUUCCACAAUUAUUUGUGUGUUUUGAUCUUUGUAUGUAGUUGGCUUGUGUAUUUGCCUUUUAACCUGAAUAUGCUAUGUUUUAUUCACUAAGAAUGCUUUCAUAGCUACCAAAUUUGAUUAAGUAUUUCAAUAUAGUAUAGGGCUCCAAGCCUCUUCCCCCUGGCAUGGUGCAUUCAGAAUAUUGUUAGACAUUUGUUUGUAUAUUGCAAUCAUUAUUCAAGAGCAACACUCAUCUUUCUGCCAACUUAUCCAUGCAAACAUUUUCAUCUGUAGUGGCCCAUCAGACUACUCGACUUACAGGGGCAACUCAAUAACAAAAUGUUAAGACAUAUCUUACAUGAAGCACUUAGCACAAAGUACUUAGUACAUUUUAGUCUAUAAGCAGCACCGUCAGUGUGUUAGUGCGGGUUCCACAAGGCAUUGUGGGAAGAGGUCUACAUCUGGAUGUAUCCUUCUUAAGUAUUAGUAGCCAACAUAAAGAUGUACCACUUUUGUGUAGGGAUUAUACCAUAAGAUACACUGUACUUAUGAUUUUUAUAUAUUCUUUCUUUGUACAAAUGCAUUUUCUUUUUUAUCUUGAAAUUCUUGAAAUAAAUUACAAUGCAGCAGGUGUUAUAUAUUUUGAGAGGUGUCAACUUCAUGUUAAAGAGGGAAAAUUACCUUUUCAUUAGCUUGUAGGACAAAAGCUUCCUAUGCGACAGACAAGAAUAAUUUAUACUGCAGGCAAUAGUCUUGUGAAAUUAUAAUUUUGCAUAAUCACAACCCACUGUUUUGAAGAUUUGCUCAUAGUUGAAAAUAUCAGUUCUUUCCUUCACUCUGUGUAAAAGAACACUCCACUGCCCAAAUACAAAAUAAAUAAAAAUCACUGUUUAAUGCAUUAAGUCAUGCCUUUUUUCAUUGGAGUUGUAUUGAAAAACAGAUUGCAAAGCCUACAUAUCUGUUGUCUGCAGUCUUUGCAAAUCUUCAUUUUCUAUAAAUUAUAAAAGUGUCACUUUCUAUUAAAAUCUGUACUUUUUGUAAAAUGAAAAAAAUAGGACACACUCUUCACACAUAGAGCAUUUCAGCAAACUAAAGUGCUUCAGGGGUCUGAAGUGUCCCUUUAAAUUUAUUUGAAAGGGCUAUCUCCCGAUGUAGACCCUUUGCUCAGGAUUUUUCAUAGAAUCCACCCAUAUCUCACUGUCACUUAUGGAUUCUUCUUUUACAUAUAUGGAAAUUUCUCUUAUAUAAUUGAAAAGCCUGGUAGAAAAACAGUAUUUGGAUAUAAGUGGUGAAUGUACCUUAGGACAAUAUAUUAGGCAAUGUACAUACUUGAUUUGAGCUGUUUUCAUUAUUCACUAAAGGUACCUGGCCAUGUUACUAAGCCAGAAUUCCUUUAUCUAAUCUUGCAUGAUCAAUACUUUUCUGUUUAGGCACCUCGGCCCUUUGCUUUUAACAAAGUGGUUUCAAAAUACCAGUAUUUGGCUGCUAAACAUAUAUAUAUUAAAUAUACAUGUAUAGUCGUCUGUUGUACUCUUCUGCCAAAACAAAUUUUUAAUAAGAGCCACUAGUACGUGAAAACAGGUACUUUUUUUACCUACACAGAAUACCGUUUUAUAUUAAAAAUUUUUUUUAAGAUUUUCAGUUUCAAUGUCACAAUGUAAUCAACCCCUUUUAAAAAAAAAAAAAAAGACUGCUUAUAUUAUCCAGUUUUUUUUUUACUUGAAUCUCCUCAAACUUGAAGCAUUAGACUGGGUAACACGGCAAUUAAGAGCUGACAGUCUGAGAUCACCAUCAAUACACUACAGCUCCUAAAAAUCAUAAUUAAUGAAUCAUUUUUAGGACUUUAUUCAGGGGGCUGUCAAAUGAAUGUGAUACUGUUACCGUUGUUUGAAUACCCAUGUAUAAAUGCAUCACAGUUUUGCAAGUAUUUUACUUGCCUAUAGCCAUUAUUCUGCUAUCAUAACAAAGGCAGUAGAGUGAAUGCUCUAGAUACUCAGGGGAAAGCAGACACAUUCAAUGGCUGAUAACCUGUUUGAUAAAAAGGAAGAUUACAUUGGAGAUGUGCAGUUAAAAUGUGUCCAAGGCACUGAUUGAUAACCUUGUGCCCUAGAUGUUAAAAAAAAUUCCCUUGAUGCUAUGCCAGCCUUUAUGCUGGUUUAGCAUAAUAGGAAAUGAAGUUCAGAAACAAAGAAAGAUAAAGAUAGCGAUCACAAGUCUAUGAUAAAAAAAAGUUAUGGACAAAUGUGUAAGAAUGCCUAUGAAAUAAAAUAUAUCAAUACAUACGCCCUAACAAAAAAAUGAACCAAUAAAAUUAAAAUGUAUAUAAUGUAUGUAUUGAAGCUUUAUAGAAAAAGGGAAAAGCAGUUACGUUAGCAUUUCUGAAAACACAAGCUACACUAUAAUACGAAAUAAUGUACAAUCUUGUCUUUUCAGUUCAAUUAACAAUCAAAUAAAUGACAAUAACCUUUGUUUAGUUUACCUUAUUCAGUCAAUACUUAGUGGCAAUUGCAAUGUAGUCAAGUGUUCAUUCUGCAUUUUAUUGACAUAAGAUAGUGUGAUAUGUUUUAGGCUUUUAGUUUGUGUUUUGUGAAAUUGCAUUCUUAAUCACAGCAAGGCAAACAAUUAGAGAAAACAAGUUAGGAACAGCCAUUCAAUUAAGAGACACGCAAACACAGACAAAACAAUAGCACAUCCCAAUGUAAAUUCUAGAUGGUAUUCUUAAAAGUAAAAAUUUAAUUUCCAUAUAUUUUAAAACUGUUCCUGUCAGAUGGCAGUAGUAUCCUAAAGUAUUGCACAUCAGCUUGCCUGCCUUUAGUGCCUUAUAAUAAACUAAAUUAAACUAAAUUAAAAAGAAAAGAAAGAAGGCAAACCAAUGGCUUUGACAGUGUCAGGAUACAAAGCAUUUAUUCAGAGUUUUAAAUCCUAACCUCGUAGUAUUUGAACAGCCAUGGGAAAAAUACAUAAGAGAAGCCAAAACUAUAUUACAAAACAGACUAAGGGAACACUGUAGAGAACAACCCCUACACAAUUAUAUAUGUAUACACACAAUCACAAAUUGCAAACAGAGGCUUGCAUUUUGUGUCCUCAUAGGAGUGGUCUAUAGCUCACUUGUAUCAUUACUGAAUAAUCUUGUUAAUGCACACCUCCAUUAGACCCUACUUAUAACUGCAGUGAGGAGAGCAAGUCUAUUCUUCAUGGGUGCUAUCAGGGAGUACUGCUAUUGGGUUGGAAGAAGGCUUUAAUUUGGCAUCUUUUUUUUAAUAAUGCAAGGUAUGUGGGAUGUUUUUAUCUGGAGACUGGAGUAUCUGUACGUAGGACGACAAUUACCCGUACAGUCCGUAAAUUUGGGCUUUAUGGCAAAGUGGCCGGAAGAAAGUCAUUACUUUCAGCAAAAAAACAAAUGGCACAUUUUGAGUUUGCGAAAAGGCAUGUGGAGACUCCCAAAAUGUAUGGAGGAAGGUGCUCUGGUCUGAUGAGACUAAAAUUGAACUUUCUGGCCAUCAAAGAAAACGCUAUGUCUGGCGCAAACCCAACACAUCACCCAAAGAACACCAUCCCCACAUCGAAACAUGGUGGUGGCAGCAUCAUGUUGUGGGGAUGUUUUUCUGCAGCUGGGACUGGUAAACUGGUCAGAGUUGAGGGAAAGAUGGAUGGAGCACCUGUGCGUGAUUUGAGGCUAGGACGGAAGUUCACUUUCCUGCAGGACAAUGACCCCAAACACACUGCUAAAGCAACACUUGAGUGGUUUAAACGGAAACAUGUAAAUGUGUUGGAAUGGCCUAGUCAAAGCCCAGACCUCAAUCCAAUAGAAAAUCUAUGAUCAGACUUAAAGAUUGCUGUUCACAAGCGCAAUCCAUCCAACUUGAAGGAGCUGGAGCAGUUUUGCAAGGAGGAAUGGGCAAAAAUCCCAGUGGUAAGAUGUGGCAAGCUCAUAGAGACUUAUCCAAAGCAACUUGGAGCUGUGAUUGCCGCAAAAAGUGGCUCUACAAUAUAUUGACUUUAGGGGGGUGAAUAGUUAUGCACAUUGACUUUUUCUGUUAUUUUGUCCUAUUUGUUGUAUGCUUCACAAUAAAAAAAAUUUAAAAAAAAUAUUCAAAGUUGUGGGCAUGUUCUGUAAAUUAAAUAAUGCAAAUCCUCAAACAAUCCAUGUUAAUUCCAGGUUGUGAGGCAACAAAACACGAAAAAUGCCAAGAGGAGUGAAUACUUUUGCAAGGCACUGUAGGUGUUUGCAGUUACUGUGUUCAUUAUGCAGAAGACACCUGCCUUUAAUUUUAGUUCUAGGAUGACCUCACUGGUGGGGCCUGUAUGAUAAGGCAAUAAACACUUUUGUGUGAAAUGGACACAUGCAAGGUAAAUUAAUUUGUGGUACAUCUAAACAGGAAGCGCCCAUGGUAUCAACUCAAAAUAUUUUGUCUUGUGCCAUUGAAUAUCUGUUACGAUCUGUUAUAUGUUCAUUUUAUCAGUCUGCUAUCAUAUUUGUAGAAGUUAAUUCUCAUUUACCGCAACAAAAAAAACUGUUAUUUCAGCAUUACAUUAAAUGCGGUCCUAGGAAUUUUAUUUCUGUCAAUGCUGAGCUUUUCUUUAAAACAAAAUAAACACAUUUUAAUUAAACAUGUUAAUUCUACUUUUUCAUGUUGUGUAUUGCUUAAUGUGGCUGCAUGCUGUUAGGAGGUAUCUAAGUUCAUGAUUACCUCUGUGGGGAAUUGACCCGUAUUUCAAUUUAAAUUAAGCAAUUAAAUAAUAAGAUUCAGACUACUGAAUUAGCAAGAGUAUUAUGGUGAAAUAAUGAAAACUUUUUGAUUAGAGAUCAACAACCACAUCUGUGUUCCAUAUAUAAAGCCACAUGAUUUUAAUUUCGUGGAACGUCAAACUUCAAAACUGCUUAGGGCCCUACUAAAACUGGUGUACAUUGCCAAUGCUUGGUGUGUAGGAGAGCUGUACACAAAUCUAUGAAAAUAAAUGAUACAUCUUUUACAAUUAGGUUAAUAUGUUUAGUAUUUGCUCUGUUUUGGGUAGUAAUAGGAGAGCAUGUAUCAAAUGAAGCUGAGAAAUGUGGAAUAAUUGAUAUACUUUCUAUAACUAGUUUAAACAAAAACAUACCAAAACAGAGAAAAACUUUCACAAAAACCAUAGCUCAGUUUGUCCUAAAUUUUGUGACAUGAGCAGUUUAUUAAUCUAGGUCAGAGAGGUGAGAGAGGUAAUUAUGUUUCAACAUAUACACUUUCAAAAUAAUAUGGUGAAAAGCUAAAGUUGUAAACCAAAAUUUAGACCUAAAUUGUGGAACUACAAAUUCAAAAGUUCUUUAUAAACCACUUCCAUACUAUGUCAAGGCAUCCAUAAUCUUAAUCUUACUGUACACUACUUAAACAGCCAACAACAUGUCUUCUCUAUUCAUCCAACUCUCAUCAUGUAAGGGCUGCCUGCUGAGUUCUGCCCUAUCCCUACUUGAACAUAUAAUUCCACAGAUAUUAAAUAACAAUAGGAAUAUGUUUUAAGAAGCUGCGCCUGAUGACAUCACUGGGAUUUUCCAUAGUACCAGGGCUGGUGCAAGGCCUGUCGCCAUAGGCAAAGAUCCAUUUUCUGUUAUCUGAUUAAUGCAACUUCAUUCUCUCAGAGUAGCUUGGUAUGCCCCUAAAAUUAGGAGCAGUGGGAUCCAGGAGUCAGUUCACAAAAAAGGCUUCUCUAUAUUGGGGUGGUUAGGAAGGAAACACAUCCAAUGUAUAUGGGGUGUAUGUCUUUAAAUCUGCUAAAAGGCAGAGUCAAAUGUUACACACCAAAUUGCUCUACUUAGGAUUUCAAGAUACACACUUUAAUUAAAAAAUAGAAAAAACAGUAUGAGGAACUGCUUUCUAUAUAUUAGAACCUAGUGUGGUUUAUGACUUUAAAUUGGUAAAAAGUGACAGGACCUGUAUCAAUGUCACGUACUACGAUGCAGAUAAAAAAGUAUAAGAAUUAAAUAUAGAAUCUAUCCUAUUAAUGACACUACAGGUCUAGGACAUAUAGAUAAAAAAUCAAAAAAGUGAUAUAAAAGGUAAUUAAAACUGAUAUAAAAUUAAAAUUUAUUUAAUCAUAACAGUAUUAAAAAUAACAUUAAAAAUAUGUUCAAAUACGAAGAGAAUCAAAAAAUAAGAAUCAGGAACGUGUUGCAAGAAUAUUACCAGCACUUCAGCAGUCCUAAUAUUAACUGAACCGCAGGGACCAUCCAGGAUGGAUAUGGAUACAGUAUACUUCUCACUGUGAUCUCUGGCUGUCGGCUGUGAGGUUGGCGUGCGUCCCAGACCUCACUCUGGGAGGUGCACGCUUGCCGAUCGGUCGGUCCCCAGAUGUUUGAAAAUCGUGUUCUCAGUAAGGAGAUGUUGUUGGCUGCUGGUGUACAAAGUUUCUGCGUCCGUAUCCUGUGUGUCUAACGCGUUUCGUGGGUGUCAGCCCCACUUCAUCAGAGACGUGAUGAAGAUUCAGUGAUCCAAGUUCAUUAAAUAUACAUUCAACUAAUUAUAAUUGAUAACAUCAGUAUCACUAUUAGAAACAAUUAGAAACAAUUAAAAACAAUUGAAAACAAUUGAAAAACAUUGAUCAGUGUUCAGCUCGUAUUACUUUAUACAUGCAAAUUAAAAAGAGCUCGUAAUUACAAGAAUAAAAUAGAAGUACUUAAUUGAUGUUCAAUUUUUCAUAUGUACAUCUAGAAAUUAAUUUAGAAAUAUGAGGAUGUAGAUUUACUGAUAUAGAUACGGAUAUAUCUAAAAUAAUACAGAUAUAUGUAUAGAAAUCUUAACUCUAUAAACGAAAUAAUUCACUAAGAGAGAUAGUUGGUUUAAUUUAGGUCCCUCAAGUGUAUAUCGAGAAGGGACUCGGAGGUGCAGAAACAAUGUGAGUUAAAAAUUGAUUAAGAUACAAAAUGAUCACAGAGUAAAAGGACUGGCUCCCGGAUGCAUGAAAGGGACACAUACUUUGUGUAUAGAGACUGAAAAACGAUCACAUAGUAUAAAAGUUCAUAAGGUGCAUUCAGAUAGUAUAAAGAAUGACAUGUAUUGUGUUUAUACAUGGAUGUAUUUAAAAAUAGAACACCGUUUUUACGUGCGAGUAUUUAAUAAAAUGUAUGUGGGAAAUAUAUGUCUCUAAUAUGAGUAGGAGACCUAAGGGAAAGAAGAUCUAUGGGAAAAGAAAGAAAAAUAUAAUAAAAUAAAAAUGAAUACAAUAAAUAGAUGUAUAGGUUGAUCGAAUCAAAAAAGGGGGUUGCACAGGGAGUGUGCAACACAUAAUAGAAACCACAAUGAUCUCCCAAAGUGGAUACUUCCAAGGGUGUAGUUACAUUAGACAUAAAUUUAGAAGGGGUUAAUUUUUACCUUCAAUGCUAAUAUGUGUAUCAAUCUUUGCUGUGAGCAUAAAGUGUGUGUGUGUGACGUGUGAGAAGAAGAUCGUGCAAUAGAAAUUAAUCUUCUGCGUGCGGUAUAUAGACUAAUUAUAGUUGUGUCCUCAAAAAUAUAAUGUGUGAUAGGAAUAGUAUUUAACAUACAUACAAAUAUAUAUAUGGUAUAUGAAUAGUGGUAUCAGAUAAUGAUAUUCAUAUAUGGGAGAUGUGGUAGAAGACAGAAUAAGCAUAUAUUAACUGUCCCCAAGUGUUCCCAGUUAUAUGAAAUGUAUAAUCCUGUACAAUUAAUCUCAAAGGUGACUAUAUUAAAGGGAGAACAGGAAAAAAAAAAAAAAAGGGUAGUUUUUAUAGAAUUUGUUGAAAAAAGGGUGUUAUAAAAAGGCAUUAAGUUCGAAGUCUAUAUUUAGACCAUUGGGGACAAGAGUCUCCAGAUUGAAAAUCCAUCUUGCCUCAAUUUGGUCUAGGUUCCUUUCAAGAUUUCCACCUCUCCAAUGUACAUUAACUUUUUCAAUCGGUAAGAACUUCAAUCCUGUAGAAUCUCCUCCAUGGAAUUCUUGAAAGUGUUUAGAAAGGUUAUGUGUUUGUAAUCCUCUCUUGAUGUUGCGUAUAUGUUCUGUCACUCUAAUUCUUAGAGAUCUUUUCGUUCUUCCCACAUAUUGUUUAGAGCAGGGACACGUGAUCAGAUAGAUCACUCCUGUUGUAUUGCAAUCCAUAUUGGUCUGUAAGUUAUGUUCUUCCAUGUUGGUUGUGGAUUGAAAUUUUGUGACCUCUAGUUCCAAGGAUGGAUUAUUUUUGCAUGCCAAACAUUUCGUGCAUCUUCUAAAGCUUUUCUUUGUUGAUUCAUUUUGUGUGUUACGAAAGGUUUUUAAUGUUGGAGCCAACAGGAGAUGGAGAUUUGGUGCUUUGGUAAAAAUAAUUUUUGGUUUGGGAUCUAGAAUUUUCAUGAGUGUGGGAUCAUUUCUAAGGAUAUCCCAAUGUUUGGUUAGAAUCUUCUCUAUACUGCGAGAUUGAUGGUUAAAUUUAGUUAUAAAGGCAGGUGUUGCUUCAUAGGUAUCUAUAAUUUUAUUUCUAUUCUUCAGGGUAUCUUCCCUUGGAAUAUUCUUUGCUCUUUUGUUUAGCCUCGGUGAGUAAGGUUAUGGGAUAUCCUUUAGUUCUAAAUCUCUGCUCCAUCUCUUCCAUUUGUUCCUCACAUGUCUCCAUUUUGGAGCAGUUCCUUCUGAUCCUUCUGAAUUGAUUAUAUGGGAUAUUCUUCAACCAAGUGUGCUUGUGAUGGCUAUUGAAAGGGAUAAAGCUAUUACAAUCCACUGAUUUCUUAAAUGUUUUAGUGUGUAUCCCACCAUCUUCAAUGUAGACAUUUAAGUCUAGAAAUUCGAUCUGUUGUUGAGAAUGGUUGAAGGUGAAUUUCAGAUUGUAGGGAUUAUUGUUGAGGUAGUCUUUGAACAAUUCUAGAGAUUUCAAAUCCCCUUUCCAGAUAAAAAAGCAGUCAUCAAUGUACCUACGCCAUANNNNNNNNNNNNNNNNNNNNNNNNNNNNNNNNNNNNNNNNNNNNNNNNNNNNNNNNNNNNNNNNNNNNNNNNNNNNNNNNNNNNNNNNNNNNNNNNNNNNGAAAUAACUAAACAUUUAGAUCUUAAUUUCCUUCCCUAUUGAGGGGAAGCUUAGAAGAUUGUGGUAGGGAGUUCCAAAGAUUUGUUGCCCUUUUUCUAUAUUUGUGUAUGAAUUUACCUUCUACAUCUUAGGUAGAAUGGUUUGGCAAUCCUCCCCACUGCAGAAUUCUAAAACUUUGUUUGACUGCCCCUCCCUUAAAUCUCUACUUAUCCCUCCGUAAACUACUUUUUUAACUCUCCCCUCUCCUUCAGCAGUUUCAGCUACAAUUUUCAUUUUAUUGUAUUGCUUUUUAUACUUUUUUUUCAUUAUAUAAAGGAAAAUGUAUUCAUACUUAUGUUUUAGAUCAAAGAAAACUUUGAUAAUUUGUCUAUCUACACCUUCCAAAUUGAUUGAUUAAUGCGUGCACGCUUUCCCUAGAAGUAAUUCACACCGGAGACAAAGUUUCUGAUCAGUGAAAAACCCAGGAAUGCUUUAUUCCCCGGAGUGGGGGCUCCUUCUUAAAGCAAAAAUACGUCACAGUUUAAACAUACAGUAUACAUUCACCAAUUGGUUAACAGUCUAAGGGGGGUCUUGUAUAAACCCCCCUACAAUAUGUAGUGUCAUCAUUACAGACUUCUGGAUACACGAUGGGAGGGGGAGUGAGUAGUUUCUUUCAGUUACUUUAACAGUGAUUCUCCAUUUUGUUAUACGUGGCAUAUAGCUGUUAACUGGCACAAAGGUAGUGGGGGAGGAGUUAGUAAAGGGAGCUGUUAUCACAGGAAUUUUGGUUACACAAGGUUUGCUUGAUUUGAAGGGGGAUGCUUAGCACGAUGAAGAAUUUACAUAGUAAACAGCAACUGAACACAUUGUAGGGAGGGAAGGGAAUAUUUACUCUAGCAGCCAGUUUUAACAUAGUGAACAGAGAAUAAAUAGACAUUAGUAAAUAGCCAAAAUGGUCUGGUAUGCCUAUUGCAACACCCAGGGAUGAGGGAGUCCGACUUAUAGCGAAAUGUCUCAAACUGGAUAAUGGCAGGGGUUUCACCAAAUACCCCGCCUUAAGAAUAGGAGUAGCUUGGUAUGCCCCUAAAAUUAGGAGCAGUGGGAUCCAGGAGUCAGUUCACAAAAAAGGCUUCUCUAUAUUGGGGUGGUUAGGAAGGAAACACAUCCAAUGUAUAUGGGGUGUAUGUCUUUAAAUCUGCUAAAAGGCAGAGUCAAAUGUUACACACCAAAUUGCUCUACUUAGGAUUUCAAGAUACACAUUUUAAUUAAAAAAUAGAAAAAACAGUAUGAGGAACUGCUUUCUAUAUAUUAGAACCUAGUGUGGUUUAUGACUUAAAAUUGGUAAAAAGUGACAGGACCUGUAUCAAUGUCACGUACUACGAUGCAGAUAAAAAAGUAUAAAAAUCAAAUAUAGAAUCUAUCCUAUUAGUGACACUACAGGUCUAGGACAUAUAGAUAAAAAAAUCAAAAAAGUGAUAUAAAAAGUAAUUAAAACUGAUAUAAAAUUAAAAUUUAUUUAAUCAUAACAGUAUUAAAAAUAACAUUAAAAAUAUGUUCAAAUACGAAGAGAAUCAAAAAAUAAGAAUCAGGAACGUGUUGCAAGAAUAUUACCAGCACUUCAGCAGUCCUAAUAUUAACUGAACCGCAGGGACCAUCCAGGAUGGAUAUGGAUACAGUAUACUUCUCACUGUGAUCUCUGGCUGUCGGCUGUGAGGUUGGCGUGCGUCCCAGACCUCACUCUGGGAGGUGCACGCUUGCCGAUCGGUCGGUCCCCAGAUGUUUGAAAAUCGUGUUCUCAGUAAGGAGAUGUUGUUGGCUGCUGGUGUACAAAGUUUCUGCGUCCGUAUCCUGUGUGUCUAACGCGUUUCGUGGGUGUCAGCCCCACUUCAUCAGAGACGUGAUGAAGAUUCAGUGAUCCAAGUUCAUUAAAUAUACAUUCAACUAAUUAUAAUUGAUAACAUCAGUAUCACUAUUAGAAACAAUUAGAAACAAUUAAAAACAAUUGAAAACAAUUGAAAAACAUUGAUCAGUGUUCAGCUCGUAUUGCUUUAUACAUGCAAAUUAAAAAGAGCUCGUAAUUACAAGAAUAAAAUAGAAGUACUUAAUUGAUGUUCAAUUUUUCAUAUGUACAUCUAGAAAUUAAUUUAGAAAUACGAGGAUGUAGAUUUACUGAUAUAGAUACGGAUAUAUCUAAAAUAAUACAGAUAUAUGUAUAGAAAUCUUAACUCUAUAAACGAAAUAAUUCACUAAGAGAGAUAGUUGGUUUAAUUUAGGUCCCUCAAGUGUAUAUCGAGAAGGGACUCAGAGGUGCAGAAACAAUGUGAGUUAAAAGUUAAUUAAGAUACAAAAUGAUCACAGAGUAAAAGGACUGGCUUCCGGAUGCAUGAAAGGGACACAUACUUUGUGUAUAGAGACUGAAAAACGAUCACAUAGUAUAAAAGUUCAUAAGGUGCAUUCAGAUAGUAUAAAGAAUGACAUGUAUUGUGUUUAUACAUGGAUGUAUUUAAAAAUAGAACACCGUUUUUACGUGCGAGUAUUUAAUAAAAUGUAUGUGGAAAAUAUAUGUCUCUAAUAUGAGUAGGAGACCUAAGGGAAAGAAGAUCUAUGGGAAAAGAAAGAAAAAUAUAAUAAAAUAAAAAUGAAUACAAUAAAUAGAUGUAUAGGUUGAUCGAAUCAAAAAAGGGGGUUGCACAGGGAGUGUGCAACACAUAAUAGAAACCACAAUGAUCUCCCAAAGUGGAUACUUCCAAGGGUGUAUUUACAUUAGACAUAAAUUUAGAAGGGGUUAAUUUUUACCUUCAAUGCUAAUAUGUGUAUCAAUCUUUGCUGUGAGCAUAAAUGUGUGUGUGUGACGUGUGAGAAGAAGAUCGUGCAAUAGAAAUUAAUCUUCUGCGUGCGGUAUAUAGACUAAUUAUAGUUGUGUCCUCAAAAAUAUAAUGUGUGAUAGGAGUAGUAUUUAACAUACAUACAAAUAUAUAUAUGGUAUAUGAAUAGUGGUAUCAGAUAAUGAUAUUCAUAUAUGGGAGAUGUGGUAGAAGACAGAGUAAGCAUAUAUUAACUGUCCCCAAGUGCUCCCAGUUAUAUGAAAUGUAUAAUCCUGUACAAUUAAUCUCAAAGGUGACUAUAUUAAAGGGAGAACAGAAAAAAAAAAAAAAAAAGGGUAGUUUUUAUAGAAUUUGUUGUAAAAAGGGUGUUAUAAAAAGGCAUUAAGUUCGAAGUCUAUAUUUAGACCGUUGGGGACAAGAGUCUCCAGAUUGAAAAUCCAUCUUGCCUCAAUUUGGUCUAGGUUCCUUUCAAGAUUUCCACCUCUCCAAUGUACAUUAACUUUUUCAAUCGGUAAGAACUUCAAUCCUGUAGAAUCUCCUCCAUGGAAUUCUUGAAAGUGUUUAGAAAGGUUAUGUGUUUGUAAUCCUCUCUUGAUGUUGCGUAUAUGUUCUGUCACUCUAAUUCUUAGAGAUCUUUUUGUUCUUCCCACAUAUUGUUUAGAGCAGGGGCACGUGAUCAGAUAGAUCACUCCUGUUGUAUUGCAAUCCAUAUUGGUCUGUAAGUUAUGUUCUUCCAUGUUGGUUGUGGAUUGAAAUUUUGUGACCUCUAGUUCCAAGGAUGGAUUAUUUUUGCAUGCCAAACAUUUCGUACAUCUUCUAAAGCUUUUCUUUGUUGAUUCAUUUUGUGUGUUACGAAAGGUUUUUAAUGUUGGAGCCAACAGGAGAUGGAGAUUUGGUGCUUUGGUAAAAAUAAUUUUUGGUUUGGGAUCUAGAAUUUUCAUGAGUGUGGGAUCAUUUCUAAGGAUAUCCCAAUGUUUGGUUAGAAUCUUCUCUAUACUGCGAGAUUGAUGGUUGAAUUUAGUUAUAAAGGCAGGUGUUGCUUCAUAGGUAUCUAUAAUUUUAUUUCUAUUCUUCAGGGUAUCUUCCCUUGGAAUAUUCUUUGCUUUUUGUUUAGCCUCGGUGAGUAAGGUUAUGGGAUAUCCUUUAGUUCUAAAUCUCUGCUCCAUCUCUUCCAUUUGUUCCUCACAUGUCUCCAUUUUGGAGCAGUUCCUUCUGAUCCUUCUGAAUUGAUUAUAUGGGAUAUUCUUCAACCAAGUGUGCUUGUGAUGGCUAUUGAAAGGGAUAAAGCUAUUACAAUCCACUGAUUUCUUAAAUGUUUUAGUGUGUAUCCCACCAUCUUCAAUGUAGACAUUUAAGUCUAGAAAUUCGAUCUGUUGUUGAGAAUGGUUGAAGGUGAAUUUCAGAUUGUAGGGAUUAUUGUUGAGGUAGUCUUUGAACAAUUCUAGAGAUUUCAAAUCCCCUUUCCAGAUAAAAAAGCAGUCAUCAAUGUACCUACGCCAUAGGGACAGAUUUGCGUCAAAAGGGCAAUCGUUCCAUAUGAAUUCCUCUUCCCAUUUGCCCUUAAAUAAAUUAGCGUAGCUUGGCGCAAAUCUUGUCCCCAUGGCUGUACCCUCUAUCUGCAAAUAAAAACAGUCAUUGCACCAAAAAUAAUUGUGUGUAAGAAUAAAUGCAAUGCACUGUAUUAAAAAAUCAAUUUGGUCAUUUUUUAAUUCCGUAUAUACUGCUAGGGAGUAUUGGAUGGCUUCGCAUCCUUGUAGAUGUUCGAUCACCGUGUAUAGUGAAGUGACGUCCGCUGUGACUAAAACCAUAUCCUCUGUCCAAUUAAAAUCAGCUAAAAGGUUUAAAAUCUGUGUGGAGUCUCUGAGGUAGGAUUUGAGAUGAGGUACAAUUUUUUGUUGGUAUUGGUCUACGUAUUCAGAGAGGUUUGCUGUGAGGGAUCCAAUUCCUGAUAUAAUUGGUCUACCUGGUGGUUUAGAUAACUGUUUGUGAAUUUUAGGUAGAUGAUAAAAUACUGGUAUUCGUGGAAAUUGGGUAAAUAUAUACCGAAAUUCUCUAUCGUUAAUGAUCCCCCUCUCUCUCCCUUGAUCCAAUAUAAUUCUCAGUUUCUCUUUAAAUUGUGNNNNNNNNNNNNNNNNNNNNNNNNNNNNNNNNNNNNNNNNNNNNNNNNNNNNNNNNNNNNNNNNNNNNNNNNNNNNNNNNNNNNNNNNNNNNNNNNNNNNUCCACGUAUUCGAUAUUGGAGCAGGACCCUACAACACAAUUUAAAGAGAAACUGAGAAUUAUAUUGGAUCAAGGGAGAGAGAGGGGGAUCAUUAACGAUAGAGAAUUUCGGUAUAUAUUUACCCAAUUUCCACGAAUACCAGUAUUUUACCAUCUACCUAAAAUUCACAAACAGUUAUCUAAACCACCAGGUAGACCAAUUAUAUCAGGAAUUGGAUCCCUCACAGCAAACCUCUCUGAAUACGUAGACCAAUACCUACAAAAAAUUAUACCUCAUCUCAAAUCCUACCUCAGAGACUCCACACAGAUUUUAAACCUUUUAGCUGAUUUUAAUUGGACAGAGGAUAUGGUUUUAGUCACAGCGGACGUCACUUCACUAUACACGGUGAUCGAACAUCUACAAGGAUGCGAAGCCAUCCAAUACUCCCUAGCAGUAUAUACGGAAUUAAAAAAUGACCAAAUUGAUUUUUUAAUACAGUGCAUUGCAUUUAUUCUUACACACAAUUAUUUUUGGUGCAAUGACUGUUUUUAUUUGCAGAUAGAGGGUACAGCCAUGGGGACAAGAUUUGCGCCAAGCUACGCUAAUUUAUUUAUGGGCAAAUGGGAAGAGGAAUUCAUAUGGAACGAUUGCCCUUUUGACGCAAAUCUGUCCCUAUGGCGUAGGUACAUUGAUGACUGCUUUUUUAUCUGGAAAGGGGAUUUGAAAUCUCUAGAAUUGUUCAAAGACUACCUCAACAAUAAUCCCUACAAUCUGAAAUUCACCUUCAACCAUUCUCAACAACAGAUCGAAUUUCUAGACUUAAAUGUCUACAUUGAAGAUGGUGGGAUACACACUAAAACAUUUAAGAAAUCAGUGGAUUGUAAUAGCUUUAUCCCUUUCAAUAGCCAUCACAAGCACACUUGGUUGAAGAAUAUCCCAUAUAAUCAAUUCAGAAGGAUCAGAAGGAACUGCUCCAAAAUGGAGACAUGUGAGGAACAAAUGGAAGAGAUGGAGCAGAGAUUUAGAACUAAAGGAUAUCCCAUAACCUUACUCACCGAGGCUAAACAAAGAGCAAAGAAUAUUCCAAGGGAAGAUACCCUGAAGAAUAGAAAUAAAAUUAUAGAUACCUAUGAAGCAACACCUGCCUUUAUAACUAAAUUCAACCAUCAAUCUCGCAGUAUAGAGAAGAUUCUAACCAAACAUUGGGAUAUCCUUAGAAAUGAUCCUACACUCAUGAAAAUUCUAGAUCCCAAACCAAAAAUUAUUUUUACCAAAGCACCAAAUCUCCAUCUCCUGUUGGCUCCAACAUUAAAAACCUUUCGUAACACACAAAAUGAAUCAACAAAGAAAAGCUUUAGAAGAUGCACGAAAUGUUUGGCAUGCAAAAAUAAUCCAUCCUUGGAACUAGAGGUCACAAAAUUUCAAUCCACAACCAACAUGGAAGAACAUAACUUACAGACCAAUAUGGAUUGCAAUACAACAGGAGUGAUCUAUCUGAUCACGUGUCCCUGCUCUAAACAAUAUGUGGGAAGAACGAAAAGAUCUCUAAGAAUUAGAGUGACAGAACAUAUACGCAACAUCAAGAGAGGAUUACAAACACAUAACCUUUCUAAACACUUUCAAGAAUUCCAUGGAGGAGAUUCUACAGGAUUGAAGUUCUUACCGAUUGAAAAAGUUAAUGUACAUUGGAGAGGUGGAAAUCUUGAAAGGAACCUAGACCAAAUUGAGGCAAGAUGGAUUUUCAAUCUGGAGACUCUUGUCCCCAAUGGUCUAAAUAUAGACUUCGAACUUAAUGCCUUUUUAUAACACCCUUUUUUCAACAAAUUCUAUAAAAACUACCCUUUUUUUUUUUUUUUCCUGUUCUCCCUUUAAUAUAGUCACCUUUGAGAUUAAUUGUACAGGAUUAUACAUUUCAUAUAACUGGGAACACUUGGGGACAGUUAAUAUAUGCUUAUUCUGUCUUCUACCACAUCUCCCAUAUAUGAAUAUCAUUAUCUGAUACCACUAUUCAUAUACCAUAUAUAUAUUUGUAUGUAUGUUAAAUACUAUUCCUAUCACACAUUAUAUUUUUGAGGACACAACUAUAAUUAGUCUAUAUACCGCACGCAGAAGAUUAAUUUCUAUUGCACGAUCUUCUUCUCACACGUCACACACACACACUUUAUGCUCACAGCAAAGAUUGAUACACAUAUUAGCAUUGAAGGUAAAAAUUAACCCCUUCUAAAUUUAUGUCUAAUGUAACUACACCCUUGGAAGUAUCCACUUUGGGAGAUCAUUGUGGUUUCUAUUAUGUGUUGCACACUCCCUGUGCAACCCCCUUUUUUUUUUUUUUUGAUUCGAUCAACCUAUACAUCUAUUUAUUGUAUUCAUUUUUAUCUUAUUAUAUUUAUCUUUCUUUUCCCAUAGAUCUUCUUUCCCUUAGGUCUCCUACUCAUAUUAGAGACAUAUAUUUCCCACAUACAUUUUAUUAAAUACUCGCACGUAAAAACGGUGUUCUAUUUUUAAAUACAUCCAUGUAUAAACACAAUACAUGUCAUUCUUUAUACUAUCUGAAUGCACCUUAUGAACUUUUAUACUAUGUGAUCGUUUUUCAGUCUCUAUACACAAAGUAUGUGUCCCUUUCAUGCAUCCGGAAGCCAGUCCUUUUACUCUGUGAUCAUUUUGUAUCUUAAUCAAUUUUUAACUCACAUUGUUUCUGCACCUCUGAGUCCCUUCUCGAUAUACACUUGAGGGACCUAAAUUAAACCAACUAUCUCUCUUAGUGAAUUAUUUCGUUUAUAGAGUUAAGAUUUCUAUACAUAUAUCUGUAUUAUUUUAGAUAUAUCCGUAUCUAUAUCAGUAAAUCUACAUCCUCAUAUUUCUAAAUUAAUUUCUAGAUGUACAUAUAAAAAAUUGAACAUCAAUUAAGUACUUCUAUUUUAUUCUUGCAAUUACGAGCUCUUUUUAAUUUGCAUGUAUAAAGUAAUACGAGCUGAACACUGAUCAAUGUUUUUCAAUUGUUUUCAAUUGUUUUUAAUUGUUUCUAAUUGUUUCUAAUAGUGAUACUGAUGUUAUCAAUUAUAAUUAGUUGAAUGUAUAUUUAAUGAACUUGGAUCACUGAAUCUUCAUCACGUCUCUGAUGAAGUGGGGCUGACACCCACGAAACGCGUUAGACACACAGGAUACGGACGCAGAAACUUUGUACACCAGCAGCCAACAACAUCUCCUUACUGAGAACACGAUUUUCAAACAUCUGGGGACCGACCGAUCGGCAAGCGUGCACCUCCCAGAGUGAGGUCUGGGACGCACGCCAACCUCACAGCCGACAGCCAGAGAUCACAGUGAGAAGUAUACUGUAUCCAUAUCCAUCCUGGAUGGUCCCUGCGGUUCAGUUAAUAUUAGGACUGCUGAAGUGCUGGUAAUAUUCUUGCAACACGUUCCUGAUUCUUAUUUUUUGAUUCUCUUCGUAUUUGAACAUAUUUUUAAUGUUAUUUUUAAUACUGUUAUGAUUAAAUAAAUUUUAAUUUUAUAUCAGUUUUAAUUACCUUUUAUAUCACUUUUUUGAUUUUUUAUCUAUAUGUCCUAGACCUGUAGUGUCAUUAAUAGGAUAGGUUCUAUAUUUAAUUUUUAUACUUUUUUAUCUGCAUCGUAGUACGUGACAUUGAUACAGGUCCUGUCACUUUUUACCAAUUUAAAGUCAUAAACCACACUAGGUUCUAAUAUAUAGAAAGCAGUUCCUCAUACUGUUUUUUCUAUUUUUUAAUUAAAGUGUGUAUCUUGAAAUCCUAAGUAGAGCAAUUUGGUGUGUAACAUUUGACUCUGCCUUUUAGCAGAUUUAAAGACAUACACCCCAUAUACAUUGGAUGUGUUUCCUUCCUAACCACCCCAAUAUAGAGAAGCCUUUUUUGUGAACUGACUCCUGGAUCCCACUGCUCCUAAUUUUAGGGGCAUACCAAGCUACUCCUAUUCUUAAGGCGGGGUAUUUGGUGAAACCCCUGCCAUUAUCCAGUUUGAGACAUUUCGCUAUAAGUCGGACUCCCUCAUCCCUGGGUGUUGCAAUAGGCAUACCAGACCAUUUUAACUUCAUUCUCUCAGAGGUUUAUUCACUAAGCUCUGAAUUUCAAAGUUUAAGCAAGAACAGCUGUGUUACCUAAUACAUAUAUCCAUACACACAGGCUUCCUGUACCCUACAGGUGUCAAUUUAAAAUACUAACCCUCACCAUAAAGCCCUAACCAACUCUAUCACCUCUUACAUUUCUUCACUGAUUCAUAGGUAUGCCCCCUCUCUGUCUCUCCGCUCUACUGGUGACCUUCUCCUAUCUACUGCUUGCACCCUUACUGCAAAUUCACGCCUGCAAGACUUCUCACUAGCUGCUCCUUUCCUUUGGAACAACCUGCAUACCCCUGUCAGACUCUUCCCUAGUCUUCAAUUCUUUAAGAUGUCCCUCAAAACCCAUCUUUUCAGGAUUGCUUAUGGCCUGCAAUAGUAACUUCUAUCUCUCAAACCUUCCUCUUGCUCUCUUCUAAAGGGCCACACUCCACUCUUACCUCUAGUUCUGCUACUUUCCCUCCAUGUCUAUUUUCUGUCUCCCUCAAUACACUUCCUAUUGUGUUUUUAUACCCCACCUCCUCUAGAUUGUAAGUUGGUUUGAGCAGGGUCCUCAACUAGCUAUUGUUCCUGUUACAUUUUGUUAUUGUCUCAUUUGGUAAAUUCCCCUCUUAUUGUAAAGCACUGCAGAAUAAGCUGGCACUAUAUAAAUAAUAAUAAUAAUAAUAAUACAUACACCCAUCUACACAUGCUGCCUAAUGCAUACAGUACAUACAUCUAUACACAUAUAUUGCCCAGUACAUAAAUCCAUAUACGCAUUCUGCUUAAUGCACACAUCCAUACACACAUACUGCCUAAUACAUACAGUACAUACAUCAAUGCACACAUAUUACCUAAUACAUACAUCCAUUCUCACAUACUGCCUAAUGAAUACAGUACAUACACCCAUACACAUACUGUCUUAUACAUACAUCAAUACACAUGUACUGCCUAUUGCAUACUUCCAUACAUUCAUACUGCCUAAUACAUAUCUUACAUUGAAUAAAUAAUUUAUCACUGUGACAAAUGAUGUAUUCAAUGUAUUUGGUGGGAUUUAAUUCAUAAUAAUCAUGGCAUUUAAUUUAUAAUAAUGGUAGGAUUUGAUUUACAAUAAUGGUGGGAUUCAAUUUAUGUUACAAUAAACUUGUCUGACAGGUUCACUGUAAAACAAAAUUCAAUAUAAGAUAAAUAUAUUAAUAUGUAUUAUAAAAUAUAAUUUAAUAUAUAGGGAUCUGGCAUACACACGCACACACUCUCGCUGACAUACACACUCAAAGUAGAACAAAAAUAGAGAGGUCCACGCACUCCAGAUCUCAGUAAAAUAGGCAGUUUAUUGAACUCACAGCCAAAGCAACGCUUCGACCAAACUGGUUUUUGUCAAGCAUGACAAAGACCAGUUUGGUUUAAACGUUGCUUUGGCUGUGUGUUCAGUAAACUGCCUAGACCGCUCUAUUUUUGUUCUACGUAUCUAUUGGUCUCUUGGUACUGGGGCCGACCUGGUUCCACCCAGACUCAGAUUACUUCCAUCUUAGUUCCAUCUUAUUUUCUACAAAUAAACACACAAAGUGUCCUGGUUCCCUCCUUAGGUGAUAUCCCCUUGUGCAGUACCAUUGAUCACCACUUACCCUGUUUGGUGAUAUUCCCUACAUCUAGGAACAUUAGCACUUCAGCCUUUAUGGUCUGGCCUCACCCUUCCUUCUGGGCCAGAUCAUUGUUUCAUUUUUCUUGUUGCAGUAUAGGCAUUGUACCUUGUGGCUCUAUACCCUGUGUCUCUGGCCUUGCAUCCUGUGACUCUGGCUUUGCAUCUGGUGACUCUGUAUCUUGUGACCCUGGCCUUGCAUCCUUUCGCUCUGACUGUGCAUCCUGUGGCUCUGGACUUGAACCCUGUCUAUUUCCUAUGCAACAUACCUGUUCCUGCCCAGCAUACUCUAUUUAACCCAGAAGGACUGUACCAUGAAACACAGUCCGCACCUCCUGUGCUAGACCUUGGUCUACUGUAUGAUUUAUAUUGUCACUGGAUUAGUGUAUUUUAUUCUUUGGUUACCUUGUAUCUUAUUUGUUUACUUCUUAUAAUAUAAUUCAUGUCUGCAUUCAUUCCUUGUGGUUGUCAGUUAUUUUCUCUGCAUAUUGGGUUCCUGUUCUUGAAGGGAUUUGCUGUCAUAGGUCAGCACCUCUUCCCACCCUCACAGACCCUGACACAAAGUCACUUGCACACUCACUAAACACACAUACACACUUUUACUGACAUAUAUGCACACAAUGUCACUUACAUACUCUCACUAAAACAUACACUGUUACUGAUAUACACACACAAUGUCACUCACACAGUUUACAUAGUCACACUUUAUUUAACCACACACAAACAAAUCAACUUAACACAAAAUUGCCCCCUUAGCCUCCAGAUGGGCCAUACCCAUGCUAAUGCUGGAAAUGAAGGAAACAAGCCCCACACAGGAGCAGCCCACCAGAUAACUUCCUGGUAGGCUUCCCUAACACAUCGCUGUCCCAGGCAAAUGGUGCUAGCAUACAGUAAACCAUAUAAUUUUUAAACUUUUAUUUUUGACCUUCCUUACUAAUAGCGAAGUACAAGGUAUAAAUAAUUGUUGUCUUACUAUAUAGACUAUUUCCACACAUAUAGCUUAAAACAACUUCUACACUGACUAAUAUAUAGAUUCUGCCACUAAUAUACAUAUUCCUCACUGCCAUGUACAAUUGUAUCUGCCUCUUUUUAAGUUAUCUUAUACAUGGACAAGUGGAAACACUAAAAGCUAUAUACUAAGAACUUGAAGCCCCUACUGAAGUUCAUUUUCUUUAUUUAUCUGAAGUUUAUUUUCUUUACCUACAUACACAACCAAUAAGAGUGGAUCUUUCAAAACGUCUAACUACGGGGUGAAAUGAAUUGUGUGCUAUUUUUUUUUUUGUAUUACUACUUUUCAAAUUCAUUUAAUCUAUAAUUGCUACCUCUGAAUCCUCCUGUUAUCCUGAUGUUGGAACAUCAUUCCUUGUAUAUCCCACCUAAAAUUUUGGAUUGAGCAUAAACUAUUUCUGUAAACCAAGUGAGUAGAUCUUCUGUUAUUUUGACUUUAUUUUAAUACAACGUGCACUAUAUUUUAUUUUUUGUUUUCAUAUAUCACAGUGAGAGUUUUAACCUUCAUAUAUCCGAGAGAGAUCUGUACAUAUAUCCACGAGCCAUCAAAAGGACCCAAGUCUCUUUUCAGCCUUUAUAAAUAAGUAACUAUGUAACAUUGCUGUUUUCCUAAAAAAAGAAAAAAAUAUGGUGUCAAUUAUAUGACCAGUGGGAUUAUGAGUAAUGUCCCUGUUGGCUCGGUCCACCUGUUGGGCUACCAAGCUUUGCCUGGACAUAGUUACAUAGUUACAUAGCUGAAAAGAGACUUGCGUCCAUCAAGUUCAGCCUUCCUCACAUAUGUUUUUGUUGUUGUUGUUGAUCCAAAAGAAGGCAAAAAACAUAGUUGAAGCGCUUCCAAUUUUGCAACAAACUAGGAAAAAAAUCCUUCUUGACCCCAUAAUAUAGUAGUCCGAUGUCUCCUUGGAUCAAGAAGCUAUUACCCCACUAAUUUGAAAUUGUAUCCAUGUAUUUUGUGUUUUUGCAAGUAUUUAUCCAAUCGCAGUUUAAACAUCUGUAUGGACUCUGAUAAAACCACUUCUUCAGGCAGAGAAUUCCAUAUCCGUAUUGCUCUCACUGUAAAAACAACAACUUUUCUUUGCCUCUUUUCUGUGCCACAUUAAAAAUGAACAUUUUUACUGCCAAAGCAUAGGGAAGUAUACUGAAUCAUAUUAAAAGCUUGCACUCAAUUCUUUUGACCACCAUUUAAUACACUUGAACAGAUUAAGCUACUGUACCCCUUUUGCCUUAUUAGCAGAAAUAAAUCAACCUAGUUAUCCUAAUCGACCUAAGGCCCAGCACUCCGUAGUAACCCCUUGAUGGAUAUUUUACUGGUUUGUCAUCUAUGGCACUGAAUUUGGACUUGUGUGUGAGGGAGGUUGUUUGCUUUAUUUUUUAUAAUUACUAAAUAUCCACUAGCAGAAAGAAAAGAAAGAAAAAAACCUCUUUAUGCUUUUUUUUUUCCAAAGAUAAUACUGUUGAGAAGAGAAGGUAGAGUGAGUGACAGUUUAAUUUGUUUAUUUUUGUAGUGUCUGCAGUCUUACUGCCAGGCUCAUUAACUUUUUUAAACUUUUUCCUUCCUCUGUGUCAAGGUAGAAUUAUAUUGGUAUCACAACAGCUGGGGUUCUUUUAUUUCUUUCCAGAUUAUUGCACUUUAUUUCUGGCAAAGGAAUAGAAAACCUGAGAUUGUCACCAGCUACGACUUUCACUUCAAAAACAUUUGAAGGAUAGAAUGCUUAUCUUUGACAUAAUUAGUAUAGUGAGUAACUGUGUUUCCACUCAACCAAGCCUUAAUGGGUGGCAUUACAUAUGAUAUUAUUUAUGCAAUCAUUAACUAUUAAUAUAUAAAAAUGGCAUGUGAACCUAUGCUUAGCAUGCAUAAAACCACAACGUUAAAACAAUUAAAUUCUAUACUGUGAUGUUCAACAUGGCUUUCAGUCCAAAUAAAUGUAUUAAUGUGUAAAACAGUCAUUGAGCUCUGCAUCUUUUUGACAUCUUAUCAACUGAGCUUGUUUUAAAAUUAAAUAUUAUAAGGGGUUAAUUAAGUAAUUGGUUCUGCUGAUUUUAAAACACCAGGAACAAUAGAACAAGAGACUUCACUGUCUGUAUAAAAGUACACUGAUCAGAUACACAGGAGCUGUAUCCCUGGUUAACAGUGCAAAGAUGGUAGACACAGUCAACCUUUCACUAUAUGUCAACAGUCAACACUCACUCAGUCAGAAUAAUAGCAGAUGAGCUGUAUUACAGCUCCUUAGUCAAUUCUUUAAUCAGUUGAAAAAUAUAGGACACAAGCCAGGGUUACCAGAUAUACCAUUUUUACAGGGACACAUAUAAUGUCAUAUUUAUGAAAAGGAGUGAAAACGGUUGCCCUAUAAUAUGUAUAAUGCAUAUUCUGCAUGAGUUCCUAAUCGCUUUUGCAUGAAUCUUCAUUGCCUAAUUGCUUAAUCUUAUACACCUUCUUCUGAAUUUUGCACUUUACAGUGCUACCCUCAUCAUGUGCUGCCCAUUAAUAUGUAUAUAUGAUAUGUGUCCUAGAACACAUGGUGGAUCUGCUUACCGUGAACACAACACAUCACCAAUGUGAAUUCCUAUGUGUGAAUACUAUUUCAUGGUGCACAUUUGGCUACAUAAUGUAGAUAACAUUUCAACAUGCUUAUUUUAGGAAGCCAACAUCAGUUUCCAACUGGCAAGACAUCUAACAUACAAAUGAUAGACCUCUUAGUGUGUUCAAGGAAAUUCAACACUAUGUACCAAAAUAAAGUCUAUGAUAGGAGUGGAAUAAUGCCACAAUGUUCAGGUAUUUUUAUUUUUUUUAGUUAGUUUUAUACUUGUCCCUGUUUUGUUUUCUCUUUAUUAUGCCUCUCUUGGCAAAGUAAAAGAGAACACUUUACUGUCCAAAUACAAAAUAAAUACAAAUCACUGUUUAGUAGAUAUACACAAACAAAAACAUGCAUGUAUUUUAAUUAUGCAUUGUUUUCAUUGAAAGUAUAUCUAAAACCAGGUUGCAAAACCUGCAGAUAUUUUGUCUGCUGCCUUUGCAAGCCCUCCUCUUUUAACCCCGCCCAGGCUUUAUAUGAAUGUCCAAUCACAGACUUCCCAAUGCAGCUUAAUGAAAAGUCUUUGAAAGGCAGGUGCACUGGACAAUUGCUGCCUCUUGAACUCAGUGCAAAUAAGCUAACCAAUCCAGGAAGUAGUAAUACCUGUUGUCUGCUUGAAAAUCUAUAGGGGUAAAACCAGUAUAAUUUAUAAAUGUGUCAAUUUUCAAAAUGAAAAUAAGAGGACACACUCUUCACAAAUAAAGCUUUUCACCAAGCUAAAGUGCUUUUAUAAUUACUUUGGAUUCCACUAUCACCUGAAUGCUGAUGACACCCAGAUAUAUCUCUUCUCCCCUGAUUGUUCACCUGCUGUCCUAGAACAUGUCACUGCUUGCCUUUAUUCCAUCUCGGAUUGGAUGUCCUCCCGCUUUCUGAAACUCAUUCUCUCAAAACUGAGUUUCUUAUUUUUCCUCCACAUGAUACUAAUUCUCCUCUUUUGCUCUACUUGCAAGUUGAUUGUACCUGCAUCAGCCCGUUCUUGACAAUUCCUGUUGAUUCCAUCUUCGAAACAUUGCCCCCAUUCACACCUUUCUUAUGCAAGAUGCUACUAAGGAACUUGUUCGUGCUCUAGUCAUGUCUCAUAUUGAUUACUGUAAUUCUCUGAUCAUUUUCUUUCUGCAGUCCAUAAUUAAUGCUCCUCUGUCAAUCCUUUCAUUGGCUUCCUGUACCCUAUAGGAGUUAAUCCAAAAUACUAAACCUUACCUAUAAAGUUUUAGACAAUUCUAGACCAUUACAUUUCUUCACUAAGUCAAACAUUGUUUCACUUCUCUUCUUCUUUGGAUACUUUGUCUACUGUCCUUUAUCAGUUUGCCAGUUGCAAAAGACAGAGUUUAUAAAAAUUAUUGACAGGGAACUAAGGUGGACAUGUCCAGAUGCAGAAUAAAGGACUGUGCAGUAGCGGUGGGCUCUAUGGUGGAACUGAAUCCCAAUAUCUGUUUGCUAAGUAACCUUAUAAAAUAUGUAAGAAUGCAUUUUUAUGUGUGCUCUGUUCCUUAAUUUGUGUUAUGCAGAUGCAGAAUAAAGACAUGUUGGUUUCUUAAGUUAAUAUUAUUGCCAACAUCUAACACAUAGGAAAGUAUAGUAUUUAAAUCUGGGGAAGUUACAGUUUCCCUUUAAGAAUGUAAAAAACUGUAAUUAUUAUUAUUAUUAUUAUUAUUAUAAUUAUUAUUAACAGUCACCAACGUAACAUCAAACAAAAUCAAAACAAUUAUUCAUUAGGAUAAAUUAAUAAAAAAUAAAAAAAAGAUUUUAUGUUUGAUAUAUUUAUUUUAGAACAAGGUUUUGUACAUAUUUUUUAGACAUACACAUAUGAAAGAUUUCCAUAAUCCCUGUAACAUUUUUUAUUUUUUUUUAACUGGACUUCAUGAAUAUGGAUUAUUACAAAGAGGAAUUAAAGUACCUGAGGGUCAAAUUAAAUUUCUGCACAAGGUAUUUUAAACCAUUAAAUCUACGAUCUGAUCUGAACACUGCAGAAACUUCAAAUGCAAAGUUCUACCAUAUUCAAGAUCAGCUGCAAGUAGCACUCCUGUGUUAAAUAAUAAACGUGUUAUGAAAGAUUAAGAUUAAUGGUGACAAUAUGACAUAUACCACAUCUAUUAUUAAUAAUUUGCACUACCCUAGGCCAGAGUAUGAAAAAAUUAUUUAAAAUAUAGAAACAUACUUAUGAAAUUUUCUUUCAAAUGACUACUCAAUAGUAAAGUGAUUAGAAAUAUGGCAAUGCGUAUGCUUGACCAGACACUGAAAAUUGUUAAUGGCCUGCUACUUGAACAUGAGAAAGUGUUAUUUCAGAAACAUUAUCUAGAUUUCUAAAAGUUUUUUUUGCGAUGGAACAAUAUGAACAUAGUAGCCUAUUCUCAAAGCAAUGUUAUACAAAAUGUAUAUUUAAAAACACUUUGCUUCUGCGCUGGUUUUACCAUAGCUUCAUUCUGCCUCUUUGCUUCUCUCUGUAAAUUUCUUAGAAAUAAUAUAAAAUGUGUGCAUGUUAAUACCUGGAUGAUGACCCCUACCUCUUCCUCCACUUGGUGUAGGAUAUAUGGUAAUACAUGGGAGGGGUUCAACCUUCGUAGCUGAGGGUUAUAAAAAUAAUAGUGGGAAAGGCAUCCUUACGCACCCUACACCAGGCAUGGGCAAUCUUCGGCACUGCAGAUGUUUUGGACUACACAUCCCAUGAUGCUUAGCCAGCAUUAUGUGUGUAAGAGCAUUAUGGGAGAUGUAGUCCACAACAUCUGGAGUGCCGAAGGUUGCCUAUCCCUGCCCUAGACCAACGUUCCCUGGACCAAGGCAUGUCCAGUCCCUGGCUUUAAAUCAAAUUGGACAGCAGUGUGCUCAAUUAUUUAAACCCCUUCUCUAGUUACCCCCUUAAGAAUGAAUGCAGUUGUCCAAAUUCUGAACCAAAACAAACCCUAGAAUUUGAGCUAUAUGUCUGUUCAACCAUAAUUCACCUCCUUCAUAUUAAGUGCACCAACACUUAUAAUAAUUCAUUGUGUUCAGGAAAAUAUGGCUUUCAUUUCACAUCAAAUAUUUAUAUAUGAAACAUAAUUUAAUAUGAAAAAUCAUGCAUGCUGACCCAUCAGGAAAAUGGCACGAACCCAGUUAGAAUGGAAGCUCCUUUUCCGAAUGGUUGGCACAGGCUUCCAGUCGGCCAGCGGUGGCUACCUCCACUUAGGGGGAGAGCACUAUCUGGGCAGCUACGAGCCUGGCCUCGUAGCUCCCGGGUAAGGAGAACAGUGAUUAUAGUUCUGUUAUGAGCAGGUAGGGCGAUCCGAGCUGCCAGUACCCCAGCAGUUUCCCCACCAACCUCAGGGACCAGUUCAUGGAGUCCCGGUGCGAAGACCCUGCAAGGGAAACUUCCCACAAGGGACCCCAGGGGAGCAAUCAUUACAUACUUCUCUUGUGGUUUCACACUUAUGAUGCAGGUGCAAAUGUUCUGAUGGAUUGGUAUGAACAUUCUAAUGGGGUACGGGGGUGGUCCACAUUCGAGAAAUGAACCGGUUCCAUUUGCAUGAGUGCUCUCGAAUUGUCAACUGGGCAUAUUACACGAAAUACAUAGAAAUACAUGGGAAAAACAUACAAUACACAGGGAAAACACCCGAACAAGCAGUGGGCAUGGCACUCAGUGACGGCGGUCCGCCACUAUACAUAUAUAUAUAUAUAUAUAUAUAUAUAUAUAUACAUGCACAGUUGUAAUCAAACUUAUUCAACCCCUAUUGAAAAUCAGGUUUAUUGUCAACAUUUACAGACUUUCAGCUGUUUGCAAUGAACAAAUAUACAAAAGCUUAAAGUGGUUUCCCCAAAUUCAACUAAAAAUGCAACAUGUGCAAGCAUCUUUAGUACUUAGUAGUGCAUCCUUUUGCUGUUAUGAACUGCUGCAAAUGAGAUGCAUAAUUAGACACUAUCUUCUUGGCAGUGUUCCUGAGGAAUCUUAGCCCAUUGCACAUGAAUGAACAUUGCACAGUAAUAUUCUUGGGUUUGCAUGCUACAACUGCCUUCUUCAAAUCCCACCAGAUAUUUUCUAUGGGGUUCAAGUCAGGUGACUGUGAUGGCCACUUUAGAAAAUUCCCAGGACUUCUUCUGCAACUGAGCCUUUGUGGAAUUUGAGGUACCCUUGGGAUCAUUGUCCCGUUUGAAGGUCCAAUGGUGCCGAAGCUUGGACCUCCUCACAGACGGCAUGACGUUUUCUCCUAGGAUUUCCUGAUACUUCAAUGAAUCCAUCUUGCCUUCCACAAGCUGCAGGUUUCCAGUGCCAGAGGAUGCAAAAUCAAUCUCAGAGCAUCAAUGAGCCAACACCCUGCUUAACUGUAGGUGGAGUGUUUGCUUCAUUCUUCUUCCUCUGGAUAUACUGCUGACCCAUUUGUCCGAAAAGAUCCUGUUUUGUUUCAUCACUCAGCAGAACAGAAUACCCACACUUAUGUGGUUUAUUUAUAUGACUUUGAGCAUAACUGAGCUGACCUUUAUUGUGCUUUUAUGUCAGUAGUGGUGUACAUCUUGGUGUCCUGGCAUGGAAACUUCCUGCAUGUGAUAUACACCUUGCUGUGCUCACUUAAACCUAAGUGCCUGUUACCACCAAGUCUUGCUGCAGGUCUUUACUCAAAGGUUUUUACAAUCUGCCUUCUCAGAAACCUGGUUGCAGCCUUUGAUUGCUUCCUUUUCCUGCGCAGUCCAGGUAUUGCAACCACAGUUCCUUCAACUUUGAACUUGCAAACUAUGUUUUCAAUGGUGUCUCUAGGACAUUCAGUGCCUUUGCUAUCUUUUUGCAUUCUGUUCCUUGUUUGUGAAGGGCGAUCGUCUCUUCUCUAAACUUUGUGUACAAUUCCUAUGCUAUAUUUCUAACAUGCAGUCAAACUUGACACUCAACAAACCCCUAGCCAGUUUAGGUAUUCCAAGUGUUUCAGCUCAAGCACAUCAGGUACAACUAAUGAAGACCUUGAUUUGUUUAUUAGUUACAUUAGGUGUGCUUGAGACAACACUUGUUUUGCAAAUUAGUGCUGUUGUGAGGAAUUUUAUUCAGCGGGUUGAAUAAUUUAGAGAUUGGACAAUUAAUUAAACAUUUUACAUUCAGUUGAGUUUAGGGAAACCACCUACAUAAUUUGCUGUGUUGAACUAUUUCUAUUGCUUCCAACAAUCCAGGCAGUCCCCCUGCAGCUAAUCCACCCAGUCGGAGUCAUGUGAUCAUAUUGAUGUUAAUAUAUGUAAAUACAUAUAUAUAUAUAUAUAUAUAAAUAUAUAUAUAUAUAUACAGUGGGACUUCCAGGGUUGUCAGACAAGUACCCCAAUACUGAUCGUAUUGGAGGGUACGUAUUUGGGCUGGAAGGAGGGCCAGAUCAUUAGGGUGUAAUAGCGUCCUUUUGUAUUGCAGCAUAGCACGCCUAAUGUUAAAAUGGGAUUAAUCAGUAAUGACUUGGACUUGGAAACAUAAUAUGUACAGCAAAUCACAAAGAGGGUAAAUUGAGUAGCCAGAAUCUGACUUUAGGGCUGUAGUAUCCUAUGAAUGUCACAUCUUCAUCGUUAUCUUUUUUUGCUGAAAGAGAAUGCAAUUUAUUCUGCCACCAACUAUUGUUUCGGUAAUAGCUUUGCUUUUAAGCCAAAAAAUAUAUAAUAGAAUUCUGACUAACCAUUUAAUGUAGACUAGUUAUUGAUACAGUAUUAUUAUUGUAGGAUUAAAUUGCUGGUGCACAGUUUCCAUUUUUGAUGGAUUUCUUUGUAAAUUUGAUUGAAAAGCUUUUGAGUAGAAAAAUAAUUGUUAUGGCAUGCUGUUUUAGAAUGGUAUGCACAUAUGUCGUUACCUGGCACCCUGAUAUUUAUUGUAUUUAGUAUAAAAACACCAUAUGGGUACUUAAGUUUUCCAAACUCUUUCUGCAUUUUAUGUAACUACAUUGGAUGGAUUAAGUAUACAAAGAAGCUGAGCAAAAAUGGUUAAGAUUGGAUUAUUCAGAAGGAAAUGCUGUGGCAAUAAUUACAUGUUAUACAGAUCAAAAAACAUAUCUCCCGAAUCGAACAUAUCUGUCAGUCCUGCUGAUACAAUGUGUUGUUCUUCACUUCACCACAUGCCUCAAAUUGUGGUAUGAAAUAAAUUAAAACAAGACACCUAUCAUGGGAUAGAGAAUUCAACCAAUAUUAUUUAUUUGUAUAAAUUUGUAUUUUGAUUAAGAAGUAGAAUAUUUAUAUAUUCUGCUCUGUUGUUGAUCAGUAAUCUUAUUUUAUUAAUUUAUCCAAAUGUUUAAUUCUAACUUUGCAUGUACCUAUUUAUAGAUCUUCAAAGCUAUGGAAAAUAUUAUACUUAAAAUAUGGUUCUUGUAUAUUUACAUGGUAUUGACCUUUGGUUUUUGCAAAAACAUUUAAAGAAUGUUUCAAGAUCUGUGUGUAAUAUUUAAUUUACAUGCUUGAGAACUCAUGAUUAUCGAAAUAUACCGCCCUACACAAAUGUGUGUGACAAGAAGAUCCAGAAUGAUUUUUAAUUGGAAAUGUGCCUGAAUUAUUUAGAAAGAAUCUUGUUUUUCAAACUAUUGUUUAUGCAAAUGACAGUGACAAACAAAAAUCAAAACCAAGUUGGAAAUCAACAUGACAUUUGUGUUCCAAUUGGAUGCUUCUUAACAUGUGUUGUGUGGACUCAUUCCACUCUGACAAUCAUAAAUGCAUCAGCAAUAUUUUAAUGAAGGUUUUGCUCUUGUUGUUUUCGUAUAUUAAUAUUUAGGGCUCCAUGUACAUAAGGCCACAUCAGUAUUAGAUAUUAAAAAGAAAGCAAGAAUAAAAUUAAUACAUUUUUAUAGUUGUGCUUUUCAAAAGCAAGAAUGCCCAACAAAUAACAUUUAUUGAUGGAUAAAUGGGUAACUUUAACUGAUAAUUUUUUUUAAUGUAUUUUAUGUUUUCUCUAAAACAAUGCAUUGAAUCAUGUGGUUAUAAAACACUUUAUUUGUUUGAACGGUGACUACGAUAAGAACCUGCAAGAAACAAACAAAUCCCUACUUAAGAAUAAUAAAGAAAAAUUACUCAACUUCUACAAUCUUAAUAGGCAAUAUAAAUAUGUUUAAUGACCUAGAUAUUGCCAUAAAUCACAGGUUAUGGAAUAAAUAUAACAAACACAACUUUUAAAUUAUUGUAUAUCCAUCUUUUUUACAGCUGGAAAAUAUUGCACACGCCUGCUUAAUUAAAACAAAUGAAUGGAAUGCAGUUGAAAUGACAAAAGUGCAAUUAGUCCUAUUUUAGAAAAUUUUUACAUUUACUAUACUUUAUAUUUUUAUCUCAAUAUUAGUAUUAUUGUAAGUACUCAUUGCUAUGUAAAAAGUGGAACGCAUUGUAUAUUUAUAUACACGUCUUAAAUACACAGGUAUUAAUGGACCUAAUCAUUGGAUUAUCUGAUAUAGACCUUGAUUUAAUAUUUGAAUAUUUGAAAAACAUUUUUGAAUAUUUUGAUAUACUUUUAUGCAUGAUAUAGGUUUUAACAUUUUAAUAUUAAAUCAAGGCCAAACUGCAUCAAAAACACUCUUUUUUUAGGAAAGUGAUGUAUCAUUGAUAAAAAUCUUUCUUUGCUUUAGAAAAUUCUUUGUUUUCCUUUUUGUGAUAUUAUUAGAUGCAAACCUGCUUUUACCAAUCAUUUUGAAGCCAGGCUGCUUUUUAGAUCUGUAAUUGGGUUGGAUCACCAAUUUCAUAUUUUGAAAAAUGUGAUAAUUUUGGUCUAUUAACCUGGUUAAAUCAAGUAUAAGCAUUAAGAUUUUUAUGUAGUUUGCAGUAUAUAAUCUUGUCCAUAAUGCCUCACUCUCAUUUAUACUCUAGUAACUAUUACCAGCCUCUAGAGGCAUGAAUUUAUUUGACAGAAGUCACUAGUUACUGAUAUAAUGUUUGUAAAAUUGUUAUAACACAAAUCUCACCCAAUUUUUUUUUAAACAGUACAGAAAGUUCCAAGUGGUCUAAUAAUUUCCACAGCCAGGGAGUUGUUAAUGGACUUUACCAUUCCACUGUCACUAUUAUAUUAGUAGAGAUUGAUAUGGAUAGCUCUAACUGUUUUAAAUACAUUUAAUAUAUUUAACUGUCUUUAGUGUAUAUGGGAAUCAUGCUGAGAUGCAGACGUUCUUUUACAUUCUGUUGUUAUUUUUAGUAUACUGUAUUGCUAGCAAUGCCCUUGCAAACACAUACGAAGAAGAUAUUUGUCCAUUUCUAUUUAUUUAUUUUUGUCAUAUCUACUGUAACCAUAUGUAGAGUGUCAUAAGCACUACAAUGAUCUUUAGUAGUUAUGCUGCUUAAGUAUCUAUUUUAUUUAGCAAAUUUGCCUAAUUUUUCAAAAUGUUGAUGUUAUGGGGAAUAUAUCUUUAUUUUACUGUGUUCUCCAGUGACUAAAUCAUGUUAUUGUGAGGUUUUCUUACAUUAUUACAUUAUGUUGUCUUAUGCAUGCAUUAUUAUUUUGUAGAAUUUUACAAGGAUAUUUCAAAUUGUGACUAUAUAGGACAUAUUAUAUGCUUUAAGUUAAAUAACUGUAGUCAUACUCUUCAGAGAGGUUCUAUUCCUUUGCUUUUAUCCCUGCAAAUUGAUGUCUUCUCAGGAAUGGGGCUUCUGUUUUUAAAUCAACUUAAUUUAUGUAUUUCAAUCAAACAAUUGUCAUGUCUACUAACCAGUAACUAAUGUAACCUACCUAAUCUACACAUAAAAUCAUCUUCAAAUGAACUCUAUUAAGUUUCCUCAUUUGUAUUCAUACCUGUAAGUUUACUUUAUAACAACGUUUGAAGCAUAACAUUCUCCAGGAAAUGCUUGAUAGUGAUAAAUAGUGUUCCUAUCAUUUUGUGCAAUUUAUUCUACUAGAUGUUACAGGAGAUAUUCUUAUUACAAUCACUGGAUGAAGACUCAAACAUUAGGACUUGCUUUUAUUACAGGAUAUACCAUCUGCUACAGUUUUUAGUUAUAUCUGCACUUCUUAGGGAAACUUCAAGAAAACUGAAUUAAAGAACCAAGCGUGUCUUUUUAUUCAGAGCUUCUGGGCACUCUGACAAUCUAUUUCAAGAUUACUUCACUGAUAUUCACCUCAGCCACCAUAGUCUGAACAAUUUUUACUUUGCAAACAGAGGUUUAACUAGAAACCACUGAGCAGCAGUGCAAAAAUUGCCCUGGGCGCCCCAUGUGUCUUAUGCCCCUAAUCUAUUUCAGGAUGACUUCACUGAUGUUCACCUUAGCCACCAAAGCCUGUAUCAUUUUUACGUUGCAAACAGAGGUGUAGCUAGAAACCACUGGGCCUCAGUACAAAUUUUGCCCUGGGCCCCCCAUGUGUCUCAUGCCCCCCUUGCCCUCCCUGUGUCUCAUUCUUCCCCCAGCCCCUACAUGUGUCUCAUUCCCUCCCUCCGGUCUUAUUCCCCCUAGCCCUCCAUGUGUCUCAUUGCCUCCCCCUCACAAGCCCCUCCAUGUGUCUCAUUUCAUCACAAUAAUCCCUCCAUGUGUUUCAUUACCUCCACCCAAACACCUCCAUAUGACCCAUUGCCCCCAAGUCUCUCCAUGUGUCUGAUUCCUUCCCCCCAGCCCCUCCAUGUGUGUCAUUUCCCUCCCCAAGCUCCUCUAUGUGUCUCAUUCCCUACUCAGCACCUGCCGGCAAAAUACAAGGCUACUUCCAGAAAUUAUUUAUCUGUUAGACCAGUGACUUUAGAUUUCUUGCAUUACAGUAUCAAAUUUGAUUAUACAAAUACAUUAAAGUUUCUAGCUCAAAAUACCUAAGAAUCUGACCCAGGUAAUACUCUAACAUGUUCUAAAGAAUUCCUGUAUUUUUCAAAACAAGUCCCUCUGUAUACUGCAUUCUGCAUUAUCUAUCUGCACACAAAAAAACAUAAAAACUUAUUAUAAACUGUAUUAUUUCCGUCUUGCAAAAAUAAACUUCAGAUGGAUAUCUCAAUGCAGACUAUUACUCAGUUUCUUCUUACAAAUGGGUGUUUACCCAAAUAUUCACCCAUGGCUCAUUUAGCUGAUGUUCUAGAGACAGCAUCCAAUGAAGAAGUGCUGAAUCAACAAAUAAUUUUUAUUGACUAUGCACAUCAACUCUCAGCAGUGCCCUACUAUUUCUAAUCCUUACCUGUUGCCAGUAUUCAAAGCUGAUCUUUAGAUUUCUAUAUCACACUAAGAUCUCUUAAAGAAGACUUGACAACUCUGGCAAACCAUAUAUUUGAUAAACUGACUCAUUGGAAAAGGAGCAUUCUGUAACACUGACAUGGUGAAAUCCAUUGAGCUGUGCUUGCACUAGCUGUUAUAUUUCCAGUGUUUCUGUACAGAGAUUGCUGGACUUUAAGUACUUGGCUGAUGCUUUUUACCUAGCUGAGAUUUAUUUGCCAGUUAUAAAUAAUGUUAACAGUUUAAAAACAAUUGAUAAGAGAUAUAACAAUUUAAUUUACAAUUACUGUAGUGUAAUUGUUUUUGUACAUUGCUAAUACUGAUUAAAGAAAUAUGUAGUUUAAUUUACAAUUUACAACUAUAUCCUAUUCAGCUAUUUACUCAAAUAGAAAUAAAUAUGUUUGUUGUGUUAAUGGCAAAUGUGUAUAUCACCUGUGCAUGAUCCCUAUCAUUAUAGGUUGUUUCCUAUAGAUCAUACAAUUGAUCAAAUUAAAUCAUGUAGGGUAGUAUGGCCAAAAGGGGAUGAGUAUUUUUUGCCCCAUUACCCAAAAAAAGAUUUAAAAUGUGCAUAAAAUGAUGAAAACCUUUUGUUCAUAAUUGUAUGCAUAAGAUUAGACCUAUCCAUUGGAUGUGUUACCUGUGGCCACAUGAAACCAGUGAAAACAUUCUGCUAUCCCCAUAGCAACAAGAUUGCAGGUACACAAUCACUUGCAAAACCUCACAUGUGAUGUAUAAACUUUCGUGCCCAUGUGGUCUUACAUACAUUGGUAAGACGGAAACAGAAAUAUGUGAGCGCAUCAGGGGCCACAGGUCCAGCAUCAGACUGGCGUACAGAGAUGGAAUAGGAGACAAGCCAGUUGCCACUUUUUUGAAUAUCGUCAUCCCCUGACUACGCUCAAUAGAUCAUAUACCUAUACCCAGAAGAGGAGGUGAUCGUGGCAAAAGGCUCCUCAAUAAGGAAGCAUUUUGGAUACACAAACUAAAUACAGUUUCCCCGAAAGGACUUAAUGAAAUGUUAUCUCUGCACUCAUCCUUAUAACAUCACUUAGAGUAUUACAUUUUUCAGUUCCAGCUUGUUUUGUUUUUUUUAUUCAUUUUUAAUCUUUUAUUCAAAUAGCAAACAACAACACAGGUUGUCUAUAAACAUGAUACAAAUAUGAUGGCAAUAUACAAAGGCUAGAAUGGCUACUUAAGUAUCAAGUAUAUAUGAUUUAAUAUACUUUGCAGUUUGUAUAUGAACGAAAGAGGAUCCAAAGGAAAAAGCUGAGCAAACAUAUGUGUCAACUCUCUAAUAAUAGAUGCAGUAGUGUGGCCUAGUGAAACUGGAUGAAAGAUUUUUAGGGUGGCACAAUAGGGGUUAAUGCAGUAGACAGAUUAUGUCAAGGCAGGAGUUAUGGAACUGUUAUGGAACUAAUUUAAAUCAAUAAACAUAUGUACAGGUGCUCACUGGUACAAACUGUAUGUUGCUGCAGCUUUCUAACUAGACACUUGCUCAGUCAUACAAGCUCACAUAUUUACAUAUAUACAAGUACAAUAGUUGACAAGUAUCAUUGUAUAUCAAUAUAUAUUUAGACAUUAUGUCUGGAAUCUGGACAGGUAAAGAUACAGGUGUAUAUCAAUAAAAAAAAUUGUCUGGUCCAAGUGUGACCCAAUAAAUGCAUAUAGGUGUCUACUGUACCCAGUGGGAACAUUUAGAGAUCAUUGGCAGCCUACUUAGUAACCUAAGGUUACUAUGACAACUCGCAUAGCGUUUACCACAAGCACUGAGACUAUGUUUUCCUGAACACAUCAAAACAUGCCAUCCCUACAAGUUUAUAAUUCUCCAUAUAGAUUAGUAAGUAUCUCGUUCAAGAGACUGUAAUCUCUGUAUGCAGUGUUAAUUUGGACUUCGUCCUACGGCAACCACUGCUGCGUAUUGCCUGUGCAUGUACUGUAUAAAUCACAUUUUGUAUCACGCUUAGCUCGAAUAUGUUUAUUAUGUUUGAUGAACACGAUGUGCUUAGCAACUUAUCUCUUGUAUUAUGCAUUAAGUAGUUUAUUUUCCCCUGAGCCCUGUGCCUCGACAUCCCCUCCACGACCGCUUACACUCAGAGCCGGCCGGUCGCUAUGGUUACAUGUACACAAUACCAUAUGCCCCCUUGCAUUCCAGCCGAUCUCCUCGGUAACCGCUGGAACGCAAAGGUGAACAGCAGCAGAAUCCUGCUAACUAGGGUACAAUGUAUUUUUAUUGAUUUACUUUGUUAUUUAUACUGUGGUAAUUGAAUUGCACCUUUAUCCUGAUGAAAGUUCUGAUAUAAAACUGAAACGUUGAUCAUCUGUGGCAGUUGCUGAAUAAAAAGUAAGUUAUUUUUUCACAAUUUCUAUGAAGUCCUUGGAGUGCUAUCUCUGUCCUAUUUUUUAUCAAUUCUGCUGACAAGCACCGGGCUAUAUUUAUCUAUUACUGGUGUGCAAGCAUUGGAAAUUUUAUAUAUAUAUAUUUUUCAAAAAAUGAGUUUGGCACACUACCUAAAUAAAGUAUAUAUAGAAUACUCACACCAGGGUGCAAACCCGCGAUAUGGAUAUAGAAGUAAGGUGCACUCCUGGAUUUGAAAAAUACUUGAUUUGUUUGUGCAAAAAAAAAAUUUAAGUUCAGUGGAUUGACGUUUCGACCAUAUUAAAGUGAUUUAAAAUGUGAAAGCUUUCUUUAUAUGAUCUCCAGAACAUAUUACUAAACAUUAAACAGAUAAGUGUUGGCAACACUUUGAGAAAUACCCCCAAUUGCUCUGACACAGUUCUCUCUACAUAGCAUUUAUAAUAGUGGAUGUUGACCAUAAUGAUACACAAAUAUUCAAUUAAGUAUAUUAGAGUAGUAUGUUUAUAACAAGGGGCAGUGGGCUAGUCUGCACGGAGUUACAGAAUGGUGCAGAGAGCCCUUCCCAGAGAAGGCACUUGACUACCGGUGCAUUGUUGGUGAGAGUACCACCCAACAUGUACCUGUUCUGUGUUGUACAUAGCUGCUGCGUUUGUGGAGAGGAGACUGCUUGGUUAUUUCUAAUAAAUCUGUAAUUAUUUCCCAGCUCCAUUGUAUGCCCUGUACUGACCUUGGUACAGUCCUGGAAUCAGUACGGAGCUGCAGAAAGUUUAGCAACAAUCAGUACAGAGGAAUCCCAUCAACUCCCCAUUGACCCUCAGGGAUGAGGUUUCACUCCAGCACCCAUUCAAAGUAAGAAUAAGGAGGUUGGGUGGACCUUUAUGAAAACCCCACCCCUUUAAGAAAAUAAAAUAUAUAAAUUUAUAUAUUACAUUGUAUAUAAGCAUGUGUCUGUCUGUUUAUAUGAAUGUGUGUUUGUGUCUUUUGUGUGAGUUUGUGUGUGUAUUUGUCUAUAAGUCUGUGUGUAUGUACAUCAAUGUCUGUGUAUGUGUUAGUGUGGUUCUGUGUAUAUGGAUGUAUACAUGUAUAUUAAAUAUUGUUUUUGCAAGGAGUAUUUUUACAUUAUAUUUUAAGUUCCCCCUAUUUCAGUGCCUCUAAUUUUGAAGAAAACGGUUACUAGAAGUAAAGGGGAUGUAAAUAUUUCAAGUGCAAUUACAUUUUAAAUGCAUGAUCACUUUUUUUCUCUAAAGCGUUUCAAGUUGGAUCAAGUUAGCAUCAGAUAUGAAAGUUAGCUUGUAUUUCAACAGGUUUUGAAAGUAUUAACAAAAGAAAUGUUUGCUAUAAAAGCUAUAAAAAGCUAUAAAAGCAAAUUAAAUACGUUUGUGCAUUGUACCUAUUUAAGAAAGAGUUAUAUUAUGGUUAACAUUGUUUGUAAGGUUUGAGAACUUGGAUUUCAGUAAUCAUUUGCUUUAAAUUAAUUCCUUUACAAGAUAUAUUGAGUACAGAGCUAUUUCAUAGAUUUGUUUAAAAAAAAAAAGGUUAUACUUAAAUGCUCUAUAACUCGUUAUUAUUACAAUUAUUACUUUUUUAUGCAUCUUGUAAAAAACUAAAACAUUUUUAGCAGUAAACUAUAACAACCUGUGAACAAUAAUAAAAAUAUGUUUUAGAAAAAAAUAUUUAUUUUGUUGACAAAUCCUUGUUUUUUCGGGUUUGAGUAUCUGGGAUUUGAGUAUCUGUGCGCUUCUUAUGUUAAUACAGGAUUCCUAUUUAAUAUGAUCUAACAAUAUCAGUUAUUAACCUAUGGAAAAUAUUGCUCAUGAAAGCAUUUGAGCAACAAUGAAUUGUUGAUGUAGCUUGUGUUUUAGCCACAUUUAAAGCUUUCCAUUAAAACUUUUUUCUUUAUUUUCAAGAUUCUUCAAUUUGAUUUGUUUCUAAACCUCUUCCAGUGGACUGUUACUCUUCAUUUUUCUAUAUCUGAAUUGUUUGUUUGACCUUCACUGAUAAGAUUUGCUUGUUGAGUUUUAUAUUUUAACAAACACUUUGCUAAGCAAAACUUGUACUAGAAACAUACAUUUCAUAAUGUACUGUGAAAUAAAAAUGGUGUAGACAAAGAAAGUACCAAACUUCUGGCUCGGAACUUAAACUUGGACAUGGGUUCCAGUUGUAUACACACUUUAAAAAUGCACAGUGAGUUCCAUUACUAUAUCACAGCUGGUUAUAAGAAUAACUGGGAGGACAAUUUGGACUAUAUUAGUACACAGAAGAUAAGCUUUGGUGCCUUUAAUGUCUUUGAGCUUACCCAGCAUCUAUACAAAUGGAAAAAUGGCUCACUUCUUUUCUUUAGCAAAGAAUAUGGGAUAUAAUAAGAUGUGAAUAAAAGUAAGCCCAAAUAAAAGAACUAUUAUUCUGCACCAUCAGCAUUCUAUCAUUCUUGAACUUUUUUUUCAAGUAGGGGAAAGAUUCUCAAUUGAAAACCUCUUUAGCCAUAAAAGCUAAAGGCAAGUUCAAAAAGGAACAUCCAAAAUUGGAACUAUCUGGAAAAAUACGAGACUCGUAUUACCUUUUCAUAUAUGUUUUAUUAUUAUUUCUGACUUUCAUACUGAGCAACUCCUGAACUAAGUGAGCCAAAUGUCUUUCAGAUGGAUCAAUGGUCACAGAGUUGCUCUUUCUAAAAGAAAAAUAUAUUCACCUUGGCUUCAAGAUGAGCUAAUCCAGACUAUCAUAGAAGUUUGUUCUCUGCAUAGAUACUAUUCAAUAUUUGUAUAAUUCUGAUUAUCAUUAGUAAAUUAUGAUAAAGAUUUUUUUCUUCUAAAUCGAAGUCUUGCUACUGUAUAUGAGAAAAAAAUAUAUAUUUGCUUUUUACCAAUUUUAAACCCUGCAAGAUAGGAAAUUCUAACCUCCAUUUGUUUAAAUAUACAAAGGGAUUUAGGAGAGAGUGCAGGUAACUUUUUUUCUUUAAAUUCUGUAUACUGUCUAACGUAGUCAAUCUCAUCUAAUUUUUCUAAAAAGGAUGAAGAAAUAAAUAUAAAUAACAAAUGUGUAAAUUUGCACAAUUGUAUCUUUAAUGCUUAUUUGUACAGCAAUCAAAACACAACACUGUUGUUUUAUCAUAUGUUUUAUCAAAUGUUUUACCAUAUGUUUCGAAUAUGGCCAAUAAUAUGGUGUCAUGUUUCUCAGCCAAUCAAUGCCAUCCAUGUUGGACAAUAUUGACACUGAAAACGCAUACGUGUUAAUUCUGCAUUAUUAAUAUGACUGAGAUGGGUCAUUCAUUUGACAAAAGAAAGGGCCUCAGUUUAUAUCAAGCGUUUCCUAAAUGUUUUGAUAUUAAACUAGGGCAAGGUUAGGCAACUUGGGCACUCUAGAUGUUUUGGACUACAUCUGACCUGAUGGUUUGCCAGCAUAAUAACUUCAACAUCUGGAGUGCUGAAGGUUGACUAUCCAUAGACUAGGUGAUGGUGUCAGGGCACUCUAGACAGACUGACUACUACAACAAGCUGUAGUUGUUAUGUUCCUUGGAGUGCUAAAUUUAAAAGUAAUUUAGUCUGAUAUAACAACAAAGUCUAUAUUAUUAUUAUGUUAUCCCUGCACAUUGCCAAUUGUGUAUACAGUUUCCAUAGUUAAAAUGUGUACAUCCAAAAUGCCUAAUCGUACAUUUCUAGAAUUCAAUGUGCCAAGCCGUAUUAUUGACAAUUUUGGAUUAAGUACUAGGUUGUGGAGAGUUGUGGGAUGCAUAUUAUAGGUUUAUUCCUUAAAUGGAAAAUGCAUUAAACUAAAAAUCUAACUCAUGAAUAACCAGUGUCUAUACCUGAGUUAGAAAAUUUCUCCUAAUCACUUGGUUUGGCAGAAUAUUUGCAGUUUGGUUUUCAAUUCAGUUAAUUUUUCACUAAUAGUUUUGCUUAAUUUCUCAUCUAUAUAAAUACUGGCAAAUGUGCAAAUACAAUGUAAAGACAAAAAUUUUACGUUACCUACAGAGACCUUUUCAUCUGCCUAAUUCUUGACGACAGAUCAACUUUAAUACAUUUUAUUGGGUAAAACAUUUAUUUUGAAUAUCAAUGGCCAGUUAAUACCUAAAAGACAGAAUACCAUGUUUAAUCAAACAAUCCCUGCAAAAUCUGGUAGCUAUUAGACAUAAGAAACUAGCUUCUAUAUAAAUAAUUCAGCAGGGAAAGCAAUUUCAGAUGUCUUUUACUUAGCACUGAUAACUUUAUUCAUGUUUAUUCAUAUUUUUAUUAUCCUACAAAUUUUGCCAUUUGAUACUUACCUACAUAAGCUCAUAGUUUGACCAAAUUCCUCCUUACUUUGCAAAUAACAGCUGUAAAAAGCAAAAGGGAGGAAAACGAAAAUGAGAAAAUGUAUUUCCUAAAUUUGCAGAAAAAAGCAGUCUAGGCUUAAAAAAGAAUCAAGUCUUAGUUCAGCUAUUCACAUAUUCUUAUUCCUGUCUUUGAUGCAUUUUGAUGCUUUAUAGAAUUCUAAACAAGAUAUGAGAAUACAUGCAUGUCUAUUUUUUGAAAAUGUGCUCCUGCAGAUAUUUAUUUAAAUAAUUUAAUUAAUCUACAUCAGAGACUGCAAGAAAGGAUGUCUUGUGCCAACUCAAUAAGACACAAUUUACUAGAACUUAUACUGUUUUCAUACUAUGCUGUAUGGUCAUCUAAGCAAAACUUGCAGGAAACUGGGCUUCUGUUGCAAGGGAGGGGGAGAAUAGAAUAAUCUAGCACUGAUUAUGUGCUGUAGGGGUAUAUGUUUGGGCAAGAACUGUGUUGUCUUGGUCAGUGGUCCCCAACCCAGUUCUCACAGACCACCAACAGUUCAGGUUUAUUCAGUAUCUCCAUUUGAAUAAAAAAAGGAAAUACAUCAAUCCUGGACUGUUGGUGGUCCAUGAAAACUUGGUUGGGUACCACUGGUCUUGGUAGUCAACAUUAGGCUCAAUCUGUUAUACAAAUAUUUCAGUUAAAAAUGAUAUUUCAAAUGCCUUAAGGUUUUUUCAGAUAUAACUGAAACAAAAUCUAAUCUCCUGUAACUACUCCAUAUUUUGCCAACAAACAAGUUCCAAGGAAAUCACUAGAAAGUUUGUUUUGUUAUGGAUUGUUCUACGUCACACCUUGUGUCAGUAAUUAUUCACAUGAUUGGUUCAUAGUGAGGUUUAAAUGUCUCAUUCUUAAUUUGACUAGCUUUUAAUAGGUUACAGUAAUUUUCAAUAUAAAUAAAUAUAGUUCUUUACAUGAUUUUACCAUUGAAAGAACCCUGUCUUUUUCUUCUCUAAAGGCUGUUUAUUGCUACUAAAUUAUCAGAACUCAACACAUAAACUGGAUGUAAAACCAAACUACCUUUAGUGGUUGUUGUGCCAUUAGAAUCUUUGCACCCUUCUAGAGUAUGUAGUCAAAAUGUUUUUGCAUGGAUUGAGAAUUUACCUACAUUCUGCUGGAUGUCCACCAAUAUGCCCCAUGUAUAGGUCUAGAUAGGCAGGUUCUUUCGCAUUGACCGAGGUAGUUGUGAGACUUCCACCAAGAAAAGCAGCACUGCAGGCCAGGCUUAGCACAGUGGAUAUUAAUGAACGCACCUCACAAGAGCCUUCAACACGAGAGGAGGCAGCAAUGGGCAACAGACAAAAACCAAAUAGGUUGUCAAACUAUUUUCAAACAAGUUGUGUACUCUGGAAGGGGCAUCUGAACAAUCCUGGCACCAUAAUUACCACAGCGGGAUGUUUUUGUUUUGGUGUAUGGAGUGUUUCUUUAACAAUUCAGUUAUGUUUAUUACUGUUUGCUAACAUUUCACUUUUGUUCUCAUAUCAAAUGUUAGAAAACAUUAAAAAAAAACACACGUAAAAUGUUUUUCUAUUGAGUAAUAGUAGUAGUUAACAUUAAAAUUGUAUAGAUACAAAACAGUUCAUUUGAGCCUGAAGUCAGAAAUUAUUUUUGCCAGCCUGCCCAUCUUUCUAUCUAUAUAUACAUCCGUCAUUCUUUCCGUCGACUGUAUGUUGUCUGCCUAUCAUAUAUCUAUUAUAUUUCUAACAAUGUUUGUCGUAAAAGAAAUGGGCUGCAACAGGAAAAAAAACAUUGCUAUACUGGAUGAAUAGCCAACAUAGUAUUUUAAGUGACAGUUUUAAACAAUAGGAGGUAUUGAUUCAUGAGUUAAUCUGACAUGUACACACAGAGAACACAUGUCACAUGGCAGGUGUUACAAGUGAGUGAUCACAUUUCAGAUUUGACAUUUCUUAUAUUGAGAUUACUGUAAAAUGAUGCAGAAAGUCAAUCUAUUGGAGUUUAAAAUGCUUUUUAACCAUUUUUAUUCUUUGUCCAGCUAGAAUGCUUUUAUUUUUUACAUAAUAGGGUGUUUUUUUCACGAAAAGCAGUAUUGUAGGGAAUUAAAAAAUGUACUUAAAAAAUAUCAAAGCUAUAACUAUUACUAUAAAAAAAUUCAAAUCAACUCCUUUGCUUCAACUAAAUUACAAUAUUUAAAAAAAAUCUUUUUUUUUCUAAUUUUGUAAUUUUUUUCAACGUUAAUAUGCACAUAUCACAUAUGCAAACAUUUUAGGUAUGAGUUAAAGGAAGAUACAGAAUGAAAAAAGGGAAGGGUUAGAACUUGUUUCAUCUUAAUAGUUGAUAACAUAUAUAGAUUGAGAAUACAGGUGCUACAGCGUAUAUGUAUACAUUUAGGUUCAUCAUCUUUUGCUUGGAUGGUUCACGCCCUUAGUCAUUUUGCAAAAAGGGGGGGGCAGUUUGGAGAGUAGGGGGGUGAGUGGGUGCUUUGAGUAUUACGGGUGGAUGUGCUCAGGGCCAGUGCAAAGAUUUUUCAAUCCUCCCCCACCCCCAUCUUAUUCCUGGUGGAAAGGUACUGUGGAUGGGGGUACAGGGGCUCUAGAGGGGGGAUAGGGAAUGUACAAAGGGGGAAAAGGUCUGUGGGAGGGCAGGAGCUGUAGGGGAGGCACACACUAGGGGGGGACAUUGUACAGGGGGACACAGGGGCUUUAGAGGGGGGCAGGGCUGUAGAGGGGGCACAGAAGCUAUAGAAAGGGUGGGCAGAGGCACAGGGGCAAUAGAAGGGGUGGACAGGGCUGUAAAAGGGAGGGCACAGGUGUUGGGAGUGGCUUUAAAUGGGGGCACAGGGGCUAUAGAAAGGGGAACAGGAGUUGUAGAUGGGGCAGGGGCUAUAGAAAGCGGGCAGGCGCUUUAGAGGGGGGCAUGGGCUGACAAAAAAAUAACUGUUGUAAGUGUAACCCCCACCUUACAUUGGGCCAGGGAGAAGUGGGAAAAAGCAGGAGCCUGGAGCUGGAGCUAGGAGCAUGAGCCUUUAGCAGGAGCCUGCAGCCAGCACAGAGCAGCCAGGGAAGUCGGCUGGCCCUUCAUGACGAUGUCAGGAGGAGCGGGCGUGACUUCCACUGCUCUUCUCCCAGAAUCCCCAGCAGUUGAAAAACCCAAGUCCCCAGUCAGAGGGGAGUCCCCCCUGCUCAGGCACCCUAAGGUGGAUGCCUGUGCCGCCUUAUGGACAUACUGGCCCAGGAAGUGCUUUUAAAACGUGAUGGACGUUGAAGGGGCUCAAAUUUUAAGUGUUUGUUUUAAGUUUCUGUUUUGAUCUGUGCCCUUCUGUGUUGUUUUGGAUGAAGUUUUAUAUCACUCCCUAUGAGGUGCAACCAUGGUGUGUUAACCAUUUUGGGUUGCCGUAAUGGUUAAUUGCCACUUGGUCAUGUCCUCCGGGGGUUAGAGAAGGGGAGAGAGAAGGGGAAAUGUACAAUUACAAUUUUAAAGUCAAUUCACUUCCAUUUUACAUUUAGUAAAUAAACCCUAUGUUUUUUCCUUAUGGAGCAUGCUUCUCUGGCUAGGUGCAAUAUUUAAUUUAUCUGUUUCUUUAAUUUUAUUUCUUUUUAUUUCUUUUUUUUCCUUUUCCUUAAACAUCAAAAAAUAAAUGACAUAUGAAAAACAGUUGCCAACUAAUAAGAAAUCAUUGCAGCAAAUUUGCAUUUAUUAAGCUUGCUUUUCUUUUUAUCACAGAAAUCUAAAUAAAAACCAUACACUAUUGGCUUAACUUGUAAAGAAAUGAAUUGGAAAUUAGAAGCAUUUCAUGGCAAACAUGUAUAGCUUUUCCGAAUUCUGAUUUAUUUUAGGUAGCAGAUGUUCUAAAUUUAUACUAUCAGACUGACGGAGACUUAAAUAUGCUUUGGAUAUCUAACUAAGCUUUACAAUAGAGCAGGAAAUUAUAUAUGAAAAAUAAUUUAUAUGCCAGGUGUAGACUUACUAGUAAAGUGGGGAAUAAUGUACAGUGCAUGAGUGCUUAGGCCUAUUGCAAUUAACCUAGCCAAACCCCCCAUCUAAUUAACCAUACUGAUACACUACUUGCAGGUAAUGGCAUUGGCCACAGUCCUUAUUAAAUGUAAAAUCAGCAUAAAUCAAAGUGUAGUACGUGCCAGCUGCUGUAUAUAAUGACUUACAGCAGGCAGUUACCACCGUGAAACACCAACAGCUCUUGUGCCCUGUACACGACUCCUGAAGAGACUGCUUGUGGGCUACAUUCCAAAUCAUCAUUAAGUAGGAAUGCAAGGGAAUUUCAGCAACUGUGACAGUAAAGAAAUAUACUAAGCCCACAAAAACACAGCAUAGGUCCUCAUCAACCUAUUGCUCCUGUAACACUUUGUAAUUGUCUUAUUUUACGUUAAAGAUUCCCCUUUUUAAUAUUGUAAAGCACUGCACAAUAAGUUAAUAAUAAUAAUAGUCACUGAUUAGAUUAUUGUGAAUCUAAAAAUGUCAUUUGUCCUUAAUAGGAAAAACAUUACUGUGGGUUUUUAGAUCCUUUUAAUGGGUGCUAAAAUAAUUAAACAUAAAACCUAAUUAAUCUGUGUUAUGAAUUACUGCUUUUUAAAUUAUUGUACAGCUGGCUAUGGAACUGUUAAAAUAAAUCACCUUUUUAAAAGAAAGUUUUAGUUGCUGCAAAGGUUCAAUUAAAGACUUGUCUUGAUUAUUUAUGUUGCAAACAAACUUUAGUUAAAACAAUUUUACAUAGCGCUUAAGUUUCAAAGAUACUACUAGGAAAAUAGGAAAUCAAUUAAUUUAUUUUGAGAGGCACCAUUACUAAACUGAGAAAGUGGAACAUAUAGAUAUUUUUGGACUUGCAUACCAAUUAUUCUAUGGAUGGAUAUUGAUUUUAUAUGGAGAGUUGCUGUGUCUAUGUCCUACUGCUAAUGAUGACACAUGCUGGUGUAUAAAACAAGAAAACACUGUUUAAUUUUAAAUGAUUUCUAUCGCAGAAAUUACCAAUAUGACAUUUAAGAUGAUGCUGGGCAAUGUAUUACCCUAGCUGUCCUUGUUUCUCAACAUUAAGCAGGAUCACUGUUAUGCAUUUUUUAUAUUGGAUGAAAGAAGAAAGGAAAGUUGGGAGGAAGAAAAGAAGGAUGGGAAGAGAAGAGGAACGAAGGUAAAAAGUAUGGAAAAGGGAAAAAAAAACUUUUUUACACCUUACACCUUUGUGAUAAUUGUAUGUUAGAAAACAUUGUGUUAUAUCUAACUCUUUAUUCAGAGCAAUUCCACAGCUUCUAGUGGUCCUCUGUCACCUCCCACCCCUGCAGCUGAUGGGUGUCAGGACCUUGGAGACCAGCUGGACAUGUGAGCACCUUGGACCAUUCUUUACAAGCUCUGUGUUUCUCUAGAUUUGUGAUGCUGAACACAGUGUGAUUUCAUAUUUGUUCUGGGGCUUAAUACAUCGGAUUAAGUUAGCAGAAAAUACAGGGCAGGAUGUGGGUUUUACAGGAAUAGGGUUGGUGGACCUAUAAUUUCAAUGCAGAUUCUCUUUACUCAAUACAUGACUCAAAGGUGGUGGACCAUGUAUAUUAAUGCAGGUUCUACACAAACACCCAGGGAUUCUGAAAAACUGCAUGGCUUAGUAGACGUUCCCUGAGUGGAAAAGCCCCAUAAGUCAACUUCCACUGGUGUAAUCAGAUUUGGUCUCCCCUCUCCAUUCUUCUGCAACCAAAAUCAUUUACUUUUUAAACUUUUCUAGGAAAUAGUGUGAGUCAAUGACCUCACUCUGACCUUUAGUGUUUAUACCUGAGAAUAAAAGUCUUUGUCUUUUUUCAAGGGAAUUACACGGAGGGGUUAAAAUAAUGUAGUAAAUCUUUAUCAGAAUUUAUUCAGAACACAUUUAUGACUUGGAGCAUUUGGUCUGCCUCUAAUUAUUUAAUCCCUCUUCUUUUAAUUGUUAAAAUAACCCAUCUGUACAAGAAUCACAGCAUGUAUUAAUUAUGUCUAAUUAUAUUGGUUGCCUUACCUCUCAAUGUAUAACACCCUACCGUGUCCUGUACAUUCAAAUAGACUUGGAUAAUGUGAAUUGUAAAAUGGGAAUCUAUGCACAAAAUGUCAAGAUUCUACUUAGAAAAUGUUUUCAAGACUUUUAAAAAGGUUCUAUGCAACGUUUGGUUUCUAUACACUCCCUUUACAGUCGCAGUUGAUAGAAAAGAAAGGUGCAAAGCAUAUGUAUAUUAUGAAUUAUUAAACUAUAGUUAUAAAUAUUCUUCAUAUAAUGCUUUAAUCAUCAUACAGAUGAGCAACACUAGCACUACUGUUUCAUGUAAAGGGAUAAAGAUAUCAAUACCUUUUUAUAUUGGAAUAUUGUCAACUUUAGUAAAUCAUAUUGAGUUGCCUGCUGUGAUGAAUCCAGUGGGUAUUGUUUCAUUACAGUUCAGAAACUUACGGCAAAAUAAUAUGCCUCCAAACUAUCCCACUUUAGGUGGGACAGUUCUGAUUUUGGGGUUCUGUCCCACUGUUGUGCUUUAGCUCCCUGGUGUUCUGAAUUCGCACACUGCAAACGCUUCAUUAGAAAUUCUCAUGCUGUACAGGACCAUGCAUGCAUGAGUCAUUGCUAAAGCUUGUAUAUGACACCGCACCCCAAAAAUAAAGAAUGUAAAAGAAAAUGUGAUGGUAGUAGCCGAUGGUGGUUGCAAUGUUUUCAAAUGUCUAUCUUUGAAGUGUUUUUUGCAGUGUGGCCAUGCCUUCCACUUCUGGUGGUAGAACUGGGAAAGGCAAGCUUCAGCAUGCCAGAUGUUGUGAACUACAUCUCCCCUGAUGCUUGUCAGCAUUAUCACUUAUAGAGCGUUAUGUUAGAUGUAGUCCACAAUAUCUGGAGUGCCAAAGGAUGCCUUCCUCUGUGAUAGAAGCUGGCAGCUAAGUGGGUUUUUUUUUUUUUUUUUAAACACUGUGAACAUUUUUCUUUUUCUUGUAAGAGUAUUUGAAUUACAGCAUACUUCAUUAGCGUUGACAUAGGGACGUGAGGGUAGGACAAAAAUAGGACAGUUAGUGUAAUUUAUUUACAUUUUUCCAUUUAGGGACGUGACAAAAACGUUGACCUACAGUAAUGUUGGUUUGGGACAGGCUAUCCCGUGGUUCAUAUAUAUAUGACUGCCUGAAUUACUUCACAAAUUUUUUUUCAGUACUGAAAUAUGACCGAGGCUUACAACAGUGUGAACUGCAAUCCUGUUUUUUUUCUGCUUAUGUGAUUCAGAAGAACCAAAUUGUUUAUCGCCAUACAAGUCUAGUAGUUUGUUACAUAGGGCAUUGUCCACUAGAUGCCGUGCUUGCAGCCACCUUUUGAUGGAAGGUCAGUUGAAAAAAAGUGUUUUUUUUUGGUUUAACUAAAUGAUUAAAGUUGGCAUACAUUUAUGUCUUUCUCUAAUAGCGGAGUAUGGGAAGAAAUACACCAAGAUGAAAAAAAAUCAUAGGAACCCUCUCGAUGCUCUCUGACUCUGUAGUGCUGCUUUACAGUCGACUUGAAAAAGCUGUCUUUCAAGUAGCUGAUGAAAAAAUGAUCUCUGCACUGUUAACGCAGAGCAUAUCCUCAACAUGUUGAUGUAGCAUUAAUGUUUGACAGGAUAAACCCAGCAACAUAUGCUUCUUUAAUGACGAUGCUGGGGUAGAACCUUUUUUAUAAUUACUGGAGACAUUGUUGGCAGCCAUUAGGAAUUUUUUAAAUUUUUGUGUCUUCUGCAUGCAUUCUUCUUUUGCCUUUUUGAAGUAAGCAUGAAGGGCUUCAUUAUUAUAUUUUUUAGUGUUUGUUGUAAAGGGAUACUACUGUGGCACCCUAAAUCCAAAAAUAAAAAAAUAAAAAUAAAAAAGCUGUAUAUUCAAUAUACCCCUAAUAAAAACAAGCACAUGUUUAAUGCUUUUAAUUAAUGCUUUUUUUGCUUGUUCAUUUUUUUUUAUCCUCCCCUUCUUCCUCAGAUCAGACUCUUUAUGGCUGUCCAAUCACAAUCUUCAAAGUGCAGUUGAAUGAAAAGUAUAUGCAAGGCAGGUGCUCUGAGCAGUUUCCUGCCUCUUGAGUUCAGUUCCACUGAGCUAAACAACCAGGAUGUAACAGGCCCAGUUUUCUGAUGGACAACAAGGUGAUUUUAUAAAAGUGCUAAUUUCUAUUGAAAUCUGCAAUCUUUGUAAAAAAAAAAAAAAAAAAAAGAGAGAGCAUACUAUUCACACAGCUGAAGUGCUUUAGUUGUCUGGGGGUUACGUUCAAAUUUAACUUGAAAUAGUAAGUAUAUGUAAAAAGAGAUUUCCAAAAUCAUUUGUUUAACAAUAAAUAAUAGAUAGACUAAGAACGUUUAAAACCAGGCACAUGAGCAUGAAUGUUACACUGUGUAAUAUAACAUUUAUAUGUGGUGCUUAUAUCAUGGUACAGCUUAGCAUAACGCCUGCAAGUUGUCGUAAAAUAAGAGUGGAUUUAAGCCAGCACAUAUUUUAAACAUUGUUGUUUACUGUCACAAAUGAAUCGAAAAUUAGUAAUUUAUAUUCAGGAUAUGCCAUUAUGUCAUGGUAAUAUGCAUUUUGUGUGAACACACAGCAUAAAUAAGCAUUUAAAAAUACUUUAUAUGUUGUUUGUAUAUUUUGUCACUGUAAUGAUUGCCAAUGCUAUCUAUCGUGCAUUUGAUUAAAAUAAAUAUAGAUUUAUUUGAAAUCUGAAUAUACUGAGAUAAUUACAUAUUACAGAGAUGUUCUUUAGUACUGACAUAAAUGGACACUAAUAAUAGAUUAAAAUAGAACAGUUGUGGAUCAGUUUUGUUUAAUAUAGAGGUUUACACCAGGAUAUUUAAAACAUAGAAUAGCUGAAAAAUAUAUAUAUAUAUAUACAUAUCGAAGAAAAACGAGUGCACUCCAGAGGUCUUCUUUUUAGAAAAAUGACAUUAAAUUUAUUGCAAAAACGUGUAGUAAUACAACAUGAUCUAGUCGACGUUUCAGUCCACGAAGGACUUUUAUCAAGACCUCUUGAUAAAAGUCCUUCGUGGACUGAAACGUCGACUAGAUCAUGUUGUAUUACUACACAUUUUUGCAAUAAAUUUAAUGUCAUUUUUCUAAAAAUAAGACCUCUGGAGUGCACUCGUUUUUCUUCGAUAUUUAUUACGGCUGAGGUAGCACCGAGGCAAGUACAAGACCGGCAAAUUGAGUGCGGGACUUUCCAGGAUUACAUAUAUAUAUACAUAUAUAUAUAUAUUUUUUUUAAUAUAUAUAUAAUGUACAAUAUAUAUAUUGUACGUACUGUUUUUGUUGGGUUUUUAAACACAAACUAUGUGUGCAUAGAAUUUCUAUUUCUUUUCUCAUACUAACACUAAAUAGAGUAUUUUGUUCUCUGACAUUCCCAUCUAUAUGGCCAAAUGUAUUGCAAACAAGCUUUUUAAUUGUACAUUUCAACUAAUAUAAUUUGAAGAAUACGUGCAAUUAAUUACCUUUAGCUUUAGUCUGUUUUAGUAAAAUUGAUUUCUUUCUGAGUGCUCGGCUCAAUGGGUAAAGAUGCCUAAUAAUGAAGAAGAAAGAAACAAGAGUGAUUAAUGCUUGGAGAAAUAAAUUAGGUGGAAAGGGAAUUACUUAAAUAUAUUCAAUGCAUACAUCAGUAUACGGAGCAUUUAUCAUUGACAUCAUUUUAAAGUGUCCUAUACCUGAGAAUCCUUGCCUGCCAAGAGGCACACUGCACUUUUACCCUGUAUAUUACUAGGUAAGUCUUUAUUUUUGCAUUUAUUGAUUUACUUCUGUCGAGGUAUGGCACACUAUUGUAUAUUCACAAAGAAGAUAUUCACAUGCUUAAUUAUUCUUUAAUUUAAUCAAGACUACACAGAACAAUUUCAUAUGCAAAAUAAUACAGAAAAUCUUGAAGUUGUUUGAUUAUAUGAUGCACUUGAUCUCAUGAAUAUUUAUAUAUUGUGGCAGAAAGUUAAAUUGUAUAUUGACAUAAUGACAGCUCGAUAUGCUUUAAUCAACAAUGCACAUUAAUAAUAAGUUAGUGAAUAUCUUUGAAUUUUGUUCUGCAGCUUCCUUUUAAUUUGAUUCACCGAGCUCUGUGACCAGUAACAUUAGAUAACUAUUUCAUGCUGAAUAAAUUAUAUCAUAUAUUCAGGCCAUUAUGCAGUAAAUGUACAUCUAGCAUUUAGGUUAAAGGCAUUCACUUAGAUGUUUUCAGCUCAAGAGUUUUUGUCUAAAAUUAGCAACUUGAUUUUCUUAAAUCCAAAACCAAAAAUAUAUGGUAUCAUGACUAUGUUUAUCUCAGCCAUUACACUAGUAAAGAACAAGCUUCUGUCCAGAGUGAAAAAGCUCUAUAGAAACAGUGGCACCACUGCUAUUUACUUGAUGACAGUGUGAUUUUGUGGUUGCAAAAUAAUCCUGUUUUUGUUUAGUUUUUUGCGUAAAUCCUACACUUUGUGUGGUGUCAUAUGUAAGCUCUUACAAGCUUAGCAUGCCACUGAGGCUACCUUGAUUUGUGAAUGGGAAUGAAUGCCAAAAAUCAAUUUAAGUUGUUCAGGGCCACAAUGCAGACUAUCACAAUGCAUUCUAAGAUGCAGAAAGCGCAAAAUAAGUAAAAAAAAACAAAAACAAAAAACAACCAAAAAAAAAAAAACUAAGUAGAAAAAAAACACAAAUGGGUUCAAUGUGUAAGCCACCCAUUCUGCCCGGCACUCACUUUGUACUCCCAAGUUGAGCAUCUCUCCUCUUUCUGUGAAGUACCAGGUCUCAUUGUACGAUGUUCCUUCAGGGGCUGCGCAGCAAUGAUCAAGAAACUGAGUCUCAUAAUUCGGACUGGCCAAGGUCAUUUACCAGGGGUUGUGAUGGGUCCUCAUGACAUCAAAUUCACUAGGUGCAUACAUCUAACCCCGCAUAGAGGAGAUGCUUAGAGAAGAACUUUGGACCUUGGAGCGGUCAUCAAAUUACAAGAGGCAUGUAAUGGGAAAAGAGAGGAGAAAUAUAUGGUGCAGUAUGUCAAAUUUCCAAAUUAAAAACAGAAGGAAAUAAACUAACAGUAUAGGGAGCUCUCUCUUAGGUGUGCAUAUGUCACAAACACAAGAGCAAAAAAACUGUGCAAUAUGUAAGGAAACCAAAACGUAAUAAAUAGUAUAAAAAUGCACACACAUUUGUUAGAGCCCUCUAAUGGCGCUUUGCGUAUGGCUUGGAGUAGAAUAAUCCCCACUCUUGGGAUAUAGGUGCAGACUUGUUUCCUUCUAUGGGUAGGUAAAAUCCUCGCCAUAGAUAUAAAAAACAAAAUAUAAAAUAUUGAAGAGAUGUAUACACUUCUCACCCACCAGCUUUAGAUAUAUCUUUAAAUGUUAUUUAGCAGUUAUCUUCUACUUACAGACAGUUUCACCACUUUAACAUGCAUUACUCACAGCGAGGCCUAUUCAUUACUGUUUAAUGCAGGAUGCUUGUUUAAUUUCAUCUUCGCUUCUGCAUAUAAAAAUGUCUUAUUAAUGAGAAAUAUCAGGUAUGUGUGGGUAAAUUCAUUCUUGCAGACAGAAAAUUUGCAAAUAUGUAAAUAAUUACUCUUAAGGCAGUGUGGUGCAGAAGUGCAUAUUUAUCACUCAAAAUAUCAAAGUCUAGAGCAAUAGGCAUUGGUAGCAAAGUACCACACUGGGUUCUUGUCAGAUCACGAAAAUUGGACACGUGAACAUUGGAAAAAUAUCUCACCUGGCUAUCGAUUUUAUUGACAUUGUACACCUGAAUUCAUCAUCUAUACUUCUUUUGUUAAUGAUAUUGGCUGCAAUAGGGGCAUAAAAGUAUAGAGAAAGUAUUCUAGACAUGUACUAUUCCCCUUCAUGCUACCUAAACAUACAUUAAACAUUGUUGUUAGCCAUGUCCUGUUAUGACCUAUGUCUACCAGUUUUUUUUUAUUUCUAUCUGGGUUCUCUGAACAUAACAUUGAUUUGAGUUUACUUCAUUGAUUAGAGGAAAAAUAUAAAUAUAAAUUCCUCCACAAAAAUGUAACUGGUUAUCUCUAACAAUGGGUGUUGUGAACCAUCUUAAAAAAAAUAAUAAUUUAAUUGCCUAAGCAGUUCUUAAUACAGUCUAGGCUGUAUUAUGAGUGAUAAUGAGACUUGUGUACUGUGACAACAUUUGGAUUGGCCGAAUCAUCCCACCACCCUCCCCCCACCUUCCCCCAAAAAAUGUGGGAUGCCACAUUUCUUCGAUAUGCUUGUUCAGUUUGGCAGAAUUUUGGUAAUGAAAAGUGGAUUUGCAAAACAAAUUAGAUUAACUAACAGUUCGUGAAAAUAGGGCAAUCAAUGUACUUCAAAACAUAUGCCGAAUAUAAAACAUGCUUGGUCAUUGCAAAUUUCGUUAGGUUUGUAAUUCGACUACAUGUCACCUCAGUGUUCUGGAUAUCAACCUAUCAAAUGAACAGCCCAAAUUCGGACAAAUUGCAAGUCAGAAGGAAACAAAUACCCAAGUAUAUUGAUAUGAGAUAAUUUUAAAGCACAAAUGAUAGAUUGACUAAAGGAGAAUCUUUGGUGGGAGUUGCUCUAGUGAUAUUGAGGUAAAAGCAAGGGUUUAAUUUAAAAAAGGUUUAUUUAGAAGUUCACAAUAACAUCAUGUGAAGUUCUAGACCGAAUGGUAAUGUCAAACUACAAACAGACCUGGUUUCAUUGUUUGGAGUUAUAUUGGAUUGUUGAACUGCUAAAUAAAGAUGUAGAUUAGCUAAGAUACAUUUCACUUUCCAGUGGACUUAAAGAGACAAUGAAGCAGUUUUGUUGUAUAUAUCAUAUCCCUCAGAGCCACAUUAAAAGCUCAUUGGACCUGGUGCUGACAAUUAUAAAGGGCCUAAUUACAGAAUUCUAUAGACAGAAAAAACAAAAACUUAUACCUCCCAAGUGUCAAAUAUCUUGUGAAGGUGGUGCUGGAGGGAAACUCACAGGAUCUAUAAGAAAACACAUACCUUCUGCUUGUCCCUCGCUUUAAUUUCUCAAGCAAUUUCUAUACCCCUUACCAGCAGUGUCUGGUGAAGCAGGAUGUUGGUGGGCCGGGUAAAAGCAUAGAUAUCUGACUCGACUCUUAUAACUGGCACCUCCGAAAGGAGCAGACCUGCCAUGAAAGGGGUGGUUCUGCCCAAAUAAUCACAAAGUCAACCUGGCAUGAAUGCAUGCCAGGCUGCCUGCCAAUCAUGCAGUAUUGCCAACUAAGAUACAGUGCUGUUUCAGCACCCUGAGCUUGGCACAAAUGUGUCUAACCAUGAUGCGUUUGCUCAACACUUUCUGGGGACUGCCCCCUAGUCCACUCCUCUCCUUACUUUCUUACUAGCUGGCAGUAACUUCUGGCAUGCAGUCUGGGAGAGAGAGGGAUGUAGUGAAUAAAGUACACAUGCAACAGUGUUAGAGAGACAAAAGUAUGUUUAUUUUCAAAGUUCCUAUCUUCUGCUCUGUUUAAUUAUACACAGGAGGCUGCUGCAGCAAUUAAUAGAGCAGGAGAAAAUACAUUCUAAAUUAAACACCCUUUGCAAUAAAGGUAGUUUAAAAAUUAGAUUUAUUUUUACAGGAAGUAUUUAGGGAGGCUGUAUAUAUAGCAAGCAGGAGAGGUGUGGCAGGGGCUGCAUAAGCAAAGAGAAUUGAGAAGUGUGACUGCAUGGGCAUGUUCUAUACACCAAAACUACCUGAUUAAGGUAAAGUUUUUUUUGGUGCUUAGGGUCCUUCUAUAAUGUUACAUGCUAAAAUACUGUAUAUAAAUAAAUAUAUAAAAAAACUGCAAGAGGUCACCCAAAGUAAGUCAGUAAAGAUAUACUGCAUUUAAAUCUGUAUUAACAGGGCAGUAAUUAGUCAACUUCAAUGUAACAAUGGAAGGACUUCAUCAUUUCCAUUAAUUUGUUUUCUCCCGAUGAAGAGAACAUAUUAUUAUAGAUCUAUUUCCCAAUAUAAAGUGUAAAAUCAGUGAUGCAUUCUCAGAACUGUCUUUUGCAGAAUGAUUGUUACAUUGUAUAACUGCAACAAAUUGUUUCUAUGUAUUGCUGGAUAUAACAGUUAAUUCUUAGCCUGUAGCCAUAUUCUACAAUUCUUGCGUUUUCCUAAUACUUUGACCAGCUUAAUGGAAAAGGUGAGAAAAAAAGUACUAAUAAGAUUGCUUUAAUGGGGAAAUACAUAAUAGUGGAAGAUGCACAAAACACUUGUGGAAACCAUAACUGUUGUGUUUAGCAAGAGAAAAUUAUUAUUAUAAAAGCUAGUCUCGCAUCAUGCUUAUUAGGCACUGUAUUCAGAGCAUUUCUAUAAUAAAAAACACAUUUUCUUAUGCUUCUGAAUGCUAUUGAGGCUAAACAUGUCAAUGCUAACAACAUAGAAAUUGUGCAAGAAAUAUUUUUGUCAAUCCCAAAUAUGUAGAUGCAGAGACUUGCUUAUAUAAUGAGUGUUCUAAGCUUAUCAUUAAUGCACUUGAAACAUAUAAGAAAUAUAGGUUACAUAGUGAACAGUUGGAACCUCAAAGUAAAGGGAGUGUGGGAGCUCUGCUUCCUUGUUGAACUUAUAUACAUCUUAAGAUACAAAGGGUAAAAUAAACCUGUGCCAUCUCUCAUGUGCUCUUUUAUUGAACAAAAUCAUCACAGAUCUCCUGUAUAAUUUGCUAUCUUGUAUGGAAUUAUGUCCUUGAAUUAAAGUGUUUGAUAUGUAAUAUAGAACAGAUUUCUGCGGUGUGUAACAGAUUGUAAACUAUGUUGUGGCAUGGGCAUUGGUUUUCUCUGUGGUUCUCAAGAAAAUGUGAUGAAUCACAUCUGUUUAUGAAAAUCACUUUAAGAAUAAAUACAAGGUUUUCAGCCUGUCUGACUCUGAACAUGUAGUAAAGAUGAUAUAUACUUGCUGACCAAUAUGCAACCUUGAUUGCUUCUUUAUAUAAAAGCGCUAAUGUACAAGCUUUCUCAAUGUUACAUAUUGUUACAUAGUUGUCUAGAUUGAAAAAAGACUGACGUCCAUCAAGUUCAACUGUGAAAACACCUUUCUUCCAGUCUCAAUGAGUGACCUCUUGUCUGUUAUAUAUUCCUGCUAGUAAACAGGUUUGCUCAUAGCGGUUUGUACUGACUGUAUAUAUUUGUAUAGUACUAUCAUAUCUAGUUUUGUUUUGCAUCAGAGUUUUUGGCCUCUUAUAGCGCCAGACCUCUUUUAUGAGGGGAGUUCAAGACCUUGGUAUUUAAGGAAAAACCAUUAAGCACCAUUGUAAAUUAAUGUCAAGGAAGCAUAAGAAUUGUAUUUCGAAGCUCUGAUCUUGGUUCCCUCCAGCUUAAGUACACAGAAUUAAUUCCAUAGGCUUGGUCCCCUCCCAGCUCCAAGGCAAUCACUGAUAUCCCCGUUUCCACUCUUUGCGGAACAGUCAUUUCUUAUUGUUGUGUUUCCCUAAACCUAACAUAAAUCUUGCCUCCAUUUUGCAUAUAUAUAGAGGAGUGUGUGUGUAUAUAUAUAUAUAUAUAUACACACACACAGACACCGCUACUAGUUCCACUGUCCAUGUAUCUCUGCAAGCAUUAUUUACAAAAGUACACCAGCAUUGAAACCAAAAUAAAAUACAGUAAAACAACCAAAUUAUAACUAUAUCCAGUCGCCUGCAAGUCUUUCCACAAAGUGUCUGGGUAAGGGAAAUGGAAACAGUGUGAAUUCAGCACACCAUAUCAGCUCCAUAAUGAGCCUGGUAAAGGUGGGGGUGUGAAUGUUAGAUUGAAAAGAAAAUUAAGAGUGCAUAGCACAAGGUCAAAAUGUCAGUGACAGUGGCAAUGUUGGAUGGAGGAAGAAUCCAUAUUAAAUGUGCAAAGUGCACUAAGUAUGUAGACAUAUGGCCUCCGAGAGUGCCUGUAGGUUUAAACUGGAUGAUUGUAAAAAAAAAAAAAAAAAACUCAAUCAAGUAUUUACUUUUUCUUUCCUUUGUGUACAAUUAGUUUUCCCUUUUUUCCUUUUUCUUUUUCCUCCUUUAUCUACUUCUCCACUAGUCCCUGGUAUUAGUUUCUAUGUUAACUUAAAGUGGGCACACAACAUAAAUGCCAAGGGUCUUGUAUUUUUAAAAUAAUGUAAAUAUAGACAAGAUAAAAAAGAAAAGACUUCAAGGGGUAAUAUCCCACAGAAAGAACAUAUUUACUUUCAUACCUUAAGACAUAAGGAACAGAUAGAUGGUCACAAAGAUCUUCAGUCUGAUGAUCCACUUUGCUCCUGCAGCUCUCUGCCAGUCCCCUGUUACUCAAGUUGGAGGUGUUGCUGGUCCCUUGUAUGUCGACUCCUCUGAUGUUAGAUGGCAACAAUUUGUAACCUUCCUCAGGAGUGGAGAUAACUCUAUUUGCACAAUUUUUAUGAAUGAUAAGGUGAAUAGGACAUCCCCUCUUGUAAGGGAUUUGCAUCUCUCUCAGUUCCUGUGUGAUAAAGACCUUCUCUAGGUUAAAGUGACAAGGGACAGAUCUGCAAAAAGCUGUAUCCCAGCAAAUCUGGCCAUCAGCCAAGUUGGGUCAUGGGCUGCCUACAUCAGCCUCUCUUUGAUGCUAAAUAAAUGGAUCCGUACUAUAGCAUCACAUGGGAAUCAGUGGCGUACCUACCAUGGUCGCAGCGGUCGCAGCAGUCGCAGCUGCGAUUUGGCCUGUCACUGCGAUUUGGCCAGUCAGAGAGAUCUUUUGAUCUUCUUUCUGAGUCUUUGCAGAGUUUGCGCAGCAGGAAGGGGAUGAGGCUGUCUGCCUUCACCUCCGCAUUGAGUCCCGGCUUUCCGAGCAUUGUCGCGGUAACCACAGCAAAGCUCGAUUCCACGUGGUGCUGGGACUCACAGGAACAGCCUUCACCCAGCAGAUAUGAUGGCAAAGAGCCUCUGCAGCACCACCGGAUCACCAGGCAAUAUGCUGCCCCCUCCCUGGAUGCUGGUAGGACACAUGGAGGGGGAGAUUUACAAAAUAAUUAUUUUUUCAUUUACUUUACAAAAUAAAUAUUAACUCACUUUUUAGCCCCCACAGCCCUUAUCCUACUCAGCUAACACUCUCUCACACACACUGCAUCCCUACACACACACACACACACACACACAUACCGAAUCCCUACACACACACACAAUGCAUCCCUGCAUACACACACAGAAACACACAAUGCAUUCCUACACAUGCACACACACACACACACACACACAAUAUGCAUCCCUUACAUACACAGACACACACACACACUAUGCAUCCCUCACACACACAGAAACGAACAACACAUCCUUUACACAAAUACAGAAACACACAAUGCAUCCUGUGCACACACAGAAACAGACACUACUUACUUUACAGUAGUGGGGAGAGAAUGACACACAACGAGGGGCUGGGACAGAGGGAAUGACACACAUGGGGGGCUGGGAUUGACGGAAUGGAACAAAUGGAGGGGCUUGGAUGGAGGAUAUGACACACAUGGGGGGCUGGCAUGGAAGGAAUAGCAUACAUGGGGGAACUGGGAUGGAGUCAGUGACCCAAACUGAGGGACUGAGGGAAUGAGACGCAUGAUUUGCGGGGGGGAUGAGAUGCAUGUGGGGCAAAGAAGGGGGUAUGAGACACAUGGAGGAGCUGGGGCGGUUAGAAGCUAGUUCUGAAAAAAUCUGACCGUUAGUUUUCAGGUCUUCAAGUAGUUUAUGAAGAUUGCUGUCAGCAACUGCAAUUGCCGUUUUUUGAGAGAUUGAUUUGGAAGUGGCAGAAUGUGCUUCUCCGGCACCAUUUUGGGAGCACUUGCUUGGAAGCGAUAAGGCCGAUAUCUGGAGAGUCGGGGUUUUGUUUGUCAGUUACUUGCCAUCACGUCGACUGAGCUGUGUACUGCAGUUGGAUGCAAAUUUGAUGCAUAGAUUGGAUAUAUGCUAUUUGCAGCAGCCACCAACGGAGCUCUCACCCUCUGCAUAUUUCUUCAUUCAGGUCUUGGCCACGUACCAUCAUCUUAUGUUUUUUAAACUUGAUAAAUUCCUUUUUGUUUCUGUUGUAACCUUACCCCCUACUAGGAGGAUAGAAGUAAUGCAUGUUGAGUUUCCAAGUCUAUUAAAUAUUUUCUGUCUGAGUUAAAUGAAAUCUGUCUUAACAUCCUUUAUGAUUAUCAAAUUAAGUUCAGUGAGGCUUUACUAAGGACUGGUGUCCAGUUUCUACAUACCAUAGGUUUGAUCCUACCUAUAUUGGGUAUAAAGUAGAUCCUGAAGCUCUUGGGAUUUGUCUGGCUUUAUAGUAGAUGAAUAAAAAGAGGCCAUGCAGGACCAGAUUAAUUUCCUUUUUCUAAAGCCGUAGUAGUUGAAAAUAAAUAUCCUGUGUUGUAAAAUUACUGGGCAAUUCAAGACUAAACUGGUUCCAUAAAACCUCAUUUGCGUCUUCUGGUGUACACUUUAAAAUCUCUGCUCGCUCUGCAAAUUCUCCUGCUUACAUUCAAAUGUUGUCCAUAUUCAAAUCCGGAAGUAAAAAUUCUUAGUGUACUACAAAUUAACAAAAUGCCAAUGCAUAGAAUACUCAACUAUGUACUCAUGGUAUACAAUAUUGGUAAAUGCCCUUGCACUCUUGCUAUAUAAAUAGCUUAAUUUGCCAGCUGCUUAAACAUGAUAUACAGGAUAAAUAAAGAUGGGAAGCACUCACGGUCUUCCAAAGAUAAAAAUAACUUCCUUUGGUCGACAUUUCAGUCCCUGCUGGGACUUUCUCAGGAUCCUAAAAUCAUUACAAAGAUGUGCCAAUCUUAAGUAGAAAAGAAGUAAGAAGAAUCCACUUAUCCGAGAACGAAUGCAGGUGUGCUCGAUGUGGUUUGAAUAAACCUUGAGAUUGAGCACCUAAGUCCCGCCUCCACCGCGCUGACCUCAUAGUACUACAUUGCUAUGACAAUACGAAGACUGCCGUGAUAUAAGAAUGUGGCAUAUUGAAAUAUGCUGUGCUGUAAAUCAAUAUUCCCAAUAAGUACAAAAUAAAUCCCUGUGUUGGCAAUCCAUCGAGAGCAAAAGUGGGGUGUCUAUAUAAACCUCUUUGUAUGAAGUGCUAUUUCUGAUGGCAUCUAUAAUGCCUUUAAAUAAGUGGAUAAUUCACUAAAUUUCUCUUUGAUAUAACUAUGGUAAUGAAAGGAGGUGGGUUAGAAAUUACUGCAUUAUGAUCCCAGCUGGAAAUACCACGUUAGGAAUGUAAUUUAAAGUGACAAUAGUGACAUUAAUUGAUUAUUUAUAAAUAGAUUUAAAGUGGGCCUAUUACACUUAAAGUGCCUAUAAAGAUUAAAGAUGCUUUGUAUGGCAGUUCACACUUAAUAAAUAUUAUAGAUUGUGAGGAUAUUUAAAGUGCUCAUGAUAUCGAAAACCUAUAAUGUGCUAUGGCCCAUAGUCUAUUGUGAAAAGUGAUAAUAAAGUGUUAAAGUGCAAAUACUGUAUAAAACUAAUGUAUUUCCUAAUGUAAGCUAUAGUUAGAUUGAUGGCCUUAUGUUAUUUUCACGUGCACUUUAACAUGCACAUUAGUAUAAGACUUUGUGAGUGAAAUACUUGCUUUUAUUAUUUCAGUGUAAAACAUUCAUAAGAAUUGCAACGGAGAUGCCAACUAACACCCAAAAUCAUGUAGAAAGCAGAUGCAGUCCAUGAUAAAAACAGUACAUAACAUUUAUUGAAACAGUCUAAAAAAUGAACAAAUUCAAGAACACAGCAGCAAAUGUGCAUACUUAGUAGAUAAACAGAAAACCAAGAUAACUAAACAGUGAAAUACACACUGCACUGAAAUAAUAUACAUUGUUACAAAAAGACAUGUCAAUUUGGUGACACAAGAAGCAAAUUCAUUACAAUUAGAAAGUUGCUUAAAAGAAAAAUAAUUUAAUGUAUAAAUAAGCAAAUAAAUAUUUAAAAAAACACAAUGGUGAAGUCUUCAAGUUUUGAGAGUAUGCUCCACAAAGUUAGAACAGCUGUGGAUAUAAACAAACUGUAAAUAUAGGUAUAUCAUUCAAUUGUAGUUCAAUACACACAUUUAGAACAGAAUCUCUGAGUAAAUGAAAAGUCAUGAGACACACAAUGUAUGGUUUGAAUGUAAGAUUCACUUCAUAGCACAAUAUAGUAACUUGUAUCAUUCUCAAUGGAAUUUGAUGAGGAAAAAAUAACAAAAAGUUAAAAAAUAUUCAAACUAAUGUCCCAAAAUAUACUUAUUAAUUAUCUAUGCAGUGUUUAAAGCAUAAUCCUUGGAUUUGCACUACAAGCAAAUUUAACAAACAUAAUGUUGUGGAAAGGCAAAAAAAUGUUUAAUUAGAAUUAAAAAAAUAAUUAGGUACAUCAACUUCACCAUUGACACCACAAGAUCUACGAGUAUGCAAUUUGAAAAUCCAUUUCACAUUGCAGUAGUCCAAUUUAGAGCUGCAGUCGCCUCCUCUAUAUUGUUUCAUAAUUCUAUCAAUACCUUGUAGAUGCAAUUUGGAAACAUACAAAUUAGUGCAUGUAUAGAAGAGAUGUGCUAUUGGAGAGUUAGCAUAAUUUUGUUUAAUGGCAUAAAUAUGCUCCGGUUUUCUAUUUUUCAAUGGGCUAGUAUAGCAGUCUGACCAACAUAUUUGGUUUGAACAAGAUUGGUAGGUUAACAAAUACCCUACAUAGGAUGUAUUACAAUUGAUAUAUUGUCAAAUUUUGAACUUUUCUUACAGAACUAGUAAAUUCAUUACCCAAUAAAAUCACAUCUCAUAGCCCUGUAUUUGUACACGCCAAUGUAGCCAGGUGAGUUUCUUGGUAGAAGAAGUAACCAUACUGGGAGCCAAUUGUUGGGAAAGAUUAGGAACUCAUCUGACCACUGUACGUAUCCCAGAAUGAGUAAUAUGUUCAAUUCUGCUGUCACCAAACAAGACUGGUAGAUAUUUUCAAACAAUUUUGCAUAUCUCUCUGUAUUGUAAGCCAUAAUUCGUAUUAAACAAAGGAUUUGAGCAAUUUAUUUGGGUGCUAAGUACUUUAUCCUCUAAAAAGGUGGAGCAACAGUUUUGUAGCCUUAUUAAUUUGAGAUAGCAGUUGCUCGUAUCUGUAUUAUUGUUUGGGGGCUUGUAACAUAUUCCUCCUUUGUAUAUUUCUACCUGCAAGGCUUCCACAUCCUUACCUGUAUCAUCACAUACAAUUUCUAUAACAUUUGGCUUCAAAUCAGGUUUAAUUUAAAGAAAUACCACCCUUUUCUAUUGUUUCUAUCCUUUCUAAAUAAUGUAUAUCCAUUAAAAUGAAUUCUGCAAACAUGUACUGCAAAAUAAAUAUAUAAUAUAAAUAAUAUAUAUAUAUAUAUAUAUAUAUAUAUAUAUAUAUAUAUAUAUAUAUCUAUAUAUAAGUAGAGAUUGUAGCCUUAUUAGUCCAGUGAUGUAGAUGUAAAAAACAGAUAAAAUUCUUAUCUUGUAAUACCUUUUUUAUUGGACUAACAGAAUUUUUUAAUGACAAGCUUUCGGGAGAACCUCCCUUUCUCAAGUCUGAAGCAUUUCAAAAUGCUUCAGACUUGAGAAAGGGAGGUUCUCCCGAAAGCUUGUCAUUAAAAAAUUCUGUUAGUCCAAUAAAAAAGUUAUUACAAGAUAAGAAUUUUAUCUGUUUUUUAUAUCUAUAUAUAUAUAGAUAGAUAGAUGCAAACAGGUAUCAGCACUCUUGGAUUUAAAAGUCCAACAUUUAUUAGUUCAAAGUUAAAACAUGAUCAACGUUUCAGUUCUGCACAGAGGACUUUCAUCAGGUAUUUUAAUCCUGAUGAAAGUCCUCUGCGCAGGACUGAAAUGUUGAUCAUUUUGUAACUUUGAACUAAUACAUUUUGGACUUUUAAACCCGAGAGGGCUGAUACCUGUUUGCCUUGAUGGAUACUACUAGCCAUGGUAUGCUAGCACCCAGUCAUUAAGGGACUUUAAAACGUGAGUGCAAGAGCAAUUUUUCUCAUAUAUAUAUAUAUAUAUAUAUAUAUAUAUAUAUUUUUUUUUUUUUUUUUUUUUUAUUAUUAUUAUUAUUUUUUUUUUUUUGCAGUACAGUGAUAGGCACAUUUUCCUACCAUUUGGUAGCAGAACAAGUAAAAAAACAAAAGUAACCAAUAGAGGUAAAAAUUUGCAGAAGCAGUAAAAAAAAAGUAAGUUAUUUAUAUAUUUAGAUACAAUAUAUUUAUCAAAUAUAUUAUAUAUCAAUACAUAAAUAUAAUUUUUUUUUUAUUGCUUCUCCUUUUUUUUCCCAUUUAUCUGUCACUUCUCACUUGCUUUGUGAAUUAAAUCAACAUUUAGUGGCUGUCCCCUAGCCAUCAUGUAUGUUUUCACCCAUCAAUCAUCUCUCUUUUUAUUUUUUAGCCACAAGUGGAAUUCUAAAUCACAAAUCAAAAUGAACAUGCUCGUCGAUAACACAUUUCAUUUGCUUUGUGAUUGCCUAUAUAUCAACACAGAGUUUGGAAAUUCGUCCGAUUAACCAAUUAGGCCAAAUUCAGAUGAAUUGCAGUUCAUACCUAAAAGAAUCUCCAAUUCUACCAAAUAUUAUAUCUUGCCACCCCAUUACUCCAUUAUCAUUGUAUUAAAUAUGCUUGUGAUUUAUUAUUUCUUUCAAUCACAGAUAUUGUUCUAUACCUCUUUGUUGCUUCUUACCAAAAUAUGAUUCAUUCCUUUCAUUUUACAAUUACAUUUUAUUUAUUAAUAUGUAUGCACUCUUUAUUUGAAGGUAUAUAAAGGUGUAUAUGCAGAUGGCUGUAGGGCAAUAUCACCAAUGACUUCUACUUGUUACGAAUUAUAGUAUUAUUUCAGCUACCUGUCCUCCCGAGACAGAAUUCAUUUUUGGAGAGAAGUAGACAGACCUAAUCACAUUCCUGAUGUCACGGUUAUAUUAUUCAUAUUUCAUUCACACUCAAAUACAACUUCCAGUGCCCCGCGAAGCAGGGUUUAGGUGAUAUAUAUACAAUAUGCUAAAUGUAGAUGAAUUGCACUACAGGGGCACUACCUCAUACCGGAAAAUGAUUGCAAAUGUAAGAAUUGCUUGCAAUAGGUUUCAUUUUCUAUCCUGUGGGGAAAAUGGCAGGAUCAUUUCACUCCUGCGGACUAUGCACUGUGAAGUUAGCUUGUUUGUAUUUCUAUACUGCCAGAAUGUAGAUUUAUUUUGUGUCAAGACUCUGUUUGUUACAGACUCAGUGUUCUGCUGUACAAAAUAUUGUAAUAAUAAUGCAAUCAAAUUUUUUUAUUUAGCAUUCAGUGUGAAGUGAGGAAAAUACAAAGAUAAAUAAUUUAGGGCAUUUUUUCUGUUGUUGACUAUCUCAAAAUUAUAUUUCAUCAAAGAAAGAAACGUAACUGCCAAUCUUUUAUUUAUUUUUGCUUUCACCAAGACAGCCAUUUACUGUGUAAUAUCUCUCCCUAAGAUACCUGUCCUCAGUCAUAUUGCAUUUCGCUUUACGAGGCACCCCCCUGUUUCUCUAGUUCCCUUUGGCACCGGUAUUUUCAGCUCCAAACUAUAAUUUAAUACUUGUGUUUGCUUUUAGUCUUGGGAAGCCAGGACAAGGGAUAUUUGAAUGAAAAUUUGUUAGACUAAAGUUCGGUAGGCAAAUAAUUAAGCGUAGUUAGAAUGUUUAGACUGGCUGAGUAUCAUGGGAAAUGCAGUUCGUAAACAUCUGCAUAUGCAAAGUAUGCCUUUAUCACCAAUGGUUAUGGGAAUAUCAGAGAGAUACAAAUCUUUUAGACUAACUUUGCUAUUCUGAGUUUUAAUAAGAAAAAUAAGUAACUUCCCCCCAAAUGAUUUCCUAUUCCUAAACAAAAGCAAUUCUAAAUAUAAGCAGACACCAUGUUGUAUCAAUAUUAAAGAGAUAUUCUAAACACCAUAACCACUACUGCACACUGUAAAACUGUUUACUCAAAACAAUCUAAAGUAAAGUUCAUCCUAUAAAGCGAGCAUGUAGCCUCUAUGUGUAAUUCCUACUUCUUAAAAUGAUUCAAUAGUGUUAGAAAAAUGUUCCAAAUUAAUUAUCUAAAAAAAUCCAAUAGUCUUCAAUAGUGACAAGAUAUACCUAAGCGCAUAAAUAGAGAAAGGAAAACUCAUAGGGUAAUAACGUUAGUCGUAAUACAAUACAAUACAACUCUGCAUUCCCCGGCCCUGAUCUCAAUGGUAUGGAGUAUAGGGGUCCUCACAGGUGUUGUAGGCAAAAAAACAGCAAAUAUACAAAACAAUAAUAAUUGAAAAACUCAUUUCAUUUAGUACUCUAGACUUCAUCAGGAGUAACAAGGUGAGUAGUACACAAAAUAAAAUGCUGUGGUUUAUGUUCAGACCGAAGUCACAUUUAAAAGUCCCUCUUCCAGGUGUCAGAUUCCUCUCAGCCAAUCCACCCUUCUCUUCCCAUCUGUUUCUGAUCAGUCUAUCAGCUUCAUCCAUAUUUGGAGUUCCAGUAGAUGUCUUUGGAACGCACAUGCAUUCCACCGAUCAGGAAGUCAUUCGUCUUGGUCCGCAGGUAAUGAUGACGUGAAUAAUAUGUGACUGGAACGCUAUGCAUUUCAGAUCGUCCAUUAGGUUUCCCCAUGUAGUUCUUCACAAGGAUAUCGCAGAGAGUCCUCAUUCAAUAAUUGAAUCUCAAACAAUAACAUAAAAACAGAAAACAUACUGAGAGGUAUUAAUAACCACAUAUGAAAAACUCAUUGUACCAUUGUACCAAUGUACAAAUAUAAAUAUGGAUCCAUAGUGGCCAAAUAUAUGUAUGGAAUAUAUAUAAAAUAUAAAAUAUAGACAUAGCACAUACUUUAAAAUUAGUGUAAAGUGCUAAAAAUUUAAACAAUGGAAAUAGGACAGCCCUAAAGGUGAUGUAGAAGACUAAGAGGGGGAGUCUGGGGACACAGAUCUCAAAAUAUAUAUAUAUUUAUUAAGUUAAUUAGUGCUUUUAUGGUCAAGUUCACUCUUCCACCUUCUAACUCUAUUGCUUUCCUGCACACUGACUUGUUGAUAUUAUCCCACAUACAGGUGAUACUCAAAAAAUUUGAAUAUCAUGCAAAAGUUCAUUUAUUUCAGUAAUGCAACGUAAAAGGGGAAACUAAUAUAUGAGAUAGACGCAUUACAUGCAAAGCAAGAUAGUUCAAGCCAUGGAAAGUAUAAGCAUGCAUACUGACUCAGUACUUGUUUUGAUCCCCUUUUUCAGCAAUUACUGCCUCAAUGCGGCGUGGCAUGGAAGCGAUCAGCCUGUGGCACUGCUGAGGUGUUAUGGAAGACCAGGAUGCUUCAAUAGCGGCCUUCAGCUCUUCUGCAUUGUUCGGUCUCAUGUCUCUCAUCUUUCUCUUGGCAAUGUCCCAUAGAUUCUCUAUGGGGUUCAGGUCAGGCGAGUUUGCUGGCCAAUCAAGCACAGUAAUCCCAUGGUCAUUGAACUAGGCUUUGGUGCUUUUGGCAGUGUGGGCAGGUGCCAAGUCCUGCUGGAAAAUGAAGUCAGCAUCCCCAUAAAGCUUGUCGGCGGAAGGAAGCAUGAAGUGCUCCACAAUCUCCUGGUAGACGGCUGCGUUGACCCUGGACUUAAUGAAGCACAGUGGACCAACACCAGCAGAUGACAUGGCUCCCCAAAUCUACACAGACUGUGGAAACUUCACACUGGACUUCAAGCAUCUUGCAGUGUGUGCCUCUCCAUUCUACCUCUAGACUCUGGUUCCUUGGUUUCCAAAUGAUAUGCAAAAGUUGCUCUCAUCAGAAAAGAGGACUUUGGACCACUGAGCAACAGACCAGGUCUGUUUUUCUUUAGCCCAGUUAAGACGCUUCUGACAUUGUUUGUUGUUCAGGAGCGACUUGACAAGAGGAAUACGACGUCUGAAGCCCAUGUCCAGGAUCCGUCUGUGUGUGGUGGCUCUUGAUGCACUGACUCCAGCCUCAGUCCACUCCUUGUGAAAGUCCCCAACACUUUUGAAUGGCCUUUUCCUGACAAUCCUCUCCAGGCUGCGGUCAUCCCUGUUGCUUGUGCCCCUUUUUCUUUCACACUUUUCCCUUCCACAUACUUUUUAUUAAUGUGCUUUGAUACAGCACUUUGGGAACAUCCAACUUCCUUCGCAAUUACCUUUUGAGGCUUUACCUCCUUAUGGAGGGUGUUGAUGGUUUUCUCCACAACUUUCAGGUCAGCAGUCUUCCCCUUGAUUGUGAUUCCUACUGAACCAGACUGAGAGACCAUUUAAAGGCUCAGAAACCCUUUGCAGGUGUUAUGGUGUUAUUAGCUGAUUACAGUGUGACACUUUGAGCCUAGAAUAAUACACCUUUUUACAAUAUUCUAAUUUACUGAGAUUGUGGAUUUGGGGUUUUCAUGAGCUGUAAGCCAUAAUCAUCGCACUUAUGACAAAUCACGGCUUGAACUAUCUUGCUCUGUAUGUAAUGCAUCCAUCUCAUAUAUUAGUUUCCCCUUUUACGUUGCAUUACUGAAAUAAAUGAACGUUUGCGCGAUAUUCUAUUUUUUUUAGUAUCACCUGUAUUUCUCUUCUUUUUAUGUUUUUAUACCUUAUCUCCUCUAUAUUGUAAAGUUGUUCAUGCAGAGCCCUCAAUAAUAAUAAAAAUUGUAAAGUACUGCUCAAUUUGUUUGUGCUAUAUAAAUACCAACAAUAAUAAUAAAAUAAACAAAUGACUUGACACUUACCUGUCUCUGUUGGUCGCUUGUGAUGCUUUAGAUAUGGCAGAGUGGAAGUUUGAAAAUCCAAAGUUCUAAAGCUAACUCAAACCAAAUUGGGACAUUAUUCUUUGGUAGAUAGCCAUUAAAUGUCACUCUAAGCCAAUGAAUAAUUUUCCAACUUUGUUAUGUUGCAAGUCAGUAAAAUAAUACUGAAAAAUGAACUUCCUUUUUGCCAUACAGUUCAGAUUGGAGCAGCUCAAAUGAACAACAGAGACAAGUGAGUGUUAAAUCGUUCUUAAAAAUGUUAACAGUUCAUCAUCGGACCAUGCCACGGGACUCAAAAACGGUUGUGCUUUAGUGGUUAUGGUGCCUAGUAUGUCCCUAUUGCAUCUCAAUUUUCAGCCUGAAGAGCUCUUUAUUGUGAUCUGCACACAUUGAACCAAUAUUCAUUUAAAAUAAAAUAGAUUCCUCUUUCUGUCACACAAAAAUACAAGUGCAAAUUGAAACAUUAUCCACAAAAAGAAAUAUGUCCUUGGUAAGAUGUCUAUAAAUAGCACAAUACAUAGGUUUUGCACUGGAUAUAACUUUUUGAACAUCAGAGUAUAAAGUAUAAUCCAUUUCUUCAACCACUGUCACAAAAAAUCAAUAUAAAAAAAUCACAUAAAACAAUGACCCAUUCUCACAUGUAAGACAAAAGCUUCCUAAGCAGCAUUGCUGCCAAUCAAAUGGCACAAAAAUAGUUCAAAUAUAGGGCUGGAUUCUAUCCAGAGAUAAAUUUAACUCUGGGAGCUAGAUAGUUAGGUUUCUAUUAAAUGCCAGUAUUGGCAAAAAAUAACCCCAUAAUUUUAGUGCAUUUUUGGAAUACAUUAAGAUAAAAUAUGCAAAAUAUGUAAUAAAACAAAACCAUACUCACCUUCAAAAUUCUGUAGAUGUAAAUCUAAUAUAUAUUAUCUGCAGCUACAAACUGGUUCCUCCUUCACCAGGAAGAGGCUCCCGCCCUAAUUCCUGGUUGUGGGGUCCAGGGCUGGCUUCAGGCUUUUAUUAAACUAAUAAGUGCAAUACAAGUAUAAUUAUUUAAAAAAUCAGCAGUAUCCAAUCUAGUGUGAUAAACAAUAAUUGUCAAGCUAAUAUACUAUUGAGGUGUAGAUAUACAGUCCUGAAAAAUAGUGUCCGGGUGUUAUGUAAUGCAGACCCUUUUUUUCUUGUAUUUUCACAAAUAAAAGUAAAAAAAAACAAGGCAGGAAACCUAGACUACAGGGUGCAUACUGCAGACUGUUUCAUAUAAUACAGGUAAGUGAGGUCAAUGGCCCUUCUCAAAGUGCAAGAAUUUUUGACUACCAAAACAGACAUUUGUUUAUAUGGACUACACUAAAUAUUAUAAAUGAAAGUGUGCCCUUUCAUGUUUUUUUUUUCUUUGUGUGGUAUUGAGUAUGUCAAUUGAAGUGAUUAUUUUACGGGUGAUUUUAGCAGCACCUAAUCUUUUAGCGCCUGUUUCACUAUCUUUAUUUGCAUUUGAACAAUUUAAUUUGUAUCAACAUAGUGUCUCUCCAAACCAUACAAUGUAUGCUAUGUAAAUGCCCUCUUUGCUUUUCUGCUGUAAUUGCUCCGCUCUGAUUAUCACAAUACCACAGUCUGCACAAGAAAAAGAAGAUAUUUUGUUCUAUUAUUUCAAUAAUGAGUGUAGCCACAUGAUCAGUUAUUCUACAUGUUGAUUCAUGAAGCCUCACCCACAUGUUUGUUGUAUGAGCUGUAUUUUUGAAUUAAAUCACUGUCUAGCAUUAGUUGACAAGAAAUGGGACAAUUUUGUAAUUGGAGGUUUCUCUCCUUGAGUUUAUUUGGCAUAGCAUAAGAAACUGAAUUAGGAAUAGAGAAGUUUGCCAGGAGCAUGGGUCAGGUUUAGUACAGAUCAACUACAGCUAUUAUCAGUACCAAUCACAGCUUCUGUACCUUUAUGGGUCCUCUGUCUUCUGAAUACUGCUCCAAAUUAUUAUUUCUUAGUCAAGCAUUGAAAGAGGCACAUAUAAAUAAGUCAAUUAAGGUUCUGUAUGACGUUCAUUGAUAGCACCAAUGAUAACUUAUGUUGCGCUCAAAGUGUUGCAAUGUCAUUUUAUCUAAUCACUAACACAAUGAACGUAUUAGUCCACGAGGAGACUCUACCAUGUGAUGUUCAGUAAUUAAUUUAUCUGUCAGGUAAUAUAUUCUUGUUUAAAAUAUACUCCCUCAGUAAAUACUUAUAAAACGUGCUCAUUCUAUGAUCCUCUAGGAUUCCUAGAAAAUGUAUUUAUUUUAUUAUUGCUUCAAUUGCAUCUUCUGCACUGAGAAACAUAGCAAUAAUGGACACUAUGCUAGUUGCACAAACUGUGUUUGAGACUCUUAACAAGAGUCCCCUUGUGCUGUGUAAGGUAGGUAGCACUUAAAACAUGAAAAUGACCUAGUGUAAACUGUAUAUAGUGUUAUCCAUACAAAAAGCAUAGAGGGCACUCACGCAUUAAAGAGCCCUUCAGGUUGUCUCUGAACUCUAAGAUUUUUGAUUGCCAAAUAUGGUUCUUCCGGGGAGAUCUGCCAUUUCCAAUAUGACGGGAUUGCCAAUCAAUCUAAUCCUCCAAUACCAAACCACCCAAUAGUUCAGAGACCCACCCACAAAUGUGCCGUCAACAUUCCAACUUCUUCGUAUAAUGGCACUACAUCCACUUCCUGUGGUGCAUACUCAGUUUGUCAUCACAUAAACCAUAAUAACGUCAUACGUCCUUAUUCUGAUGUCCGUAACUCGUAAAUGGAACACCUGGUCCCUUAAGUUCUCAAAUGCCAUGCAAGAUAAGGGAAAGGUAAUGAGCAACAAUAAAAGACAAUAGUACUCAAUAACAAAAUCAGAAAAGAGACAAUAAAGCAUAAGAAAUAUUAUAUUGACUAUAAAGGGGAGACAUAAUAUAUAUGUUGAACAAAUGGUAGAUUAUAUAUGUUAAUAAAUAAAUACAAACAAUAAUUAAGAAGAAAAUAUAUAAUUACCCCAUAGUCAAUAUUAAAAACACAAUGGUUAAUAUAAGUGGUACUGCAAGUGUAAAAUUAUAGAAGAGUACCAAUGUCAAAAUCGAUAUUUAACCCCUUUGGGGACAGUGUCUGCAGUUCAAAGAUACAUUUUAACUCUUGUCUAUCAAAGCUGUAGGCACUGUUGCCACCCCUCCAAUGACUGGUUACUUUAUCUAUCCCCAAAAAUUCUAAUUCCAUGAGAUCAGAAUGGUAAUUAUCUAAAAAAUGCUUUGAUACACUGUGAUUUCUAAAAACCCUUUUUAUUAUAGUCCUGAUAUGUACGCUUAUAUAUGUACUUUUAAAGGUCUAGAUUUUCUGCCUAAUCACCAUUUUGACUCCAUGGAAUUAGAAUUUUUUGGGAUAGAUAAAGUAACCAAUCAUUGGAGGGGUGGGGACAGUACCCUUCUAUUUAUUUAUUAACAUAUAUAAUCUAGAAUAACGGACAUCAGAAUUAGGACGUAUGACAUCAUUACAAUUACGUGAUGAUGAACUGAGUAAGCAUCACAGGAAGUGGACCUAGCACCACUUUGGAGAUCAUGAUCUGACGCACAGAAUAUGUGAAGAAGUUUGAAUGAUGAUGGCACAUUUGUGGGUGGGUCUCUGAACUAUUGGGUGGUUUGGGAUUGGAGGAUUAGUUUGAUUGGCGAUCCCCACCAUAUUGGGAAUUGUGGAUCUCCCUGGAAGAACCAUAUUUGGCAACUGGAAAUCUUACACCUGUUUUUGAUUUUAUGAUGUAAUGGCAUAUAAAUUAGAGAACUCGAAUUAUGUAGGUAUAUGUACCUGAGGAAGACCCCAUAUCGGUCAAAACGCGUUGUGCUGGUUGUCCCACCUCAGAAUUUGUUUUGUUUUUAUAUUAUAUAAUUAAGUAUAUUCCUCUUUAUCCUAUUGGUUCCUGACCUUCAAUCUAGAAGAGAAAUACCGCUGGGACCUGACACAUCACACCAUUCUGAGAAUGUUGAAAAUACCUACUGAGUUUAAAGCUGACCUGAUGGGCUCUUUAAUCUGUGAGUGUCCUUUACGCUUUUUGUACGGAUACCACUAUAGACAGUCUAGGCUAUGUCGUUUUUAUGUUCUUAUUAAUAGGUUCCACUCUGCCUAUUUUUUCCACUGUUACAUCUAUCAUUUGUGCUCUAUCACCUUAUUUGUUCUCAGUAUUCUAAUGUAUGUAUAAAUGUUUUCAUGGCAUAACACUUGGGUGAAUUUGUGCUGCACUGGUUGUUGUUAUUGUGGCACCAAAUAUAUAUUUAAUUACUUUGUUUAUUGAGCACUUAAAACAUGUUAAACUGGGCCGUUCGUGUUAUUGAUCUGUUGAAAACAUGGCAGCCAACCAAAGAAACCGAAAAAAAAUGUAAAUAUAUUGUUUUGAUCCACUUGUACUUUAAAUACAAGGAUUGAAUUAUAUUGAUUUACAGAGUAUUUGUGAUUUUUUUUAAGGUAUAGUUUAAUAUGUUUUGUCUGUUUGCUUUCAUAGGGAAAUAUUGAAGGGAAAUAUUUAAUAAUGGUCAUAAUGCAAAUGGUUUGUUUCUGUCAUUGCUGUACAUGUUUAUAAGUUUUGCUAAGGAUGCAUAUUAGGUAUUGCUACUUUAUCAUAUACGAAAGCAGUUAUUAGAACAAUGUCACACAGAGUGUUAUGAUGACUAAAAGGUUGGUACAGGAGGUCGAUUCAAGUAAGCCAUAGAUAGACAUCAAACAUUCUUUUCGUUUAUAAGGAAAGAACACAAAGACGUGGAAAACUGAGGCAUUUUUCUAUUUUAAUGUAUGUUAGUGAUUUUAUUUUUUCACUAUUGAAGCAUGAACCACUGACUCUUUUUUAUUUAUGAAUAGAACUGGUAAUUGUAUUGAUCCCUGCUCAGCAGACAAAAAAUUGAAUACAUUCAAGAGUCUUAUUGGCACACCAACACUGCAUAUCAAUGAUUUCCUUACUGUGAUGACAUUACUGUCCCUUUUAAUAAAUGCAUGACUUGUGUUAAUGGUUAUAAACAUGCAAAUAAAUGCAAAGACGUGUCAAAAGAGGGUCUUGUCACCCUGGCAUCUGUGAACUCUACUCUGCCUCUAGAAAGUUAAAUCUUUGUAACUUCAUCAAGUGGGUCAUAAAGAAUAUUUUCUUGCACAGAGCUCAACUAAACACUUUUUUGAUGAACUAGAAUGUGGACUACAAGCUCAUCAUCAGAGACAGAACUCACUAAAGCGCUCACGUGGAAAUAUCUGCACGGUCCCAAAAGAAUACCUUUUCAGACUAGCAGAAACAUCAAAUUGGAUGUCCAGCAACUAGAUCCCCACAUACAUUUGAUCAUGUAGUUUAUACAAUCUUUAGUAGAGAAUAGUAACAUUUGAGUAUUUAGGAGGACAGUGUGGAGUCUAGUUUUCAUGUCAAGAGCCUAUUUUCCUUGUGUGGAGAUGUGAUGGGUGACAGUUUGUGUUAAAACACAUCUCACAAAUUGAAGAUGUUAUGAGAAACAGACCUAUUUCCCAUUAAGGUUUCUAAGUGUGAAAGAGGGAGUUCUUGGGAGUAGGUAUUCCUCAAGGCGUGUGGACAAAUUGGAAACUUUUUGUGAUAUUUAUCGAUAGUAACUGCCUAAUGUGUUUAUGGAUUAUUCUUAUAUCUUCUGGUGAUAAUUCUUAGGCUACUGAAUUAACCCUGGUAGGGUCCCGUAAAAAGUGAUUCUCAUUAAAACUUGCUGGUAAUUUAAUCUUUGUAUUUUGACUUAUAUUUAAAACUGAUUACUGUAUUUUGUUUGUACCAUUAUAUUUACACAUAUGAAAUACAAAGAAAGUAUAUUUUAAAUGACAAAUAUAAGUGGGAAAAUGUGUUAUAUAAAAGUGAACUAAUACUAAAUACACACCUUAAAUCUUCCGAGUCACUAUUUAUAAAGAAGUGGUGCCCACCAUAAUGGACCCUUUAAUCAAAAAACAAGACAAAAUAAAAUCUUUGUUUAUGCUUUUUGACAUAUGGCAUUUUCUUGUAGCACCUUAUAUCCUUAACCUCUCUGAAAUUACGGUUUUAUGUGAAGAAAACAAACGUGAAAAAAAAGGCUCAGUACAAGGGGAAAUGGUUUUGAAGUGAAAUGGUUAAAAAUGUGUGAUUCUACCUAUAAAUGUAAAGAAAAUAAUAUUGUUAAUAUGCAGAGCGUAUACCUUAAAAUCCAUCUAGUCCUGUUAGGCAAAACACCUGUUGCUUUUGUUUACACUUCAUUGCACCAGACAUUUCUAUAGAAUACACUAGAUGGACACAGCUUUAUGAAUUCAAAUUACAAGACAACAUGUACUUGGAGCACAAGCUGCCUAGAAAGCUUAGAAACAGUUUGCAAACAGACUCUUUGUAAUACACUUUGAUUUUACCUUAUUCCUAAGGGGACUUUUCUAUAGCCAGAUAUCUAUUGGUGUCCACAUAUUAUUAAUGGGGCAUAUCCAAUUGCAAUAUACAAAUUAAUACAGUUAUUUCUAAACAUUCAAUUCUAUGGUUUUAUAGUCAGAUGUUUCCAAGGAUAUACAGAAAUACACAAACAGUACAAACUGAUCAUAACACAUUAGAACAUUUGCAUAUGAAGUAAAUGCAGUGAUUUAACAGUACUCGUUGCAAUGAAUGCAACUGUAUAGAGCAUAUAUGACUCAAAAGCAUUGAAAUUAGAAGUGAAAUUGAAAUGUCAUUUUUGAAGCUUUACAUUUUAUUAUUCAUGACAAAGAAGAGGAUUAUACUGAAAAUCCCCAACGUGCUAUUGUCUUUGACUAGGCAAGGAAACAAAUAUUUAGCAAUGUGUUUAUCUUAAUUAAAUCAUUAUUCCUGGAGCAAUGUAUUGAUCUUUGGCAUAGACAAAAAAAAGGAAAGAAAGACGGAUGAAACUUGAACAUUCAAAUGGCAUGAUAGUUUGUUUCAUUUUACAAAAAAAUGAUUCACUUCUGUUACAUUCUUUUAGUGUGCUUAGAAUUCUUGUUACAUAUUUAUAAUGUGCUAACAUAUUCUGAUUCUUUACAAUAGAAAUGAUUGUUGCAAUAUUCUUGUAAUCCAUUAAUUUUUAUUAUGAAGAAAAUAGAAGCAGGAUUAAUCCAGAUGUCCAAAUGUUUAUUAACAUUAUUUUUGGUUCCUAUGUCAUACUUUGGUUUAAACUCAUAUAUACUCAUAAUAAACAUUUUCUUUCUAAAUGACGCAAUUGUAAGUUAUAUUUGACCGGGAUUACAUAUUCUUUCCUUUAUCUCAUUUUCCACACUGACCCCUAAUUGUGUAAACAUUGUGGAAAAUAAAAACAAGUAAAUAUUCAAACCAUAAGGAAAGCAGAGGAAUCUAUUGCAACAAUAAAAACACAAACAAACAACAACAAAAAUUAUAUAUAUAAUUUCUUUAUCCAGUAUUAACAAACUAUGCAAUAGAAUCUGCAAAUAAGGAUAAUCAAAUAUGUUGUAAAAUAUCUUGGAUGCACACAAAAUAAACCCAAUCCUUCAGUCGGAAGAUUGGAGGCAGAAUGGCAUCUCACCAGAGGCAAACAGGCUUUCUAAGACCCUUCUUUAUUGAGUAGGCCCUGCUAUACACUGUGAUUGGCUAGAUUUAGUCUUAGUCAAUCACAUUUCAGCUCUCACUAAACCUUGCUUGCUGAAGGAUUUGCUGAGUUCUCAUGUUUGAUGGAAAUGUAAUGAAAAUUGCAUUGCAGUCAAUACUUUGCUGUAAUAUAACUGAAUGGGACUAAACCCAGUCAAUCACAGUGCUCAAUCAUAGUGCAAAAGAAAAGACUAAAUGGAUGAUGUAGAGAUUUAGGAAGCAAAGGCGCUUCAAUUUAAUUACCAUUCUGCCAUUCUGUCAUUCUGAAUCAAAAUUUCUCUUUCAUCAAAAUAAGCAAAUAAUUUAAGAGUAUAUUUCUCUUUUAACUUUAUUACACAUUUUUACACCACUUCCUAAACUUAAGUGCCAGUAGGUAAGUAUAUCAUGCUGUAGAGAAUUAUACUAUUUUAUUUUUUAUUAUUAUAGGUGCUCUUACUGAUCUGGAGUGGUUGAGGGUCCCCUGCUUUUUUAGUCCCCAGGCCUGAAGCACCACUGUGUAUUAAUAAAUAACUCGGGGCACUAAUUCCCCCCAGCUCAGUAUACUGAGAAACCCACAAUACACCACAAGGAAAAAGGAAGGCCACUCACUGGAACUUUCCUGGUUACUAUAGAGACCUGGGGAUGUGGAUUUAUGUUUUAAUGUUGAAUAUGAAUUGAGAGAGUCAUUAGAGCUCUCAUGGCUAAUAGGUGGUCCCAGAGAACGCCACAGGAUUUUAUGUUUAUAUUUAUUUGUGUGUGGUAGAUUAUAGACACAGACAGCUAUCGUAUAGUUCAUAUGGCUCUAUACCUAUAACAUAUUAAAAUAUAUGCAAACAAUUAAUUAAAAAUAAUAGUGUAACAAAAAAAUAUAUGAAGGACAUUUGCUGCAGAUCUACAGACUAUAAAGUAUCUCCAGUGAGCCCUAAGUGAGCUAAGACCUCGAUCUAAUAUUUUUGGAUAAACUUUAAAAUUAUUAUAUAUUUAUACAUGUUUAAUAUUUUGAUAAUUUUCUUUUGUGUGGCUCUCACAUAGAUAUUAUGUGCACACUGCCCAGUACCCAGAAUGGCUGUGUAAGAGCCACACAGUCAUGACUCCCACACCCACAGGCCCCCCUCAAACAGGGCCAGAAAUACUUUAAAGUGAUUAAUCCAACCAAAAAUUGUGUUAUAAUAAAAUAAAGAAAUGAAAAUAAUUAAAUAAAGCAAAAUUAAUUACACCCUUCCAUUGUGUUUGUUGGUAACAUCACAAGCAGCGUUCCCCACAUGUGCCAUCAUACAAGUCCAUACAUUUAGCCUCCAAACACCUGUGUCUGUAGGCUAAUUAUAGGGUUCAGUGUGUGGGAUGCUGCUUGUGAUGUUGUGUUCCUGUUUGUCAACGUAUUGAAAUAUAAUUAAUCUCUCUGGGAUGGGUAAAGAGGGGCAAAGUGUCUGGGAUGGGUGAAGGGGGACAUAGGGCCUGGUAUGGGUAAAGAGGGGAAAAGGGUCAGGGAUGGGUAAAGAGGCAUAGGGUCUGGUAUGGGUGAAAGAGGCGUAGAGGCUGAAAUGGGUGAAGGGGGGCUGGUAUGGGUGAAGUGGGGCAUAGGGGCUGGGAUGGGUAAAGGGGGGCAUAGUGGCUGGUAUGGGUGAAGUGCGGCAUAGGGGCUGAGAUGUUUAAAGGCGGCAUUGUUCCUGGGAAGGAUAAAGGGGCAAAGUGUCUGGUAUGGGUGAAGGAGCAGGUAUGGGUAAAGGGUAGGUAAAGAGGGACAAAGUGUCUGGGAUGGGUGAAGGGGCAGGUAUGGGUAAAGGGUGGGUAAAGACGGACAAAGUGUUUGAGAUGGGUGUGAAGGGGAGCAUAGGGCUUGGUAUGGGUAAAGAGGGGCAAAGGGUCUGGGAUGGGUGAAGAGGCAUAGGGUCUGAGAUUGGUGAAGGAGGCAUAGAGGCUUGGAUGGGUAAAGGGGGGCUGGUAUGGGUGAAGUGGGACAUAAGGGCUGGUGUGGGUGGAGGGAGGUGCAAAGUAUCUGGGCUGGGUGAAGGGGGGACUAGGGGUUAAGAAAAUAUUUACAUACCUGCUGACUGCCUGGCUUCAGCAGAUUUGGCUGGAAGUGAAGUAACUUCCCCUCUUCCAGGCCCCAUCUCUUCCCUUCACACAGCUCUGCACAGCCAGACAUGGUGGAGACCUUGAAAGUGCUACAGGAUCACUGCCAGGUCUCACUCAGAAGGUGGGGGUGGAGGGGAAGCAGAGAGGGGAUAAUUAGUGUGCGAUACGUUGCAGGGCAACAUAUCACUGGAAUAUGUACAAUUAUGGCUUUUUCUGACUGGGGAGAUCUCCCACACCAGAGCAUGUUUGUACAGCUGGCCGAGCCACUCCCUGCCUCGGGCCCUCUGCCCAUGACCGAUCUGCCUGAGUUGUCAGUCCACCCCUGCUAGUGCACAACGAGGCAAAACACUGUGCAGCAUUAAUCAAAUGGCGACUAUCAGACCAUCUAAUUGAAUAACAAAGUUUGACUCGCUUAUGGAGAGAAUUAUGUUAAUUUUACUUAUUGGAAAGCUAAAGAUAUCAUUGAAUUGUAGUUCCAGUGGUGUAUUGUUUUCUAUAGAAAGUAAACUUCUGGACUACAAUUACCAGAAAUCUGACAUCAUGUACGGCAGUUAUGGAGCAUAAUGUGAAACACUACAGAUUUGGAGUAGGCAGAAAUGUUGGGAUCUGUGUGAGGGCUGAUUCAAAUUCUCCAUGGAAUUCAGCGCAUGAGUUUGGUUAUUAAAUAUCCUUUGUUUACACUGGUAACGCAACUGAUUUUCAUCCUGCCUGUACAGAUGUACUAAGUAAGCUUACAUAUGUAACAUACAUUUACAUUUGGCAAUGGUUUUAUGUUAAUACUGCUAAAACAUGUAGUUAGUAUAUCAUACAGUGCAUUAAAAGGGACACAAAGGGAAGAUAAUAGCACAGAAUAUAUUUCUUUAAGCAAUGCACUUGCAACUCUUAUUGCAAAUACAAUGGAAAUAUAAAGUGUAGACCCCGUGGGCAAAAUAAGGUAGCACAUAUAUUUUAUCAUGGACAUAAAUAAGAGGAAGGAAUUAAGCAUGACAGUAGCAUGAAACUCAUGAUAGUGUAAAUGUAAUCUAAUGCACUGAGUAAAUAUUAGGAUAGCAUGAUUCUAGAUAAGGGUUCCUUGACACCAGUGCAGCUGUCAGAAAUGUUCAUAAUUUUAAAAUAUCUUACAGGCUGUUCCUGGUCAAGUGGCAGUAUUAUUGGUUUCAGGAGUUGAAUGCCAAAAAAAGAAUUUAAUUUCCUUGAAAUACUGCUUGAACUAUAUUUGAAGGAAAUUAGAUUCUGUUCAAGCAAGAUGAAAACCUAAUUGUCUUCAUUUCAAACUAAUAUCUAUGUAGAGCAACAUCCAGAGAUGUUUAGAUUGGAUAUAAGACAUUAGGUAAUUUGGAGGCUUAUCAUGCUAAACAUAGUGAACUAAAAAUUAACUUACAUAAUAAAAUUCCAUACAAGAAAAUAUUUUGUUUAGUAAUUGUCUUCUUAAAAGGACACUGCAGGCACCCAGACCACAUCAGCUCAUUGAAGUGGUCUGGGUGCAUACUCUCAUCACCCUUAACCUGGCAAGUGUAAUUAUUGCAGUUUUUAUAAUCUGCAAUAAUUACCUUGCAGGGUUAAUUCCUCCACUAGAGGGACUUCUGGCUUCUUAGACAACUUUUGGUCGUCUAAACAACGCUGGGCAUCCUCAUGCUAUGCAUGAGGACCUCCAGCAACACCAGAAUAAUGCUUUCCUAUGGGGAGGUCUAAUGGGUGUGCGCAUUAGGUUUCCCCUGCCGACGGAUGUCAGCGGGGGAGGAGCACGGGCGGAGCCUGACCCAACACCAAGGGAAAUAGGCGCUGGAUUCAGGUAAAUGUCCGAAGGGGUUUUAACUUUUUCAGCGCCUUGGGAUAGGGGCUGGAGGGAGAGGGACACUCCAAGAUUUUACAGUGCCAGACAAACUGGUUUGUUUUCCUGGCACUAGAGAAUCCCUUGAUGUUGAGUUUACCAGUUACUGAUAAAGUAAUUUAUACAUGAAAACAUAUAUUACUCAAAGCAAGUAUGGCUUAUUAAACAUCAUCCUCUUGGAAAAUAUAGGUACAUACAACUACCUUUAGCAAAACAAGUUUUUAAAUGGACAAACAUAGGGAACAUUUUUAUAACAGGUAGAAUACACAAACUUUUUCUAUGAGAACUCUUUAUUUUGCAGGAAAUUGCAGAAGGAAGUAUACACAAAGGUAUACACCCUAAAUCUAUUAAUGCAUUUUUCUUCACUCAGCGUGUGUGUGUUGAACAGCUUUUAUUCUAAAAGUAUGUUGGAGAAAAUGCUCAUUAAAAAUAAGAUUACUGUAUUAUAUAAUUUAUGAUGGUCCACCCAUAAAAUAACAAUUAGUCUUUCCAAAAAGUAUUUCCAUUAUUGGGUGUGAAUUCAAAUGAAUGAUCCAUUCCUUCCACUUCUCUGUUGUUCUAGUUCGUUUUUCCUCUAUUUUAGCCAAAGCCAAGUAAUUUGACCCUGUAUGCGAUAGACACUGCAUUGCUGUUUUUCACAGUUUAGUAUAGAGACUGUGAUUUUUUUAUUUUUUUUUAUGUGCAUUUUAAUUAGCAAAAUAAUUGGGGUCAGUGCCCCUGAUUUUUUUCUGUGUAAGAGUUGGUCAAUUUAAAAUAUUGUUGUGUUCUACAUUGAAAGUUUGAGAAGUGUUCUUUAUUAAACUCAGGGUUUGCAGAAAUUCACUAGUUCAACCUUGCCAAUCUCAGUGGAUGUUUGCUGAUGUGUGAUUGACCUUUACUUCUGUGUUUUACAGAAACAAACAUUUCAAGUACUUUAUGCAGUCAAAAAAAAAAAAUAGUGCUCUGAAAAAAUGUGUUCCACUUUUUCAAAAAUUAACCUGUCAAAAAGUAUCACAAAAAAAUAAAUCACUGUUAAUAAAGUAGAUAAAUGAAUUAGCUAUUAUACCAAUAUCCUGCUGUAGCAAUCAUGUUGGUUACAGAGGGUAAAAGCAAAUGACUCAGUAGUAUUCUAUGAGAUAUGUUUGAAGUUAUAACAAAGAAUUAUUCUCUUUAAAUUGAAAGUCAUUGCAACAGCCUCAUAACGCGUAGCUGUGCACUUCCCCGUAUAUCAUCUUAAUGGCUAAUUUUUUACAUUGAAACAUGAAGCAUUUCUUCCAUAUUUUAUUAGUUCUAUUUACCUGUCUUCAAAAUACCAAAUGGGCCAGCGAACAGUUCUUUAAUAUUCAUAGGACUCUGAGAUGUCUUUGACAGUUGUCAAAGAGAGAAAUGGUUUAAUCAGGGAAAAAUAUCUGACUUUUGAUUUCUGGCACCAACCCACUCAUACACAAUCUAUUAGAAUCGUAUACUCAAAUAUACACUCUAAUACACUGAGUAAUAUGAUUGAUUGAUUUCAUUUCCUAGGCCUGGCAGUUCAUAUUUGCAAGUCAAGUUAUGUUCAGCACAUAAUAUCAGUAUUAUAGCUAUAAUAAUCCUCUUUGCUAAACAUGAAUAUACAUAUGGACAUGCAAAUGUUAACAGAUAUUGCAAGAAAAUUACAGCAUACAUAUAUUUAAGACUUUUUGAAUACAUUUAGUCUCAAAUAGUUUGUGCUACAUAAAUGCACAAUGGUCUAAAUAUAUUAGCACUGCAAUGGUUUGUCUUUCACUAAUAAAGGCAUAAACAACAUGUCACCAUACUACAUUUUAGCAUACAUCUUUCCCAAUUUGUAAUGUACUUACACACACUACAUUUAUCUGCAAUGAAGUUGACUAUAUAUAUAUAGAUAUAGAUAGAUAGAUAGAUACACAAGAUCCAGCACACUCACUUAUCCACUAAACAGCAAUUAUUAGUUUUAUUAUUAUUAUUUUUUUUUUUAAAACACCUAAUCUAGGCAAAAAUAAUGGGGAUUUGGUUACAUUAUAUGAUCAUACAUUGCAUAAGCCUGCCACAAUGGCAAUAUAUAUAAAACAUACAGGAUCCAGCUCACUCAGCAAUUUCAAAGCUCAUAGAAUUUUUUUUUUUUGUUUGUUUGUUUUUCAAACACCACACCUAGACAAAAAUAAUGGGGGUCUAGUUACAGUAUGUUAUCAUACAUUGCAUAAGCCUGUCAUAACAUCAAUGUUCUCCAUUCUUGGCAGGUCCUACUCUAGAAACCUAAUGCCUGCUCUUAUAAGAUUAAUCCACUUACUUGGGAAAGGCUUCCUCCUGGGACUAUCUGCAGGGCAAGGUUAAAUAGAGCCCUUGAGCGAGGCACUUGUGAAAGGCAGGGGUGCAAAACUGGGGAGUUGGCCUGGACUCCACUAUAUAUAUAAGAUAGCUGCACUCUCCUGAACAAUCAUACUUAUAAUGGUGUAUAUGUCCAUACAACAAAUAUGUAGAGAUUGUAGCCGUAUUAGUCCAGUGACUAAUGUUUUUUACAUGUGUAUAUAUAUAUAUAUAUAUAUAUAUAUUACUGUUUAUAUACUGUACAUAAAAAAAUAGAAAUACAUACAUGUGUUUUUUUAUAUAUGUGUAUGUAUGUAUAUAUUACAUAUAUUACUCAAAGCAAGUAUGGCUUAUUAAAUAGGCAUCAUCAUCCUCUUGGAAAAUAUAGGUUCAUACAACUACCGUUAGAAAAAAAAAAUGUUUUAAUAGAGUACCAUAGGGAACAUUUUUAUAACAUGUAGAAUACACCUAAUUUUUCUAUGAGAACUCUCUAUUUUGCAGGGAAUUGCAGAAGGAAGUAUACACAAUGGGAUAUAUAUAUAUAUGUGUAUGUGUAUGAAUGAAUAUAUAUAUAUAUAUAUAUAUAUAUAUAAUUUUAAGUACAUUUCUAAUUUUUAUGCACACACUGGCUAACAGUUCAGUCUUUAUAUAGUGGCAGCCUAUAUCUUUCUGUCCCUACUGGUGAAAUGUUGUAGUCAUUAAACAGCCAAUACUUGCUAUUAGUAGGGACAAGCACCUUAGUGAGUAGCUGUUGAUAGGUUACAAAGUAGGAGCAAUAUUGAAAACAAAUCCCAAAAGAUCAGGUGUGAAUCUUGUUACUGAAAAAGUGUUCUUCGAGUUUACUCCACCAAUUUCUUAAUAUGCUAUUCUUAACAAAAAAAUUCAUUGAGCCUUGCAGAAAGGGGUGCAGACACCAGCACCAGAGCUGAAAACCCACAAGGCAAGGAAACCGUAUCUACCUGUUAAUUUUAAUAUUCUUGUCAAUACUGGUGUGGCAUUACAAGCCUGCUUGUUAUUCCUUGCACUAUGAAAAAAAAAUUAAAUAAAAACAUUUAAAACAAAAAGUAAAUGAGUUAAAAUAAGAUCCUAUGAAUGUCAUAAUAAUCAAGAGAGGGCAGGGUUGUCUCUGUCACUUUCUCGUCACUCAUUGUGGAUAGAAUGGCAGAUCAAGAAUUCACCAGGGUCACUGCUACAGCAGGUGAAUGCCAAAGUUUGCAUCAUACAUGUCAAUGCAUUGAAUAGCCAGUUACCAUAAACAUCUGGUUCACUUUUUAAAUUAUAAAAUGCUUGAUAGAAUUUGUCAUUAUACUUUCAUUGGACUCAAUACUUAUUUUUUUAAUAUGCUGAAUUACCCCUUUGACUUUUCACUUUCAGUCAAUAUCUACACUUUUGAGUAAAGUUUUUAAACAUAGUUUUACAAGGUCAGAGACGCAACGGGCAUGUGCGUCAGUCGCCGCACUCAGUCAAUUAAAUUAUUCUCAUAGAGAAGCAUUGAAUCCAUUGCUUCUCUAUGAGAAGCAUCAGAGAGUGUUUGGCAUCCUAAUGAAAUUCGUCAAAGAAUCAAGUCUGUCAAUAAACCAGAUUGUUAAUGGGAUACCUUAUACUUUUGAUUAUAACUGUAAAUGGUGUUUGCCAUUUUUUGUGUUUCAGAAUUAUUCCUCUAGCCAGAAAGUAAAACGUAUGUAUUGUACUCAAUAAACUUUUACAAUUGUGCUGAAUUGUCACCAAGCUCACAAUUUUCAGAAAACUGGAAAUAGUUUAAAGUUUUGAAUCAUGCAUUUACACACUUCUAUUCUGAAAGUAUCUCAGAAUUACUGUCGGAAAAACCUGGAUGGAAGCCAGAUUUCUUUAAAGCCAGCUUAUUUGAAGGUUGGAAUUUUGUAACAAGCGCAUGUCAGAGCUGUACUAAAACCAGUGGCCUUGGUAGAGCUCAACACAGGUUGUUUUUAACUUGUCUGGUAGUGUAUUUGUAGGAAAACUGUCAUACCUAUAAUAGUAUUCCAUUAACAUUUACAGUCUCCACAGUAUGUUAUAUAGACUUCAAAGCUCCUAAGUGCUUUGUUUCACAGCAAUAUAUUUCCAUUAUGUCCAAAAGAUAUAUAGGGAAUAUUUCUUAUAGGUGCUAUCAACAUCACCCAGCAGUUAGUGGCAGCUACGCUUUAUCUCUAGUUUUCCGUUUCUAACUUUGUUGCUACAGUUUACGGACUGAUCACUAAUAACAUCUGCUUGCAAGUUAGCUGCUCACUGAUAAAUCACAGAAAGAAAAAAAAAAUGUUCACCCUCAACAUGUGUACUUCACCUUGUGAUUGGCCAUAGCAAUUUAUACAAUUCAUUAAAAUAUAUCUGUGCAAUGUUUCUUGAUGUAUUUCUGCUAUGUGAGACUGAUAUAUGAAUAACACAUGUACAUGUAAUAACACGUUUGAUAUCAUGUGUCUGGCCUUUUCUUUAAAUGGAGCUCAGGCUUGUGUGUCUUUUUUUAUAUGGUCCCCCUAACUCUGUGUCCUCCAAGUCCUCCCAGUUUAUUUUUGGCAUCUGGUCCCCCAUUUUUAUCUUUUAAAUUGCCUUACAAUUUUUCACCAGAUCUAUUUCCUACCUGGUGUCUCCUUCUUUAGCUUGGCGAUGACAUCUUGUCUCUGCCUUCUUCUUGUAUAAGCAAAGGGACGUCAUGGCAGGUAAAAACACUGUAAAAUUUGGACUUGACAAAGGAAGUGGAGCUUGACGUGAGCUUUGCCCUUUUUCAAAUUUUGUCAAGUGUAGGAGAAAUACACAAAACAUGUAUGUAGCUAACAUAUUUUAUUUACUAUAGUUUUUAGCUGUUGUUUCCUUCUUUGCACUAGGCCAGAAACCAGUCAAUAGGUAAUGCUUAGAGCAACAUGUAAUUAUAUUAGACUGCCUUUAAGUCAGUAAUUUCUUAACAGCCGCUACACAUUAACAAUAGGGACACAGCUUAGCGAGUAGUAGCUCGCUUGUAAAAUUUAGUCACUACAUUAGGAAUGAGCUUAGAGUCUCAAAUCUCUAUUAUGUAUGAUUUCACUAAGUGUUUUAUUUAAAUAGGUUGUUAAGUGAAUUAAUAUACCCCAUGACCACUUCAAUUCCAAUCAAUGAAAGUAAAUACGCACAUUUUCUAGACUUUACUGCAGUUAGUCCUGCACUGGUAGUGUAAAUGACUUUGAUAUCUAAUGUACAGUUUGAUUCUAUGACUCAAUGUAUUUUGGCUACAUUCUAACCAUUAAGGAGAUCCUGAGAGUGAUGAAGUCUCUGGACACAUAGCAAGCCACAACAUCAGUCUCCAAUGCUCUGUAUAGUACAGAAGCCUGAGUUUAGCCUGCAUUAUCCUUUAAAACACAUUUUUACCUUUUAAUGGGUUAUCGUAAUAACUGUCCUAAUAACAUUUGUGCCAACAAACUUUUCUUUUAACACUGUUAUAACAUUUUUGGGAAACUGUAUGCUGAAAAUAUUCAAACAUGAACCUUGAAAAUUGUUAUAAACAGAAUAUUUGGAACAGUAUUUUUUUAAUAUCUACAGUAUGUGGCAAACUGGUUUUUCUGCUUUUUUUAGAAUAUUUCAGACUUUAAAUAUAGUGCAAUCUUCUAAAAAAAGUGGGAAUGAAUAAAUAAAAAGCUAUCUAUAUAUAGAUUUACAGAAUUCAUUUUUAAUAUAAAUCUUGAAGGAAACUAUGCCUAAAGUACAAAAAAUUAUAAAAUAAAAUAUGCCACUUAUACUAUAGUUCAUUAACAUGUACUAAAGGAAAUAAUUAAUCAUUGCUCACCAAAGUUCUUACCCCUUUAAAAGUAAUCUUACAGUUUUGUGUCAUAUUGCACAUCACAUUUGCAACAUUGUCUAACCCCUUAAGGACCGGACUGUUUUUUCGAUGUUGUACAUUUGCGACCAGACAUAUUUUUACACUUUUGUGGUGUUUGUGGUUAGCUGUAAUUUUCCGCUCUCUCAUUUACUUUUCCCAUACAAAUUAUAUAUUGUUGUUUUCAGGACAAAAGGGGCUUUCUUUACAUACCAUUACUUAUAUAAUCUCCUGUAAUUUAAUUUAAAAAUAAAUAAAAAAAUAUGAUGAAAAAUUGAAAAAAAUACAUGUUUUUUAAAUUUUACUUGAAAACUCUUUUACUCAUCUACAAAAGCGAAUGAAAAAAACUGCUAAAUAGAUUCAAAAGUUUGUCCUGAGUUUAAAAAUACCCAGUGUUUAGGUGCUUUUUUGCUUUUUUUUUGCAAGUUAUAGGGCUAUAGGUACGAGUAGGAUAUUGCGGUUUCAAAAUAUACAUUUUUUAAAUUUAUCAAUAGAGACAUUGUAACACUAUUAUCUGUCAUAAAUCUCUGAAUAACACCCCACAUGUACAUAUUUUUUUUAAAGUAGACAACCCAGGGUAUUCGAUAUGGGGUAUGUCCAGUCUUUUUUAGUAGCCACUUUGUCGAAAACACUGGCCAAAGUUAGCAUUCAUAUUUGUUUGUGUGAAAAAAGUAAAAAACUAAAUUGAUCUAAACUAAUUUCGAUAAUAAGUGGCUACUAAAAAAGACUGGACAUACCCCAUUUGCAAUACUUUGGGUUGUCUUCUUUUGCAAAUGGUAUGCCAUCAUGGGGGUAAUUCUCAUUCCUGGGCUACCAUACGCCUCAAAGGCAAUGUAACCAACCUGGCCUUUUUCAAUGUAAAAAUAUUUGACCCAUAUAUUUGACCCUGUAACUUUCAAAAACGCUAUAAAACCUGUACAUGGGGGGUACUGUUAUACUUGUAUACUUGUAUAAGAUGUACAAUCUGUUUUUUUGUUUUCCAGUGGAAACAAAGGUUCAGCUCAUAGAAACAUUUACAUAAUCAAGCGGAACUUUGCUACAUGAAAGAUAGACAUUCUAGGUCAAUGCAACCUACAUAUCAAGAUAAAUGGAGCUUGUUGAAGAUUCAGUUUAAUUUUUUUAUUUCUAGGAUACAAUAUGAUGAUUCCAAAAACAAGGUUACUGUUUUAAUUUAUCAUUUGUCUAAUUAGACAAUAUUAUUACACUAUAAACUACUGCUUAAACACUAAAAUAACAACACAUUCCCUGCAUGCUAUGGUACAAAGUAAACGCUAUAAAUUAUAUUUUUACUGAUAAUUGAUUUUCAGUCAUAUGUGAUGUAUUUUCUUUCCAUUUUGUCAAACAUUUUAGAUAACAUGCUGUCUUAUAACGUUCAUAAUAUCAUUUAGUAAGCAUUCUAGGUAGACACAUAUAAAAUAUCCUAAUAUUAUAGAUUUUAUUUCUCAAGGACAAAACUGCUGAUAAGACUUAAACUCAUCAUUAUUUUUGCUCACAUGCAGCAGAUAAGGGCUAUGUUUAAGAAUGCUACAAGAUAUCCUAGAGAUUUCAGUUGCCAGAAGCAGAUUUUGACCUUUUUCUCUUAUAUGAAGAUUUAACACCACAGAGAUUUCUCAGAUUAAAAAGAUAGAAGAAUACAAAUUUAGAUAAAGGUGUGCGCAUAUCUGAAUGUUCAUGGACAUGCAUAUACUAAGGGCCAAAGUAAGGACUCUAAUAUCAUUCAAAUAAUCAAAAAACGUUUCAAGGUCAAAAGAGAAAUAUGUUUAUUAGUUUAGGAAUUAGACAGACAAUAAAGUGUUACAUUAUAUUAAUGAGUCUGUUUCAGAAAGUCAAAGCAUGCACUUAACACUAUCUAUAUUUUUCUAGAAGUUUCAUUGCAAGCAGCCCAUGGGUACAUCCCCACUGUUUUUUUUCUAACCUCAUUCUGGAAUAUUCCUGAGCACCCCAAGCUGUACCGCUGUAUCAAAAUAGCCAAAAGGAAAAUAAAGCUGAGUUUUGGCCAAAAGCUUGAAAUUCACUUAAAAUCACUUAAAAUUUCUGACAUUUCACACAAAAGUGAAUACCUCUAAUAAUCUGUCAUUGAAAUUCAAAUAUUAUUACAAGUAUUUAAAUGAAUGACCUCCUGAGAAAGGUUUGCCAAAACAACAUAAAGACUGCUCCCAUUCCAUCAUUAGAUAAUUUAACCCAAUAGUUUGCAUCGUAAUGAGGAAAUCUUAAUUCAUCAGUAUCCAUCCUAAUAUUCGAAUUUUGUAAACAUGCAUUAUAUCUAUGUCUAUUAAAAUGGGCACUCUAAACACCAAAACCACUUCAUCUUAAUAGCAUGGUUUUGGGCACAGAUGUCAUUUUUUUCUGGACAAUAUGAAACAUUGCCAUUUCUUCCGAAAGACAAUGUUUACAUUUGUCUGAAACCAUGUAUAUAGCAUUGUCAGCAGCUAGAGACUUUUCCUUAUGAAGAGUUUUUGAAAUAUCAAAGGUCUUCUCAUUUGGCAUCAUCACAGCAAGUAUAUAAGUACCAAAUUUGGCCAAUGAGUCUUACAAAGAAUAUGCAAAAAAGAAAAAGGUACUAUAUAAUCUCCCAACCAAGACAAGAGGAAACGUGCCAAACACCCAACAGUGUACCUCACAUACACCAAUAUAAUAUAAACAAAAAAGUAAAUCUAUACUGUAUAAAAUACUAGUAUAGAUUAAAGGGGUAGCACAAAAAAUAUAUACAACCUGUAGAUAAUACAAGAAACUUCCUUCACAAGAUCUAAAAUAUAAGAAGAAUCACACAAUAGUGAAGGAUGUACAGUCAAUGUAUAAUACACUCCCGGAGGUAGAGAACUUACAGGACCAAACUGUAGAUCUGAACUUGUCUCCCUUCCAUAGGGUAUGUGGAUAAAAGGUUCUUCUCUUAGGAAGCUUGUAUAUACGGACCAAAGGUGCAAAUUCAAGACGCUCAAUCCUCAGAAGAAAAAGAGGUAUAUAGAGCAGUAUUGUAGAUAAAAAUUAAUUUAUUUAUACAAAAUGCACUUACAUCAAAUAAAGUUCAUAGCAGCAUAUCACCACUAACAAGUGGUACCCAGGAGAAGGAGUCUCUCUGUAGCAGAAUAUCCAACGCGUUUCGUCUUUUGAAAGACUUCUUCAGGGAUAAAGAAUUAAAAAUUCUGUUUUCCUUAUAUAGCCUUCACCAUUUGAAAUUGCCGCGGAAAAUUCAUUCACUUCCGGGUUCGGACUUCUCGGUUUUUGAUUGGACAUCCAUCGUGAUCACUUCCGGUGGAUGUAACAAGAUGUUUUUAUUUCCGCGUUCCAAGCUGGAACGCAUAGCGUCCAUAACGUGCGGCUAGAUGUAUUCAUUUCCGCGUUCCAAGUUGGAACGCAUGGCGUUCAUAACGUGCGGCUCUAUGCCAUGACACUUCCGCGUUCCACCGUGGAACGCACGGACAGACCCAGGCGCACAAGUUGCAUUUGGGGCACCGAACGUCCCAGAGUGGGACACAGAGAGAAAAUACCAAUGACCAUCUAGUUACAUAAUAUACAAAACAAAGAAAUAUAAAAACAAUAAUAUGUCUGUCAAAAUAUGGAUAACAUCCAAGUACUAUAUAAAACACAAACUAAAAAAUACAUAAUAUAAACAUGUAUAUGUAUAUAGAAGAAUAGAGCAUAUAUAUACCCAAGUCCCUAUCUAAAUAUACAUCCAUAUCUAAAAACCAUACCUAUAAAGAUAUAUAUAAAUAAGGAAAAAAACAAAACAUAAAAAAUCAAAACUGUUACAUAAAUAAUUACAAAAGGCCCGCCAGAUCAAUAUCUUGAUUAAGACCUCUCUUAAGGGUAUUAAGUGUGUAAAUCCAAAAGGCCUCUUUUUUGGCUAGAUCAUUAGUUCUAUUUCCCCCUCUCCAAUGGGGAGUUACUUGAUCUAUACCAAUAGCAAUAAAGGUAGACCAAUCAAAUAGAUGACAAGAAUUACAAUGAUUUGGGACACUAUGUUCCAUUUUUUGGUUUCUAAUAUUAUUAAAAUGUUCCCGGAGUCUAGUGUGUAGGGUCCUGGUGGUUCUUCCCACAUACUGAGCUCCGCAACCACAUUGUAAAAGGUAAAUCACAUAUGUGGAUGUACAAUGGAUACAUUUCUUAAUAGUAUAUGUUUGAUUAGUAUAAAAUCCCACAAAAAAGGUAGAUUUUCUUUUUUGAUAAACACAUGUGGAACAUGUUCCACAUUUAUGAAAACCUGGAGUUUUUGUGGAUUGUAAAAAGUUUUUCGAAUUUGGACCUUUAAUCAAUUUUGGUAACAAACAAAGUGCCAAUUUAUUUUUAAGGGUGUCUGCCUUCCUAUAUAUAACUACAGGCCUUUCUGGAAUUUUAUCUCCUAAAACAUCAUCUCUUUUUAAAAUGGCCCAGUGUUUUUUAAGGAUUUUUUCAAUUUUUUUGGCUUCAGAACUGUACUUGGUAAUAAAUGCAAAAUCUUUGUAACUAUAGUUAUUUUUGUUUUUAUUUUUAUGGUUUAAAUUUUUAUCUUUCAAAAAUUCUGUACGAUCUUUCUCCUUUAUUUUUGCAAUAUCAUCUUGUAUAUGGUCUAUAUUAUACCCUUUUUCCACAUAUCUGUUUUGUAUUAAUUCUGAUUGCUCUUCAAACAUUUGAACACUAGAACAAUUUCUUCUCAUUCGGGUUAUUUGGCUUUUAGGGAUAUUGUUUAGCCAUACUGGAUGGUGUAAACUAGUCUUUUUUAUUGCUGUAUUGCAAUCAGUUUUUUUAAAGAAGGUUUUUGUGUUCAAAGUGUCAUUUUCUACAUAUAAAGUUAGAUCCAGAAAAUCUAUGGUAAACGGAUGAAUGUUAUGGGUAAAAGUAAGAUUAUAGUCGUUAGAAUUAAUACUUUCAAUAAAUCUUUCUAGACUCCGGACAUCUCCUUCCCAAAUAAUAAGUACAUCAUCGAUGUAGCGCCGCCAUAGGACAAGGCUCCCCCCCAUACAAGGACCCAACUGGAUGCAUGAGGCUUCCCAAUGGGAUACAUAUAAGUUGGCGAAACUUGGGGCGAACCUUGUCCCCAUGGCGACGCCACAUCGCUGCAAGAAAAAAGCAGUAUCAAACCAAAAAAAAAUUCUUUUCCAAAACGAAUUGGAUACAGGACACCAAAAAAUCGAUCUGAGUGGAGUUUAAAACAAAUAUUAUUACAAGUAUUUAAAUGAAUGACCUCCUGAGAAAGGUUUGCCAAAACAACAUAAAGACUGCUCCCAUUCCAUCAUUAGAUAAUUUAACCCAAUAGUUUGCAUCGUAAUGAGGAAAUCUUAAUUCAUCAGUAUCCAUCCUAAUAUUCGAAUUUUGUAAACAUGCAUUAUAUCUAUGUCUAUUAAAAUGGGCACUCUAAACACCAAAACCACUUCAUCUUAAUAGCAUGGUUUUGGGCACAGAUGUCAUUUUUUUCUGGACAAUAUGAAACAUUGCCAUUUCUUCCGAAAGACAAUGUUUACAUUUGUCUGAAACCAUGUAUAUAGCAUUGUCAGCAGCUAGAGACUUUUCCUUAUGAAGAGUUUUUGAAAUAUCAAAGGUCUUCUCAUUUGGCAUCAUCACAGCAAGUAUAUAAGUACCAAAUUUGGCCAAUGAGUCUUACAAAGAACAUUGGUUUUAAUCAUUGGAGGAGUGUGGUGAUUGCUUUACAUGCACAUUGUGUCUCUGUGAGAAACUUUGGAUUGGGUAAAAGUCAUCAUUGCUGAUCCCUUCACCGAGAAAGAUAUAUUGCAUUGGAUAUACAAAUAUUCUGCAUCUACUUUAGUGUACAGCUGCAGAGAUCAGAAGCUAAAAUAUGGAGAGUGUAAUAUUACUGCUAAAUUCCUGGACAUCUUAGUCUCCAAACCUUUAUGACUGUUGUCACUUGUUUAUACCUCAUUGGAUCAGAUAGAUGACAGUGGUGGGUUACUAAUUCACAAAUGUUUAUUUGUGCAUCUGCUUAUUAUCCAAAAAUGUAGUUCUAGUAAUUCUAGGUUAUUUUGCUCACAUUUAGAAAUGUAUGUGGACUUCAGUGCUAAUUUCAUUGCCUUCAGGUAAGUUAUCCUAUUAUUUUUGCAUUUGUCACUAAAACCAAUACAGAAAUAGAUUUACUGUGGAUAUUAACACUAGUUCUGUAGUCUUGAUCGUUCAUUAGAAAGGAAAUAUCAUAAACAUUUUUAUAUCAGAAACAGAAGCACACCACUAGCAACACACUAAAUAUGUCAGAAUGAUAUAUUGCUUGGAUUUCCUCUCAGAUAUUUUUCCUUUACCUGUGAAAAUGAUAAAAGAAAGAAUAUAUAUAAAGUUAUGGCCACAUUUUCAGAGGGCAUUAAUUCAAACUAUAUCAAGAAAAAAAAUGCCUUUAAAGGUCUGGCUUUCUCUUUUCAUAUAACAUAUUAUUACUUUUGUACUACAUGUUAUUACUGCAUGCUAUAUAAUCUAACAUACACGUGCAUAUAUUUAUUAAGAGGCAAAACAUUUCUAUCCAUCUACACAUACAAACACACACACCACACACAAAGAAACAAAAUAAUCACUCAUCUAUAAAUGCAUGUAUUAACAGGGUACUGUUGCAGUGACCAAGUAUAAUAAUGACAUUAUCCUGAGAAUUAUCUCAUUACAUGUAAAACAAAGUACAGAUUUAUCAAUGCUACAUAAAGAUGCUUAUUUUAGAUGAAUAAAAUGGGUUUAGUCACAUAAUAUUCCCAUAACAUUCAUGGACUGCCACUGAUACAAAGUACUCCAGUUCUUGCAGGCCCGUACCUAAUUUAAUUACUUUCAUAGAGAUUAAUCUACAUAAAUUGAGAUUGUACUGCAAUUCUCGAGCAGCUCAUUUUAUAUACCUUUGUGUAUUAUAUGUGCAUAUGUUAAAAUAUAGAUAUAAAUAAAACUAAUACAAUAAACAUAUUUUUUUCCAUCCUUACUGUAAUGUUAUUUUCCAGAAUUAUAAUCAUUUCAGAAUAUACUAAUCAUUUUAGAAUAUACUAGAAUAUUCCUCGCAGCAGAAAGGGAAAGAAAUAAAACUCUACUUUUAGAAUAAACAGGAUUUCCUAUUCAGGUUUUAAAUCUUUCUAAGGAUAUUUUUAAAUGUGCCAAUUUUCUGUUUUCUUGAUCAAACUAUUUUAUCAUUAACAAAUGGGUCAGUGGUGGAAAACCAGCAGUCCGUACAUCUCCACUAGUGCCAAAACAGUUACGGACCCUACAGGUGAAACAAGAUAUCAUAAUAUCACAGUGCUCAGAAUCAUUAAACUGCAUAUGUUUAAUACUGGUUACAUUUACUGUUCAAGAUGAUUUAUUCACUAAAGUGAGAAUUGUAUGAAAUUCAAAGCUCUUAUGCCCUUGACUAAGUAAAGUAAAGCUAAACAACUCUGUCUUCAUCUGAACUGUUCUUAGACGCAAAUAAACAGAAUGCACAGUUGUGCUGUUCACCUACAAUCAAUAAGAUAUAAUCAAGCUCAACACUAAAAAAAUAGGUAAACUGAUAAUCAAAACUGAGAAACACUUACAAAAACAGUUAUCAUAUAUUUACAAGUAUGCAUUGCUUUGUACAGUGAGAACACUAUACAUGGAAAUUCAACCCAUUAGGUAGCAUUUUUCGUCAUAUAAAUAUACACUGAACACAAUUAUAAACACAACACUUUUGUUUUUGCCCCCAUUUUUCAUGAGCUGAACUCAAAUAUCUAAGACUUUUUCUAUGUGCACAAAAGGCCUAGUUCUCUCAAAUAUUGUUCACAAUACUGUUUAAAUCUGUGUUAGUGAGCACUUCUCCUUUGCCGAGAUAAUCCAUCAACCUCACGGGUGUGGCAUAUCAAGAUGCUGAUUAGACAACAUAAUUAUUGCACAGGUGUGCUUUAGGCUGGCCACAAUAAAAGGCCACUCUAAAAUGUGCAGUUUACUGUAUUGGGAGAUCCAGGGGGAUCCGAGAGGGUCCAAAAACCAGUCAAUAUCUGGUGUAACCAGCAUUUGCCUCACGCAGUGAAACACAUCUCCUUCACAUAGAGUUGAUCAGGUUGUUGAUGGUGGCCUGUGGAAUGUUGGUCCACUCCUCUUCAAUGGCUGUGCAAAGUUGCUGGAUAUUGGCAGGACCUGGAACACGCUGUCAUAUACACAGAUCCAGCUCAUUCCAAACAUGCUCAAUGCGUGAAAUGUCUGGUGAGUAUGCUGGCCAUGCAAGAACUGGGAUGUUUUCAGCUUCCCGGAAUUGUGUACAGAUCCUUGAAGCAUGGGGCCAUGCAUUAUCAAGCUGCAACAUGAGGUGAUGGUUGUGGAUGAAUGGCACAACAAUGGGCCUCAACAUCUCAUCUCGGUAUUUCUGUGAAUUCAAAAUGCCAUCAAUAAAGUGCACCUGUGUUCGUUGUCCAUAACAUACGCCUGCCCAUACCAUAACCCUACCGCCACCAUGGCACUCACCAACACGACUCCAUAAACGCUGUCUGCUAUCUGCCCUGUACAGUGAAAACCGGGAUUCAUUUGUGAAGAGAACACCUCUCCAAAGUACCAGAAGCCAUCGAAUGCAAGCAUUUGCCCACUCAAGUCGAGACCUCAAUGACAGCUUGUGCAGAAAUUCUUUGGUUAUGCAAGCCGAUUGUUGCAGCAGCUGUCUGGUUGGCUGGUCUCAGAUGAUAUUGGAGGUGAUGAUGCUGGAUGUGGAGGUCCUGGGCUGGUGUGGUUACACGUGGUCUGCGGUUGUGAGACCGGUUGGAUGUACUGACAAAUUUUCUGAAACGCCUUUGGAGAUGGCUUAUGGUAGAAAAAUGAGCAUUUAAUUCAUGAGUAACAGCUCUGGUGGACAUUCCUGCAGUCAGCAUGCCAAUUGCACGCUCCCUCAAAACUUGCAACUACUAUGGCAUUGUGCUAUGUAAUAAAACUGCACAUUUUAGAGUGGCCUUUUAUUGUGGCCAGCCUAAGGCACACCUGUGCAAUAAUCAUGCUGUCUAAUCAGCAUCUUGAUAUGCCACACCUGUGAGGUGAAUGGAUUAUCUCGGCAAAGGAGAAGUGCUCACUAACACAGAUUUAAACAGUAUUGUGAACAAUAUUUGAGAGAAAUAGGCCUUUUGUGUACAUAAAAAAAAAGAAAGGAAGGCAGCGCCACUAUAAACCACAUAAAUUAAAAGAGCACAGAAUAGGCAGACUAGAAUGCAAUAUAUAUGAUAGAUAAUAAGCAAAUAGAAGUCCAGAAUAAAUAGUCUGACUGGUAGAUGAAUCAAACAACGAGAUAUAUCUUUGUAGAGGUGAAUACAGUCUUUUGUAGUGGGGGAUUCUUCAGAGUGGUGUAGAUGCGUCUUUAGUACAUCAUAUGAAAUGAGAAAAUAACAACUGAUGGUAUAGUAUGUCCCGAAGGGGGUAGAAGCAAUAAAAGAGUAUAUGGUCCUACUCACGUUUUCAAGAACUAUGGACUUAGCUCUAGUGUUGAUAACGUACAGUGGUAUAAUCCCCACUUAUGGGAUACGUGAGGUCUUAGUAUUCUUUCUUGAUUAGGGAACCAUAUGUGGAAAUAAAAGCGGUAACAACAAUGGUGCUCAAAGUAUAAAAUGCCAGAGGUAAGAAGAUAAAAAAAACAAGUGGUUACUCACAUUUAGUUGAACAGAUUAACUGUUCAAUGAAUACAGCUUGAGUGGUAUAAUCCCCACCUAGGAUUCUUGGCAGGUCCUACACUAACAGCCAAAGAUGGGGUACAUUGACGUUUUGGCAGGCUUAUGCAAUGUAUGAUCAUAUAACGUAACUAAAACCCCAUUAUUUUUGCCUAGAUUAGGUGUUUUAAAAAAAACAAAUAAAAUCUUUCAACAUUGAAGUUGCUGUUUAGUGGAUAGGUGAGUGCGCUGGAUCUUGUGUAUUGUAUUGUUUGGCCCCCAGCAGCACCUCCAUUUGUGCAUGUUAAGGUGAGUGCAGCCAACCCCCUCUUGUUUUAUAUAUAUUUGGGAGUCUAGCCAACUCCUUGGUUUUGCACCCCUCCCUGUCACAGGUGCCUCAUCCCAGGGCCCUAUUUAGCCUUGUACUGCAGAGAGCCCCAGAUGGAAUUUUUUUCCUCAAGUAAGUUGUUAAUCUCAUAAGAGCAGACAUUAGGCUGAUAGUGUAGGACCUGCCAAAGAUGGGGUACAUUGACGUUGUGGCAGGCUUAUGCAAUGUAUGAUCAUAUAAUGUAACUAAACCCCCAUUAUUUUUGCCUAGAUUAGGUGUUUUUUAAAAAAAAACAAAUAAAAUCUUUCAACAUUGAAGUUGCUGUUUAGUGGAUAGGUGAGUGUGCUGGAUCUUGUGUAAUAUAUAUAUAUAUAUAUAUAUAUAUAUAUAUAUAUAUAUACAUGUAUUAUAUCUAUAUAUAAUAUGUAUAUAUUUAUAUAAUGUCAUACUAAGUGUAUUUUUAUAUUUAUAUAUACAUAUAGUAAUAUAAAAAUACACUUAUAAUUAAAUUACACAUGUGUAUAUAUAAUAAUUGUAUAUAUUGUAUAUAUAUAUAUUAUAAUAAAAUAUAAAUAAGUAUAUAAAAAUACAUUAAAAAAAUUUAAAAAUAAUUUUUAAUGAUUUAAAAAAAAUUAUAUAUAUAUAUGUGUGUAAUGUUAUUCUAAUGGUAUUUUGAUAUAUAAAAUACACUUAGGAUGAAAUGAUAUAUAUAUCUAUGUAUAAAUAAAUAAAUAUAAUACGAAAUGUAAAUAUGUCCAUAUACAUAAUUACAUAAAUAAUUUCAUAAAUAUAGACGUUAACUUCAAAUAUAUAAAUAUGUAUAUAUAUUUAAAUUCUAUGUGCAUAUUUAUGUAAUAUUAUUACAUAAUUAAGUAAUUUUAUUGAUUGCAAUUUGAGAGACAUGCCUGAGAACCCAGGCUGAAAGUCCAGGGAAUUUAAUUUGCUAGCACUGUGGUUAACCCUGUAAUUUUCUAUGACACCCUAAAACCUGUACAUGGGGUGUGCUGUUUUACUCGGGAGACUUCGCUGAACACAAAUAUUAGUCUUUCGAAACAGUAAAACAUAUCACAGUGGUCAGUGAAAGUGACGUUUUUUGCAUUUUUCACACACAAAUGGCACUUUCUCUGAUGAUAUUAUUGCUGUGAUAGGUUUUACUGUUCUGAAACACUAUUAUUUGUGUUCAGCGAAGUCCCCUGAGUAUAACAGUACUCCACAUGUAGAGUUUACUUUUUUUUUUCAUUGAAAUUUGUCGAAUUGGUAAUGUUGCCUUUGAGACCAUAUGGUAGCCCAGGAAUGAGAAUUACCCCCAUGAUGGCAUACCAUUUGCAAAAGAAGACAACCGAUGGUAUUGCAAAUGGGGUAUGUUCAGCCUUUUUAAGUAGCCACUUAGUUACAAACACUGGCCAAAGUUUGCAUUUUUUGCAUUUUUAACACAAACAAAUAUAAAUGCUAACUUUGGCCAGUGUUUGUGACUAAGUGGCUACUAAAAAAAUCUGGACAUACCCCAAAUUGAAUACCCUUGGUUGUCUACUUUAAAAAAAUAUGUACAUGUGGGGUGUGAUUUGGGGAUUUAUGACAGAUAACAGUGUUACAAUGUCACUAUUGAACAUUGUAAAAAUAUUGAAAGAGCAAUUUCCUACUUGUACUUAUAGCCCUAUAACUUGCAAAAAAAGCAUAUAAACACUGGGUGUUUUUAAACUCAGGGCAAAAUUUUGAAUCUAUUUAGCUCGGGAUUUAGAGGCAGUCCCUGUGGGCGGGCUUGGAGGCAGCCCCCCGGGUACCCAGACCCUGAGCUGAGUUAGGGGCCCCAAUAUUUCUGAUGGCGGCACUGCCCAGUUUACUUGGGGUAGUGAACAUUACAUAAUCAGGUUUCUUCCAUAAUGGACAAUAGAUGAUAUGGUCUUGGAUACCACAGGACAAAUGUGUGCUAUGCACCAUUGGAUAUGGAUGGAUAGCAAUGUUAUUAACAAUUAAAAUACACUUGACAAAAAAAGGCACGGUCGGCAAAAUAGAGGUUUCCUUAUAAGACUGUAACCGCAGGUGGUUCCCUUAUUUACCACUAUAAUGUCUUAAAGCAUAGAACUUAGUAGGGCUAACCAUACAGAUAUCAUAGCCAUAAUUUUAUAUAGUUAGUAAGAGAUCCUCUAUUUACCAUAUAUAAAUAAUUGAGAAUACAAUAUAAAAUAAGGAUUGUCUUGGAAGCAAUAGUUUUGUCUUUUUGGAUAUUUAUUAUAUAAAAAUAUAAAUAUAAAAUCCAAAUUAUCCAUUAUAGCAGAGUUUAUAAGAUUAAAUUACAUGCUUGCAAAUAUCAUUAAUAGGUUAGCAUACCCUUCUGAGCAUGUCAUCAUGUCAGCCUCUCUGUCAUUUUAAGAUGGAGCAGCGUCUGUCUCCAAGUCUCUCCUCUGUGUCUUAACAUUUAAAAGUACACCUAUUUAUACCUUAGGUGUCUCCAUUUUAAGGUUACCGUAGUUCAUAUUUAUUAUAUGAAAAAGUAACACUUCUUUUACUUUUUUCAUUUUAGGACCUCCCUUGGCAAACAUACAAGGCCAUAACUAAAGGGUGCAAACGUCAUGGAAAUUUUCCUGACUUAGUUCAAGAUGGCAUCUUAAAGUCUGAAUAGGUUAUCUGUUGUUUAUACUAAGUCGUAAGUGUACAGUCGUGGGAGAUUCCCGGAUUUGGGGAAGUUCCAUUAACUUGGGGUUACCACAGUAUAUUGUGUACUGCAAGAGUCGUAGUAUAGCCUUGAAGCUUGUUCAUGCAUUAUUGUUAUUGUAAUUCGUCUGGGACAAAAUGGCGCAAACAUAUUAUGCACUGAGGUUAUUGCUUAAAGAAACAGUUAUGAAAAACAAUAUGUUCCAUUUCUAACACCUUGUCAGUUUGCAAUAUCUCUUAAAGACAAAGUACACAGUUUAAGAAAUACAACAUUUCAUUCUAAAACUUGUAAUAUUUGCAUUUGCCCAUAACAAGACUGGGUACACCCAAUAAAAAAGUAUAUCAUAAAAUACAGUUUAUAUCCAUAAAAAGGAGCACCAUAUCAGAGGCAGUGGUGAGUUUUAAAAUAAGCACAAAUAUUUACAUUCACAAACGUCUUCAUACAAAGAUAUACACUUGCAUGCAGAUAUAUUGUGAUAAUUAUUUGUCACAAUGCUCUGUUUAUCUAUUUGUUAACACUGUUUUUCAGGACUCCAUAACAGCAUCAUUUUAUCCAGACAGUAGAAAUAUAGAUCAGAUCGAUCCUUGUGCUAUUCAAUAUUUACUAUUCCACUCUAACUCCAGUCCCUUGUGAAUCUAGGCUUUAAUUUAAAAGUGAUUUGGUUACUAAGAGGAAUCACUAAAAUUUAAGAUCACUCAAUCACCAAAUGUGCAAAUAGCUGUUUGUGAACAGACUUAAUGAAUCACAUCACAUCAUUUGUUUUAAUUUAAGUUGAUCAAUGCUGAUUCAUUUUUCUUACUAAAAAUUUAUAAUGCAUAAUGACCAAAAAUCAGUGAGGUUGUAGCAGAUUGAAAACUGAAUUACUAAAUUUAGACUAAAAUAGCCACGUAACUAUAGUUUAUUGGAUGUUUUUCCCAAAAUCAGCAAUUGUCUAAAUGUUGCAAUUCUUUCAAUUCAUUACAAGUCAGUGUUUACUCUUUAAUGAAUAAACCCUAAGCAGGUGAAUGUCAUUUUGGAGCACUGUAUGAGAAUUCUAAUACUAUUUUAAGACUUUAAGCAGCAAUUUGUGUUGACAAUAAAGGAUUACUUCUCAGAUUAAGGACACAUAUUGGCUAUUACAUACCUCUGAAGAUCUCAUUUUAACUCAAACAGCACAAUGUCAUAAUUAUCUAUGACAAAUCACUGUACCAUGUCCGUAGUUUAAUAGGCAAAAAGUAUCUUCUUGACCUUUGCCAGUAGAUCAUCUGAAAAGCCAUGUCAAUGCAAGUUAUUGCUUUGUUUUUACAUUGUAGAACACUUUGGCACCUUAGAAUUCCAUCCUUGUUUUUUUAUUGGUUCUGUUUUUGAUUAGUUAUGUUAUAACAAUAUGCUCAGAAACUCAAUAUGUUUCAUCCUGAUGUGUCUUAGCUAUCUUUAAGGCUAAGCUAGCUUUAAAGCUUUUCUCCUGAGUCAUGGCAUUCUCCCUUAACCAUAUCUUCAAUUUGACGCAAAGUUUCUCUAAUUACUCAUAAAUCUCGAUUUUCCUUGAUAACAAAUUGUGGGUUAUACAAUGUGAUGUUGAUGUACUUUCUAGACUGGGACUAGAUAAAUAAUAAUAACUUGUAUAAUAGGUUUCUACCCAACUGUGUGCAGUUUUCACUAAAUAGAUCAUACUGGUUGCAUCCAAGCGUUGCAAUGGGAAUGCUAAAAAUCCUAUAAUAAAAUCUUGUAUUAUAUAAUGAAAUCCUCUGCAUUAUGGACCAAAAGUACUCAACCUAUAGGGCUAUCAUGUAUAUCUAAGUGGCAAAUUAUGUUGUCAAAAUGUGGAUUUCUGUAUUUCUCUAAUUUUUUUGUAUUUGGGCUGUUUCCUCCUGCUGUGUAGAUAGAUCAAGAUAACUGGAACACUGUAUCUUUACUGAAAUUAAGGGAACUGCUAAUCUAUAUCCUAAAUUGAACUUCUUAGAAUUGACUCCACCAGAUAUUUUAGGAGGUGCUCCGUAGGGUAGAUCUAAAUAUAUAGAAUACACAUUAAGUAAGGUAAUUCCUCGCAUUUGCCAGUGAAUUUUAUGAAUCACAUAUUAAUAAUAUGUUAUUAGAUUUUGAUUUCUUCUGCCGGUAAAUUGCAGGAUCUACAUCUUUUAUGACACAAAUGGGAUGAAGCAAGAUUAAGAGGCAUCUUGAAUUCUGGAUGGUAAUAUCUAGAAAAACUGUGAAACUUUAUCUGUUUGUCCCUGAUUCGUAUGCACUUGGAUUCCAAUGUAGUUAAUAAAUAGCCUUUUACAUAAUUUCACUCUACAAACGUGAUUGGAUGUACGAUAAAUGUAUAGGGAGGCAGCCAACAGCUCACAUACUUUCCCAGAACGAUGCCGGUUAAUGUCACUAAAAGCUAGCCUGACUUUACUGAAAGAAAUUAAAGAAAACACAUAUUUUUCUAUUAAAGCUUGGAAAUGCUUUACAAUAGCGUUUCUCACCAAGUGACAUGAUGCUUAAUGGCCAUUAACAGUAAAAGACAAUAAAUUUAAACUGAAAGAGUAGCUGCUCAAAAGUUUAAUAGCAUUCUUUACAGUUUGCUUAAUGAUAUUCCGAUUUGUCUGAUAGACAUUUUAUUUUUGGUAUUUUACAUUAAAUGUGAUUGUUACUGUAGCAAAAUAAUAGAGUGUAUGAUAUGUUAAGUAAAAUAUGGUGUUUCAAAGAACAAUGGCUGAUCUGUUCCAUCGUAUUUGUUAUUUACGUGCAACAUUUGCAAUCAAAAUAUAUAGGUGCAUUUACAAUAAAAUAUCAACAUUGUAAAAAAUAAAUUAAUAAUAAUUAAUAAUAAACUAUAAUAUAUGACAAUGGUUUGAUAGCCACAUUAAGUCACGUUGGUUCAUUGUUCUUAUAACUGAAUGGGCUGAUAAUGUGUGACACAAAUAUGUAGGCUAAAAAAUUUUUUUUAAAUGUUUAUUAAAUCAAAUGUCAUGUUGCUUAGUAAAGGUUCUCAAACAUUUGGUUUACUGUAAGCCAUGAUUUUUUUAUUUUGAGAAAACAUUAUGGCAUUUAGUCACAAUUUAAGCUAAGUAUGAUGAGAAUGGAAAUAAACAGAGUACAUAUUAAACUUAUUCUUGAUUAAGCGUCCUCCGUAGUUCUCUAAUAAAGCAAAACUGAGAACAAUUCACUUAGCUUGAUUUAGGCAGUAGUAACAUAUAUGGUAUUUGCAUCUUCCAUGCCCUUUUUUAGGUCUACAGAUGUAGCACUAACUUAAUAUGCAAUUUAUAGCAAGUAGUAAAGCCCUGGUUGUCUUUACAUGCAAUGUACAGUUAAUUUAUUUGAGCAGCAACAUUUGCACAAAGUUUAUACCAUUGUGUAGGGUACACUUGCUGUGCACAGUGGGUUGAUGCCACACUUACGGGGCUCACUGAGCUAAUAGUGCAUUUGCUGAUCAUAGUGGGAUCUAUGGCAAAUUAAGUACGCUUUAUAGUGUAGGGUCAAUAGAAAUGAGCACAUGGCUAUGAAGUGCAGGACAUGGUUAAUUUGCCAGACACAAUGUUACAAGAAAUGUGAUUCUUUAACCGGUAGGAUAUUGUUUUGUUAAUUUUCUAUUAAAUCUUUAAUGGUUGCCAAAAUAUAGAGGAUAUGUCUCUAGACAUUAUAUAAUAAUUUGACAUUAUUUUUCUUUUUUUUAAAGUUAUUUUUGUGUUAUUAAAGCAUGCCUAACUGAUCACUAUAGGGUUAGGAACACAAACAUGUUUUCCUGACCCUACAGUGCUAAACCCACCAUAUAGGUGGCUUCCCCCCCCUCCUUAUAAAAGUUUAAAACUUACCUAUCCACCCCCUUUGAGACAUCAUCAAAAUGGCUGAUUUUUAGCCAAUCCAAUGCUUUACCACAGGGAAAGCAUUGGAUUGACUUAAAUUGGCACAGAGGCGGGGCCAAAUGCCAUUUUGGCCAAUCAGGACCUCCUCAUAGAGAUGCAUUGAAUCAUGCAGAAUCAUGGGUCUCCAUGCAGAACGUGGGGAAGCUGAACGGCAGGGAUGCCUACUGUGGAGCACUGAGCCAGGAAGCACCUCCAGUGGAAAUCUAAGGAGUGGCCAUUUGGAGGUGUCCCUAGGGGCAAUGUAAACACUGCCUUUUCUCUGAAAAGGCAGUGUUUACAUGAAAAUGCCUGAAGGGAGCUAUUAUACUCACCAGAACAAGUACAUUAAGCUGUAGUUUUUCUGGUGACUAUAGUCUCCCUUUAAGUCUAUUUGCCAUAUAAUAUUUAAAAUUAUCUAGCAUGCCCAGGCCUUCGUGCUUUAUUUUAAGAGCAAAUGUUUUCCAUUUUAUGCAGGGGAUUUUCCCCAACCAACCAACCAAAUAAAAAUAGUAUCUAAUAAUGUCAGGUUUCUGUACAUCUUACUUAUAUAAUUCUAAAGAUAUAGGUCCACUUUGGCAAAACAUAUGCCCUGAGAAUGUUUAUUCUCCCCCACCAAAAAUUGUGUUUCCUCCAAUUGCAUUUUUUUUAAUGUUUGUUUUAGUAAGGGGAGAAAAUUGCUCUCUCUUAAAGUAUCCAAGAAUGGUGCAAUAUUAAUGUCCAGGUAUUUAAUGUGGUCGUAAGUCCAUAUUAAUCUGUAUUUAUGUUUUUUGCAAUUUUCCAGAAUAUUAUUCUGCAUUUUUCUUAGAAGAAAAGUUCUACUUUAUGUAAGAACAAACAAUAUACAGAGUGACAACCAAUAGACAGAGGUACAUACUUUCUAGAAGUUACUCAAGUUACAAAGCAAAGCUAAUAAUAGCGAAAAAUUGGAAAUAGUUUAUUAUUCCUAAAAUAGAAAUGUUGAUUAAACAAACUAUUUGGCAAUGCAAGAUGGAGAGAGGCUGUAUCAGAAUUGAGAAUUAAAAUGUAAUAAAACUGAAUAAAUGGGAUUUCUGGAUAAGCAAAUUAGAAGCUAUAAUGAGCAUAAAGGAAUAUUUGUAGAAACGUUUUUUGGAGAUAAAAAUAUUCUGUGUUUCUCCUUCAGGAUGUUAUAUUUAUUUGAUUUUGAAGAUAAGUUUAUAGUGUGGAAAGCUAGGAGAUAAAAGUGAUAUUUACAUUUCAUAUUCUUAUUUCUGCCAAUCAUAUAUGCAACCCGUACAAUAGAUAUAACCUCUGAAUAAGAAAGAGAGGUAGACAAAGUAAAGAGGAAGUAAAUUAAAAUGAAAAUAAAAGAAAUCAGUAAUAAUAGCAAUACUUUAACCCCUUAAGGACACAUGGCAUGUGUGACAUGUCAUAAUUCCCUUUUAUUCCAGAAGUUUGGUCCUUAAGGGGUUAAGGCUUAUCAUGCAUAUUUAGUGCUAAACAUAGAGGCUGAAAAUAUUUGAAUAAGCUCCUCUCACCAAAUAAUAAGCAGUGAUUAUGUUUAAAGGACCUGAUUGUGGGUAAGCAUCUGGAAAUAAAGUUUAGGAAUAUUAGAUUUUAUAUAGUCUAUUUUUCUACAUUGCUUUUUUUUAUUGUCAUUCUGUUUUUAUAAAUAAUAAAACAAAUAAAAAGAAGGAAAAGGAAGGAAAGAGAAAAAAAAAGAAAAGAUUUUUAAUGCAUUCAUGCAUUGGCACACUUUAAAUGGGUUGAGGCACACCAAUGUGUCAUGGCCCAGUUGCAUAAAGCCACUGACCUAUUUUACUCUUAAAAAAAACAAACAUAACAUAAAUGAACAGAAACAAAAACUGCUUUGCAAAUGCUACAUGUGGUAAAUUGAUAAAACAAAAAUGAAAAAAUUACUCUCUUAGAUUGGUGAGAUUUGUCUCCAUUUUUCAUCAAGGCUAAUGCGCUGGCCACAAACAACACUACAAAUAUAUGUUGUUAUAGAUGGCCCUGAACAAUACAAGUCUACUUAUUUGAAUUACUAAAUGCACAUGACAUUAACCUUAAUUUACAAAGCCCUGCUGUUAUGGCUGGUUCCCAAAAAUACUCUUCUACCUUCUUGAAUCACUAAAAACACAUGACAUUGCUCUUAGUUUAUAAAUGUUCUCUGAGUAUUUGAACUUCUUUCUUCUUUCAUUGAAAUGCAGAUAGCCCUUUUCAUUGUAUAAAUUCUAGCUUUUAUCCUGUGAAAUAUCCCCAAGGAGUACUGGAAGAAUAAUUCUAGUGGUAAAAAUAUUAAUCAAUAUAUUUAAAGCACUAAAUGGAAUUAAUGUGAUCGUACAAAAAAAAAAGUAAUAAAUCUUUUUUACAAUCCAUGUACCAUUUAGUUUUGCAGCCACAGAGUCACCUGGAUUUUUUAAAGUUAUACAAAUAAAGUAAAUGUAUACAAGUGAGGUUCUAUAAAGUAAUAAAAUGUUAUAGUGCUCUUUGUGAUAAAUAUUAUAUAGUUACUGCACUGGUGUUAAUCACUGUUGUAUAUAUGUACAUAAAUAAUGAUAUAGAAUUUUGAAGCGUGUAUUAUAGGAAAUAAUGCCAUUUAUGGAUUUUGGAUCCGUUGUAACCAACUACAAGACCAAAGGCUGAAAGGUUUAUGAUUUUUUUUUUUUUUUUAGAAUCCUUAGACAGCAUUAUCACUGAAAGAGCACUCGAUAUACCAACACAGCUUUUAUACAUUUUAGCUUUAGCCUAAAUAAUUAUUGGUAGUUUUUCCAUAUUCAAGUCUGUGUAAUUGCUUUCAUAUUUUUUUUUGUAAAGUUGUGUCUCCUCUGACACAUUUCUCCAUUCUUAAAUACUUCCUUCUUGCUGUUUACUGAAAAAUAGUGUCACAGUUUAGCCAUCUCUCCUUCGAAACCUGAAGUGUUUCUCCACUAAAACAAUUGUUUGUGUCAUCAGGAGGCACCACAAAACUUUCUGUGAGUUGUAGUUCAGGUAAUGUUCAAGUUAAUGUUCAGCUUUAAUGUAAACCUAAUGACAACAUUUUGAAAUUGCAUAAAGUCCUACAUCAGAGCAUCCUAACUGACUGGUAAAUACCUUGCCUCUGGACAGCGAUAACCUGCAGUAUAUUUAAAUCACGGGGAUUGUUUUGCAGAUGCAGCAACUGUCAUCUGCAUUUAGUUCAUCUCCCAAUAGUGGUAUGCCAGCAGAGGAUCUGCAAACAUUAUAUAUACUGUUAUAUAAUGUUAUUACUGGCCUCGUUUUUUGGUCAAUGAAGUGUUCCUUUAACCCUUAACCUAGCCUUAACACCCUCUCACCUGCAAGUCCUCAGUUUAAAAAAAGUUUUAAGAAAAAUAAAUAUUUCCUGUGACUGUAUGUGAUUAUUAGAACAGCCACAGAUUUAUUUAAGAAGAAAACUAUAGAUCUGCCUUCCACAAUACUGUUCAAUGUUAUUUCAAUUUUAAAAUAUUAUAGAUCUGCCUGCCACAAUAUUGUUCUAUGUUAUUUCAAUUUUAAAAAAGAUUUAAUAAACAAAGUCAAGCAAAAACGACGAGAGCCAGAUAAUAUUUGUGUUACAUUUUUACUUCUUCUUUAUGCUUUGCAGAAGGAUCUACAUCAUGCUUUAGUCCUAGAAAGUAAGCACCCCAACCCCAAAUUUUUAACUACCCCUACUGAAUAAAGGGACUUUAUGCCUGUAAUUAAAGUGUAAUACAUUUCUUAUACAGACAAUUUAGUUUCAGGUGAAUCAAUUCUCGUAAAUUGAAAUUUGGAUGAGCUGAAUCUGGGAAAAAAAAACCAUAACAACUGAUUGAGAUAAUUCAAAUCACCUUCUAUGCGCCAGUCAGUUCCUAAAGUAUGUUUUGUAUCACACAUUGGUUGCAUUGUGUAAUAAAACUAUGACCAUAUAAAGAUCUUAAUCAGUAAUAUGAAUUACCAAGAAAUAUGUUACAAUGCAUGUAUACGUUUUGCCAGCACAAGUACUACAUUCGUUCCUUUCCAGAAGUGAAUCUCAUUGAUCCUAAUACUAAGAUGUCACCACAGAUAAUGACAGAUCAAUAGGCUUCAUUAGAGGUUCAUCUUGCAUAUUCUCAGAAUAUACUAGCAGGGUUAUUCAUGAAAGUGAGAAUUACCAGGAAUUCAGUCAGUUUGGCUACUUUGGCUUUACAUUUUGAAAUAUACUUUGAAUUCAUUUUGUAUUCCCAGAUAUUCUUACUUUAGUGAACAAUGUUGUAAAAAAAAUCUUAUUCUAUAACAAUAAAAGAAAGUGCAGCCUAACUGUUUCUGCUGAACUGGAAACGGACAGAAUGUAUCAAAAGUGAAAGUCUUUCUUUGCAUUCAGUGGAAUAUAAUGUGUUGUAUUAUUCGCCAUAUGAAACAGCAAAGACUGUGCAAACAGAUUUCAGAAGAUACCUCUUUUGGUUCCCAAACAGAAAAUAGAUUCAAGAUUAUAACAUGAUUUACCCAUUAUUUCAAUAGAUAAAACAUAUUUUUAAACCACAUACUGCAUGUUGACAUUAUACAUUUGAUGGUACAUUCGUGAGAUAUAUUAAAUUAGUGGGAAUUUUGUGCUCAGUUAACAGCUUCUUUCUGCAACUGCCCUUUUUUUUAAUUGAGUGCAUUUUUAGCAUUAUAAUCACUAUGUUCACCGUCAGGGUUAUGGUUUUAGUAGUCCACUGGCACCUUCCCUCAAUAAAUGGGUCAAAAUAUUUGCAAACAGUUUGAUACUUAGCUGGGUCCACCAAACUUCAUCUUCCUCUACAUUUUGGGCAUGUUUUGCAGAUUAUCAAUUGACUGAGUGUAUCUGCUGACACUCUCAACCAAUCAAUGACAUUAAAACAUAUACAUACUUGACAUUGAUAGGGUGGAAUUUAACCCCCUGCUUUAGCUGUGUGGGGGAUACAAGAAGUGUUGCAGAUGUAUGGAAGGCACAGGAAACGGACAAACUAUAUGCAAGUGGUGCAAAGGAGACUUCUGGUACCAUAACCACAUGUCAAUUCCAAGAAUUCUCAUAGUCCAGUUACACAUUGGUGACGAGGCCCAAAGAUGGACUAAACAAUCGUCUGAGAUUGCUGUAUCUUUCAUUUACAUUUCACUUCUGGACUGCUCUUAUGGGUGGGAUCAGUCAGAUAUGCAAAUGGCAUAGGUUCUCUUUGUAAUGGCAUAAGUGAGCAAAAACAUUUUUGAGACUUGACUCUUUUGCCUGUUCUUAGAGUUCUCAUAUUCUCUUUUUUUUGUCACCAUAACCACUAUAAACUCCUGUAAUGCAUAUGGCACUUAGAGUGCUCAUUUAAUUCAGUCACCUCCUGUCAAUGAAAUGCAUCUCAGAAAAGGACCUGAAAUGAUAAAAAUAAGACAAUGCUGUUGCCAAAGAUCAGCAACCGAUUUAUCAUCAUCAGGAGAAGGACUGUAUUAUUGGGGACAGUAGCAGAAAUAAGCUGCUUCCUAAUAGUGUAACUAUGAAUCCGGGAUAAACCAGAAACAUCUUUAUGAAGUAGCUUUCAUACUGUGAACCUGCCAUUUUGCUCCUGCAAUGACAAGACACUGGCAUUUUGGAGAUACCCAAUGUUACAUUGCUGGGCUAGACACACCUCCAGUGUCACACUGACAACCACUAGAUGACGCUUCCUUAUGCAAAAUCAAGUCAAAGUUGGUUCAGGAUGUUUUGACGUCCUCACACACUGUAUGGGAAUGGAAAACGCGUUCUUAGUGUAAUGCAUGUGAAUCUGAUGCUUCUGAUAGAGAAACACUGGAUAUUUCCCUAUGAGAAACAUUAAAUUGGUGGAAUGUGGGACUUGCCAUGCUCUAUGAGAAGCAUUUUCUUGAAAAAGUACUCUGCAAGGGGGUUGAUGAAAAAGUAGGUGGCUGGGGCUACAGAGAGAACUGUGUCUUGGUGCUGGAAUAAAGGUAAAUAGAUGGUUAUUUUCUAUAAAUUGAAACAUGUAAAGGGAGGUGGGGGUGGCAGAGUUAAAAUAAAAUCAAACACUAUAGAGAUAGGAGUACAAACCUGUCCUCCUAACAUCAUAGCGCCCAUGUCACUAUUAGGGCAACCCAGCCCCCGUUUGUAUAAAAAAGAAUCUACAUUUUGCUCACCAUUUUCCUGUUCAGAGGCUCUUUCAAUGCUGCUCACCUAAUAGAGCAUCUCCAUAAUAUGUAAUGCUUUACUUUAGGCAUCUAUAUCACAUUACUGAGUUUUACUUUCUUAAAAACUGUAGUGUUUUUACAUUGCAAGGUUUCAAGGUCAGGGCCACUGCAGCCAGACCACUUCUGAUCUUGGUGCCUUUAGUGUCCCUUUUGGCACUACGGUUUUUCUUAAGAUUAAAAUACAUUCAGCUUCAAUCUGAUUUAGUUUUUUUAACCAACAUCUCUGGUUUUGUAGAAGAUCUUGCAUUCUCAGAUUACCCUAUCAGUGGUAACAAUUAUGCACAUCUGAGAAAUAGCUUCCUUGAUUACGAAUCAGGUUAAGAAUAGUAUAUUAGGUUGCGUGUACAUGUUUCUUCUGUGUCCCAACUUUAUUGUUUUUAUGACUUUAUCGAAUAAAGCUAAACUGAGAAAAGAAUGCCUUAUAGCUAACAUUAACAAAAAGUAAGUGUUAUAUUUUUUUGAAGGUGAUGUCACACAAGUUAUAUAAUUGAAAUCCCUACCAUUAAAUAAACACUAUAAUAUUUAAUGCUAAUGUUCCCCCUUUGGAGACAUGUUUUAGCUAUCCUCCAUUAUCAGUAAAAACCUUGAAAACAAAGAUUCUUGCUUACCUUUUCUCUAACACUGGGGCUUUCUGGGUACUGCAGCAACAUCAUCCGACUCUGUAGCUGAUGGCCAAUCCACAGCUCCCUUAUAGAGGAGCAUUAGAAACUGAGACACAUGCACAGUGCGUGCUGCACACAGAUCCAAAUGCUUCUCAUAGAUAAGCAUUGAAUUCAAUGUUUGCCUAGAAGAUGCAUUCUCCCAUGGCUGGAUUUUACUCACUUGUUUUACAGGAAGCGUCUCUAGUAGCUGUCUGUUAGACAUCCACUAUAGAUGUGUUUAACUCUGCAAUGUGCACAUUGGCAUUUCUACUAAACUGCAAUUUUUUACAUUGCAGAGUUAAAACAUCAGGGCCACUGCAUCCAGAACACUUUAUUGAGAUGAUGUAGUUUGGUUGACUUUUGUGGUCCUUUAAGUAAAAAUGGUGCCUGAAUCAUAACCACAAUACAACAGCUGAUUCCACUUUCUUCAAAGUUCCCAUGAGCACCAUGUGUCAGAAAAUACAAUGACAUUGGAAAUAGUAAAACUAAACUCAUUGAAUUUGUAUCUGUAAUACUGAAUUAGCUUUGUUAUUUAUACUAAUAGGCUAAAGACACCUCUGGCACCCCCUGACUAAAAUGGUACUUAUGCACAAGACAAUAUUUUAUUAUUGGACAUAAUUGUAAGUUUGUAAUGUAGAAAAAUAAUUCUAAAUAUACAUUUGUAGUAAAUGGUAUGCAUGAUUUGAGCACUAGCUUGCAUGUUUAACAGUAAUGAAGUGAAAGGCUUCAGGAAUGUAUUUAUUGAGCACUGGAAAUACAUUUGUUUACAAUUUUUCAAAGAAGCCAUUCGAGUGAUUUUUUUUUUUUAUCUUUGUAUAAAUCGUUAUCAAAUGUAUCUAGCAAUUUGCCCAAGGUAACAAGCUAUUGCUGUAAGGUUUUCGAAAUAAUUAGUAUCAAAAGGUGAUGUGAUACAACCCAUGUCAAAUUUACAAGUUGCCAAAUUCAUGCUUGUAAUAUUUCAAUGACUUCACACAUAUCAAUUUGUUUUUAAAGUAUUCUGUUCAAAUGUGUGAAAGUGUCUACUGUUCUAGUGUAGAAAUUAUAAUAUGAAUUCACUAACUUAUUAUUUUGAUUUCCUGAAAAACAAUGCUUGCUUGUUAAACCCUACUGAUGUUUUUUUUUUUUUACAGAUUUAACAUCUCUAAACAAAUUGUUGAUACAUACAUACAUAUGGAUACACUCGGUAGCCAAAACUGUAAAACUUGUUUAAUGAGAAAAUAUUGUCAUGAAAAGGCUCUAGAGACAACCUAAAAGCCUCAUGACCAAAGAGCAUGUGAUUUAUAAACAAUGUCCAAAACCUUGACAUGGUGUAAUUAAUCUCUAACACAUGAUUAAGCAGCCCUAAAGUGACACUGACUUUCGGAAUCUUUGCAUUUCCUGCAAAGAUCACCAAGGUGACAUGUCUACUUAUACUGUGGAGUAGGUAGAUGUAGAUGAAAGGGGAAAGGUUGUAGUUUACUAAUUGUAUUUCCUACUUUAACCUCUCACUCUUCAAUACCACCAUCUGUUCAAUGAUUUUCUGAACAUGUAUAAAAAUACAUGUUUUGGUGAAUUUCUAAGUGAAAAGAGGUUCCAACUCCCGUGUCAGUAAAACAUGAAUAAACUCGAACUCUCUAUAUUUCUGUAUAUUUUAAUAGUUACUGUUUCUUUUCUGCAUUUAAAGUGUUACUCCAACCCCCUUUCAAUUUUUACUUUAACCUGGAAAAAAAAAAAAAGUAUUUUACUUACCUGGAAUCCAGUGCUGUGUGAAGCUCUGUCACUGACUUCCAAGCCUCCGACCCAUGUCACAGAGGCCUUGUGCUGUCCAAUCACUAUAAGAAGCCUGUUACUACACUAUUUAAAUGGAUCAGAGUGCAUGCAUGCAAUCUGAGCCAGCAGGGGGACAGGGGAAGAAGAGGGGGAUGAAGAAAAGAGAGGGAAGAUAUAUUUUUUAAAAAGGCUAUACAAGUAGCAGAGGGUUGUGGGAGGGAGCUCUCACAUAGUGGGAGCGGAAAACUGAUGAGAGAUGUAAAACCCCUUCUGUUGAUUAUAGAAAAGUCCAGUGGGAGAGAGCAUUUCUGACACCCCAACUCCACAUUUACUGUAGUAUUUAUUAUAUUACUUAAAUCCAGCAAACAAAUACUAUAUGUGCAUUAAGGUUUGCCGACAAGUGUAAAGUUUCAUUUUGUUAAUUUCCAAGGUUUUGUUGACAUCUUAUCACUUAGAAAAUAAACUACAGGGAGUGCAGAAUUAUUAGGCAAGUUGUAUUUUUGAGGAUUAAUUUUAUUAUUGAACAACAACCAUGUUCUCAAUGAACCCAAAAAAUUCAUUAAUAUCAAAGCUGAAUAUUUUUGGAAGUAGUUUUUAGUUUGUUUUUAGUUUUAGCUAUGUUAGAGGGAUAUCUGUGUGUGCAGGUGACUAUUACUGUGCAUAAUUAUUAGGCAACUUAACAAAAAACAAAUAUAUACCCAUUUCAAUUAUUUAUUAUUACCAGUGAAACCAAUAUAACAUCUCAACAUUCACAAAUAUACAUUUCUGACAUUCAAAAACAAAACAAAAACAAAUCAGUGACCAAUAUAGCCACCUUUGCAAGGACACUCAAAAGCCUGCCAUCCAUGGAUUCUGUCAGUGUUUUGAUCUGUUCACCAUCAACAUUGCGUGCAGCAGCAACCACAACCUCCCAGACACUGUUCAGAGAGGUGUACUGUUUUCCCUCCUUGUAAAUCUCACAUUUGAUGAUGGACAACAGGUUCUCAAUGGGGUUCAGAUCAGGUGAACAAGGAGGCCAUGUCAUUAGAUUUCCUUCUUUUAUACCCUUUCUUGCCAGCCACGCUGUGGAGUACUUGGACGCGUGUGAUGGAGCAUUGUCCUGCAUGAAAAUCAUGUUUUUCUUGAAGGAUGUAGACUUCUUCCUGUACCACUGCUUGAAGAAGGUGUCUUCCAGGAACUGGCAGUAAGACUGGGAGUUGAGCUUGACUCCAUCCUCAACCCGAAAAGGCCCCACAAGCUCAUCUUUGAUGAUACCAGCUCAAACCAGUACUCCACCUCCACCUUGCUGGCGUCUGAGUCGGACUGGAGCUCUCUGCCCUUUACCAAUCCAGCCACGGGCCCAUCCAUCUGGCCCAUCAAGACUCACUCAUUUCAUCAGUCCAUAAAACCUUAGAAAAAUCAGUCUUGAGAUAUUUCUUGGCCCAGUCUUGACGUUUCAGCUUGUGUGUCUGUUCAGUGGUGGUCGUCUUUCAGCCUUUCUUACCUUGGCCAUGUCUCUGAGUAUUGCACACCUUGUGCUUUUGGGCACUCCAGUGAUGUUGCAGCUCUGAAAUAUGGCCAAACUGGUGGCAAGUGGCAUCGCGGCAGCUGCACGCUUGACUUUUCUCAGUUCAUGGGCAGUUAUUUUGCGCCUUGGUUUUUCCACACGCUUCUUGCGACCCUGUUGACUAUUUUGAAUGAAACGCUUGAUUGUUCGAUGAUCACGCCUCAGAAGCUUUGCAAUUUUAAGAGUGCUGCAUCCCUCUGCAAGAUAUCUCACCAUUUUUGACUUUUCUGAGCCUGUCAAGUCCUUCUUUUGACCCAUUUUGCCAAAGGAAAGGAAGUUGCCUAAUAAUUAUGCACACCUGAUAUAGGGUGUUGAUGUCAUUAGACCACACCCCUUCUCAUUACAGAGAUGCACAUCACCCAAUAUGCUUAAUUGGUAGUAGGCUUUCGAGCCUAUACAGCUUGGAGUAAGACAACAUGCAUAAAGAGGAUGAUGUGGUCAAAAUACUCAUUUGCCUAAUAAUUCUGCACUCCCUGUAUAUAUGCUAUUUGGUCAGGAUUGCCAAAAUGUUUGCAUAAACCUGCAUUGUAUGAUCAUUAUUUUUAUAAUACUGUAAGGUUAACGGACGCUAAGUAUGAAUGAUCAGUGUUAGAAACAAAAUAGACAAUUGUAAACAAAAAAAAUAAUUAGGUAGCAGAGACAUAAAGGCAACAAACUGAGCUGGGAAGAAAAAGAAUUGGCUAAUCGAGCUUUCAGUUACCAAUUUUUUUUGUCAACAAUGUGAUUAUUUGUGUAGGAGACUCAGACAUCCACCAUUUUAAAAUGUUUAGUGUUUUCACUAUAAUUGAAAGUAAUGCAGAUAUACAAUACAUAUAGAAAUCUAUUCUAAAAAUACUGAUAUUACUGUAAAACACAACAGGCAUUAGAUCAGGUUUUUUGCAUGCAUUUGAUGGCUAUUUCUUCAUCUUUUACUGAUUUUAUGAGUUUGCCUAGUUCUGAAUAGUUAUUUUCACCUAUGAUCGCUGCUGUGAUUGAGGACAACGUACAAAGGAAAUUAUUAUAGUACAGGCCUUCUGAAGUAGGAUGAAAAUCUCUACCUAUAUCUAUCCCAUUAUCAGUCCUGCUAACUGUAGCUGUGUGAUUCUGCUUUAUGUCUGCUCAUUGACUAUUACUGAACUCAUUUCAAAGCUUAUCAAAACAACUGUGCAGUAUGUACUAGGCAGAUUUUGACAUCGAUAUUUUCAAAAUGAUGUUCUGAUUUUUCUCCCAUGGCAUCUCAUAAAAAUGUAAUUCUAUGUGUUGCCAAGUCUACCUUUUUAUCAAUUGUUUUGUGAUGUUAGGACUUCCAGAAAUCAGACUUACAGAAUUGUAGUUAUCAACCUUUAACCACAUUCUUAAACAAUUUACAGAAGUCCCAGUAGUUUCAGUAGUCAUUCAUAAUACUCCAUACAAGCACACAUUUUCACAUUGGGGUAAUUUUACGGGGUAAGCAUGACAUGCAAUCACAGUCAAGGAUCAGGUGUUUCAUCGUAGAAUCAUAUCAAGAAGCUAACAUGAGUAAUAACUAGGAUUAUGUCCACAUGGUAAAAAUGUAAUGGCCAAAUAUCUAGAAAUUUUCAGUCAAAGUAAUGGUAUGUGUGCCUCACAUAGAUCUGUCAACCUAGUGCAGUAUUGUGAACAAACCUAUUCACAAUAUAUGAAUUGGUGGACAAACUUAUAUCUUAAAAUCAACCAAAAUGUAUGUACAUCUUGAAAAAAGAUAUAGCUGCACUGAUAUGCAAAUGUUUAAAUUUAUAUCGUAUUUUCAUGUGCUAUUUCUAACAAAAAAAUAUUGGGACAAAAAGUCCCCAGCUCUUUCCCUAGUAUCGAAGUCUAAUAUACUUUGCAAAGACCCUGUCUACAGCAUGGGAAGCAGGUAACAUAAAAGAAAACACAAUACGAUAUAGCGAAUCACUGAACAGUAUGGUAGUGGCGCAGUGGAUCCAUAGCAUAUUACCUAAACCUGUACAUAGUCUGUUAAUCCUUGUAAGCUCCUGAUGUUAACCAAAAUGUCUAUUCUACCUUUCGUAACUAUCAGCCUGAUUGAAACUAUUGCUGUAGACAUUUAUAUCUAGCCUGACUCCUCCUUUAAAAAAUUGUGCUGUCAAUAUUUUCGCCAUGAAACUGUUUAUUCCUUGUUAUACCAUCGGCUUGUAUCUGCUGUCGUGGCAAUAUAAGCGUGUCUGUAACUCUAAGCACUACAAAAAUAAAGAAUUAUAAAAAAAAAAAAAAAAGAAAACACAAAUGGCAGGGAAAAGCCCAAAAACGUAUUUUGCUAGGGUCGACUGGGUGUAUGAAACAACUCCCCACUGAGUAAACCAUCUAAACAUUACUUACCUAAGGGCACCUACAAAUGCGAGCAAUGUAGUGCUUGUACCUACAUCGCCAAAGACUCCAAACAAAUUUCAGACUGCAAAGGGGAGGAAACCUUCCAGGUCAGAUCCUUCCUUAACUGUUUCACUGAAGGAGUGAUUUACCUUUUAACCUGUUCUUGUGGAAUCAAAUUUGUGGGGAAAACUUAAUGCCCUUUCAAACUUAGGAUUUGGGAGCAUGUUAACUCUGUAAGAAGACCCAUGGAAACACCAAUUGCAUGCCUAUUAAAAGCUCAUCACACUAACUCUUCCAACAGAUUAAGAUUUAUGGGGAUAGAAUACAUUCCACAAACCCAGUGUAAAGGUGACUGGGAUCGGAGGCUGAGACAAAGAGACUUAAGGGACUUAAUAUAGGAUUCUCCUUCUCAGCCUUCCUACAGCUCCUCACAUAGGAUAAAAGGAAAGAAUAGUCCCUACGUUUGUUCAGUAUUUCUUGAGGACAUCUGAAAAACUAUGGUAACUUUAAAUAGUUCUAUAUAUUCACUUCUUUACAUUUAUCAGUUUGUCUUUUAAGCACUGGUUUUUAUGCCGACAUUCACACUUAUUUCUCUAUAACUCUUUAGACUGAACACAGUUAGAACUGGAGGGACCAUUUUUAUAAAACUACAGUACCAAAUAUAGGGGUAUACUUAUUACACAAUCUUUACGGGUAUUUGCCAAUUUACAUGCAAAGAUCCUAAACCUUUGUCAAUAUGGACCUUACUACUGCUGUUACUAACAAUGUAAAUUGCAGUUACUCAACCGCUUACACACCCCGAUCUCGUUAAAUGAGACAUAGAGGCAAAUCAUCACUAUAUUGGCAACAACACUGGAACUAAGGGCAUAUGAUACACUUAGAUUGUUCCCAUGUAUAUGUACAUACGAGGGUGGACUUAGAACCCGGGGUGGGUCUUAAAUAUACCCUGUAUGAGAAUAGUAACAAGUAAACCCAAGUUAAGGCAUAACAUAUAUACUUACCAAACACACAUUUAGGCUUAUUAAAGACUUACAUAAAUUAGAUUUAUGUGAGUAAUAAGUAUAGAGACAUUGCAAUGCACAGUAAGCAAAGCCCCACUAGUAUCGGAGGGCGGCUAAUAUAUGCAUGCCUCCCACUGACGUAAGGACAUGUCCUGCAUUGAUGAAAUGGAUUCCCGCUCCACGUGGGCACUAACCAAUCAGCUUUAACGGGAGGAGCAUUCCGACCGCGUGUGAUGUACACAGUGACUUGCCCCUCAAGAGUUGCAUCUAAUCGGAUCAAAGGGGACUGCAUACUAUUCACACCCUCCUGACCGGUUAGCUAUGAGACCAAAUCCAUUCAGGUCUUAAUUAUACACCACCUCCCUCCAGCAUAUUACAGAUGAAGUUCAUAUGCUAUCUAAGAGCGAUAUAUAUAAAUGAGCAGACUUGACAAUUCACAGACACUGCUCCUGAUGAUGGCGUGCUGACACGCCGAAACACGCGUUGAGCUAUUUGUUGUUUUAUCAUUCUUCUCCUGGUAGCACUUUGAUGCAAUAGUUAGUUUUAGAUUCCUUUAUUUAGUUUUUUUUUUUCCUCUUAGGCAGGGAGACUGGUUCAGGUAGACACAAGUGGUUUAUUCACAGUGCCGAGGUAAUUAUAGGGAAAGACUCUUUGAGCCACCGUGCUUUGUGUGUGUUUUUUGGGGGCUUGCCCCUCCACCUUUUACCCGGUAUUUUUACCUCCUAAUAUACCUGCUUUGUGUAUAUAUGCUUCAUACACCCAGUCAACCCUAGCAAUAUACGUUUUAUGGCUUCUCCCUGCCAUUUGUGUUUUCUCUUAUGUUACCUGUUUCCCUUAUUAUCCCUAGAAUGAUUAAAGGUAUGGCCUCCUUUCCAUUUUACUAUCACUCUCCCAUUUAGGACUUUUUAGUCUAUCUCUGGUUUCUUGCAAAUUUUGAGGGUUAUUCCUCAGCUGGGAGAGUGACAUUGGGCACUCUUGGAGCUAAUUCAUCAGCCUCCUCCAUAGUUCUGGGGCUCUCAGAUCAGCUCUCUUUUUACUAUUUAUUGUUUUUUUAUUAUUACACACUGCCGUACAAACAAUGUGAUUGUGUGUCUGCGACUGUCAAUUUGUCUGUGUGUUUUGUGUCUCUGUGUAUCAGUUUGUUGUGUCUAUGUGUGUGCGUGUAUCAUAUUAGCGUGCAUAUAUCAGUGUGUAUGUGUGUGUGUCCGAAUUGGCAAAAUGUGCAAUGUGAGGGUGAUAUGGUUUGAGAAAAGUCAUGGUAAUGUGUCAACAUGUACAGUAUAUGUAGGGCUUAAAUAUUGAGAAAUGUUAUUUGUUCACAACACCAAACCUAACCACUCCUGCAUACAGAGAGUAAUGGGAACACAUUGAAAGGUGGCAGGUCUGCCCAAAAUACAGGUCAGCCUGGCAUUAAGCUCUUCUAUUAGAUUUAUGAUGUCCAUAGCUACACAUUAUAAGAAAACACAUCAGGUUAAUCCCAUUAGUUUUAUGAUGAUUUGGUUUGAGUGGAUCCCUCCAAAGUUACACAUACAAUUGUGGGUUAGAGACCUUCAAAAAAAAUCUGAAUCUCACUGUAUCUACUAGCUGUGUACUUUGUCUCCAGGAGGACUGAAUGAAAUCAGAGAUUUCCUAAAUAUAUAGUUGUCUUGUUAAAGAUAGAAAAAGCCACAUUUCUAUCUAUUUUAUAUUUAUUUUUGUAUUUUACAUUUACUCAUUACAUUGUUUUGUUUUUAUCACUUUGAUUAUAUGGUAAGACGUUUACAAAUAACUGGGUUAUGAAUGUUAUAGUAAUUGAUAAUAUCAUUGAUAUUUUAUGAACUUAUGUUAUUAUUUAUUCAGCCAUCAUCAUGUAAGAGUUUAUUUGUUUAAUGUUUGUAUUUGCAGCAUAUUUGGUAACAUUUUACUUUUAAUCCUUAUCAAUGUUAUGCCUUUCAUUGCAUUGUGUUAAUUGAAUGGCUUGAUUUUCUUAUAUAUAGCUGGUUAUGUGCCUCUGACAUAUGCCUGUCCCAUAAGCUGAGCGCAACACGUCAGACACAUUUCUAUCUGGGAGACCCGAGUUUUCACCUAUUAACGAAUUCUGCACUUUAAUAUUUGUGUAUAUAUGGUGGAUUACUAUGAUCAUGAUCAUUUAUAGUUGAUUUUAUCUGCUUUGUUAUUCUUUACAUCUUGGUACUUUUUGAAGUUACUUCAGCAUCAACAGCACUUUCUAUCUGGAUGUAUUGGGGGGGGACCCUUCACCGGCUAAGCUGGUCCAUGGAGGCACUGUUUUUUUUUGUUUACAAACUGCUUGGUAGUGAAGGGGUUAACAGAAAUAAAAAAAUAUUUUUAUUUUACAUUUUUUUAGUUCUAUAAUAAGCUUCAUAAAAAUUACAAUGCUUGAUAUUAGCAGUGAAAAUUUAAUUGCAACUCUUGUAACUGAAUACUGUCUUAAAUGAUUAUUAUUCCUGUGCCCUUAUUGAUUUUAAUAUGAAGAAGUUCAUUUUGCAUAAAACACAUAGGAAUCAUUAACCUUAUCUUUAUUACUUGAAAAGGCUGACAAAUUAACAAAUGUAAAUUAAAAUUUGGAACAGCAAGAUAUAAAAAUAAAAUAAUUGCGCUCAUUUUAUAAUGUAAUGACACCAAUAAUAGAAUUAUUUACAGAUUAAUUUUCAGGUCAUAUGAUGUCAACUGCUCUCUGUGCUCUGCUAUGCUGUUUUCCUUUAUUUCUCGCAUGAAGAGAUGUUUUUAAGCAUGGAACCUCAUAGGGCUCAUCAUACUGGUGUCAAAUAUAGGUUUGUAGAUAUUGUGGCUAAUCUAUGUUUAUUAAAAAGAGAUGACCGUGCAAACCCAAUGUGGUCCAUUGUUUUUUACAAGGUGUCAGGAAUAUGACUCUUGACACAGUGUGAUACAUAUAAUGUAUUCUGUGCCGUCUUCAGCAAACAUGCCCAACAGAGAGGUCAAUGGUUCAGGCAUUGCAGUUAAAUCUUACAAUGCAGCAGACUUCUAGAGGUAGUGAUACUACUGGUGCUGCCUUUUUAGACACAAUUUAAAAAUUAGACAGACUGAGUCAUUGAAGAAAUAUGAUACACUUACACAGAGGUUGCCAUACUGGUGAGCAUCUUGAUGGAUCCAUUGUUCUACAAGUACAAGAGGUCCAGGGUUUAUUUUAAAGCCAACUGUAGAGAUGUCUAAUGUAACAAAAAUAGCUGAUAUAUAAAUACAAUAAUGUAUAAAGGAACCAAUUAUAAACAGGAAUAUGUAUAAAUUAAUUGCAGUUAUAGUUAUGGCUGCUUUCAUAUUACUGGGAAGUUCAGGGCCAGAUUAACAGAGGGGCUAAUGAAGCUGUAAAUCCAGGCACAUAUUUGGUAUUUUGUUUCUAUUUUUUUUAAAUACACCUCUUUCCCUGCCCAGACUGCAUAGUAGGAUAAAGAUUCUCCCUGCUAGUAAGUAACAAAGUUGAGAUAUGGACAAGUGAGUCCUGAGAAAGAAGGAAACAGAGUUUUGAAUUAGUGAGAAAGAGGAGAUGACAGCUGUGGCGCUUGCAAAAUGGAUGGAUAUGCUGAAUAAAGAGAUGGAAGACAGAUCUUGACAUACUGUGUGUGUGGGUUUUUGUUUUUUUUAAGAUACUUUAUUUUUAUUUUGAAUUGUAAUAACAAGUUUGUACAUUUGUACAAAAGUAAGGCGAGAGUACAAAAGGUAAUUGUCUGACUUAUGUUACAACCAGGGCCGGCACUACCUGUUAGGCGGACUAGGCAGGAGCGCCGGCCCCCUUCAUGCUGCAGCCGCCCGAGCGCUCUGUAGAGAGCCUCAGGCGGCUGCAGCUUUGCCCAGGCUGGUGCGUCCAUGAGGGCGCACCGCCCGGGUGCAGCAUGAAGAGAGGGGCUGACAGGAGGGAAGCGCUGAGCACUCCCUCCUGUCACUCCCUCACUGUAGCGUGGCCGAGCUAAGUAUGGUCCAAGCGGUACAGGGAGCAUCUGUCUCCUGUACCUGGCCGGACUAACAGGAAGUGCACACUGAGUGUACACUUCCUUUUAGUCCGACUGGGUACAGGAAACAAAAGCUCCCUAUACCCGCGGCCCAUACAGAGCUCGGCCACGUAGGGAGGGGGAAGAGAAAUAGGGGAGAAAUUGUGAGGAGAAAUAAAUUGUGAAAUAAAUUGACAGGAGGGGAGAAAUAAAUUGACAGGGAGGGAAAAAUUGACAGGGGGAGGGUAGAGAAAAGAAAUGACAGGGAGGGGAGGGGAAAAGAAAUUGACAGGGAGGGAGGGGAGAAAGAAAUUGACAGAGGAGGAGAAAAGAAGUGGCAAAAGGGAGGGAGGGAGAAAAGAAAUUGAUGGGGAGGAAGGGGAAUGAGAGUAGGGAGGAAGGGGAAAGAAGUGACAACGGGGGAGAAAGAGAGGACAAAGAGAGGGAGGAGAAAGAAGGGACAAAGAGAGGAGAAAAGAGUGAAAAAGGGAGGGGAAGACAGUGACAAGGGAGGAGGGAGAGAAAGAGAGAGUGACAAGAGAGGAGAGAUUGACACAUCCAUCACACACACAAUGCAUCCCUUACACACACACACAAUGCACCCUUGCACACAGAAAAACACACAAUGCAUUACACACACAGACACACAUACACAAGCAAUGCAACCAUUACACACAAUGCAUCCCUUACACACACAGAAACACACAAUACAUUCAUUACACACACUCAAUGCACCCCUUACACACAUUCAAUUCAUCCCAUACAUACACAGAAACACACCUUGCAGCCCUUACACAUACAAACACAAUUUCACACAAUGCAUUCCUUACACACAUAUCAGGACAUCCCCUACACACUCCACCCCCUGUAAACAAACUCAUUGGUGGAACAUGAAGGUGGACCCUAGGACCCAGACCUUGAGCUGUGUAAAGGACCCCCAAAAAAUAGAGCUGCUUCCCGUUCUCCCAGAACAUUGAUUUUUGUGACCACAGUUACAAACCGCCUCCAGAGAGCCUGUUCUACACCAGACCAGUGGAGUCAGACUGCAGCUAGAGCCCAUCAUCAUCCUCAUCUGGUUGUAAGUAGGCAAUCUAGUAUAUUAUUCGUGGCACUAAUCUCUAAUAUACCUCACAUUAAAGAAACACUAUAGUCCCCAGAACCACUGCAGCUUAAUGUAGUGGUUCUGGUGUCUAUAGCCUGUCCCUGCAGGCCUUUUAAUGUAAAUGCGGCAGCACUGCAGCACUGGCGUUAGUUAACAUGGCAGAUCAUAUGGGUGGGGCAUUGUGAUGUCACAUGGGGGGUGGCAAACUUUACUUUUGCCUAGGGUGGCAAAAAUCCUUGCACCGGCCCUGGUUACAACAUUGUAUCGACAUUCAGUUAUACAGUUAUGAUUGCAGGAGAGAGUCUGGUGGUUCAAUGGCAACUCCAGAAUUGGAUUGAUGCAUUGUCCAUUAACCAAGGCUCCUUCAGAAGACAGGUAUACUGGCCUGGGUCAUGGACUUAAGAGGAUUUUGUUGAGCCAGACUUUUGAAGUAAAUUGAGUAUUGCAUGGUAUGAUGUCAGGGGUGAUUUGCUUACGGUAUGUGGUGUUAUGACGGUAUGUGGUGUUUUUAUGUUGAGGUGUUAAUGUAUUGAUAUGUGAUUCCACAACCUCAGUCGGGUAGUGGUUUGGUGUGAGUGUUGCUGAAUGAUGUAGAUGAGUGUUGGCAGUAGUUAGUGUAGAAGUAGGAUUGAGAGAGGAAGAGAGGAAAGAAGAGAUGAGGAAGAGAAGAAAGAGGCGGGAGAAGAGAAAGGGCAGGGAGAGGCGGGGAUUUGCUUUACAGCAUCAACAUCAUGAUCAAGCUUCUUGAAGGUUAACAGAGAUGAGAUGCUUUUAUUAAUAGGUUACCAAGGAAGCGUGGUGUCCCCAUCCAGAAAGGGGUCACAAAGCUUGUGAAAUGUUUUGGGGGUAUCGUGGAUCUGUGCUGUAAGUUAGUCCAUGUCCAUGCUUUCAGUGAUUUUGUUAGAUAUCUGCUGUUGAGAUUUUAUGCUAGAGGUGGACCAGACUUCCACUAUGGCUCUGCGGGUGGCUAGGGAUAUACAGGCUGCUAGUUUGUUUUUGUUGCAGGUGAAAGGCUCUAAGGACUUGGAUAGCAGCAAUGCCCAAGGGUCUUUGGGAAAUGGCCUGUUCAAGAUUCUGGUUAGCAGGGUUGUUAUGCUCUGUCAUAGUAGGGUGAGUGUGGAGUAAGUCCACCAGCAGUGGAGGAAGGAUCUUCCAGCAGAGAUUGUCAGGGUUGCAGGGCAUGGAGGCCAGGUGUUGAGGGUUAAAGUACCAUCGGAAAAGCCUUUUAUGUGCCUGCUCCUGGUGUGUGACACAUAUGGAGAUCGAUAUAGUGGCCUCCCAAAUGUCUGACAAAUCUGUGGGGUUCUCAGGCGGGCCCAAGUUCUGCUCCAAGGCCGAGACAUAGGGGAGGACCACCUGGGAGUGGUGUGAUGCUAGUAUUAAGUAUAGGUCAUAUAUUUGUCCUUUGUGGGAUGGAUGGCGCAGACAGUCUCGCUCAUAAGCCGUCAAGGUGGAAGUUCCUGCUUGACCAAUUGAUGGGGUUGAUGAAAAGCUCCGGAGCUGAAGGUAGCGAAAGUGGUCAAAGGUCAUUAAUGUUGUUGGGUCCAGGAGGUCUGAGUAUUGAAGUAAUUUGUCAUUUGGGUAUAGGUGAACUAGCCUUGUUAUGUCCCGGUUUUCAAAAUGUGCAUAGUGUUUUGGCUAGACCGGGAGAGAGAGUCUGUUGUGGAGAAUGGGGUUGAGAAGAAUUUUUCUCUGAGGUGAUCCCAGAGGUCGAUGGAGUGGGUGACUGUUGGGGAAUGUGCCAAAUCAACCCAUCUCUUACGAUCUGGGGGGAGGUGCUAGUGCUGGAUUUUGGCCAGGUGGACUGCGUGUUGAAAUUGGGGAGGCCUAGUCCUCCUGAGUGUUUGGGGACAUAGAGGGUGGUUCUUCCUAUGCUGGGCUUGAAGGAAUCAAUUGCUGAUUGUAGUGCCUGUAGCUCUGACCUUUUGCAAGGGAUAGGUAGGGCCUAAAAGGCGUAAAGGAAUUUUGGGAGAAGAUUUAUUUUUAUUGAUGUGUAGGUUUAAAAUGCAUUCUGCAAGUGUCUAUCUGGUACCACCCUCAAAAGAUACAAGACAAUUGUUAUAGUGUUGUCUGUCUAUCAGAUUCUGCUAUUAAGGCUAACAUAAUCAUUGUCACCUGGCCCAAUAGUCUUUUAAUCUAGCCCUGGAGCAUAUUCUCAGAGAUUGGCAUAUAUCUUGUCUCAGGGUUAUUACCUAAGAUAUCUGUACAUUCCACAUCAAAGGAAAAUCUACAUAAACUAGCGCAAGUGCAGUAACUAGAAAAAUAAAGCUUCAAGGUCCCAAUUGGAGCACAAUAUGUAAGCAAUUUACAAUGUAACCUAUAUGCUGCACAACAAACACCAAAUAGACAGGUUGCAACACCAAUCAAGAAUGUCAAACUAAUUAAUAAUGACUAUUGGAGCUCAUAUCUAUACUGUUAAUUGGACAAAUCAAAUAAACAAAUUCCACAAGGUGAUUUACUACAGUGAGAAUUCAGAGUGAAUUUGAAAGGGAAAUUAAAGUUUUACUUACUUUUCUCAUGCACAGGGUUUAAACAACAGAACCACUGCACUCAGGCUACUUCAUUGAAACAAAUCAGCUUGGUUGACUUUAGUGAUCAUUUAAGGCCAGAGUAGCUGAGCGGAAAGCAUUGUUGAUUUAGAGAAUUUUUCCAAUUCAGCUAUUUUUAUCUUAAAUUUUAGUUUAGUGACAAAAACAUUGAAACAGUAACGCCUAUUUAACCAGAGUGCCAGAGUUGACAUUGUCUUGCUGCCAAAGUACCCAGUGAGGAGAUGUUUAUGUAUAAUAAUAUUUAUGUAGCAAUAAAAGCAGUUCUGUAGUACUGGAUUUCUAUUUUAGAUUUUUGCAUCAAGUAUAUGUUACAUUUUAUAUUGUUCACUUCUUUAUCAUCUGUUCUUUAUGUGAAAAAUAUAUAUCUCUGUGUCACGUAUUCAUCCGCAUAUAAAAAUGUGAUUAAUGGCAUUUACUGUUCUGACAGGAAAAGUUGUGCCAAGCAACAUUACAGUCCUGACAGGAAAAGUUGUGCCGAGCAGCAAUCAAUCCACAGGAGGGUUUGUGCUGAGCAGCAAUCAUGCAAAUAGGUAAUUGCCUUUUGGGUCAAAGGCCGGUUACAACCAAUCAGAUCCACAGGCAGGGUAUUUAGGCCUAGUUCUCCUCUUGCUCAGUGCCCUGUCAUGGUUUCCCUUGUGGUUGUCCGAGAGUGCGCGAUUUAUUCUGGUUAUUUGACUUUGGCAUUGAUUUUGACUUGUUUUCUGGCAUCCCUGACCCCUGGUUUUCCCCUUAUCGUUGUGUCUCUUUCUGUGUCCCUUGACUAUUCCUGACUAUUCAUUGGUACAUUAGUCCGGCCAUUCUAAGGUCCGGUAUACAUUACCUAUCAGUCCUCUGUGUUACACAAUUCUACGUGCUGGAUCAUACUGUAAUCCUGACACUCUGCUGUGGCACGAGUAGGACUCCUGCUGUCCACUCACAUUGCCCUCACAUUUUGAGUUUAGUUGUUAGAAGACGAAAAGGUUAUAUAGAUUUAUUGAAGUCUGUGCUUCAUUAUCAAGGCAAUCUCAUGCUACCACAGAGAUAGGCAGAAGUCAUAAAUGUGAAGGCGGGUGAUUGGAUAAAAAGAGUUGAUAAGGAAUGACAAAGAAGUCAUAAGAAUUGCAAUGAAAAGUCCUGAGUCACUAAUGGUGGGUAUAAUGACAUCUGAGUACUAACAAUAAUAUUAACAGCAGCAGUAUGGAGCUGGACUGAGUGUAUAGGCUGAAAAUGCUGAAUGUGUGGCUGAAUGAAUGUUGGAUUGGGUGGGAUAUGUGCAGUUUGAUUGAGUCAGUGCAAGGAUGAGCAGUUAGACUGUAUGAGUUAAUGUAGUAAGCAGAGUGCAUGUCAUAUUUACUUAGAGAGUUACAUGGAGACAUGGAACAGCCAUUAACAGACAGGCAAAUUAACCUACUGGCUACUAAAAUCUCCAUCUGACUACUUGUUGCAGUUGGUAGUUAGCAGAUAGAAUUAUCCAAAAAUUAGGGCGAAGCAUUUGGUGAAUAUGUUCUUGGCAUAUGUUGGAUUACAAUGUGCACUUUUACUAUUAUUAUACAGUUCUGAGUAAUUCCACAAUUUUUGUUGUGGCAGUCACAAACAAACAUAUCGACGGCUGAUAUUUUCUAAACUACUUGGAUAUGUAUAUUGUUUCCAGAUUUCAAAUCCAGAUAAAAACAUAUACUCUAUAGCAUUAGUUACCUUUCAAAAUUAUGCAGCUCGAAUUAUAUUUCAGAUCUUUAAUUUUCUGAAGCAUUAUAAUUGUAUUUUGCAUUUCUAAGUGAAAUAUGUCUGUUUCAUUUCCUUAAUUAAAACAGCUGUCACAUACGAGAUGGGUAUUUUUAAAUUCAGCAAAUAAAGCAGCUUUUACUUGAUGUUUUAAGCGGCUUUAACUGCAUGUUCCUAUAGUUAUUUUUUUUACCAUGUAUUGGGAAUAAUAUGAAAGCAAGUGGUUACAUUUUAUGUCCGCAAAAAACAUGAGAAAAUACAUGAAUAAAAGAAAAGCGCACUACUUGUAGUUUAAAAUAAAAUGGGAAUAGUUACAAAUAGAUAUUAUAUUUGUUUAAAACUAAACUGGUAUCUUGGGAUGCUGCAAAAGCAAGUUUAUGAAAUAAAAAAUAAAAAAAUAUGAAGAAAAUCCAACAACAUUUGGGAUGAUCUUGUGAUUGACUGAAAUUAUGUUUUCUGGACUGCCACAUUCCAUAUUUUUGGGGAAACUGACAAUGAUGGGCAAGAGGUCUUCUCAAAAAGAUGAUAGUACGUAAAUGUUCAUUUUAUUCCCAGGUCUAUUGACAACUGACCAGUAGACCAGGAUGAGCAGUAAAAAAAUCUUUAUUUCCAAACAGGAUUAUUCCAGGCUACAGCUAUUGAGGAAGUCAGAUCACCAAAUUUUUUAUUUUACCUUUUUCUGCCUGUCUGGGAGUGGGAGAUAGCCUGGGUCAUUAAUUCUAGUGUGAGACUAAGUUUAGUUUAGUGCUAUAUCUAGCUAGCCAGGUACUACCAUAGGCACUUUAACCCGUUAAGGACACAUGACAUGUGUGACAUGUCAUGAUUCUCUUUUAUUCUAGAAGUUUGGUCCUUAAGGGGUUAAACAACUUUGAGUGAGAUUGUGUCAUUGAUCCUAGAGAGAGGCUAGGUUAGCAAUUUAGAGUUUAUUUUGUUGACUGUAGAAAAGACAAUCUUUUUGGGGGAACUCUGUUUCAGUAAUAAGCAAAAAAAGUAUAAAGUUACACACGCACUCACGCCUAGUUACGCACACACUCACACAAACUUUGAAUUAUAAAAGGCUGCUUUAUCCACCCUAGUGUGAGACUGGUGGUUAUAGCUACUGCAGUCUCCUACUGAUAUCCUCUGUUACUUAAUACCAACUUGGAAUAAUCAAUUUACAGUUUACAAUUUUUUGUUAGUUUUUUUGCACCUGUUUUUAUUUGUAGAAAUAAAAUCCUUUUGUAAAAAGUUUUCUGAUUGUCUUCAGUUCAAUAUAUGCUGUGUAAAUGUGUAAGCCCUGUGCAGUUUUCCUUAAAGUCAACCACAUGUUACAGUAAUAAAUUAAUCGAGCACCAACCCAUUUUGUGACACAUCUAUUGUUCCUGAAUCCAGUUUUAUUAGUGCACAGGGAUUAACAAUUUUAGUGCUAUACUGCUAUUCCCUACUACUGCUGCUAGUACCAUGGCUUUGGAGAUUUUGAGCACCUCUUCCUCAGCUAUGAGGAAAUCCAGCAUCAUGGCUGCCUCUACCACCACCACCAGUAUUAAUAGUAUUCAACCCCAGCAUAGUGAGAUUAGCAGCAUGUUGGCUAAAUCAAACUCAACAAGUCAUUUGUUUUUUCUCAUCUUUUUUUAUGCUGCAACAACCGUGUACCAAGGUAAUGCUCCAAAUUUCUGAUGCUGGUUGUGGCUGCUCACUGUUAUAAUAAAGGACUGUUGCUAUCCAGUUUCUAAUCCAGAUGGGGCACUUACUUUAUUAAUUAAUUGAGGGGGACAUAGUAUCCCCUUUGUCCCCACAACCUGACAUUCACCCAUGGCAAAAGGCAGGAGGUAUUACAUAAAAUGAAUGGGAGGACAUAAUAUCAUAUCUGUGCCCUCACACUUGCCCCAUAAGUAGGGCUAUUCAUAUAAACAGAAGACAUAGAGUGGCCACAGGUGGGGGCUACUAAAUAAAAUGAACAUUAUGUCUCUGGAGUGGGGGCUAUUAUAACUGAGGCACACAGUGUCCCCCCCAGCCCUCACACCUAAAUAAUAAGGGAGGAAACCUAUUGUCCCUCCCAGACCCAGACCCAUUGUUGGUGGGUCGGGGGCCUGACUAAUAAAAUGGGGGUGGAUCUAUUGUCCACCCCCCAGCUCCAACCCAUUGGCGGCAGCAAGAGGUACCUCUGAAUAAAAAGGAGGGGUAGAUAUAUUGUCGUUGUCACCAGUCCCCACCCAUUGGCAGCAGCAUGUAGAGGCAGAAAGGAGGAAUUACUCUCCCUUAUUUACUAAUACUAAGUAUUUUUUACUUAGUAUUAGUAAAGUGAUCUGAAACACCAAAGUUAUUAUAAGGAAGUGCCUUUCGUAAUAUGGACUUACAGAUUUUUAGUAGAUAAAAAUCCUUAUGCGAAUUUGCCAUAAGGAUAUCAAAAAAGAGCUAUCUGCUAAACAACUCCCAAUUUUGGUACCCUGAAAUAUGGCAAUCCAACAAGGGUACCAAUUUAGGGAAUUAGGGAGAUACAGCCACAGCACAGAUCAGAAUUUCAUUAGUCGGAAUGAAAUUCCGAAACAAUAUUAAUGACAGACAUCAAGACAUACAUAACACUUUUACCUCUAGCCCAGUAGCUACUCAGCUAUGAGUAUGCUAAAUUUGAAGGAAUCAGAAGAAUUAGCAGAGGAUAGCGUGGAGAGAACAGGCAGCAGUCCAGUAUUUUUUCCAGAAGCUAGUGUGCACCCGACUCCUUAAUCACCUCAUCCACUUGAGGCAGUCAUGAUAUCAGCUGCACCUACUACUAGUGGCACAAGCACCUCACCCAAUGCCAGUAUUACCAUGACUAGUACUACUAACUUCAACAUUUCCAUUAGGAUUAAGCAACUAAGUGUCAGUGUACAACCUAAUGUUAUUACAGCUUGCACUGUCACCAAUGCAAAACCAUCUGCAUCCUCAGCAGACACAAGGCAAAGGGCUGAGGGAACUGCAUUGCACAAAUAAAAAAGGUUUGGGAUCACUUUAAGUGCCUCAAAGAAGGCUGACUUGCAAAGUACAAAUUGUGCGACAAGAAAAUGAGUAGGAAGCAAAUGAAGGGUGUUCUCACUAGUGCCUGUAUGAAGCAGUAUUUGCAAAUACACCAGAAGUCUGUAUUACAGAAAGAAAAAGAAGAACAAGAAAGUACUAUCACAUGCAGCAGGUCCAUGGGUGCUGUAUCUGAUUCUGUGCCAAAGUCAGUAAAUACCAUCAGCUCCUCCACCAGUGGCGUACAUACUGGGGUUGCAGGGGUCGCGGCUGCGACCGGGCCCAGACCACUGCGACGUUAUAUGUAUGCCAGUGUGGCCAGCCUCUUCUUCUGGGGGGCCCAGGAGCUGGCCACCUCAGGGCCCCCCGAGACAGGCCCUUGUGUCACCGGGCGGCCGGUCUUGCGCACGCGUGAGGGAGCACUCUCCCCUGAAAUCAUAUUCCGGCUCCGGCAUCAGUAAGCGGUGUGCGAGGGAGCUGAACAGGAGGAUCUCAGUGCUCCCUCGCGCGCCCUCAGGACCGGCUGCCCAGCAACACCACUGCACCCCAGGAACCCCAGGGAAUCCCCUCAGCACUCCCAAAGGUAGGGAGGCUGGGGGAUUACAUUUUUAAAAAAACAUGUGUAUGUGUGUUAGUGUUAGUUUUUGUGUCAGUGUGUGUUACUGUGUGUGUCUGCUAGUGAGUGUGUUAGUUUUUGUGUGUUAGUUUGUGUGUGUCUGUUAUUAAGUGUGUGUCUGCUAGUGAGUGUCAGUUUGUGUGUUAGUUUGUGUCAGUGAGUGUGUGUGUGUCAGUGAGUGUGUUACUGUGUGUGUCUGUUACUGAGUGUGUUAGUUUGGGUGUGUCUGUUUGUCUAUUAGCGAGUGUGUGUUUGUCAGUGAGAGUGUAUGUUUUGUAAGUGAGUGUGUAUGUGUGUCUAUAUGUCAGUGAGUGUGUAUGUAUGUAUGUCGCUGAGUGUGUCUCUGUCAGUAAAUGUGUGUCAGUUAGCUAGUGUGUAUGCGUCUGUUCGUGAGAGUGUGUGUGUGUUUAAAACCCCUUUAGCACUUAUCUUUCUCCAGCACCGGACUCCCUUGGCGCUGGGGAUCCCUCCGCCCUGAUCCGCCUCUCAGCUCCGAAUGCGCAGGCACGGCAAGAGCUGCACGCGCAUUCAAACCGCCCAUAGGAAAGCACUACUGAAUGCUUUCCUAUGGACGUCCAGCGUCUUCUCACUGUUGCGGAAGCGCCUCUUGCGGCUGUCAGUGAGACAGCCACUAGAGGCUGGAAACUGCUAUGUUUUCAGCUGCAGGGUUAAAACUAGAGGAACCUGGCACCCAGACCACUUUAUUGUGCCGAUGUGAUCUGGUUGUCUGUAGUGGUCCUUUAAGGGUGUGCAUCUGCAUGCACUGGUGUACAUACCGCGGUCGCAGGAGUCACAGCCCUGCGACCCCUACGACCAGGUGCCGGCCGCCAUGUGUUGCGGCCCCGGCCCAUGCAGAGUAAGCGCGGAGGGGGGCCCACGGAUCAAUUUUCCGCACCGGGGCCCCAUGGGUCGUGUGUACGCCACUGUCCUCCACUGCUACUGCAAAUUCCCUCCUGCUGAAUAGUGGAGUGUUAAGAAUGGAGCCAGUAGUCAACAAAGUCACAGUAAUAGUCAGAGACCUCAUCAUCCAGUAACUUUUUUUUUUUUUUUAAAAAGAGAAAAAAAGUUACUUUUGCCUGGAUGCUUUUGCCAGAGUCACUCACACCCACUUUGAUUCUCUGAUAUGAAAAUAUUUUACUAGUUUGUGAUUUAUUUUUCAGUUUACGUUCUUGUAAGAGAUGGAUUAUUUGAUUUGCAGUUUUCUUCUGUGCCACUGCAUGUUCUUUUGGAAUUGCAAGCUUCCUUCUUCACUAAUAUACAUACAUACAUUCACUAAAGGGAGAAUUCAAGGUGAAUUCAAAUUGAAUGUCAUAUUUAAGGUCAAUAAAAUACGAAAUUUUAUAACGAAAAUAGCCAAAAAGGAAACACUCUCUAUUUCAGCUAUAAUUUAAGUUCAGCUGCUUAAAUUUGAAAUAAUUUAGCUGUCAAAACUCGCAACUGUCAAAUCACUGUGCACUGCAAGUGCGCUGUGUGUUGUGCACAGUAUCGUCAAACACUAUAGCAGUACCUUAACAGCAACCAAUUAUUAACACAAAUGUAAGGCAGGAUAAAACCACUACAAUGACAGGCAUUUUAAAAAGGGGGAGAAGCAGCAGAAGUACCUUCACCACUGCUAUUAUCCAUAGGUAGAUCAGGGCGAUGUUGAGGAUAGUGGCAAUCGUCGACAUGUGCAGGUUGAACAGGUACAGUUGGGGGGCUCUUCAUCAUCCCAGGAAAAUAUCCACAGUGGGCUGCAGCAAUUAUUCACUCUAUGCUUUUUAAUCAAUGCUGAAUCACAAUUUUUGUUUUCUAUGUUAAUCACUGAUCCUUUAAUCUAAUAUACAUUGCAGUAAGUGUUAUAUAUGCUUUGACAACACUUUGGUACUACCUCUGUUAUAAGUACAAAAAAAAAAAACCUUGCACAUCGCAAUUCUUUCUCAUCUAUUUGUCCUUUGUUUGGAAUGUUAUUGUUCAUAGGCUAUUGUGACUAAUGCAAUGUGAUGUGUGAAUAUAUAAAAGAUUUAAAAAAAAGACUCAUAAUAAACUAGGCUUUAGAAUUUUUAUAUUAAUAUGAAAUGUCUGAUUAUUUUAAAGGUAGAGACAUUUAAGGAUGUUAACCUAACGCAGCCAUUUCAGUUAUAAUGAAUGAUAAUAUGAAAGUAUAUAAAAAAAAAGGAGAAUAUGAAACAUGCAUUUGUGUUUAUAUAUUAAACUGUGAACUUUGAAGAAAGUAUUACACAUUAUAGGCUACAAUAGCAAAAGAGGAUAACUCUUCAAUUGCAUAAUUUUUUUUAAUGUAAUUUGGAAUGUCUUUGUCAAUCUUUCACAAUUUCAAGUUUAGUAAAGAUAUCCUAACAAUUUCAAAUAAACAACACAAUUCCUCGUUAUUUCUCAAAUUAAUAGAAUUCUUCAUUAGUUCUUCAUGAAACACAGAGUCCACAUUUCUUUACUGUUUCUAGUUGAAUCCCCAAUAGACAUCUAUGUAAGGCUUUAUAAUUACUUGCUACCCAAGUGAAAUGCAUGCCUAGGUUCUUUCCUUUAUUUAUUUAUUUUUAUAUAAUUUGUUCAGAAGUAUUACUAAGAAUGAUUUGGAUCUAGUGAUUUUUUCUCUUUAACCUAAUCAGCUGUUUUUCAGCAUGUGGAAGCGCCGUGAUUAAAAUAAAUAAAUAAAUAAUACAAGAAGCUCAUAUUUUUUUUUUUCUGAGAGAACUAACAGCAGUGGUUACUUUUCGACAUAUGGCACUAGGGUUGUCUUACUUCUGGAUUAGUACUCAGCAUGCAUGGCAGAGCAGCCUAUGUUGUUCUGUAAAAGUUGAUGAACUGAGAAUGUGAGUGCCCUGGGUUUUGAACUUCAGAUGAUAAUACUGGAGAUGGCCUUUAGGCUAAUCUUAUUGUAAUGAAAACAGCUGCUACCCCAACAAACAAAUAGAAAAAAAUAAGAAAUAUAACGUCCAAGCAUACGUAUUCAGAAAAUGCCUUUCUUUUGCACAGCUGUCAAACUCUGUCUUUGCUCCUGAAUUUUUCUCAUGGUAUAAGGAAAUAUAAGAAAAAUUGUAUAAAGCCAAAUGUAAUAUCCAUUUAAAUGAUAAGUCCAUGUAUACUGACUUGAACAUAAUGUGGCGUUAAAUUGGGUCAGAUGAAACACUAAACAGCAGGAGUCAAUAGAGAGUGUAUUCAUCCUAGAGUAAAGAGGACCAGAGGUUAUUAAUAAAGGAACAUUCCAAACACCUAACCCACUUUAGCUUGCUUAAGUUAUUUUUUUGUGUGUGUGAUGAGUGAGUACUCUUUUGUAAUUUUACAAAACAAGCAUCUUUCAAUAGAAUUUUACACUUUUAUAAAUUAAACUUGUUAGAUCCCCUGACUUUUACACAGACAACAGGUCCUAUAACUUCCUGCUCAGUGAAGCUAAACUUAAGUAGCAGGCACUUGCCCAGAGCAGCACCUGCCUAGCUGCCGUAGGGGACAACUAGCAAAUGGCGCAUUCAAGAAAUCUGCAGGUAGGGUUGUAUCUACUAAAUUGUUAAAAAAAUAAAUAAAAUAUUUUUAACUUAUUGGUGUGUUCCUUUAAACAAAGACCUAAAAUUCCACAACAUUUAUAUAUUGCAAGCUAUUUCCAUUGUUUAUUAUAUUUUUUGAACAAGACUAUUAACUAUUAUUUGUACCUUUCUUUUGGUGACUACUUUAGUGUGCUCUUUUGAACUUUUAUAAAAUAUAACCUGGGGAGACAUACCUCCAUCUCUUGUAACCCUGCUUGAAAUCAGAUGUUCUUGAGACAAAUUCACAUCAAAGCCAAAUAGGAUACAACUCAGUAUUAGCAUUUACAUUAGGCAAAUUAGGCAGUGGACUUGGGCACACUUUAAGAGAGGGUAUGUGUAGGGAAUCUAUUGCUCAUCUGAUCCCUUCCCCACACAUAAAAAUAUGCUGCCAUGUCAAGUGCUGGCAUAGAUUAUGUAAGUGCUGUAAUUAUAGAAAUCCAACCUCCCCUGUGACAGAACUGCAAACACCUGACCAUCUCUGCUCCUGCCCUCCUUGUGGUAACCACAGAAACCCCAGUAUCCCCUCUUUGCUCCACUUCUCCUAUCUCUGUGUUUCUAUAAGGCAGUUUUUGCGACUUGGCGUUCAGUAGAAAUUGACCCUUUUUUAAAUUUGUAAUUGGGGCAGAAACACCUCCCUGUCUGUUACUCCCUGUCUGUUACUGUUACAACAGUCGAUGUAUCAUCGUUAUACACCAUUAUCAAUCAUGAGAAGGGACUAAAAGCUAUCAGGACAGUUUUACAACAAGACCCUAGCUUAAAUGAGGAACAAGUCUCUUUUAUCCUUGAAUGUAUCCAAUUUAAUUUAUCCCACAAUUACUUUUUAUUUAAAAAUAGAUUUUAUCUUCAUGUUUGUGGCUCAGCCAUGGGCGCCAGGUUCGCGCCCAGCUAUGCCAAUCUUUUUAUGGCUAUAUGGGAGGAAACCCAGACAUGGGUAAGGCAUGGCUGAACAACGAACCUGGUGCUAUGGAAAAGAUACAUUGACGAUUUGAUUAGUAUUUGGGAUGGUGCACAUAAUGAUCUUUUGGAAUGUAUUAAUUAUAUUAAUACAAAUGAUCAAGGUCUGAAAUUUGUGCCAGAACUUGAUAAUGUAAAUAAUGUAUUAGUUUUUUGAAUAUUUUAUUUUAUGUCCGGGAUGACCAUAUUUGUAACAAAACAUUUUUUUAAACCCACUGAUAAGAACAGCUAUAUUGAGUUUAAUAGCUGUCACCACCUCCAGUGGCUUACAAACAUUCCAAAGGGACAAUUUAAGCAGAUAAGUAGGAACUGUACAGAAGAAAAUGACUUUGAGACCCAAACUGACUUUUUAGAAAAAAGAUUCAUAGAAAAACAUUACCCUAAAGCCCUUCUGACUGAAAUGAGAAGUGCAAUAGGACGGGAGAGGAAAUAUCUCACUGUAAGGGAUAAUAAAAGAGAAAUUAAUACACAAUGUGAUUUUAACCUAGCUUUUAAAAUGCAGUUCAAUCACAAAUCAAUAUGAAUUGAAAGGCCUUACAGAAAUUCUGGCCGGUAAUUUUACAGGAUGAUGUUUUAAAAGAGGUGCUUCCAUCAAAACCCAACAUUAUUUGUAGUAAUUCUAGGAAUUUUAAAAUCAUUUUUAGUGCCAAGUCUUUUACCUUAUUUUAAUAAUAGGACACCAGGACCCUUCCCCAAACCAAAAGGUUUUUAUAAAUGCAGUCAUUGUAAGAUGUGUGAAAUUAAUACCUAGGUCGAUUACAACCUUCAAUAGUACUAUUACAGGGAAAACCUUUGAAAUUAGGAAUUUUAUCAAUUGCUCUACAAAAAAUGUCAUCAACUUACUUCAGUGCCCAUGCGGUGCACAGCAUGUAGGAGAGACCAUGAGGACUAUUAUGGAAUGUGUUCUGGAGCACUUACGAGCUAUAGCAAGCAAAGAAGGAGGUUAAGCAUAGUGUCCCGAGACACUGUAACAAUUGCUCUAUUUUUUAAUAUACAAAAAAUCCUAUGCUUUGGCAUUGAUGUAAUGAAGGAGGAUAUUAGAAAUGCAAACUUGGCACAGAAGGUGUGCCAAAGAGAGACCAUGUGGAUAUAUAAGUUAAAAACCUAUACUAAAAAGGGUCUCAACAUUGAUCUGGAUAUUAUGGCUUUUAUUUGAUUAUUUUAUCUGUGUUUUAAUACAUUUUUAUUCUUUCCCUUUUAUUUUUUUGUAAUGUCUGUUCUUUCACAUAUGCUCAUGUGAGACACAAUAAAAUUGACUCAGUGUCAUGUACACGAUAUUCUGCCAUAUCCGAAUAUUUUUUAUAAUAUUUAUUGUUAUAUAUAUUUUAUAUAUAUAUAUAUAUAUAUAUAUUUUUAUAAUAUAAUAUAUUUUGUAAAUGUUAUGAAUUUUUAUGGAGUCAAUAUUAGUAUGAAAUUACAGGAUUUCCUUUUUCUUCUCAUUGUUAAGAGUAUGGCUUUUUAGUGUAUUACCAUGUAUGCUUUCCAUCUAUAUUAUUAUGGCACUGGUUGUAUAUAAAUGUUUUUGCCUUAGGCAUUAUGAGAACCGCCGAGAUGAGGGUUUUAGCAAGGUUUUCGCCGGUUAAGUCCACGCACGUGCGCAGUGAAUCCGUUGCCAGCGUGAAUCUCUGCUGCAAUUUUGUUUCUUAUUUAUAGGAGUCUGUGCAAGUUUUUUCAAUCUGUAACCCCAUUAGAUGACCACUGGGGAGAGGAGUGAAUUUCUACAUGUCGCGAUUUGAUCGCGGACGUUGGUAGAGGCGAGAGGUUUAUUCCAUCACCGAGCACAAUCCCAGUGGCCAGCUUUUUGGUUGGGGCAAACCUUUUGUUGACAGGAAACACAUGUUAUGGGCUUAUUAGCCCUGAUUGGUGGGCUUUGAAAGCAGAACUUUUGACUUUUGGGGAUUGAGCUCUGCCUUGAGAAAGUCGAGUGGGAUGAAACCGGUCGGCAUUGAGGAGCCAUCCAUUUUUCUCCAGUUUGGCGUGAUCUAUGCUUGGAUUCUGUUUCUACUCCCCCACUUGAAGAGAUCCGGACCCAGCACAGGAGGGUGGAUUGAGGACUGAAUCCUUUUCCAGAGAUAUACCUGCGAUAUGCUAUAUCAUUUGUUAGUGCAAUUAUCUUUCCUAUUUUAUUGGUGUUGUUAGUUUUAUACCAUAUAGUGUUCUUUUUGGGAUUUUAAGUGAUUAAAGAUAUGGAAGAAUUGAUUUGACAUGUAUAUGUGAAUCCUUGGAAUACCAGAUGAAAAGUUAAUAGGUACAAAAAUUGUAAUAUACCUAUAUUCUCAUUGCACCUUGACUGCACAACAUAAUUUCUUUCUUUGUUUUUAUACUCAGACAAACAGGAAGCUGUACACUUAGCUGUACAAAGCUAACGGAAAAAGGCAGGUGUGCUAUUCUAGUGUGUACCUGCCUUGCUCUGUCUUAAUGAGUUAUAUUUUAGAGCUAAAUGGGAAACAGCCAGGGCCGUUUCAGCGCGUCCAUAAGGUGGCACAGGCGUCCGCCUUAGGGCGCACCGGCUCCGGAGGCGCAAGAUUUCAGUGACCGGCAGGAGAGAAGCUCUCCCUCCUGCCAGGCCACCUUCUGGACCCCCGGCGCGGCAUGCAGCAGUGGUGUGAUCAGACGCGGCGAGGGAGCUCUAAUCUCCACGCUCUGCUCUGAGAGAGCACUCCCUGUCAGUCCGGCCAGGUACAGAAAAUUGAAGCUCCUGUAGGGGAUUUCCUCUGCUCGGCAACGCUACAAGAGAGGUAGGAGGCACCCCAGGAAGGUGAGUGCAACCACUAAGGGGGUGGGGGGUUCACCAAGGGACAGGGAGGGAAGGGGAGAGAAACACCAAGGGACAGGGAAAAGAGGGGGGAGGUUGGAAGAACACUAAGGGACAGGGAAAGGGGCUGGUUAAGAGGCACAUGCGGGGCAGAAAAAUACAUCUUAUGGGCGGGUGGGACCAGUCUGAUAUAUUUCAGAGAUGUUCUCUAUGUAAUGGCACAAGAUGAGCAAAAACCAGCUUGAGAUCUGAGCGGGGACCCACCGAAGGGCAGGCUAUUUCAGCUGCUGCCCGUUCUCAAUAUACUCUUGCAACCCAUUUUUUUGCUCUCCACAAGUUUAAAGGGAUAAUCCAGACGUGGACCCUUUGCUCACGGUGCCUAGGGAGAUAUCAGCUAUGCCUCACUGAUGAUGCCUAAGAAGGCUGAAACGAUCAUCUGGGGUUACUGUGCCUCUCGUGCAGAGAGAACUUGCUAGCAUUUCGGAUCUGGACUGCCCGUAUGGGUGGGACCAGUCUGAUAUUUUUCAGAGAUGUUCUCUAUGUAAUGGCACAAGAUGAGCAAAAACCAGCUUGAGAUUUGAGCGGGGACCCACCGAAGAGCAGGCUAUUUCAGCUGCUGCCCGUUCUCAGUAUACUCUUGCAACCCAUUUUUUUUGCGCUCCAUGAGUUUAUAUAUAGCCUCGCAGAUACCACCAGUAGUUUUUAAGUAACCUUUGAAAAACAGGUUGUAUCAUUACGAACCUAUCUUGCUUUACAUGAAAAUUAAUAAGAAAAUACUUGCUCAAUUUAUGCAGAUCACAAAAACAUCCUAUUUCUACAUCCAAAUUCCAGUCUCAGUUUAAUAAGCUUUGCAAAUUAUUCAUUAGUGUUAGAAAAAAAAAUCCCCAUGGUCUUUAUUGGUGACUUCUGUAGAUAAAUAAUGUGGUAUUGUAAUCAAUAAUAGUAUUGAAUCAUUUAGAAAAGCUAAUUAAGUUGAGGCCUUUCAUUACUAAUAUAUCUGGCCUCUCGGUUGUAGUUGUCAUCACCCAAUUUUCCCUCAACCCCUUUUUUCUGUUAAUCUCUGUAACAGCACCACAAUGUGUAUUUAAGCAAUCUUAUGUCUUCCUGUAUUUUCAUAGCAUUCCAUUCUCUGAGCCAUCUUGGCAUUCUCUUAAGCUCUGUCAACUUCCCUCAUCAUACUCCCAAAUGGCAUUCUUCCAACAACCUUACUCUUCACCCCAGACUUCAUAGCCAUAUUCUUUGUAUACCAGUCGUACUUAAUUCCACAGUCAGUUUAUCAUUGGAAAAAAGUAACUUUAACUUCUUCCAUUACCACUGAAUUUCACGUAGCUACACCACUUUGUGGAUGCUUUAGCCUCCUUACUUAGAUAGCUCUUUUAAUUUUCACCUAAAAGAUAUACCCUUUCCUUCCCAAUAUUGUUCUCUUUUUCCCUUGGUGACCAAAGAAUGGAAAGAGACAUAAAAAAAAUCUAGGAGCAAAUGACCAGGCACACACGUCAGGAUUCAAUGUCCAUGAGGUAUCUAAAGCAGUACUGUCAUUUCACCAGACCUUUACAAAGAGGGCUAUGAAACAUCCCACUGUAAUGCACCUGGCUUAAAAUAGUUUGGAUUGUGUUGAUUUACCAUUCUCAACCAAACAACAUAAACAUUUAAUAGAAAAUAUAAUGCUUACAAAUGCAAUAAUAAUAUAGGGUUCUUGGGUUUAUGCAUCCAUUUUAAAAUGAUUAAAUAUAUCAAUUCUAUUUAAUCAUUUAUCAGCUAGUACUUUAGGCAACAUUAACAUACAAACAACUAUAGAAGCAAUAUCUCUGUUAUUAUUUAACACUUUCCUGUUAAGAGUUGUUUUUCACUUUUCUAGUGUGUAAACAUCUAUACUGUCAAUACAUAGUCGCAUGCAAAAAAAUAUAAUGAAAUGCCUCAACAUUCAGAUUGCCAAAUCUUUAUGUUCAUUGCUUUCGUUUCAUACAAGAAGUUUUCAUUCAAGUGAAAGAGGUUAGAUUAUCAAAUAUUUUCAUGGUUUCCUGGAGUCUGAAUUUACAUUUUCAGUCAUGCGGUGUAAUGGCUCUUCCAAGACAGUAUUUUAUCUUGUAGGAGAGUUUUACAAAGUGUUAUCACCAGGAAGAGAAAUUGAUUAACCCUUUUGAUGUAAAAUAUAUUUGAAGUAAAAGACUGCUUCCAGCACUACCUACAGAAGCUAUUUAUUAGGCAUAAUAACAAAGAAAAUGGUAUAAAUGACUUCUCUUCAUCUUCUGUUCCACUCCUUUAAUCAUAUUUUCUCAAGAUAAUUAUUAGAACUAUUUAAUGUGAUGAGGCUUCUUGCUAAGAUAUGGUAUACAUAUCUGGGAUGAUCUAUGAAGCUCUUCGAUGUUUCCAUUUAUUCAAAUUUUAAUUUCUAAUGUUUCUAAGGCAAUUAGAGGUGCUGCUUAACAGGUAUAGGAAUUAAUUCCACCAAACAAAUAAGUGUGUGUGUGUGUGUGUGUCUGUGUCUGUGUCAGGGUAGAUCCCCUUUUUUGCUUCCUUUACAGCAAAUUCUAAAUUGGAAGUUUCACAUUCUUAAGCCUUUGUAGAUGUAAAAAGACACUGUGAACAUACUUGGCAAAAGGCAUGCUCAGUCAAUCCAUAGCUUGAAAUAAAGAAGCAUGGAAUCCAGUGCUUCUCACACACAGAAUUUGUAUGUGUUAAGUGUCUAUAUGCUGUAUAUGAUGGCAGUUGUGAAGACCAAUGAUUUUAAAGGUCAUAAGGUGGAGAAGAUUGGUUUCAGAAUGGUUUCUAGCAAAUUAAAACAUUGUCCUGUCUUAGAAAUAGCAAUGUUUGGCAUUGUCCAAAAAGAGACAACAUCUAUGCACCAAAUCCAAUAGGUAAAUAUGCCUUUUAUAUUACUGUAUUUGCUGCAAACAUUUAAUCUUUGCAGGCUUUUGCAGUAAACUGUCACCACACCAUGAAAGAGCUUCAAUGAAUCAUGAUGCUCAGUACGCUUUGGUAGUGUUGAGCUUAUUCAAUAAAGUGUUAAUUAUGGACACACCAAUGGUUUUUGGAAGUUAUAGUUCAAUUGUGACCAUCCAACUGUAGAAUGCAGAAAAAUAUAUAUAUCUUUCAGUUGUGACAUUUCAGCAGAAAUGCAAACACCGCUAGUUGGGAGGGUCAGAAAAGGUGGGUUUAUAGAGCAAAUCGAUUUAUUAAAAAAGAAGAUGCAUAUUUUGUGGCUUUGCUGCUUAGUGUGCCCUGUCCUUUUAAUAUUGUGUUUUAGAAAGCACCAAUAUUGAUAUAACUGCCAAAUGUUAAAAAUCGGACAAUUAUUUUAUUCAUUUACAAUAGAUUUUAUCUCCAACAUUAUGCUUGAGUUAGUUUUAUUAUUUAUCUAUUUUCCAUUUAUGUUAUUAUAUAAAAUGAUUUGCAUUUAUACAUAAUUGCACAUGAUAUAAAUUAUCUUAGAAAGAGACUAUUUUCUGUAUAAUUUCAAUUAAUAGGAAAAAUUGUACAGGUGUAUUGUAACUAUAUUGCUGUUGGGUAGGUCAGCAGGGCAUAUACAGUGAAAAUGAAAGGUCUCAGCCAUUGACAUUAUUUCUCAAGUGCUUUCACAACAUUAUUCUUUGCAUAGAAGCUUAUUAUUCUUAUCUGUUAUCAUGAAGCAUACUUAACACAGGGAUGUGACACAUAAAUUAACCACAAUAUUAAUGGCUCACUCAACAAUCAUUAUUCUUCUUAAGGCCAUGUGGUGUUACCAGGUUGUUAACAGUGGAUCUAUCUAAAUUCCCUUUUUUGAAGUAAAUCUUACUCAAAAUAAAUUCUGUACCUCAUCUGUAGUUUAAUCUGUUCUUUGCUUCAGCACUGAAGCCAUCGGAGAUGUAUAUCCAAGUAUUUCAUUGUAUAAAGUACAAGUACUACUGCUGAACUAUUGAGGAACAAAACUGUCUAUCUUCUUUACAUUCUGCGUACCCCGGCAGGUAUCACUUGCAUGUUCUAAGACUGUAGGUGCUUUUCAAGUAGCUCAAUGGUUGCCAUUCAGACAUGCAGACAAUAGAUACAAUGUACAGUAAGAAAUAAAUUACUUGCAAAGAUCGUAAGAGAGGUUAUAAUAGAGCUUACAUUUCCUUCUCUAUCACAUAAAACCUUUAUGUUUAAUUAUCAAAAGGGGUUAAAAAAAGAAAUAAGACCCCCCUUCAACACACCUUCUGAGUUUUUGUUCAUAGGAUUUUCAAUACAAAUCAACAUAUGUUAAGCUUUUUAUUUUGGGGAAUAAAGGUUUGUACAUAAAAAGGCUCAUGAACUCUUCUCUAACGUCUAUUGUGAUUUGAGAAUUGGUGCCUGUGCUCAAUACUUGUGCAUUUCUAUCUGUGUAUAUAUAUAUAUAUAUAUAUAUAUAUAUAUAUAUAUAUAUACACAUACAUAUAAAUUAUAUGUAUAAUAUAGUGUGUGUAUAAAUAUAUAAAAAUAAAUUCUAGUGUAUCUGUCUACCGUCGAAAUCAAAAUAACACUGGAAAUGGGCAGCAAAUCAAAUAACUUGCCCUUCGGCAUGUCCCCACUCAGUUCUCAAGGUGAUUCUAGCUCAUCUUGUAUCAUUACAGAGAGAACUCAAGUAAUUUGCAUAUCCAUCUGAUUCCUCCCAAGAGAGCAGUUCAAAUCCAAAAUGCUGGCUAGGUCCUUGGAAAUGUUCCUUUAAAUAAAAGUUGAACUGGAUAAAGACUAUAUGGUCAUGACCAAUACUCUGCCUGAUGCCCAAAUAUAUCUAACCAAACUUUAAAGAAAAACGUAAUGAGUGAAGCAAUUGCAACUGAAGGCAAUGAUCAUGAUAUAUACCUACAAACUGUGAAUGGUAGACAGAAAAAUCAAAACAAAUGGAUUAUAUUUAAAAUAAAACCAUUGCCAUCCCUUGGAUUAUGUCUGAAGUUUAAUAUUGUAUUUUUUUUCCUAGUGACAGCAGUCCUAUUGUGAUUGCAUGAUGUAAAAAAAAAAUAUUCCCAAUUUGUGCAUGACAUUUAAAUUAAAUGUGAGGCACACUUGUCUUAAUACAUUCAUGCCUUGCUAUUGUUUCACUUGUGGUAGCACUGUAAAAGGAAAUUUAAUGUACCUAUUACAAUUUAAAAAAUUGAAAGUAUGUUAUUAUCACAUCAGUGUUAUAAGAGUUGACAUAUGAAAUUAAUGCAUGUGAAUAGGAUUUCAAGCCACUUGAUUUUCAACAUGCAAAAUUCAUUCUGUUUGCUAAUUUAAUAUAUCAUAGACAGAAAAUUAUGUCUGAUACAGAUAUAGUGGCACUGAUUUAGAUAUGUACUAAGUAAAUACUAGAAUUACAAAUUCUAAAGACGGAAUUAUUUUCCUGUAAUGUGAAAUUAUCUUAAAUACUCAGUUUUACAAUUAGUCUGCAUAUUUUAUAUGUGUACAUUAUUAAACUGCAUUAUUUGAUGUUUGGGAUCCCAGUAGUUAUUAUUGAUAUAAGUUAACAAAAAACUUUUCAGAACAAUAAUUUCUGACAUGAAAUCAUGGUUGAAUCAUUCUUUUUUUUAUCAAAAUAAACUACAUUCUUACAUACUAGAUUCUUCUGUAUUCUUCUGUAAACUUAAAGUAGGAAUAUGUUGUCAAGAACGCACUAACCAAAUGUUGCUUUACAUGAAAAACGAUGUAGUAAUGCAAGUCGUAUAAUUAAACAUUUUAAUGAAGAUGGAACAGCAACUGAAUGGUCCACAUUUAAUCUACAUACUAUUUGGCACUCUCUCUUACAUAUGGAUAUGUUUCAACAUUUUGGAACAAAUAUGAAAACACAGAUUAGUUUAUGUAUAAAUGAGUGCUGACUCAGCGUACAGAGUCAAUACCAAAUACAAUGCACACUAGCGUAGAAAGCACUGUUAAGGAUUUAAUCCAUAACAAUCUGUAAGUUAUUUUUAAAUAACAAAUAAAAACAAAAAAGUGUUCCAAAAAAACACCACCAGUGAUAAAACUAAACUUUACAAUCAAGUUGCUUUUCCCUGGACCACUCCAGUGUCAAAGUGCAACCAAAAACAAAGUACCAACAAUUGGAGAAAACCAAAAAGCUAUAAAUAACAAAAUAUAAAAUAGUGUGAUAUUGUUAUGAGAAUAGGACUAUGGUGAGUUAAUUGUUGCACUAAUAAGCCAAAUUGUAUACUGAGCAUUGACAGGCAUUCUUCACUUUCUUUAAUAAGGAUGCAUAAGCCAGGGGAAGUAUCAGUAGAACUGCAUUGAGUCUCAAGCACAAUCAGUCUCAGAUCAAGGCACACACUCACUACAGGCGGCAGAGUCUUAACCCGACCUAACCAUAACCCCACUCAUUUUUAUUAUUUUUAUGUUAUUUCAGUCAUUUAAAAUAUUUUUUUUAUAUAGUUGAGUAAAUUUUAACUAGAGAUUCCAUUGUUCCAUAUAGUUUAAAUCAACAUUUUGAAAAAUAUCCUCAUUGCCCAUUUUUUAUAGAGUGAAAUUAUUCUCUGUUGCACUUGAUAGAACUUGAACAGUUCCCUGGAGCCUGAUCAAUGUGAGAUGCCUUUUUAACAAGUAGGUAUGCUCUGUGUACCAUAAACAUUGUUUGUUCUUCAUAAUGGAUAUGGUUCAUAUUUUUGAAAUUUUUGAACUCUGAAGAAUUGCAGUCAAAAUUUUGUUUUGAUUUGAACAUUUUUAGAUCAAUACAAAAAUUACAAUAGAAGCCCUAAAAUAAAGGUGCCUUUAGUGCCCCUUUUAAAAAAACUAACUACUCUCAAACUGUAAAGAAGUGAUUCAAAGUUGGUGUUAAAUACAGGCACUAACAUUGUGCAUAUUUUGGCUGUUUGAAUUGACAGAGUCAGGAUUUUCAAAAUUUUUGUUGUGAGGAAUUUCAGUAGAAGUUUAAUUCAAAAUUCUGAGAUUCAAAAUGGCACCAAAUUGGUCAAAAUUCUGCCAACUUUCAAUUUUGAUCAAUCCAAAUCUCUAAGACUAGUAUGUACUGAAAAUCACAUAGGGACCCAAAUGUUGUGUUAAAUCGCAGGGUUAAUAACUACAUUAUUAGGUAGAUUACCUAUUUUGUGAUAAAUUUAAGAGUUCAUUAUUGAAGGUACAUUACCUACUACAAAUUAAAGGUAUCGAAAGCAAUCUAGAAAUGAAAAUGCAUUUCUUUGGCUUGGUAGACUUACAAAAAAGUUAAGUUAGAGCACAUUAUAUGUGGAUGAGCUUUCAAAGAAUCUUGUGGUUUAUAUUUAAAAAAAUAUAAAAGAGUGCAUUUACCAAGAAACUAACUGCAUGUUGCCUAGAGCUAGCUAAUGUUAAAAUAUCAAGGGGCCAGCAACAUGUACCACAGAAAAAAACAAAACAGUGACACUAAAUAGUAAUCAAGAAUACAAUAGUGUAAUAUUGCACAUAUAUUUUAAGAGAUAAGUUAAUGCACUCUCAGACAUAUAAGGUCUGUCUGGAAACUAUGCAGCCAUGUAUCAUGAAAAAUGGAGACAUAUAUUGAAGAAGAUACAAGAAACAUUGUACAUAGGACAACAAUGCUUUAGUUCCAUUCAAAGUAGGCAUCUUGGGAUUUCACACAGUUUACACUGCGUCUCUUUCACUGUUCAAAACACUCUGCAAAAUCCUUUGUUGGAAAUGCCAUCAGCUGCCUCGUUGUAUUUACCUGAAUAUAUGGUCUGAAAUCUCUUCCCUUUCAACUGUGACUUUUGUUUUGGGAAAAGCCAGAAGUCACAUGGUGCCAAAUCUUUCAACAGAUUCUCGACCAUCUUUGAAAUAUUUGUACCACACUUUAUUUGUGCUGCACUCAUUGCAUUGUCCCAAAAGCCUUCUGAAUCAUCCAAAUAGUUUCUGUGGAGGAAUGUUCAAGCUUAACGUAAAAUUUGAUGCAGAUCCGUUGCUCUACUCGCUCAGUCAUUUUGAAUGUGACGGCUACACAGUGCACAUGCUCACCCAAUGGCGUCAAAUGCCCCCACUGACUAGUACAGUGAAGUUUUCAUUGUUCAUGCAUGACCAUUCCAAUACACUCUCCUUUGCUGCCAGGUUACAUCAAUGCCACACAAACCAUUCUCAUUAUAUUAACAAUGGCUGGAUUUUUUCAUGGCAGACUUCACAUAAUAUAGUAUUUAUCAAUUUUAUGUCUUCAAUGUUAAGAGAAUUCCCUCAGAUGCCUACUCUCAGACUCUAUACCACAUCUUUUAGACUUUACAAUUAAAUAAAUAUACAAUAAUAUAAAUACACAAAAGUGUGGACUGAUAAUAUUAUAUAAAAAUGCUAAUGUAUUGUAUUUACCUUUAAAAUAUGAAAAAUCAUCACAUCACAUAUAUCACCAGUCCAUUACAAAACAGAACUAAAACAGCGACUUUUUUAGAGAUCCCAAUGGUCUGAAAUUACACACAAAUAACAUUUUUUAAAUAACUAAGGCAAAUAAAAACACAGCAUAUAUUUACAUGAAAAACAUGAAUUUCAAUAGUGGUCCUAUUCUGUUCUAUAUUGUUUGACAAACAAUCAAGCUCUCAGAUGAUUGAUAGUAAAGAAUAAGAUAAACAGCCAUUUUUCUGUACACAGAUAAUUAAAAAAACUAAAUUGUUCAAAUAAUCUGUUCCUUUGAAUGAGACUAUUAAUUCUGCAUAGUUGAGAUAGCUAUCUAAAAUUGAACUAUUUGUAUAAAGGAGGGAAUAUGAGGAGUCCACCAAUCUAUCAUAGCAUACAUACAGUAGUAGAGAUGUUUGACAACAACAACCCAAUAGACCUUUACUUUGGACAGCUCCAACUACUUUUUGGUCUGCCAAAUAAACUCAUUAAAUAUGAUGAAUUAUAUUGUUACUCCAAGACCAGAACGUAAAUAAUGCUCUUCUUCUUCUGAAGUUGCAAAUGUCACGCUCUUAGUAACACCUUUAUCCUGCAAGUCCUUGAAUAUCUGAUGCUUUAUGUCAGUGUUCUUAGCCCAUGAAUUGAUCCUCUAAGUCUGAGCUCAUUUGUAUCCCACACUGUGCUUAGGACAGCUGUUUUUUUUCAUUUGUCUUUGUCAUCAAUUGUUUUGCAAAUUUUAACUUAAAAUUUAAGUUCUUGUAAUGAUUAUUUUUUUAAUUUUAUUUUGGUUAGGAUAUUCUUUUUGGUCAGCAGGUAGAUUUAAUUCCAGAUUCUAAAAUAACAUGGAUUUGUUCCUGCUCUUUUUAAAAGUUUACAUUGCUGUUUAUUGUGACAGUAAUAUAGUUUUUUGUGGUCUUUAAGUACUCCUUCUAGAACUCCUCCAGCUUGACCAGUUUUAUUUAGCAUGUCUGCAUAACUAGUGUAUUUAAGUAAUGUCCAUAUACACAAUCCACAUGUCUGGUGAUCAUCACUUGUCUAGAGGACUCACAAACUACCUUAUUUUAAAAGAUUUGUUUCCUAUAUUUAAACAAAGGUUAUCAUGGCUAGUGUGACAAACUCUCCUUUUCAAGUGAGUUUGCCAUGGGUUCUUGGAGGGGACUACUUGCCAGCCUUUUACCCUGUGACUAUGGCCUCUGCAAUAGAACUGGCAAAUAUACUUCAAUCAGGCUCUGUUCAAACAGAGACCACCCUGGAGCUUGUUAAACACCUGUUAACAACUUGGAACGUUUCUCACCACAGUGUUAAUUGUGUGGGUGGCCGCGAUUCCUAUGAACAACCACGAGGUGGCGGCCAUCUUGUUUGCAUGAACGCAGGCAGCGGUGUUUGGGCAUGAAUCGGAUACAGAAACUCCCGAACACCGCUGAACUUCCAUCAUCACCUGCCUUAGUUUCUAUUCAGCUUAGAAUGGCACUGUUCGGUGAGAUCAUUUGUCUAGAUGAAGGGAACAAGCUCCAGGGUAAGACUAUUGACUCCGUUCGGUAGUUUGUUUGUUUGCAAACUACAGAACUAGACCAGCUGCAAGCCCUGAUUCUCUGGAACUGUUUUGGGCAUGAAACCAUGCGUGUGGUUGGUCAAAAAGAGACUUCCAGGUAUUUCCUGAACCCCUGCUCUGAUCUGGGUGAUAUUUGAAUAUGUUGUUCAUCCAGAUCAGGGCUAUCAGGGGAUGUGACUGGAUAUGGGGAUAUGUUGUAUUUGGGGUACUUAUUAGACUUUAUACAAUUAUGUGUUUUUUUCUGUCUAGGGAUAAAUAAGUUAUUGUAUUUUCUACCUUAAUUGUAUCACAGGCAGAGGGGAGGGAUUGUGUACUGUAUGUGGGAGUGCUGUUCAUUGUUACAUUGUUUUGAUUGGCUUGUAUACUUUGUGUCCUGUGCCCAACAAGGUCCACCUGGGCGUCAACCUUGUUGGGAACCUUGUAUAAAAUGCAGUGUGCCUACAUUAAACUGCUAUUCCAGCUUACACUCCAAAACUGUGUGUCAUCCUGUUAUUGGAGGGAAAGAAGAUUUGCUCCUGUGUCUGCUGUUCCAGCUUGCAGGAGAUUCAAUGGGGAAAGUCCUUGUAAGGACUAGAGGUAAUUCCCCAUUCGGUUCCAGAGCUCCCAGGACUGAGUGUCGUCCAGUGCCCAGGGGUGUCAGAGCUAAUUCCCCAUUCGGCUCCAGGAAGGAGGUGGCAGUUCCAGGACCCCAGUCAAGCCACUGUUCCAGCUAGGAAGCGGUCUUUGGCGGAGAUAUCCAGUCGGGGUACCAGGUGAUCCGUUACAGCUAGCUAUAGAUCUAAAUGUAUGGAUUCUUUUUUUCAAUGAACUUGAAACAAAAUGCUUAUUUAAUUUCUUUAGAGCCAGAUGGUCAACAUUGCUAUGGUUAUCACCUGACUACAGUACUCCAAAUCUCUGUGUUUGUUAGUGUUUAUCAGUGUACUGCAAAAUAUAGAAAUAAUAUUUAAUAUUUUGCAGUACACUCGUUGGUCCAUUUUGUUUUGUCCUGUUGGUUAAUUUUCUUGAAUCUUUUUCAGCGGACGAAAUUAUGAGCCAAACCAACACAUGCAUGAAAUUCUGCCGUCUGGAAAAAAUGUUUUAUUUUCAGACGAAGUUGUUCAGUCGAAAAACAAUUAUUUUGCCAUGUAAUCUAAACAUCUAAUCUUAUUAUUUUUUAAAAAUCUUGUUUAGUCCAUUAGAAUGCACAUUUGGACCAAUACAAAUUUUAAAUAUAACAUGGGUAAUUUGUUAUUUGAAAUUUUGGGCUCCUGACAUGUAUCUCUCAGUAUGUACAUGUGGUCCAGCUUUAACCAGAAGGAUUACCACUAGCCAUCACCACUAGCCAUCACCACUAGCCAUCUAUAACAUUGCCUGGUUCUAGAUGAUUUCAAUAUCUAUUAUCUAUAGUACGAACUAAGAGAAAUAUAGGUAGGGCUAAUAAUGUAACCGACUACUUAUAUUAUGCCUCAGGUUAUCAUGUUUAUAUAAAUUUAUAAUCUACAACCUUUACAUCCUAUAUCAUUUUCACAGCUCAUUUCAGUCAUUUUAUCUUCCUAACUACCAAGCGGCUUGCAAACACUCCCAGAAUCGGGAAUAUUUUGGUGUUCUUGAAAGUAAUGUGUACAUGAUUUUUUUUUCUUUUCAGUAUGCAUAGAUAGCACAUAAUGUAAUGUAAACAAAAACUAAACAUGAUAUAAAAUAAUAUACCGUAUAUACUCGAGUAUAAGCCGACCCGAAUAUAAGCCGAGGCCCCUAAUUUUACCCCAAAAAACUGGGAAAACGUAUUGACUCGAGUAUAAGACUAGGGUGGGAAAUGCAGCAGCUACUGGUAAAUUUCUAAAUAAAAUUAGAUCCUAAAAAAAUUAUAUUAAUUGAAUAUUUAUUUACAGUGUGUGUAUAUGAUGAAUGCAGUGUGUGUAUGAGUGCAGUGUUUGUGUAUGAGUGCAGUGUUUGUGUAUGAGUGCGCAGUGUGUGUAUGAGUGCAGUGUGUGCAUAAAUGCAGUGUGUGUGUAUGAAUGCAGGGUGUGUGUAUGAAUGCAGGGUGUGUGCAUAAAUGCAGGGUGUGUGCAUAAAUGCAGUGUGUAUAUGAGUGCAGUGUGUAUAUGGAUGCAGUGUGUGUGAUGCAGUGUGUGUGAUGCAGUGUGUGUUUGUGUGGCAGAGCCUUGGUGGGGGGGUGGGCAUUUUUAUAAAAAAAAUUAAAAAAAAUAAUAUUAUUAUUUUAAUUUUUUUGUUAUAUUAUUUUUUUUUAAUUUUUUUUUAUUAUUAUUAUUUAUAUAUUAUUAAUUAAUAUUUUAAUUUUUUUGUUAUAUUAUUUUUUUUAUUAUUAUUAUUAUUAUUUAUAUAUUAUUAAUUAAUAUUAUUUUAAUUUUUUUGUUAUAUUAUUUUUUUUUAUUAUUAUUAUUUAUAUUUGUAUAUUAUUAAUCUAUUUAUUUUUCGUCCCCCCUCCCUGCUUGAUACAUGGCAGGGAGGGGGGCUGUCCUUCCCUGGUGGUCCAGUGGCAUUGGCAGUUCAGUGGGGGGAGGAAGGGGGCUGGCAGAGCUGUUACUUACCUCUCCUGCAGCUCCUGUCAGCUCUCUCCUCCUCCGCGCCGGUCCGUGCAGCUCCUCUGUCAGCUCACAUUGUAAGUCUCGCGAGAGCCGCACUAUGACCCCGCGGCUCUCGCGAGACUUACACUGGGAGCUGACCGAGGUGCUGCACGGACCGGCGCGGAGGAGGAGAGAGCUGCAGGAGAGGUAAGCGCUCGCUGCCAGCCCCCAGUCUGUAUUAUGGCAAUGUAAAUUGCCAUAAUACAGACUGACUCGAGUAUAAGCCGAGUUGGGGUUUUUCAGCACAAAAAAUGUGCUGAAAAACUCGGCUUAUACUCGAGUAUAUACGGUAGACUUUACACCCCACAUAUAAUUUUUUUGUCAAACCUCCUCACAAAUAUCUGCUCAUUUUUUUUUUUGGUGAGCCUCCUGAUUAUUUGAUUUAAAGUUUGUAUGUAUGUGUGUGUGGGGGUGUGGGGGGGGGGGUGGGGGGAGGACUCUAAUCAUCAUUCGCUGGUGGUCCAGUGAUUUCCCUGGUGGUCCUGUGUGCUGCCAGUAGGACCUGCACUCCAAAUGGGUGCAGACCCUUGUUAAUGACCCCUUUGGGUCUCUCAUUGGUUUGGAGCAUCUGAAGCCUGCACAGUGAACAUUGCAUAGGUGUGCAGAAACAACUGUAGACCUCUCCACCAACCUAUGCAGUUGCAGGAUGGCUCCACCAAGUCAGCACCAGAAUGGUAGCAUCAGCUUUAUUUGCAAGAAAAUAAUUAAAUUUUCAGUAGUUAAAAUUGUCUAUACACAAUUACAGGGUAUGACUGUGUACACUGUCAAAUGUGUAUACAUGAUUGGUGACAAGAUACCUGUGAAAAAAUAUUUUCUCAUCCUUGCUUCUCUCCUGGCAGGUCAUAAAAUCCAAUGCACAGAUACAAAAAUAACACACACAAAAACACUAUUUAGUAGAUACACUGCAAUGUUAACAUGUUUGCAUUUAAUUAUACAUUUUCUUUUCAUUGAGAGUAUAUCUAAAACAAUUUACAAAAACUGCAGAUCGUAUGCAGCAUUUGAAAACUCUAUCCUUCUUCCUCAGCUCAGACUUUCUGUGGCUGUAUAAUCACAGACUUCCCAAUAAGAAGACACAGCAAGGCAGGUGCUCUGGGCAGUUGUCUGUCUCUUGAGUUUAGAAGGUAACAGGACUAGUUGUCUGACUGAUGGCCAAGGGAGUUUGCAAGGAUACACUCUUCAUACAUUAUUUAUCCUUGCAAACUCCCUUGGCCAUCAGUCAGACAACUAGUCCUGUUACCUUCUAAACUCAAGAGACAGACAACUGCCCAGAGCACCUGCCUUGCUGUGUCUUCUUAUUGGGAAGUCUGUGAUUAAAAGUCCUUUUGGUAUGUGGUGUGUUCCUUUAACUAAAUUUAAUUAAAAUGUAAUUAUUUUCCAUUAUUAUUUAAAAUAAAAUGUUGCAAGCCUCUGUGGGUAUUUUUCUUGGUUUUUUUGCAUACAAUAUCUUUGGAGCCACAAUUCACAGAUCAAAUGCUAUGCUGGUAAUCAAAAGCCAGUGUGAGUUCAUGAAUACUGACAUCAUGAACAAGCACAGAACAUCUCAAAAUUGGACUCUGGGAUGGCUUCAGAGAUUCAAAUUGUACAGGGCCUUAGUAGGUAAGGACUGCUUCUGACCCAAGAGGGCAUAAAGCUCCACUGAGCAAAGGUAAGUCAGGAGAAGUGCUAAAAAGAUAAGACCAAUUUACUUAUGCACAAAGAGGCUAUAUUACAUGGAAUCUUUUAUUUUCAAUGAUAAUAAAAAUAAUGUCAAUUUUUUCUUAUAUAUGGCAGCGUAAAAUAGCAUCUGAAUUUGAAUUGUAGGCACACUAGCUAUAGACCUAAUAUUACCCUAGUCCUAACCUUAAAGGGACACUGUAGUUCACGUUGGACGUCCUCACCGACCUCCAGCGUCAGAUUUUCACCAUAGUAAAGCAUUGUUGCGCAUGCGCAUUAGGUCUCUCCCGCCGGCUGACAUUGGUGGGGGAGGAGUGUAGGCGGAGCCUGACCAAGCGCCAAGGAACAUCGGCGCUGGAUUCAGGUAAGUGGCUGAAGGGUUUUAAUGACUUCAGCCCUGUGGGAGGGAGAUUGUCACAUGAAAAUAUAUAAUAAAAUAUUUACAAAAAUGUGAGGGGUGUACUCACCUUUGUGAGAUACUUAUACAUAGAUAGAAACAUAGAAUGUGAUGGCAGAGAAGAACCAUUUGGCCCAUCUAGUCUGCCCAAUUUUCUAAAUACUUUCAUUAGUCCCUGGCCUUAUCCUAUAGUUAGGAUAGCCUUAUGCCUAUCCCACGCAUGCUUAAAUAUAUACAGUAUCUCAGAAAGGUGAGUACACCCCUCACAUUUUUGUAAAUAUUUUACAAAAUAUAUAUACAAUUACUUCAAUGAUACUAAGUGAAUGUAUGUCAUGCUUCAAAAAGAAUUAAUUAAACUACUGUGUUUCUUGUUUAAUUAAGUUGCAGUAAAUUAUGAUGUAUAGUUAAAAUAUGAUGGUGAAAUGCACUGGUACCUCUUUUAUGAUGUAAAAUGGCAUGAGGUGUAAAAUUGAUUUUUAUUUGGAAAGAGAUUCACUGAUACAGUACUUCAUUUGAACAGUAAGUCUGAUUAAAUGUAAAAUUAUAAAUUUCUACUCAUCCAUUGAUGACACCAUAGUAAGUGAGUGUAACAGAAUGUUGGCAUUAAAGGAACAUUAAAUGGUAAUAAGAUUAUAUAUACACUGCUAUAACAAGGUCACACUAGUCAUGUGGAAGGUUAUUUCUAGAAUUCACUUUCUCUGUAGUAUAACUAAUAAAAAAAUAUAUACAUUAACGCACGUGUUUAUUUUUAUUGAAGGUUGUUAAAUAUAAUUAUAUUACAUUUAAUGAUUUGGGGACUUUAAUUAAAUAAAUUAGGAAUUGAUUGGUAAGAAAUGUAGCACUUUUCAUUAUCGUCUAAUUGACAAUUUCUUCCAUGGGAAAAUGCAGAUGUUAUAUAAUAGAAAUAUAAACCUGUAAACUAAGAUUAAACAGACUUAACAAACACUGACUAUUUUAUUGAAAAGCUGGUUAACUUGAAAAUGGCUUCUUCAUAUGGUGUAGUUGGAGGUGCAUGCCUACUAUGUAUUUUAUGUAAAUUUUAGAGAAAAUCAUUUAGUACUAUUAAAGAAAGUUACAGCUUUAUUUAGGUAAUAACACUUUUUGAUUAAUUACUCCUGAUAGACAAUGAAAUAUGUUGUUUCAAUGCAGGUUUCUUCACAAAUCCUUCCAAAUGUCCAAACAAGCCUUAAACAGUUAUAAUGCAGCCUCAUAUAAUUAUCAGACACCAAAAACCCAGACAAAUAAAGACACAUUAAGUAAACCUUAUAAUGCAAAAGAUGGGUAAGGUAAUCAUUUUGGUCUGAUCAACCAUUUGUGCACACAAGGUCUAAAUGGUGUUUCUGUGUGUGUUUGUGUGAUAAAUGUGGAUGUGAAUGUGUGUUGUUGUGGAUGGCUUAUUGAUAUAGAUGUGAAAAGGCAAUUAAUAAUGUGUGCACAUGUGUGUGAACUGGAAUAUGUGGAUACAGAUAAUUGCUUAUGUAUGUUUGUGUCUUCGAAUAUAUUAAGUGAACAACAUGAGGAUGGUGUAAAUGGGAGUGUAGCAAGCAAGGAAAGGGAAUUGUUUUUGUAUUUGAGGUGGUACAAAGAGACUUGGUGUGAGUAGCUAGAUGUAUGGCCAGGGAAUUGGAAGUUUAUGAAAAAGGAAAUACUGACUUUGACUCCAAGAGAUUUAUUUAUCAAACCAAAUACAAAUGUGUAAAUUCUUAUUGCAUUCAUAAAAUAUAUCUCAAACAUAAACAGGAAAUCUUAUUUUACUGGGCCUCUUGGUAUAUGGUACUACUACAUCUGCAUUGACAGCUCCCUGCUUUGAGCAUAUCUAAGGCCGUAAUAUAAUCAAUGACCAGCGUCUAUCUCAUAUAUUAGUUUCCCCUUUUACAUUGCAUUACUGAAAUAAAUGAACUUUUGCAUGAUAUUCUAAUUUUUUGAGUAUCACCUGUAUAUACAAGAGAUAUUGUUAGAGAUUUUACUUAACACUGGCUUUAGCACGUCUGCUAUUACAGUGUAUUUGAGCAUUAGUACCAGUUUUGACAGGGAUGAAUUUCAUACGUCUUAUUGUUACCAAUUUGUGGGUGUCAUUAAAUGUUAAACAUACAAAUAAGUAGGUAAAGAAUAAAAAGGAGUGGGUGAUAUAGUAAGGUACAAAUCGACCCGCAAUAUACAAGUUGCACUCACAAGAACAUGGAUAAAUUCAAGCCCAUCAUCCUAAAUUUGGCGUAUGAGAUGAGUCUGCUCCAGAUUGUGGAUGAUCCUUUCAAACUUUCAGGAGAAAGUAGAAAAUGAAAAAUAGUGCAGAUAAUAGGUAUGAAAAAAGAAAUGUAUUAAGAUUGCACUAACAAGAUAGACUGGUGUACCCUGAUGCGAAUUCUCAGGGAAAUAUUGUUCCAGAGCCACCUUCAGCUCCUGUAUGAACGUGGGGUUUUGUAGGAGGGACUCAUUGAAUCUCUAUGGGCUUCUAUGUGUGGUGUCGUAGACGUCACCGGUGCAUGGUCGGAUCAUGUCACCCCCCAAUGCUCGCACUGCACAACCUGCUCUAGAACUAUUAAAAAAAAAAAAAACGUUGAUGCAGGAAUUGUGUACUGGAAAAUAGAAAGUAUAGCCCCUUUCUCCAAUGUGCUUAGCCCUCCAAACGUCGUAUAGGCGGUGUGUGUGUAAUAGUUUCAAUAUAGCUGCACUCUGUCAUUUGAGAUUCUGAAAUCUGGUGCCCCAAUGAGCUAAAGUGGAAUUUAUUGUAGGAUCAAAGACGUGGUUAAAGUCUCCACAUAUAACAGUAGUGCUCUGUUGUGUGGUGGACACCUUGGAUAGGAUUUUGUGUAAGAAAUUACGCUGUUGAACAUUAGGUGCAUAUAUGUUAACUAUAGUGUAAAUGAUCCCAUAGAAUUAAUCUAUGAGAAUCACAUAUCUCCCAUCUGGGUCUUGAUAGUGUGAAGUGGGUGUGAAUGCUUUAUUUUUGCCAAUUAAGAUAGAUGCUCCUUCCAUCUUGGAUUGUGAAGUGACAUUGGUAAGGGUAGUCUCUCAGGAGGAAUGUAGGGUGUUGGUCUGUUUUCAAAUGUGUCCCUUGGAGACAUAUUAUAUCCGCCUUGUGAGUUUUCAGUUCUCUAGUUAAGAGAUGUCUCUUGGUGGGGAUGUUUAGUCCCUUUGUGUUGCGUGAGAAAUUUUCAUGGAGAUUUAGUCACUUGAAGAGUUAGUAAGUUACUGCUUGACUACAUCAUAUAUCGGGUCACUGCAGCUCCCAGCUCUGUCGAGCACUGCAGGUUACCCAAAAAGACAAAAGUGGGUGAGUUAUUAAGAGGAGACAAGACUUUAGGAGUCCCCCACUCCUCACCUUGUAUCCAAUACCCAUCAGGAGAAGUCUCCAGGGAGGCAGAGCCUCUCCCCCCAUCCAGCAGGGAAAAAAACAAAGAAACAAGGACAGGGAUAUACAUUGGAACAUAAACAAGGGGUGUAGGGAUGUACAUUGUGAACUUGACUUCUGUAGAAAUCUAAAAUACGCUUUGUAACAUAUUUUGCACCGCAUAGCGAUGCUGUGGGGGUGGAGGCCUAUGGUCUCCAGGUUUUGUCCUAAGGAACAUUAUAGGUUGGCCCAAAUUGUAGGAAUAAUACAUCAGUGGACUCAUAUUCUAAGAGUAGGUACAUAUAAUAACUAAGAAAUAAGGGGGAAUCCAAAAACAGGGAGUACUUAUCAUGGCUAUUUGGGCUUUUGUUAGCCACUUAUUUAUAGUUCUAUAUAUAUGUGUAUGUUUUUUUCUUUUGUUUUGUAUUUUGUGCUUCCUCACUCCCUCCCAAUUCCCCAUCCCCCCCAUACCCAUAAUAUCAGACUCUCAGCAGGUGUCAGGUGAGACCACAGGUAAAGGAGUGAAGAUAGUCGCUUAUGGCCUUUACCAAUUGGCUCCUCUCGUGGUGCAUACAUUGGUGCUUGGAUAUGACCAAUUCACACAUGUUAAGAGGGACACCCUGUGGUUUUAAGUAGUCUCGCAAUCCACCCAGGGGGACGGACCAGUGGCAUUAUACCUGUAAUGGCAACCCCAGGCAUAAAAGGGGUUAACAGCCGUUUAGGAGAUAUUCCCUUCCAGAUACACAGGCAGCUACCAAAGACACCAAUCUGCCGAACAGGAAACCAUAUGAAUGCCGUAAACAGCUGAACUGGAACCGUACGAAUGCUGUAAACAGCCGAAUAGGAAAGAACAUAUGAAUAGGUUUACACUCCUAGCAGUCAAACUGGAACAGCAUACAAUAAAUCCCCCCAAGAACGAGACAAGGCUCUGUUUUGAGGGUCAAGCAGGAACAGACAGAGCUGUGGAUUUAUUGUUCUUAUAUACACAUUCUUAAACAUUAGUACCACCCACAGGGUUUUGUAAAACAACCAAUAAACACGUACAAUACACUCAGACACUCCCACACAAAAUCCUCCCCUCUGCCUGUGAUGGCAGAGAAAUACAGUUUUUCCACAUUAUUCAUAACUUUAAAAGUAUGCAUUACAUUCACAUUAAAUUUUCAGAAUCAGAAUACAAACAUAUGUCAAAAUCAUCCAAAUUGGUCCAGUGGUUCAAAAGAUAGAUCAAAGUCCUUUGUGACCAACUGAAGCAUGGCUUUUCUGCCCAAAACCAGUUCCACAGAGUCUUCUAUCCUGGAGAUAAUUGGGAAGUAAUCCAAUUAUCUAAAAGGACAGAGGCAAAACUCCAUUGAACACAUGGUAGCAAAAGACAAUAAAAUACAUAAAAAUAUAUAACUGUGCAGCUAUUGCAUAAAACAGGUACAUUCAACAUAUCCCUAGAUAGCUUAGAUCUGAGCACACAUUAUUACUGAAUGGCUCUCAGAUCACAUGCAUACAGUUCAACUGCCAUGGAGCCAAAGUCUUUCACAUAGUCUUUCGUUAUACGAAUGCUAUCUGAGGUGUCACUGUUCAAAUAGGGCAAGUACCGAAUCAAGCGUUUCAACAUGGGGCCAUAGUCUAAAGGCAGCAGGCGGGCAACCAGGCUCCUCCAGAUUGGUCUCGUCACAAUACCCAUCAAGAUACUAAGUGCAGUGUCUUCUUUGGCUGAUGUGACCCCUGAGGCAAGUGCCGUAUAGAGAGACAUGUUGAGGCAAAAACUCGGGAAGGCCGGAGGAGGUGAAGGUCACUUGCACAUCGCCUGUAAACUGUAUAUAUCUAAGGGGAGAGUUGUGGCACCCUUCCUCGCACAUUAAGCAAAGAGGUACAUCACAUGUGCCUUGAGCUCCGCAAUCAGCAUACAUUAUGUAUCCAAAAUUAACUUAUAUAGCUAAUUAAACUGAAGUGACUAAACAAUAUCAGUAUAACAAUAAAUUUAGAACCUGAAUCAAGGUAUCAGGCUGGAUCAGCUCUCGUGCCUGGGUUCUCAUUUUCGUAGAUUACGUCAUUCAGGAGUGAGUGUAUUCGUCGGAGACUUGGCGAUAAGAGAUUCCUCUUGAGCAAUGCCCUAUUCUCUCAGCACACAGAGUUCAUCUUCUGGCGUGGAGAGGAUGGUCAUCGUCCCGUUUUGUUGAAUCAACAGCUUUGUAGGGUAUCCCCACCUGUAUUGAAUGUGGCUGUCCCAGAGUCGUGCUCUGAUUGAUGAGAAAGCCCUCCGCUUCCUCAAUGUGUGAGCAGAGAUGUCAGCAAAGAUCAGGAUCCCCACGUAUGGCUGUGCAAGCUCCUUGGUGCGCCUACUUUCUUUCAGAAGUGCUUUCUUGAUAUGAUAAUAGUGCAGACGCACCAAUGUGUCUGGUGGGACCUCAGUUGGUAAUGAUUUAGGUUUCGGCACUCAGUGGAUACGAUCGAGUAGCAGCAUAUGUGUGCUGUAUGUCUGGGGCUAGGAGCCUGAACAUGCCAAUUACGUGAGCUUGUAGGUUAGUCAGCCCCACAUAUUCCUUGAUGCCAUGGAGGUGAAGACUGUUGCACCUCCCCCUAUCCUCUAUAUCCACCAGUUUACUUUUAUAUGUUUCCACUUGGGCCAUAAGAUCCUCCACUUUAGUAACUAGGUUGUUAUGAGCGUCGACAUAUUCCGCCAUCUUGUCCUCCAUCGCCAAUGUUCUUGUGCCCAGUUCUUGGACCUCUUUGCAAAUUCUUGAAUGGAGGUCUGCAAGGUAUGUUGUAUUUUGGCUGACAUCACGUCCAGCAUUGAUUUCAGCACGCUUUGAGUAAUCAGGAUGUCAGACUCUGGGGAUUCAGGCGUCUGUGGAACGUUGUUGUCAGCGCUAUUUUGAAAUUCUUUUCAUUGCACUGCGGGUCUCAAUAAGCCGGUUUAAACAGCAAAAAAAUUUGGCUUUUUCAGCUAUGUCAGCUUGCCGCUUGCUCUUAUACUGGAGGCUCUCUCCUCUGAGUCAGGCUGGUAGGGUCACUUCUAAUUUUUGGAAUUGGGCCUGGUACAGACGGAGCUAAGCUAGCAUGCGUCCGUUCCCUUCAAGCUCCAGGACACGCCCCCCCAGUUGUGACUUUUAAAAUACAUUAGUGUUAAUUAGAGAAACAAGAAAAUAAUUUGGCACAUAAUACUGUACAUUAACUAGAUUGCACAAUUAAUUAGAUAUUUGUCAGAGUUCUCUGCUAAAUAUCUUCUUAGCUUACAGAUUAUUGUAGUAAUUUGUACGCAGAUAUGUUGUCCUUUGAAAGAAACCUUUCAUUAAACACAGAGUUGAUUUUCGUUCAUUAAACAUAUGUAAAAACCUGUGAAUAUGUGUCUUGCUUUCUGUGUGUAAUGCGAAAUCAUUUGUUUUUGUAUUAUUUUCUGUAAUACAGUUUUAGUUUAUUUUUGCCAUUGAUUUAUAUAAUAAUAAACCGUUAAUUAUUAAGAAAUGUGUAAAAGUAGGACAUCGGAGUAAAUAGCAUUUUCAUUUCAAUAUAUUUAUAAAUUAAAAAAAUUCUUCUUCACCCAAUAUAUGAAGUAAAUGAUUCUGGUACUGAUUUACAGGCUAAAGCUAAAACAAGUUCAAAUAUAUAUAUAAAAAAAAAUCAAACUCUGUAUCUACAGAGUUAGAAAGUCUAGUGUGGAUAGAAAGAUAGACACAAAGUAUGUACAAGCUACGCCACAACAUAAACACAAAUCCCCCUAAAAAUAGUAUACCCCCUUUGUAUUUAUGAAGAGAAAGGUGGGUCCUUCAAUUACCACAAAAAUUAGUAAUACAGAAAGGGCCACAAGCAUUAUAUGUUCAAUCUCAAAUGAAAAUCUUCUAAGUAGCUAUAGUGUGUUAUUAUAGUCUCCUUAUGAUUUUAAAGCUAUCCCAUAUAUUGAAUCUCUCUAGGAUGUAGAUAAAUUGUCCUUAAUACUGCAAAUUAAUUUCCCUAUAGGAUUCCAAGGUUGAUUUGCUUAUUAAAUUAUUAUAAAAGGAGAUCAAGAUAUAGAUAUAGAUAUAUAUAUAUAUAUAUAUAUAUCUAUAUCUUGAUCUCAUUUCAUAAUAAUUUAAUAAGCAAUAAAUAAUAAAUUAUUAUGAAAGGAGAUCAAGAUAUAGAUAUAUAUAUAUAUAUAUAUAUAUAUAUAUAUAUAUAUAUCUAUAUCUUGAUCUCCUUUCAUAAUAAUUUAAUAAGCAAUAAUUUAAUAAGCAAAUCUAUCUAUCUAUAUAUAUAUAUAUAUGUGUAUAUAUAUAUGUGUGUGUGUAUAUAUAUAUAUAUAUAUAUAUAUAUAUAUAUAUAUGUGCUAUGUAUAUAUACUGCAUAUAUAUAUAUAUAUAUAUAUAUAUAUAUAUAUAUAUAUAUAUAUAUACAUAGCAGAAAUGACCACACUCAAAAAACUUUCUAGAAAUUUUCAAAUAAGAUUUUACUUUUAUUCAUUCCAUUUAAAAAGUCAGCAUGGCACCAGAUUUUAGAUACAUGAUGGCUCUUUUAGCCUGUUACAUUGUUUAAACUAUAUGACAAAUAAAUUUUUGCAACAUUCUGGUUUCUGUAUCCACUCUUAUUUUACCCUGUGCUUAAUCAUGUUUGUAGUUACUAGGUUACAAGGUAGAACACAAUCAUUCCAGUUGGAUUGUUACUAAGUAAGCCAUAGCCCCUCCCCCUUUUUUGGGCCUUGUACACAUGGACACCACACUAAGAGAUUAAUUUCUCUCUAAUGCAGGGUAAGCUGUCUCAUGGCUAGGUGAGUACACAAUUAAGGUAAAUUAAAUUAUUUUGAGGGAUUGUACGUAAUGAUCAACUAGGUAUCAAAGUACAUAAGGUACAGAUGUAAACAGAGGAAAUAUCUCAGUCUCCAGGUCUAAACCUGGGACGUACUCAAAAAACAGGAUACCUAUCCCUAAUCAAAUAACAUCACAGAUACCUCGGUCUCCAAGUAUAUUGCAUGGGAUCUACUGAACCAUAGGAUCCUAGUUAUUAACGCAGAGAGAACAUAGAGGAAAGUUCUGUGAAUACCUCAAUCUGCAGGCAUACACCUGGAACCUAUUUAAAUACAAGAGCCUAAUCCCUAAUGACAUGACAUCGCAGAUACCUCAGUCUCCAGGUGUAUAAUGUGGCGGCAGAUGAGAACCAUUCGGCCCAUCUAGUCUACCCAAUUUUCUAAAUACUUUAAUUAAUCCCUGGCCUUAUCUUGUAGCUAGGAUAGCCUUAUGCAUAUCUCAUGCAUGCCUAAACUCCUUUACUGUGUUAUCCUCUACCACUUCAGCUGGAAGGCUAUUCCAUGCAUCCACUACCCUCUCAGUAAAGUAAUACUUCCUGAUAUUAUUUUUAAAACUUUGCCCCUCUAAUUUAAGACUAUGUCCUCUUGUUGGGAAAAAAGAUAAAUAAACGCCCAAUGCACGUUUUGGUGCAGCAUUGUGCACCUUCUUCAGGGUUAUGCCCUAGGCCAGUGCUAGCUGGACAUAAGUGUGCUAACUGUAAGUAGCUUAAAUCAAGCAGUUAAAACAAGCAGUUUGGUACAAAGGUAUGGAGGAAGGUUGUGGAUAUUUCAUAAAUCCUGCCCUUUAUCAUCCUCAUGCAGCUACCUGUGCAUGGGCUAGAGGAAUAAAUUGAGGCCACUUGUGAGUCAUCACAGUUAAUCAUAGGAUCGUUUUUUAUAAUUGUUUUCUGAAGGAACCAAUGUUAUCUCCUGGUUGUUUUGUUUUUUGAGGGAGAACAUUUUUGUUUUACAUAAACUCCUCAUAUGUAUGUCAUCUGUGAUCAAUUUUAAUUUACAUAAGUUAAUAAUAUUUUGAAUAGCAAACAAUAAUUUAGUGAUGAUUUCCUGUGGGUAAGGAAUCACUAACUUCUCUGGAAUUUAUUUUCAUCUUGCAAUGAAAUUACUUUGACAUGGCUCCAUUCCAGUCCAUUGUUAUCUCUGCCAAUGGGCUGAGAAUAAAGGUAUUCCUCUCCCACAGACUAAAAUUAUAAGUUUGAAAUAACAAAUCUUUAUUCCUGCUUUCUACCAAAAAGGGGGAGACGUCACUGAUGUCAUUCUGUUCCACAAAAUCUGUCAAGGUUAUUUACUAAAACCUGUAUGGCCUUGUACCAAAUUUGUUAAACUCAUCCAGCUAUAUACUGGGCCAUUUGACUGCAAAAUCCAGACAUUUCUCAUAUUAGUCAAUGUGUGUGUUGCGCUAUUUAUGUGUGGGUGUGUGGGGAGGUUGUGGAGGGAGAUCACGAUCGACCUCCCUACCCCCACACCUAGCAAGUCUGAGACACUCUGGAUCACUAUAACACUUUAACUUGCUGACAUUAUUUAUGUGUGAACAGUGUGUCAUUGUUUUUGUUUUGUUUUUUACCAAUAUGUAUACCGCACUCUCCUGGAUCCAAGGGUGCAACCGGGCCAGAGGUUCCAAUCCUCACAAUGGGAUUUGCAAAAAAGUAAUGAUGGGCCAGGCACUCAAGUUCAAUCCAGUGGGCAGAUUUAUUGGAGCAAAAUCGAAACAAUCUUUUGGCCCACAACAGUUUUGUAAAUUUCCCUUGUUACAUCCCCCUGCUCUAUACUCAGACAGCCAAUCCUAUGAAUUACUUGUUUGGUUAGCUCAGUGGAGCUAAACUUAAAAGACAGACAAUUGCCUGUCAUCGAUCUGCAUUGGGAAGUCUGUGAUUAAAUAGCCACAAGAAAGUCUGGCCUGGGGCAAAGGGGAGAGCUUGCAAAUGCUUCAGGCUAGAUAUCUGUAGCUUUUACAAACUGCUUUUAAUUAUAACUUUAAUUAAAGUAAUGCAUUAUUAAAUGUAUGCAUAUAUUUAUUUGGGGUGUAUCUGCUUAACAGUGAUUUUUUUUUUUGAGGAUUAGGCUGUGGAAGGUCCCUUUAGUAAAAGAAAAAGGGAGGACAUCCUAAUGAAGGCCCUAAUCAUAAUAUUCAAGUGGGAGGACUAAUGAAAAUAAAAAAAUAAAAAAACAGAAAAAAAAGAUUUGCAAAAUAGAUGAAAAGAAAAUCCAAAAUAUGAUGCAAUAAAAAUAUCUACAGACUGAACUCACAUAUUGGAGAAAGUCCUUAUGAAGGCUUUUCUACAUGUCAGCUAUUACAUCGCAUGGGAAUAUCUCCCACGCAGUGCAAUAGCAGUAACAGCAUUGUCAUUGGUUGACUUGCACCAACCAAUCUGAGUGCAAUGACUGGCAUAUACACACAUUUUCGCACACACAUUCUUGCACACAUUAAUAUACACACAUUCUCACAUGCAUGCACACUUUCUAACAUACACAUUCACGCACACAUCCUUAAAUGUUUAACACAAAUAUAUUCUCGUAAACACAUAGAGAUUAUUUCUCACACACACACACAUGUACUCACACACACUUAUAUACACAUUCUAAAACACAUAUACAUUUAAUGUCACAGUAUUCCUUUAAAGUAAAACACAUUUGUUAUAAAAUAAACACUUCAGUUCAUUUUGUGUAUCUACAAAGAAAGAAAGAAAGAAAGUGAUCAUGUGUGAGCUACUUUUAUGAAAAAGCUGAAAUGUGUUAUACUGUAGUUGCUGUAAACAUAUUUCAUAGAUUCUUGGUAGAUAAGAAUCAUAUGCCUUAUACAACUGAACAGCCAUAAAACAGCAAAUAGAACUACAAAGAGCAAUAUUUAUCCAUGCUGCCAAGAAGCUGUCAAGAGGAAUGCUGCUACAAGCAUCAUUAGUGCUGCCAUUAUAUAUGUGUGUCAUUCUUUCCAAACUCCUUGAUGGAUGAAACAUCCCCACUCACAAGCUUUAAUAAGUGAUAUAGAAUUCAAAGAUCAGCAAGUUACAAAGACAGACCUGGCAGCACGCAAACAAUAUAGGCUCAAACUAUUGUGACAAAAUACAUAUGCCAUAGAGCUCUGAUGCUGCAUGUUAUUUUGUAAACUAAAAAGACACGCUUCCCGUUUCUUCUAUGAAGACACUAUGUACAUAAUACUAUUAAGUGGAUUUACUGAUUUUGACUUUCUAAUACUUAUGCUCUCUAUAAUUCAGUCAUGUCAAAAGUUCUUGAUCCGGGAAUAUGAUCUAAAGAAAACACAUAAUUGAACUAAAGCAUCAAAGCUUGUUUUUGUUUAAAUUUUCCUCAUCUAUGUCCCCGCUUCCUUGUGUGUUAAUUCACUGUCCACGUUCUUUUUCAUAUGUUUCCCCUCCUUUCAUUCCUGCAUUUUAGCUCUCCAUAAUAGUUUAUGUUCCUUCCAUUAUAAACAAUUUUUUCCAAGACAUCCAGACCCAGUCUAUAGGCUUCUAUUAUGUAGCUUGCUUGCUCUUUAGCAUCUCUUUGCUGUAAUUUAUUUGCAUGAACAAUUAUAUCAGUCUGAAACGACUGAGUAAUUAAGGGGUAUCUCAAACAGCCUUUAUGUCCCUUUCUUGCUAAAGUGUCAGAAUUAAUUCUAGGUAUUUUCCUCUCCAGAUAUAGUUUGUAAAACAACUCAGUAUUAUGUUUAACAAAUGUUUAGAGAUAGAGAGGGGAAGCAUAUGGAACAUGUAUGUCCAUUUUGGUAAAAUUCAUGCCCUUACAGCAUUUAUUCUGCCCCACCAGGAGAUCUCAUAAUUUCUCAUUCUUUUAUGGAGGAAUUGGUCUCUUUCAAAAAUCUUAAAAAGUUAGCUUCCAUAAUCCGUCUGGGAUCUGCUGUUAUUAUAACGCCCAGAUAUUUAAACUUCUUGUCUGUCCAUCUGAAAUCAUACUUUUUUUUCAAAGAUUGUAAAUUACUACUUUUCAUGUUAGUAGUGAGAGCUAUAGUUUUGUUCAUAUUUUAUCUAUAAUUGGAAACUAGACUAUAGUUAGAAAAUUUCUCCAUUAAGUUAGCCAGGGAGUUGUCCAGGUUAGUGAUCGAGACUAGUAUGUCGUCUACAUAAAGGCAGAUCUUAAAAUCGUUACCAGGCACUUCUACUCCCUUGAUCAGGGGAUUAUAUCUAAUUCUGCUAGCCUGGGGUUCUAUUGAUAAAACAUACAAUAGUAGGGACAGCGGGCAACCCUGCCUAGUACCAUUUGAAAUGUUAAACCAAUCCGAGCAUAAAUCUCGGCCCACUAUCCUAGCUGAAGCAACUGAAUAUAGGGUGCCCACUGCCCCCUCAAUACCAUAAUGAAUCAAAACACCUAUUAAAAAUCCCCAACCGACCCUGUCAAAGGCCUUCUCUGCAUCCACCGACAGGGUCAGAAGGGGAGUACCAGAGCAUUGUGUCCAGUCCAAUAUAUCUAUCACUCUUCGUGUAUUAUUAUAAGACUGCCUACCUAACAUAAACCCAAUCUGAUCUGAAUUAUCGAAGGUAAUAUUUUUUUCAAUCUUUCAGCUAUUACUGCAGUGUAUAAUUUAACAUCAACGUUUACUAAGGAAAUCGGGCGAUAGUUGGUUAUAUCAGUAGGUGGCUUUCCUGAUUUAAGGAUAGGCAUUAUAUGAGCUCUUAAAAGAUCUGGUGAAGCUAGUCCCUUACCCGCUAUCUCAUUAAAAGCGGCUGUUAGGUGUGGCAGAAUACUUUUUAAAACACUUUAAAGAAAAGAUUAGAAUAGUCAUCUGGCCCUGGAGCUUUUCAGUUUUCUAAUUUAUUUAUUACAAAUUCUACUUCUUCCAAAGAUAUAGCUUUAUUUAAUGUUUCCUUCUGUGUAAUCGAAGUUUUAGGGAUAAAUGUGUCUUUUAGAUAUUUUUCUAUCAUAUUUGAUGUAGGCGGAUAUUUCAAAUUAUACAAAUGAUCGUAAUAAUCCCUGAAUCUAUUAGCUAUCUCCUCAGGUUUUAAGAUAUCCUUACCUUCUUCCGCUAGUUUGACAUUUUUUCUUCUAAAUUGUGUUUCUUUAAUUUAUUUGUCAACAUUGCAUCAACACUGUUAUUUUUGUAAUAAAAUCUUGUAUUAAGCUUAUGUAGGUUCCAUUCUAUUCUCUCUGUUAUCUUUUUGUUAAUCUUGUGUUGGUAUUCUUUAAUUCGAUUAGCUCUCUCUUCUAAAUAGUCGAUUUUGUUGACAGUUGAAAGAUCAUAAAAUUCGAUAUAUAAAUCGGCCAGAUUCAUAUCUCUAUUUCUUUUCUGUUGACUCGCUAACUUGAUCCACUAUCCUCUUAUAACUACCUUAAAUGCGCACCAUAAGCAUUCAUUAGACAAGUUAACUCAGGUAUUUUCAGCAAAAAAUAAUUCCUAUAAAGUCUUUAUAUGCACUUUAUUCAACUUAAUUUUCAAGAGUGCAUCAUCUAGUCUCCAAAGUGGUGGCAACUUUUUUUGAAUAUCUGUUACAUCCGCUACCAGUAGGUCGUAAUCUGAUCAAGUAUUCUCUUUGAUUAUAAUUAAUUGUAAUGCUCUUAUUAAAUUUAAAGCUCCCAUCGUCAUAUCAAUUCUUGCUGCAGAUUUAUGAGGGAUAGAUCUAUGUGUAAAAUGUUUCUCAUUUGGGUGUGCUAGUCUCCAGCAAUCAAACAACUCAUAUUUCUUAUUUAAUCUAUUUAACGCCGCUGCCUGUUUAGUUAUAUGCUUGUCAAUCUGUUGCGAUGGGCCCAACUGGUUAUCCAUAACGGAGUCCAGAAUACAGUUAAAACCUCUUGCGAUCACCACUCUCACUUUUUUUAACUGUUUCUACGAGUUUUAAGAUUUUUGACAUCGUUUUAAUCGGGUAUCUUUUGGAUAGAUAAAUAUUCACCAAUGUAUAAUCCAUUCCAUUUAUCUGUCCUACUAGAAUGAUAAACCUCCCUUCUGGGUCCAAUUUAUUAUAUUGAAAGAUAAAAUUAAUCCCAUUCGAAAAGAUAAUCGAGACCCCACAUUUCUUUUUUCCCCGUCAAUGAGGCCGAAUAAAUUAAAGGAAAUUUCUGAUAAUUCCACAGUUGUCUAGCUUCUACUAUCCAGUGGGUUUCCUGAAUAAAACACAACUGUGCUUUCUCUCUUAUUAAUGUGUCAUACAGAAAGCCUCUUUUUAUAUAAGAAUUAAGACCCUGAGCGUUAACGGAUAUUACUCUAACCAUACCCAAAAGUACCUCUUGUUGGGGUCCAAGACCAUGAAAAUAAUACAAAUACUAAAAACAAAACUGCACAUAAAUAAAAAAUCCACAACAAAUCAUUCUCAUCCAUACCAAUUCGAACACUUGGUAAUCCUUAGACUCCUAGCUCUGGGUACUCUACAGGGUACCCACAGGUAGGGGAUUUAUGUCUCGAAGAAUGGGGAAACAACAACCAUAAAUAUUCAUUUUCUGAAUUAUCUAAAAAUAUGCAAUAGCAGCUGAAUAGAGGGAAAAAAAAAACAUUCUUAAACUUCUAUACUUGUUUUUACUCUAUUUGGAUUAUCCAUUAGGUCUCGUCAGAACUACUCUGUAAUAGAAAAUUAUCUUUGGAACUCAGACCUUUUCUCACUCCCCCAUAUUUGGACUGAUAUCUAGUAAGGAUACUGAAUUUUACAGCUCUCUUAAACAGACUAAUUUACUUUUGACAAUCAUUUUUACUUGUAUAUUUGCUUUGCUUCCUGGAUGACCACACACGAGUGUACCCGCCAGACUGUGCUUUAUUACUAAGGACAAUAGAACUUUUUAAUUUUGAUAUUUAUCAUUUAUAUUUAUGCUCUUCUGCUCCAAGUUAGUGUAAAUUGUUUAUAAUUCCUUAAGGGUGCAUUAUCUUCCUCUUUUAAUGUAAUUUAUAUCUGUCUUUGUAAAAUUAUCAUUAUUUUGUUUCUUUUUCAUGGAUCCAUCUUGUCACUUGAACAUUUUUUUCAAUCUGUUUUGAGGAAACAAUGUUCUACAGUAAAAGGGUAUGUGAAGUAUUUCCAAGUAAAUAUUUCAACCAGCGUCUGUAAAAUUAUCAUAAUUUAUGCUCACUUCACCUUACUUUGGACGGAAAACUCUUUUCUGUCUGCUUUGUUUCCAUCUGUUUUGGGUAAAUACACAUUCUUUCUAUGCAAGAAAAUGGCUGUGAUCAUUUUGAUCUUAUUUUUUAUUUAUUUUUUCAAAAGAGCUACUUUAUAAUUAUUUUAAAAUAAGCAGUGGCUUGUAAAAAAAAUUUUUAAAAAAGAAAACCCUAUAUAAUAUUUUAUAUUUAAUUAUAUAUCUAAUUUUCUAAGGUGACUCAGAAAAGAAGGGAAGUUAAUAGUAAUUUUAAAAAUCACUAAGAUAUGUUUUUUUUUUCUGAGCUAUGAAUAUAAGACCCUUUAAGCCUUUUGUUAGCCUUAAAUCCCACUGAUGGUUCUAUGGGACUGAUGAUUUAAUAAUAAAUGGAUCAGUUUGAUCUACUACUUUUAAUUAAAUUCAGAGAAAGUACAGUAUGCUAGUCCAGAGACUUUGUAAAUAUUAUUUGCUUUAAAAGUUUGUUCUUUUCCACUUUAAUGAGUUUCCUUUUUUCUCUUGUUCCCAUCUUCUAGAAUUACAGUCAUUGGAUGUAUCUUUAUGCUAUGUUCUUUUUAGCCCUAAGAGCACAGUCAGGUAAUGAAAAUGACAGGCUUUAAAAAAGAAAGUAUAGAAUAAUGGAUGGUAAAUAAAAAGAGUUACAUUGCUACAACCACUAAAGGUUACUUCACAUAUUUAUUUGCCAUCUGGCAUUCCAACCUCUAGUGCAUACAGUAGAUACAACAAUGCCUUAUGCCUCAUUAGGCUAUACUGGAUCUGAUUAUUGGGCUGUUACAGAACACCUGCCAUGUCUCAUUACAUUAUCAACUAUUCUUAUAAAAAGUCACCUGCUAUUAUAUUUUAUCAUUUUUAAUUUCUGGUACUAGCAAUUUAAUUUAAAAAUGAGUCAAAUUCAGUCUUCGGUCAACACUUAUCCAUACUUACUAAUACACAUACAUGGAGACAUGCGUGCACACAAAGACACACCCAUACAAUUAUACACCUACAUUUAUGUGUAAUUGUGUUUAUUUUUGUUCAAUAAAGCAAGUUCUAAGCAAGACUUUUUCUAAAACAUGUUUUAAUUAGAACAAGUAGGUUCCAAUAAAAAAAAAGAAAAAAAAAAGAAAACAAGGAUAACAGACAAUAUAAAAUUGCUCGUAGAAGAUGAGUGAAAAGAAGAAUGAGAUGUACAGAAAUUAAAACAUUAUUACAUGUCAUAAAUUGCAUCACUUAAUCAAAUAAAGUAUACUUGUGCAGGGUGAACAUUUGUAAUUCUUUUGAACAAAACUUUCAGAAUAGUGAAUUUCUUUAGUACCUUCAAUGUUCACAAAAAUGUUAGUUAAUCUGGAAAUAGAUUUUAAAAAAACAGUAUUGGCUGAACCAAAUGUAGUUUGGGGGUUAAUCAUGUGGUGGCUAACCAGUGAUCCCCCCCCCUUUUUUUUUUAAAUAAAAGCCCUUAUCUGAUGUCCACAGGUAGAAGCAGGGGGUGUACAUUACUAACAGCUGAGCAGCACUAGCUGCCCAGUCAUUAGUCUUUUAUUGAAGCGAGCAGCUACUGGUUGCAUGCUGUUCAGCAGACAUGCCCCAACUUGUAGCAUGGCCAGUGGGAAAUGGGGGAGGUAUAUAACCUACUUUGUACUAUUCGGGAGACAGAGUAACCCCAUAAGCAGUGUUUAACUAUUAACCUACUAGCUGCUAGCACUGUCAGUGGGCAAAUCAUUAUCCAUAAUCUAAGACCAACCAGCCAUUGAGCAUUUUGUUAGUUUAGCUGUUUAUUUUUGAGUUUUUUUUUUUUGGUAGAAUCACUGAUUGAUUUUCCGAGUACAAAUUCUCCAAACCUACAUCAGUUGAAAAGGUUUAAGCAAGGUCUGAAAAUACAAAUGUCACUCCACCAAUAACAACAAUAACAACUGUCUGUUUUUUCUGUUUUUUUUUUUUUAAAUUAACCCUUUGGGAAAAUAAUGACUAAAGACAAGAUCCAAAUAAGUUAAGUGGGCAGAGUGGACAUAGUCAAAGUCAACAAAUAACAAGGUUAAGACUUAAUGAUACAUCUGUAGUAAAUGCUUAUUAGAUGUUGAAGGUUUUGUUGAUAACGCUGAACUAAGGUUGGAGCAAUAGCAGUGUAUAAUUUCUCUUAGAGAUAUUUCUGUUUUUCCUACGUAAUUCAUCCCACAAAGGCAAUGGAUAUAAUAAUUCUGAGUGAGUAUGGUAAAAUAAUUUUGUGGUGAUAAGCAACACAAUCACUGUAUCCUACAGAGCAUGUAUUGAUUAUUUAACCUUGAAGUAUAAUGUCUCGCUUCAAACAGAUAAAUCCUUCAAGUUUGUAUGGUUGCGGUUGUAAAGUAUGGAUGGUAUUUGAAAGCUUUUGAGUAAAGUUGCAUCUUUCCAAAACUACUCCAGUUUGGAGCAGGUUGUGAAUCCUAGUACUGAAUGAUGGACUAUGUCAGGACUGUUACAUUCUCUAUGUGGUCACGAUGAUAACAAUUAGUGCUGAAGUAUUACCUUGUGUUAGUACUGUCGCCCAGAUAACACUAGGACUCUUGGAUAUGGAUUUCAAUGAACAUAUAUUCAGCCUCAAGCAGAUUUCCUCUUCACUAAAUUAUCCCUCAUUAAAAACUCAAAAUGGUUUGCUUUCACCUGUCAUAGAGACCUAGACAUUCCAAAGAGUGUGUCCAGUUGUUCUUAAAACUGCAGUAUUCUCAACAAAACCAGUCUACAUAGCGGCAAAGAAUGUUUGGCAAAUCUCUUGCAAGUCGCAAAUCUCCUAUUGCUACUGUAGAACUUACUAGAAGAAUAAAAGAGCACUCACAUACACAUGAAAAAACAACUAACAAUAUAAAUUAAUUAAUUAACGAAGAUAAUACUAUGUUAGGAAACUGUAGAACAAACGGGCAGAGCCACCUGGACUCCAUACUGGCCAUGUGUUAUUUCAAUAUCACCUCAAUAACAGCCGCAGUAUUUCAUACCAAGAUGAUGGCUAUAAAACUUCAUACACAUGUCUUGUCUUCCAAAACUGUAUGUUUCACUAUUACCACCUGCUUAUGUAAAACAAUACGGGCAAUACAUUUUACACUGACACGGUUAUUUACUAAAGUGAGAAUUCAAAAGGAAUUUCAAAUUUAAGGCCAAAACUGCUAACUUGGAAUUCUCUAAGUAAUCUAUGCUUCCAGUUUGGCAACUUUGUCCUAAAAUUUGAAAUUCUCUUUGAAUUCACUUUGACUGAUGAUUAGUGAAUAAACCAUGCGAAUUUUGCAACUAGCAAUACCAUAAGCCAACAGAAAAAACAACAAGGUAGCAAUUUAACAUGGCAAUUUCAAACUACAAAGAAAAGUACAAAUUGCGGCAGUGCUUAACUAUACUUUAGAUAAUUGAUGUAAUGUCAUAUAGGUAACAUGCAUGUAUCAUACAAAAGCAUAUACAUUCUUCCAAAAUCCCUAAGUCACAUAGUCAAAUCAGAAUGCUGCCAAACAUCCUUUUAUAAUCACUUGAGCGUGUUUCUGUUUCACAGAAUACAUGCUUAUAAAUUAAAAGUAUAUUUUUAUAAGUAAAUGUGGAAAAAUAAAAUUUCCAUGGAUAUAUUUUAUUCUUUGAGAUUCUGUUUUUUUCUUUUUCUUGUCUUUAAUGCCAUUUCAUUUGUCUUGGCACUUGACAUUUCUCCUUAGUGAUUUAAUAAUAUGGAUACAUUUUUGGACUGCUUGAAGCCACUGUUUGUAAACAGCUGCAUACAUGCUUUUCACAAAUGACAAGGCAAAGAAUUACACAUAUUGUUAAAAAAGCAAUCCUUCUGCUUCUUGAGAUUUGUAGGCAUAUUUGCAAAGUGUCAAAGAGCAUGCCGUGAAGAUGGAUUUUCGUAAGACUUUGGACAAGGUUUGAACAAAGAAAAACAAAGGCAGUAAUAUUUUGCUGUGUUUACUGUUAACGUUGGAUAGAAUUUCUAUUUCACUUUAAAUUAGAAGACUAAUCAAGAAAGUGCCUACUGUGUUUGUUCUGUGGUCAUAAUAUUUAUCAAGCCAUACUUUUCACUCUAUCAUUGUUUAGUCUAUUUAAUAUUUACAAACUAUUCCUGGGUGCUUUAAAUGGUUUAGAAAUAUUUCAAUCACACAACUGUUAUUUAAAAAUCUAAUUAAAAAAACACAUAAGCAAACUAGUAACAAUGACAUAUCAAAGUACACCAAAGUUUAGUAUUCUUUUUGUUUAAUUUUUUUCAAAUGAGGUUGAAAUAUUGAUACAGUGAACAGUCAGUACAUUAUGAUACGUUUCAUACAUUUAAAAAAAAAAAAAACCUUAAGAUUAUUAUAAACUUAUCUUAAGGCACAUAAACAUUAACAUUGGUUUAAAUCAGGCUAAUUUUACUUGUACUGGGAGCAGAAAAGAAUGUGUUAGUUAUGGAGGUCGUAUGAGCCGAGCUUAGAGACUGCUAGAGGGAUUGAUCGAUGCAAAGGAAAUUUGAAUAGAUAUAUUUUCAGGGCUCACAGUAAAAAUCAACAAAAACUCACUGAAACUCAAAAUAAGAACAGUUAAGCAGAGGGAAGCCAUUAAAAAGCCUUAUUCUUUUCAGGCCUGUGAACCCUUUUUUCUAGACAGGUCCUUAUUAGUAGAGGCGGGAUGUAAGAAUUAGCAGACAAAGGAAGAUGUAAGCAUGUAAAGUGGGAAAAAAAGGACUCACUCUUUACACAUAAAGCAUAUCAGCAAGUUAAAGUGCUUCAGGAGUCCCAAGUGUCCCUUUAAAGUUCAAUGAACCCCAUAAGAACGGAGGCAAUUGUGUAAGAUCUGAUCAAACAAAACCUGGAAUUUGAACUAUAUGUCUGUUCAACUAUAAUUCACCUCUUUCAUUUUUCAUAUUAAGUGCACCUACAAAUAUUAUAAAUCAUUUUAUUCAGGAGAAAUAGGGCUUUUAUUAGAAACAUAGAAUGUGACAGUGUCACAUAUUCAUCGCACAAAAAAAUGUGGCUAAUGGCACUUACUGUCCUGACAGGAAAAGUUGUUCCAAGCAACAUUACUGAUCUGACAGGAAAAGUUGUGCCGAGCAACAUUCCUGUCCUGACAGGAAAAGUUGUGCCGAGCAGCAAUCAAAUCCACAGGAGGGUUUGUGCUGAGUAGCAAUCAUGCAAAUGGAAACCUGGUAAUUUCCUUUGGGGUCUUCUGUGUUCCUCACCUUGGCAAGUAUUUUGACUAGUCUUGGAGACAUUAAGUCGGUUAUACGUUAUCCUUAGUCCUAGGUGUGACACAGUAUUGCGUGCUGGAUCAACUUGUAAUCCUGACAGAUGGCAGAUAAGAACCAUUCGGCCCAUCUAGGCUGCCCAAUUUUUGAAAUACUUUUAAUUAGUCCCUGGCCUUAUCUUAAGUCUAGAAUAGCCUUAUGCCUAUCCCAUGCAUGCUUAAACUCCUUCACUGUGUAAACCUCUUCCACUUUAGCUGGUAGGCUAUUCCGUGCAUCCACUACCCUCUCAGUAAAAUAAUACUUCCUGAUAUUAUCUUUAAACCUUUGCCCCUCUAAUUUAAGACUAUAUCCUCUUAUUGUGGUAGUAUUUCUUCUUUUAAAUAUUGUCUCCUCCUUUACUGUGUUGAUUCCCUUUAUGUGUUUAAAUGCUUCUAUCAUAUCCCCCCUGUCUCGUCUUUCCUCCAAGCUAUACAUGUUCAGAUCCUUUGACCUUUCCUGGUAAGUUUAUCCUGAAAUCCAUGAAUCAGUUUAGUUGCCCUUCUCUUUCUUAAGUAUCAAUAUCCUUUUGAAGAUACGGUCUCCAGUACUGCGUACAAUACUCCAAAUGAGGUAUCACAAGUGUUCUGUACCAUGGCAUGAACACUUAUUUCUACUGCUAAUGCUUCUCUCUAUACAACCAAGCAUUCUGCUAGCAUUUCCUGCUGCUCUAUUACAUUGUCUUCCAACCUUUAAAUCAUCUGAAAUAAUUCCUUCCAAAUUCCUUUCCUCAGAUGUUGAUGUUAGUAGGGUAUCAAAUAUUCUUUACUAUACCCUUGUGGUUUUACAUCCAAGAUGCAUUAUCUUGCACUUAUCCACACUAAAUGUCAGUUGUCACAUCUCUUACCAUUUUUCUAAUUUAUCUAAAUCAUUUGCCAUUUGGCUUAUCCCUCUUGGAACAUCAACCCUGUUACAUAUCUUAGUAUCAUCAGCAAAAAGACAUUUAAGACCUUCUGCAAUAUCAUUAAUAAAAAUAUUAAAGAGAAUGGGUCCAUGUACAGAUCCCUGAGGUACCCCACUGGUACCUAGACCUUGCUUUGAAUAUACUCCAUUGACUACAACCCUCUGUUGCCUGUCAUUUAGCCACUGCCUAACCCAUACAACAAUAUUGGAAUCCAAACUUAAAGAUUGCAGUUUAUUGAUGAGCCUUAUAUAUGCAACAGUGUCAAAAGCCUUAUUUGAAUCUAAGUAAGCAAUGUCUACGGCUCCACCCGGAUCUAUUAUUCUAGUUACCCAAUCAAAAAAAUCAAUAAGAUUAGUUUGGCAUGAUCUCCCUGAAGUAAACCAAUGUUGUCUCUGAUCUUGAAAUCUAUGUGAUUUUAGAUGUUCAACAAUACUAUCCUUUAACAUGGUUUCCAUUACUUUCCCCACUACUGAAGUAAGGCUUACUGGCCUAUAGCUGGACUCCUCCCGACUACCUUUCUUGUGAAUGGAUACAACAUUCAUUAAUUUCCAAUCUUCUGGGACUACUCCUGUUAACAAUGAUUGGUUAAAUAAAUCAGUUUAAGGUUAUGCUAGUACACCACUAAGUUAUUUUAAUAACUUUGGGUGUAUCACAUCAGGCCCCAUCAACUUAUUUGUCUUUACUUUUGACAGUCGAAAUAGAACCUCUUCCUUUGCAAACGCACAUGUAACACAUGACCCAUUUGCCUUUUUUCUUAACUGAAGUCCAUCUCCUUCAUUUUCAUCUGUAAAUACUGAACAAAAAUAUUUAUUGAGGCAGUCAGCUAGACCUUUAUCCUCUUCUAGAUACCUUCCUUCUUUUUUUUUUUUGUCUAACAUCCUUGUUUUAGUUUCCUUUUCUCAUUUCUGUAUCUGAAAAAUGUUUUAUCCCCUUUUUUUACUGACUGUGCUAUUCUAUCUUCUGUGUGUGCUUUGGAAGCUCUUAUAACUUGCUUAGCCUCUUUCUGCCUAAUCUUAUAAAUCUGUCUGUCAUCCUCACUCACACUUCCUCACACUUUUUUUUAUAAUUACUAAAUUCUAACCUUUAGUUUUUUACUAUUUUGGCCACUUCUGCAGAGUACCACAAUGGUUUCUUAAUUUUUCUGCUCUUCUUGACAAUCCUAAUGGAAUUUUCUGUUGCUUUCAGCAGUGCAUCUUUUAAAUAAUCCCAUUUUUCCUGGACUCCAUUUAAACUGCUCCAGUCUGACAAGGACUCCUUUACACAUAUUCUCAUUUUAGAAAAGUCUGUUUUUCUAAAAUCUAAAACUUUUGUUUUUGUGUUCCUAUAUUAAACCACACUGACUGAUGAUCACUGGAUCCUACACUUUCACCUACAGUAAUAUCUGAUACUAAGUUUCCAUUCGUUAACACUAAAUCUAGUAUGGACUCCUUACGAGUUGGUUUCUCAAUGACUUGUUUUAGAGAUACUCCCAGUAGAGAGUUUAGAAUAUGUGUGCUCCUGGCACAAGCAGUUGCUUUGGUUUCCCAGUUCACAUCCAGAAGAUUAAAUUUACCCAUGAUAAUAACUGCGCCCUUCAUUGUCAUUUUAGCUAUUUUCUCAACUAGUAGAUUAUCUAACUCUUCUAUUUGUCCAGGGGGUCUGUAAAUCACACCUACAUGUGUUACUGUGGGAUUUCUAAAUUCUAACGUAACCCAAACUGACUCUAUGUUCACUUCAUAACUUUUGUUAGGCUAGAUUUUAUGCUAUCCUUUACAUACUUGGCCACACCUCACCCUUUUUUGCCUUCUUUGUCUUUUCUGUGUAAGGAGUACCCCAGUCAUUUUUCUCAUUAUACCAUGUCUCAGUAACAGCCACUAAAUCUACAUUCUCAGUCGCCAUUAUUACCUCAAGUUCAUGGAUCUUAUUCCCUAAAUUGCGAGCAUUUGUCAACAUGACUCAUUUUUUUAACACACUCAUUACAGUUACUUUGGCCUGAUGUUUUAUUACCCUUUGUCCCCCCUUCCUAGUUCAAAUAGUUCCUAGCAAAACCUCUGAACUGCUCGCUGAGAACAUUUGUUCGCUUUUGAGAAAAAUGCAAAUCAUCUUUUUUGUACAGUUCAUUUCUAUUCCAAAUAGAGCUACCAUGAGUGUCAGGGCUUACCUUGGUUGGGAGCUCGGUAUGCAGAGAUAUAUAUACGCUCACCCUUACAAAUAAACACAGACCAAGGUGACCAGAUAAGGAACCUGGCCUGUGAGUCUGUGCAUGGGGGCUGUGUAGGAUAUUGCUCCUAGUCGCAGUACAGGCAAGGACAGGAGAAUCGUUGAGGAUAAGCCAAAAGUCAGAGGGUGCCAGAAUUCAGGAUAAACAAGGGUAAGCUAAAAUCAGAGGAUGUCAGAGGUCAGGACACAUGAUAAGAAUAAGCCAAGGUCAGGAGCCGACUGGAGAACACUGGAUCAUGAACACAAAUACAGGAACCAGAGUCAAUGAACUGACACUGCCCUUAGUGAGAGGCAGUGUCUUAUACCUGGCUAAUUGGGCAUCAGCUUCAGGUGGGCUGAGAUUGAUAAUAGCAGCCCCAGGUAAAAUCCAGCCCCCUUGUGCUGCAGACAAGGCAGGAUAGGACAUCAGGCAGAAAAAUGAACUGAAUUGUGACUCAGAGAUAAGACAGCAGUAUUAAGGCAGCAAGAGUUCAAAUCCCCUUUUUGGCACCUUUGGAACUGCCAUGCCUGGCUGUCUGAAUGGCACGGUGCCAGUCGUGACAAUGAGAAACAAAGCCAAAUCAUUGUUUCCGGCACCAUUCACCAAGCCAGAAGUUAAAGUCCCUAAUACAUAUCUGCCUGUCAUUCUGAAUGUUAUGCACAGGCAGAACUUUAGAGAAUGACAGUGUGGACACAACCUGCCGUAUUUCAUUGGCAAGAACACAAAACACUUCCUUUACCUCAGAAACCUCACUACAAGCCGAAUAAUUUGUCCCAAGAUGGACAUCCAAUUCCCCUUCCUGCUUUGCUUGCUUAACAAUAUUACAAAUACGUCUCCUGUCUCUGUGAGCAGUAGCUCCAGGAAGACAUCUCACAAAGCCACUAUUGUUCAACUUAACUCUAAAGAUAGAAUCCUCCCCAACAACAACUGCUUUCUAUCAGGCAUCACCUUGUCCUUUUUUGUCAUUGGCUCCACUCUUGGUGGUUCCACAAACUCAGUGCCUGAGCCUUUCUCCGUAACACCACUACAAUCUGAAAAUGCAGAAAAUGAAUUAUGAAAAGACACGCACUGUGAAGUACUCCUUUUGUCCACAUCUCUAAGUCUACCAGAUUCUACAGUAAUCCAUCUGCCAUUCCUAGGACAUCUUUGCGGCAGUGGAUUUGCAACAGUCCCAGCCUGAGUUUGUUUAACAGAUAAUUUACAAAUCUCCGACUUCAAAAAUGCAAUCUCCUGCUGCAAUAUAGAAAACUGUCUACAGAUUAGACAACAUCCAAACCUCCAAUAAGUGGAACGUGAAACAAAUGCACAACAACUAUUACACUGAGCCAAGUCUGCCAUUUUAAUGAGAUGAGGAGUUUAAAUCAAACAAAUCUUACUUUUUGCUUCUUUUUUUUCCACCUACAGUGUACCUCAGACUACCUCCAGCUCCUGCCAAGCUAAUAUCUACAACCCUUAUAUACACUCCUAAAUGCACCACCCCCUAAGAAUGUAACACCUAAGUGAGCCUGUGCUUAUUUGCAAACAAUAGCAAACACCUAACUAAUUAAUUCAAAUGCAUUACCAAUUAUCAACAGGAAAUCAAACCUUGUUAAAUCUAAAACCUUUUCCUAGAUGAUUCUUACCUGUAAAAGUAAAAAGAAAAAUCUUAGACAGUUGAAGGAUCAAUAAAACUCUCCAGAAUAUUUCCAAAUAUACUUUGUAGCAGCACUUAGAAGCAGCUGCCAAGCUAUAUUGCACAUCAAAUAUAUACAUUAAACAAUUUAAUAUGAAUAUAAUCUAAGAAGAGUGAGAACUUACAUAAAGACUAAGGGUCAGGAGUGCAAAUGUGUAUUCCUCACCCUAAAGUGUUAAAAACACUAUUUAGAUAGCCAUCCCCCUUAAAUAAGUUUAAAGCUCACCUCUAUUCCAGUGAAGUAGAGUAGGGACGGAUAGAGUUUAACUGUGCAAUUACAGGAACAAACUAAUAUUCUAAGAUGUGUAUCCGGUGUCAUAGUUGUUGAAGACAUUUUUUUAUAGUUAUUCAUUUACACAGUUAAUCAUUUAUCCAGUUUAAACUAUGUUUUAAAUUUCAUGAGAUUUCAUCCGUAUGUAUAAAUUAUAUUCUCAUAUAAGUAUUUGCUGAUUUUUUUUUGUUGAUAAUCUGGUUACAAAGAAAAUUUGACUGGGCCCUAUAUAUAUAUAUAUAUAUGUAUAUAUAUAUAUAUAUAUAUAUAUAUAUACACAUACACAUUCAGGCACUAUAUACAAACAGUUUGAAAAUAUUGAGAAUUGAAACUCUUGAGUUUACUUUUAUAAUUAAGUUAUAUAUUAUAUAUUAUAGCUUCUCCUUUCUUCUCGAGCCACCACUUGCCCGCUUGAUCCAGUCCCGUCUCACCUUAUCAGAUCUCUCUUCUCUUGUGCCUUCCGUAACACACAUCUUCAACUGCUCUCUCUCUUCUGGUGUUGCCCCUACUGCCCUUAACCCCUUAAGGACACAUGACAUGUGUGACAUGUCAUGAUUCCCUUUUAUUCCAGAAGUUUGGUCCUUAAGGGGUUAAACAUGCUACUGUAGUACCCAUCUUAAAAAAAAAAAAAAUAUGUUGACUCCAAGACAGCGUGCUUGCAAGUAUGGACUUAUGUGGAUACCACUAACUUGAAGAUAGAGCAAAAGAGGAGGAUCAGUAUUAGGAGGAUGAAAGACAAGUUCAGUUUUAGAGAGAUUGAGUUUCAAAAAGCGGGAGGACAUCCAGUCAGAGAUGGAAGAAAGGCAAGCAGUGACACGUUGCAGGACGGCAGGGGAGUAGUCCGGGGAGGAGAGGUAUAUCUGAGUGUCAUCAGCGUACAGGUGGUAUUGGAAUCCAAAUGAGGUAAUAAGUUUGCCAAGAGAGGCAGUAUAAAGAGAAAAUAGAAGGGGACCAAGUACAGAGCCUUGGGGGACUCCAACAGAGACAGGACAAAGGGAGGAGGUAUCAAUCUAUUGUUCCUCUAAGAUUUUGUAAUUGUCUCAUUUAUUGUUAAAUCUUCCCCUUUGAUAAUAUUGUAAAGAGCUACAGAAUAUGUUGGUGCUAUAUAAAUACCAGUAAUAAUAAUAAUAAAUAAUAUCUGUGGUUAUUGAGUUAAAGCAGCACAUUACUCCUGGGCAGUGACUGUUAUGAAAUAAAAUCCAAUUGCAGGUACUGAAUUAAAAAGAACAAUUCCCUGAUGUCCCAAAUAAUGAAGUCCCACAUAUAUACCUUAUUAAAAAUCAUAUGUUAGUCAUUACUGAAAAACAAGCAAAUUCCUAAAUGCUAACAUAUUCAGGCAUAUGUUAACAUAAUUAAAUUCACCUUGGUUUCCUAUGGGUAAUGCACAAUGUACAAUUUAAAGGAUAUAGUUCUCAUUGUAUGUAAAGGGCACUUUAAUAAGUUCUGACAUUAUUUGUGCUAGUACAAGAUUCCUAAUGUAAAAUAAAUGUAUUUAUAUACAGUAACUCUAUAGAAAUCAAUGGAGACAUGUAUUUAUUGGGUAUUGUUUGUGUAAUAAUUUGCAUCAAUUUAUUUCAUUAACCGAGACAUAUGAAAUGAAACAAGACAGGUUCAUUUUGCGAAGUGACUAAGAAUUGAAAUUUUGAAACUGGAUAAAAGUAUUUUAAAGGUUAUCUUGAGAGAGCAGCAAUCAAAUGUAUUUAUUAAAGUUUAAUAUGCCAUUUAUUUCCUGGGGCUCUGUAAUCAGACCACUUUUCUAGAAUCUAUUUAUAGAUUAAAAGUAAAAGUUUAACAUUUUCCCUUGAUAUUAAAACUGAUCCAGGUUACUGAUUUAGAAAACAGUUUUAAAGUCUAUGGAAAAGGGAAAAAAAUAAAUAUAAUGUUGUUUGAUGCACUGUAUAGCUGAAUCUUGAAACAUCAUACCUUGGUAAAGUGCAAACGUGUACUCUUACAGAGCAGAAUGCAGGCCUAUGAGAUAGGUUGGAUUAUCUAUAGUCAUAUCAGCCCUGCAUCACUUUGUACAAUUUAUUUACUGAUCGUGCAGCUGAGAUUAAAGAAAGGGGACAGUUUGUUGAAAUAAAGAGAAAUGUCUAUGGUGUAAAGAGAAGCUGUCAAAUGCUGUAUUUACAAAUUGUGCUAAUAUUUAAAUUCUGAAAAUCUUUUAUUUAAUCAAACACAUGAUAUGCCUGUCUGCCCUGUACCAUCCAAAGCAUACCAUGCUGAUUGAUGUAACCAAUACUUUGUUGUAUGCAUGAGAAAAUGCAUGGGUAUGAUAGCAAUAUGGAAAGAAUGCAUUUAUCAGCAGAUGUUUAACAUCAUCAGAGUCCUACCAUACAGGGUCUGAAAUAUAAGCUUAGAGACAGAAAUGAUUUUGUCACAUACAGUGUGGCAAAAAGGAUAAAUAAGAGUAUUCAUACACCUUAUGAAUAACCGGAGUCUAGUAAGAGAUCUGUGGAUGUAGGGCUCCAAAAGAUCCAUCAGAAUGUUAGGACCAUGUCACGGUAUGUUCUUAUGCAGAUAUCAGUAAACUAAGGGCAUUACUGGCCUCUAUUACAACCUGCACAACAGCCCUUUAGUAUGCCUAGAGUCCUCCAAUCUUUCUACCAUCGCCAUGGCUGCAAGGAUGAAGCCAGGAGAAGAAUUAUCUUCUUCUACAUCAGACAUAGCAACUGGCCAAAGCUGUAACAGAGUAGGUAAAUUUCUCCUUCAAGUAAAGACUGAUGCUGGGAAAAAAAAUCACACUUUUGUAUAUUUCAAACGUGGAGAAAAAUGCCUCAAAUCUUUAUUUUUUUAUUUUAUUUUAUGAAGCAUAUGUUUCUGGUAUAAAUACUAUCCAUUCAAAGUGAAUAUAGGCAACCUGUCAAUAAUAAUAUUCAGCAUUCAAACCAAAAUCUACAAGAUUGUGGUAUUUUUUUAUUUUUUUUAACUAGAGGAAAUCUUUUUGCUCUUUCAUGCCAAUAAACUUUUCUUAAAGGGUUACUUAAAGUAAUGUGUUUAAAUAUAUAUAAUAUUUUUAUAAUGCUACAUCUCGUUAAUAUAUUUCUACCUUUGCUGCACUCAUCUAUACCUUUAAUCCAGAGACCACUGUUAUAAAUUCUGUGUGGUUACUGGAAUUCAAAGAUACAAUUAAACAUUUUCUGGUAAUAGAACAAAACAUCUGUAGAGCUUUGCUAUUUAAACUAUUUAGUGAACAGUUAAAAUAAAUUACUGCUCAUUUUGUGAUGAACAUUCAAAUAGCAUUUUGUUAGCUCUUAAAUUCUAUCUGGUCAAUUACUGUAAGUAAAUUCUUAUCUCGCUGUCAGGCUUAUUCACCUGUAUAUUUGCUAAUGUAUUGGCUAGUAUUUUAAUGUCUGCUCUUAUUAACAAGUAAAUUGAACGUGAUGGCUUUUAACAACAAUCUAUUACUGAAUAGCUUUCAAUUAAACAUUUCACAAUAACAUUUAGAUCCAUUCUGAUACUUAAUCUAAAUCCAGUUAAUAUCCCAUAUCAGCAGAUUAUUCAUUUUUCCUUUUUCUGUUGAACAUUUCACACAUUAGAAACACAAUUUUCUUACAUAGGUGCCAAGUACUGAAAAACUUUAAUUUUGUUCCCUGUGUUAUGGAAAAAGAAAGGCUAUGUAAGAAUGAGCAUUCGUUGUGGAUUAACCAUUAUCAGAGUGCAUGUCAAAUUAAUUCUUAGCCACAAAUAGAUAACUACAGCAAUGACGGCGAGCCUUAGCACUGCAGAUAUUUGCAAAGCACAUUUCCCACCAUGUCCAUGUAGACUAUAGACUGAGCAUCACAGAAAUGUAAGACACUAACAUAAGUAGUGCCAAGAGAACACAAAACCUGUAGUAGCAUGUACACAGACAAAAUAUUACUGUGUACACAACUGUAAGUAGAAAUGCAUGAUCACUUUUAAUGCACAUGCAAGAGCAAUGUCAGAAAUAUGUAGCCUUUGAAAAUGACAGAUUAAAAUGUGCUAAUUGGCUGACAUUAAAUCAUUUGGAUAUUCAUUAAAGGUCACUAUAAUUGGACUUAAUACUGUGGUGUUCGUUAUUUCUCUUUGCAUGACGUUUUCUCUUUUACAAAAAAUAUCUAGAUUUCUACAAACAUAUACUGAAAGGAUUACAUAAUAAUAGGUGUCUCUGCUAUUAAAUAUUGUAUAAUAAACACAUUUACGUGAUAUGUAAGGUUUUUGACCCUAGUCUAAUGUAUCAGAUGAAUUGGUGUUUACCCAGAAAUCAUCAAUAAGAAAUUUUAGAGUUUCUGCUGAAUCAGUAACCUCAAUCAGUAACCUAUUGCUUUCAAAAUAUUUCCACAAAUCUACAGAAAAUAUCUUUCUAGUUUCAGAUAUAUCAUAUCAACAUACAGAAAACAUUAUACAUGUUUGCCAGUGACCCUUAAGAUUAGUAGAAGAUCAUUCACUCUGUUCAAAAGUAUGUUUAGAUCAUUUGGAUGACAUUUCUUUCUAGCUCCCACUUCUCUUUCCCAGUGGCAUUAAAAUCUGCCUUGUAUUCAGUCAUUUGUGUUUUAUUUUUCGCGAUAUGAAAACCAUAGAGAAAAUGGAACUGACAAAAGCAAGAUCAAAGCCCUAUCUGAGUGCUUAGAACUUUAGCAGACUACUCUCAAGUUCCGCAGGUACUGAACAGCAAGUCAAGUUUCUCAGUAAAAGGAACUGAUCAUUAAAAAAGAACUGUCACCUCUAAGAUAAGAAUUUUUGAAUUUGAGCAUUAUCACAUAAAAAUUCUUACUAUUUGUAUUUUUGUAUUAUAUGUCUAAGUCUGUUACAAAGUUCAGUUUAGUAAAACUAUGCUGGUGUUAUGUAAAUUAAAUGUUCCAUGAUUUCUAUCUCAAAUUCAUUUAACUGAACAAUCUCACAAAAUUACUGAAGAAAAUGCCAACUUAUAUCUUAAAUACAAUAUAGACUAAUCUUGGAAAUAGAUUCAUCUACAUUGUCCAGAAUUCCUAUAUUGGUCUUGUACAAAUUCAAGCAGAGUAUAAAGCAGAGGUCGAAGAAACAAGAAUAGAUCCACACCAAUGUCAUAAAUAUUGCAACCACCACCCCUACUUUACUUAGCAGAACCACCUGAAUAUUAAGUAUAAGGUUGCAUUUGAUUAAGGACUACCUGAUGGAAAUAAAUCUCUCAAAAGUGAGGAAUGGGAGACAAACAUCAUGAUGAUCAAACUUGCUGCAGGGUAUGAAACAUGUUGUUUGGACUCUAAUUUUCAUUUUAGAAAGAAUUUCAAGAUAUACAUCUGUUGAUAUACAAUACAAUACGAUCAAAGAAUUGGAUUAAUUACCAGGACCAAGAAAUACAAUUAAAGUAAAAGAGGAUUUCAACUUUAUACCUUUUUUACAUACAUCAUAACUUGCUUCAAAUUAAAAUGAACAAGUUACACCACCACAUUCAAGCUGUUACUUUUCACCAUCUCAAUACUCACCUGAUAAUCCUCAGAGUUCCUGUAGUGAAGCUACAUAGUAAAAUGCCUAGAAUUGAAUAUGGGUCUCAGGCUGUAAUGCUAAGCUGUAGUGUAGUCGGCUUUAUUAACUCUACUUUAAAUAUUUGACAAAUUCAUGUGCAUGUACAUCAUCAUUAGAUGAAUACCUAACAAGUAUAUAUACACUCAGUGUUAUUGGAAAUUAUUGAGUGCAAACAUGCAUGAUUAGAUUGGUAUGCACAGAUUUCAGAACCAGUAUCUGAAAGAGUUGUAGAGGAAAAUGCCUUUGAUACUUAAGUCUGAUGCACACCUCGUGCUUGUAAUAGUUUCAAUAAUGUUUUCUCAUGUGAGUGAAAACAGAACUACUACCAACCAAACAGUGAUUGUUCCUCUUUAAGUGCUUCUUAUUUUAAUACUAUUAAUAUUAGCAUAUUAUACAGUGCUCUACAAUUUUAGAUGCUUAUUUCCAUGGAAGAAAAUGUCAGAAUGCCCAAAAGAAGGGUUAACUUAACUUAUUGUUCCUUGCUCAGUGAUGUCAUGAUUCUGUGUUUAAUUGACUCAUGUUAAUUUAUUUUAACAUAGCUCCUCUCUUGUCUCAUGGCUUGAUUGUCUCCCUGGUUUGCUUUGCUGCGUGUUACUUGUUGCUUUAUAGCCUCAGUUCCUGUGGCCCUAAAAAACCUUCACUUUGUGUUCCUAAUUACUCUCACAGGUUCCCUGAUGCCUUCCUCGCUUCAGACCUCGGCCCUCACUAUCCUAUAAUCUUUUCAGAUUACCUCUGUGCCUUGUUUCAACUCAAGUAUCAGACCACAGUGAUUGAAUAUAAUUGACCACUACCUUGGAUCAUUCAUUUAACAAUUGCCAUAUUGCUUUAGACUUUUUUUUUUCCAAGUGCUCAGUUUGCAGGAAACUCCAUUGUUGCUUUAUUGUCACAACCACUCACUCCAAACACUCUAUUUCACUCACAUAUUUUGCCUCAAUAACUCCUCCAUGUUAAACCUCUUAAUUGCCGUGCAUUUUCUCUUUCUGCUAAACACUGUUGUUACCAACUCUCUGCUGCCUCUAAUAUUCCCUAGGCCAAAUAAGCAUCUCAUAAUUACUUCUUAAUUAAACUUCCACGCUUUUCAAGCAUGUCCACAUGUAGUCACCAAUCUAAGUCUUUACAAUUUAGGUCUCCAGACUUUCUCAACUAAACAGCUGUUAUUUAGCCAUUUUCAACCUAAAUAAGGAUAUUAUACCUCACUGUAUCAUCUAAUAUGUUACAUAGUAGCAUAGGCUAAAAAGAAACAUGCGCCCAUCAAGUUCAGCCUUUCUCACAUAUGUUUAUGCUGUUGAUCCAAAAGAAGGCAAAAAACCCCCAAUGUGAAGUGCUUUCCAAUUUUGCAACAACUUUUGAAAAAAUCCUAGAAUAGCAGUUAGAUGUGUCUUUGAAUAAAGAUGCUGUUACAUAGAAACAUAGAAUGUGAUAGCAGAUAAGAACCAUUCAGCCUGUCUAGUUUACCCAAUUUUCUAAAUACUUUCAUUAGUCGUUGGCCUUCUCUUAAAUCUAGGAUAGCCUUAUGCCUAUCCCACGCAUGCUCAAACUCCUUCACUGUGUUAACCUCUACAACUUCAGCUGGAAGGCUAUUCCAUGCAUCCACUACCCUCUCAGUAAAGUAAUACUUCCUGAUAUUAUUUUUAAACCUUUGCCCCUCUAAUUUAAGACUAUGUCCUCUUGUUGUGGUAGCUUUUCUUCUUUUAAAUAUAGUCUCCCCCUUUACUGUCUUGAUUCCCUUAAUGUAUUUAAAUGUUUCUAUAAUAUCCCCUGUCUUGUCUUUCUUUCAAGCUAAACAUGUUAAGAUCCUCUAACCUUUCCUUGAAAGUUUUAUCCUGUAAUCCGUGAACCAGUUUAGUAGCCUUUCUCUGAACUCUCUCCAAAGUAUCAAUAUCCUUCUUGACAUAUGGUCUCCAGUACUGUGUACAAUACUCCAAGUGAGGUCUCACCAGUGUUCUGUACAAUGGCAUGAGCACUUCCCUCUUUCUACUGCUAAUACCUCUCCCUAUACAACCAAGCAUUCUGCUAGCAUUUCCUGCUGCUCUAUUACAUUGUCUGCCUACCUUUAAGUCAUCAGAAAUAAUCACCCCUAAAUCCCUUUCCUCAGAUGUUGAGGUUAGGACUCUAUCAAAUAUUCUGUACUCUGCCCUUUGGUUUUUAUGUCCAAGAUGCAUUAUCUUGCACUUAUCCACAUUAAAUGUCAGCUGCCACAGUUCUGAGCAUUUUUCAAGUCUACCUAAAUAAUUUGCCAUUUAGCCUAUCAAUCCUGUUACAUAUCUUAGUAUCAUCAACAAAAAUACAUACCUUACCAUCAAGACUUUCUGCAAUAUCACUUAUAAAAAUAUUAAUACUUGGGUCCAAGUACAGAUCCAUGAGGUACCCCACUGGUAACAAGACCGUGCUUCGAAUAUACUCCAUUGACUACAACCCUGUGUUGCCUGUAACUCAGCCACUGCCUUACCCAUUCAACAAUAUUGGAAUCCAAACUUAAAGAAUGCAGUUUAUUGAUACGCCUUCUAUGUGCAACAGUGUCAAAAGCCUUACUGAAAUCUAGGUAAGCAAUGUCUACUGCACCACCCUGAUCUAUUAUUUUAGUUACCCAAUCAAAAAAAUCAAUAAUAUUAGUUUGACAUGAUCUCCCUGAAGUAAACCCAUGUCUCUGAUCUUGAAAUCCAUGUGAUUUUAGAUGUUCAACAGUCCUAUCCUUUUACAUGGUUUCCAUUACUUUCCCAACUACUGAAAUAAAAAUUAUAUUUCUGAAUAUUGUUUUAGCAAGUAUUCAUCCAGAUGCUGUUUAAACAUCUGUACAGACUCUGAUAAACCACCUCUUUAAGCAGAUAAUUCUACAUCCUUAUUGUUCUUACUAUAAAAAAUCAAUUUUCUUUGCCUGACACAAAAUCCCCUUUCUUCCAGUCUAAACGCAUGUCCUUGUGUUCUAUGUAAAGUCCUGUGUAUGAAUAGAUUUCAAGACAAUGGUUUGUAUUGGUCUCAAAUAUAUGUGUAUAAUGCUAUCAUAUGCCCCAUUUUUAUAAACUAAAAAGAUGUAAAUGUGUUAACCUUUCUUCAUAACUAAAAUGUUCAAUUCUUUUUAUUAAUUUUAUAUUUCCCCCUUUGAACUUUAUUUAGUUCCUUAAUAUCCUUCUUUAGAACAGGUGCCCAAAAUUGCCCCGCAUAUUCCAUUGAUUUAUAAAGAGGAAAAAUUAUAUUUUCAUACUGAGAAUUAACGCCCCUUUUUACACAUGACAAUACCUUACUGGCUUUAACAACUGCUGAUUGUCAUUGCACAUUGUUACCUAGUCUGUUGUCUAUAACAAUUCCCACAUCCUUCUUGUAUGUUGUUAUCCCUAAUUCACUACCAUUUAGGAUGUAAGCUGCUUGCGGAUUUGUUACCCUGAAGUGCAUAACUUUGCAUUUAUCUACAUUAAAUUUCAUCUGCCAUUUGAGUGCCCAGUCCCAAUCUCUUUAUAUCGCUCUGCAACAGGGUAAUGUCCUGCUCACACUGUAUUACUUUACGGAGGUUUGUGUCAUCUGCAUGACUCUUGAUGUCUAUUUCAAGAUGAUUUAUAAAUAUAUUGAAUAUAAGCAGUCCCAGGACAGAAUCCUUAGAGACACUACUUACUACAUUUGUCCAGCUUGAAAAUCUACCAUUAAUGACAACUCUUUGUACUUUAUCUUUAAGCCAAUGUUAUACAGUGAAUAAAAGCAAGAGGAUAUUCAGCGCUUGUCCAGUACUGGUACAGUCCAAAGGACAGCUAGGUCACCAAAUCCAGGGUUUCUCUUGUUCUUUUUACCCUAUUUUUUUUUAUCAUUUAUUGUUUUUAUGAAUAAAAGUACUUUUUUUAUGGGACCUGUUUACUGCUGGAUUCCUGUACUCCAUAUCCUUGGUGGGGAUAAUACCACCUAAGCCUGUUUGAAAGAGCAAUCCUUUUUUGCUGUAUCAAAUGUCAGUAGUUUUUAUCGAUUUCAUUUUAUCACUUUUUACAGUCUACACUCUUUUGUUUUUUUUCUCUAUUACUUAAAUAAUAAGAGAGCGGCCACUAGCACCUCUAUCCUAGAGUGGGGAUCAUACCAAUUCACGCCAUACCUGUGAAACCACUCUAUAGGCUCCAGAACACGUGAGUGCACAUAAUUUAUAGCAAUAUAUUUUAUUAUUGAGUCUGGCAUAUUGCACUAUGUAUCUCUGAUUUCUCCUACAUAUCUGCAAGAGAAGCUGCAUCCACAAGAACCACUUAUAAAGUUUGUACUCCACCAUAUUCUCAGGUGGGGAUUAUUCCGCCCAAGUGUGAGUAUAAAAAGUGUGAGUGCAUAUCAUUUUAUUUACCCUCACCUUACUGUAUUUUUUGCGUACUUCACUAUCAGUUUCCUAUUUCUCCUCCUUUUUAUGGUUAUGUGUACUCACACUCCAAGGACAUUCCAGGCGCUGUACCUCCCUCAAUGUUCUACAAUGUUAGACAAACAUUUUCAUCUAGACCAAUGUAUUUUAGUUUAAACACUAACCAUUUAUGUGAAACCAUAUGAAAUGCUCUGGCAAAAUCCAAAUAGAUCACAUCCACUGCAACACCCUGACCAAUACUUCUACUUACUUAUUUGUAGAAUGCAAUUAAGUUAUCUUAACAUUAAAGAAUGCUGAUUUUUGCUCAUAUCACUGUUAAUAUUUUUAAGGUUAUCACAUAUAUUUUGUAAAUAUCUGCCAUAUAUUGUUUUGUUCAAUUCUCAUCUGUUUAUAAUUAAGUUAAUUACAUUUUGUAUGCACUCAAGUUUCACAAUCCAUGCCAUGAGUGAGAAAAUAUAUUAAUUGAAUUUACUGUUAAACCAUUGUCUCCUCUAAUUAUUACACAAUAUUACACCAUCCCUACCAGGAAUUGUGACAGUGUCAAAGAGUUUAUGAAUUCCCAGAUCAAGUGUUACAUACUGGCCGUCAAAAUCUCUUGGAUCCAGUGAAUAGUUUGAAGCAUCCCAACCUGGGUAUUGGCAAAUUAUUCCAACCUGGGUAUUGGCAAAUAACCAAUUUGUACACUGGUUAGUGGAAAAUAGAAGGUCAAGUGUUUGUCUAUCUCUUUUUAUUAACACUCCAGUUUACCAACAAACCUUUUAUUACUUUAGUGGCAGCUUCUUCUGUUCUUUUGAAGGUAUAUUACUAAUUAAUAGACAGGCAUAUAAAUUCAUUAAUUCACUUGCUGUAACAGUAAAUUACUGAUUGACUGUUACCAAGACUUUUAGCAGCAUGUAGUUAAAUGUUGCUGCAGGAAAUCUGAAAGCAGGAAUUUACUUAAUUUUCAAAAAGUAACAAUUAAAACUAGCAUUCUAAUCUCAAAACUUGCAUAUGAUAUAGUAUCUGACAUGAGACAGAUAAUAAUCAGAAAAUAAUUGUAUUCAAUAAAUGUGUAGUUCUGCAGGAAACCUUUGAUUUGAUACUUACUAUACAAUUACAUAUUUUUACUUUUAGAAUUAGUUUAUUUUUCACUUUAUGUAAUAAAAUAUAUACUUAAAUUGUGUAUGAUUGGUUUGUGGACAUGCUUCACUUCUGCCUAGGUGUUAAAUUCUUUAUUAAAUGUGUGGCUUUUUCUUCAAUCUUUUCUCAGCAUGUGUGAGCUCUAAUUUACUCUCCAUCUGCUUCCUAUAUUCAUAACUUUUAUAUGUCAUACUAGGUGUUAUAUUCCAAUGCGUUUUCCUUUAUUUAAUAUGCCAGGAUUUUUUAAAUUGUGUAAUAUUCAGCAAUCUUAUUUUACUUUUACAUUUCUGAAAAUAUUAACAUAGAGGUAAUAAGCACCAAAUCUCACUAGGACCCCAUUCUUUAAAGGUCUACAAGAGCACACUAGCUUAAGCAAGAAGCACUAUUAUAAAUAAUGGAGUUUGUAGCAAAAUUCAUGGAUCCUGCACCGAGUCACACUUAUGAGUUACCAUUUGACAUACAUGAUGUAUUAAGAGUCACUCAUUUCUUUGUGUCAUGGAAUAUUUGUCAGAUGUGUGAUUGGAAUUGUUUUGUAGUAAUUCCAUAUAUUUUUUGUGCAUAAAACCAGGGCCGGAUUAACAAAGGGGCUGAUGAAGCUGCAGCUCCAGGCCCAUGCCCAUGGAAUAGGCCCAUUGAUUUAAAAAAAAAAAUUAUAAUUUUUUUUUUUUUACUUCUCUUCACAUGCUCUUGCUUAAGUAUGGAAACGUAAGAGGGAUGCUGGGAAACAAAACUGGUGUGGACUGGCUGACAUUGAAAUUAGUUAAGUUUAAGCUGACUUUGCGCACUAUGUGAAUGCUCUUGCUUCUUCAGUCCCUCUAUCACUGAGACAUGUUCCCUUUCUUCUACACUCACUACAUACACUAUUUCUCUGUCCUAGACUGUAUAACAGUAGCUUCUGCCUUCUAGUAAGAAAGUUAGGAGAAGAGUGGACCAGUGAGUGCUAGGGGACAGUCCUUAUCAAACAUAGAGCUAGCACAUCAUUAGACACAUUUAGGCCAAGCUCAGGGUGCUGUCUGCAUAGUAUGCCCUUGUUUGGUCAUCCUGCAUGAUUGGCAGGCAGCCUGACAUGCAUUUACGCCAGACUGACCAACUAAUUUUUCGUGCAGACACAUCCCCUUUUUGGGCAUGUUUGCUCCUAUAGGCGGUUCUAAUUAUGUGAUUCGCAUCAGUGGCCCACCCUUUUACCCCACCCACCGAAAUCCUGCUUCACAUGACACUGCUGUUAGGGGGUAUGGAUUUACUUGAACGACGAAAGCGAGAGAUUAGCAUAGAGUAUAACUGUUUUAGUGUUUUCUGUCGAGGGAGGUUUAACUGUUUUAGUGUUUUCUGUAAUUAGGCCAAUCAUUGUCAGCACCAGUCCCAAUGGGCUGUUAAUUCAUCCCUGCAUAAAAUAAGUCUGGAUGCCUUUCACAAACUUUACUCGAUAACAAAUAUCAUGCCAAAUGUGACUAAAGAUCACUGUUCAGAUCUAUAGGAAAUGUUUACGUUCGUGUUUUGGAGAAUUUCUAAUACAUUAGUACCCAGCAAGUGUGCCAUAUCUUCUUACACAUUAUAGCGACAUGUUUACUGCCCUGUACACUAUGCAGCCUAUCCAAUGACUGCAGGAGUCAAUUGUGCCCAGCAAGUGUGCCAGUAGCCAAAAGUGACCAGCAUAUAGUCAAGGGAUAAAGAAAGUACACCCUUAUUGAAUUAUAUGGUUUUACAUAUCAGGACAUAAUAACAAUCAUCUUUUCCUUAGCAUGUCUUACAAUUAGGUAAAUACAACCUCAGAUGAACAGCAACAUGUGAUAUGUUACACAGUGUCAUGAUUUAUUUUUACAAAAAGCCAAAAUGGAAAAGCCAUGUGUGAAAAAGUACACUCUUACUGCUUCCAUAGUAUUUAAGAGGUUAAGUAGCAGGUGCUGCUAAUCAAAUGACCUUUAUUAAUUGAUCAUCAGCAAAUGUGACCAACUGUUUAAAAGCGGAAGUUUUAGCAGUUUGCUGGUCUCAAGCAGUCAGGUGUGUGUUAACACAAUGCCAAGGAGGAAAGACGUCAGCAACAAACUUAGAGAAGCUGUUGUUGCUGCCUAUCAAACUGGGAAGGGUUAUAAGACCAUUUUUAAACAAUUCCAUCAAUCUAUAGUGAGAAAGAUUAUACAAAAGGGUAAAACAUUGAAGACAUAUUCCAAUCUUCCUAUGAGUGGAUGUCCCAGCAAAUUCACCCCAAGGUCAGACCAUGCUAUGCUCAGAGAAAUUGCAAAAAACUCAAGAGUUACAUUUCAUACUCCACUUAGCAUGUUAAAUGUUAAAGUUUAUGACUGUACAAUUAAAAUGUAGCCCUAAGAAACAAGUGCAGCUUAAUGGAUAAGGGCUUUGACAGAGCUAGGAUGUGGGCUGAAGUGGAAAGUGUGUUGUAAUAGGGCAGUUUAGCUAGUGGGCUGAUCCAGCAUAAAUAGGAAGCCAUUUUAGAAUCCCUCAUUCGGCUGAAUUUACUCAUUUGGCUGAAUUUGUCCCUCCCGCCCUCCCUAAGGCGUUUGUGGGUUCGCAAGGGUUUCUUUCCCGCUAUGUUACAGCAGCGGGGUUAGUGAGCUAAAGGUUAGGGGGUAAAACAGGCUCUUGGCUAAGUACAGGGUAGUUAUUCGGUUGGUUAGAAAGGGGUUAAUACUGUUUUAACCUCGUCGGUAGCUGAGAACCAGGUGGGGUAGGGGUAUCUGGGUAUAUCCCUACCAUGGAUACUGAAAUAAAAUGGCACUUUAUGUAUUAUGGUUAUGAUGUUUAUUGUUUGUUGCACUUUAUUUAUUAUGGUUAGGAUGUUGAUUGUUUGUUUAUUGCUUACAAAUAUGGGUCAUUGCCUUUUAUGACAGAGGGAUAUGGUAUGUUAUAGGGUGGAGUUUGGGGCAAUUACUUAAUUCAUUCAUGUUUUCAUGUUACGUUAUAAUAUAUAUAUUUCAUAAAAUUGUGAACUUAUUUGACCAAUAUAACAUCAAUGUUCAUAUUUUAUUUGGUAAGAUAAUAGAAUGGGUGUUUCAUUCCAUCAGCCCAUAUGGCGAUGAUGUACUUGUCAAAAGAUUAAACAAGUAUGGUUUGUUUGUCAGGGGAAAGCCUUUUUUUCUAAAAAGAACAUGGCAGCAUGGCUUAGGUUUGAAACAAAUCACGAUACCUCUGAAACAAUGUUUGGCAAAACAAGCUUUGGACAGACGAGACCAAAGUGGAGAUGCUUGGCCAUAAUGCACAGUCCCAUGUUUGGCAAAAAACAAAAUACAACAUAUCAACACAGACACCUCAUACCAAGUGGUGUCAAGCACAGUGGCGCAGGCUUGUUUUGCAGCCACAGGACCUGGGAAAUGUGCAGUCGUUGAGUUGACAAGAACUCCUCUGUAUAUCAAAGUAUUCUAGAGUCAAAUGUGAGGUCAUCUGUGUAAUGAUUAACCCAACACGCAGAGUGAAAACUCACCAGUAGAAAAAGAGACAAAAAGAAAGUCCCUUAGAGUCGGUCCUUAGAGUGGACAGAUAAAAGAGAAAACUACAAGAAACGUCAAAAACAACCAAGGUCAAGAGAAGCCAGAAAUACACAAUAACGAGGAACGAAGCUGAGUCAGGGAAACCAGAAAUAACCAGAAAUAAGAUUAGUCGAGAGCAAGCCGGGUCAAAACCAAAGAACUAUCACAAAGGAUACAAGAACUCACUAAAGGGACAUUAGUGACACAAGACACACUAGGAACCAGACUGGCAGACUGAAUUUUUAUAUGAUUAGGGGCCUCUCUCAGCAUGGGAACGGUGGUCCGCCCGAUCCCGGCGUCAGCAGAUCGGCGGACCGACAAGGUAAGUGAGAUAGGGCUGACAAUCUGUCCAACAGUUUAAGCUUGGUCAAAAUUGGGUCAUAAAACAGGACAAUGAUUUCAAGCACAUCAGCAAACAUACAUCAGAAUGGCUGAAAAAGAAAACUAUCAAGGUUUUGCAAUGGCCAGGCCAACAUACAGACCUCAACCCAAUUAAAAUGGGAGAGCUAUGCAUAAACGAAUGCCUGCAAAUCUCAAUAAACUGAAGCAACGUUGUAAAGAAGAGUGGGUCAAAAUUCUUCCACAGUGAUGUGAGAGACUGAUAAAGUAAGACAGAAAAAGAUUACUUCAAGUUAUUACUGCUUAAGGGGGAACUAUAACAUAUUGAAUCAUGUGUUGUUGUUUAUCUGAGGUUGUAUUUACAUAAUUUUAAAGCCUGCUAAUGAACAGAUGAUUGUUAUUAUGCCCUGAUAUGAAAAAAACAUAGAAUUUAAAGAGGGUGUACUUUCUUUUUACCAUGACUGUACACAGAAUAUACACUAUACAGUAGCAGGCAUGCCACACAAGGUAUUGCCAAUAAUCCUGAAAUGUAAGCAUUUGUGAAGCAAAGGUCUUUGACAAAAACAUAUGUUAAUUUUUCCACUGUUUGCACUCCACUGAACCGGUCCUAACCAAACUGAUUAAUUAUUUACUCAUAGCUAAAUCUAUAAUCUAUUUUAUUGCUUCUCACCCUCUCUGAAAAUGUUUGAUACCUUUGAGCACCUCCUUCCAACUCGUUACAACAAUGUUUAUCAUGCAACUGUCCUUUCCUGAUUAUUCCAAUGCUCCUUAUGUCAUUUUCUAGUAGUAACUCCUCCUCAAUACUCAUCUCAUUUGAUUGGUACUCUUAAUACUCUUUUCACUUACCCUACUAUCCCAAUGUAAAAUUGUAAAGCACUUGGGAAUGUGCUGGUGAUAUAAAAAUAAUGAUAUAUUUAAAUAAUAAUAAUAUGUUCCACCUGUCCCAUUUUCUUCUUGCUGGCAAAAAACAACUAGGCUGGGUUUUUUCUGGCCAUCACACUAAGUUUUUUCUAUACCAUUUACUUAAUCUAUCUGGUGCUGUAAAAUCAAGUUAACUAAAACAGCUGCAUUUGUCUUAUGAAUUAUUGACCAUUAUAGAACAGCUUUUCCAGAUGUUUAAUAUUCAUGAACAUGGUAAUAGUAGACCUGGCAUGAUACCUCCAUAUGAGAGAGCUGAAAGAUUCUAAGGAGUGAAUACAAAGCACAUUUGUUCUUUAUAUAGCAGACAUGACCAUACAUGAUUUUCGAUUGUUGAGAGCUGUUUGGAUCCUGUGAUAUGGGUUUAUGAUCAGUAACAGCAGUAAUGAUAUAUUCUAAGGACAUUGUAAUAAAGAUACGAGACUAGUCCAUGAACAUUUUUUAGAAACAUUGAUUUUUCAUCUAUUGGUCAUGUUCUUGACAGUAUGUGACGUUAAUCAAUUGAAUAAUAGCAACCAAGCCAUAUUUUCAUUAAUGUAUACUAGUCAUGUGAUUUCUUUUUCAUGGCUUUCAAGGUAGCAUUUGGGCACUUUAUGAAGAUUUAUCAUUCCGUGUCUUAGCAGCUUGUACAUACAUUCUGCCCAUUUAGACUCAAUUUUGCAGACAUUACUAUACAAUGCCUUAUCCACACUGAGUUUAUUAAAUGUUGGUGAAAGAAACUUGGCCUUAUGUUUUCCUCAUAACAGUGUGGCCUGAUUGCUUGGUAUGCAACAAAUAAUACUUUGAAACCAUCCCAGCAACCAUCCCUGCUUCAAGCUCUUAAAAGAAUUAGUACUUCAAAAAAGUGUAUCUAAGAAUACAUUUUAUUGAGUUUGUAUAGAUUACGGUCAUAUUUUUGUUUUAUUUUUGUUUUUUUAAUUUGUUCAUGUGAGCAUAUAAUUUCAUAACCAACUAGUUAGUUCUAAAAUGAUUCAGGCAUAUGACAUGCAUGCUAAUACAUUACUAUAGAAAAUAUGUAUGUGAAAUAUAUGACAUAAUAUGCUUUAGUAGUAGAUAAUAUUAUUUGGGUUUGUUAUAUUAUUGUUAUAAAGUAGCCAGCAGGAUGUAUAAUAGUUCCCCUCUCGUAUUAGCAUAUAAGAUUUAUUUAAUCAGAUUUAUGUAAGCCUAUAAAUGGACAAUGGAAAUAUUAACAUAAAACAUAUGUUUCUACAAUCGGCAGGACAAAACCGAUUGUUGGGUUACACAUCACAUCCUUGGUACACAUAGUCUGUUAUACUGGUACUCAUAAAAUUUUUAGUACAAAAAGGGUGUGAAAUCUGUUGUAAUAGGGGUAUUUUUCCUCUAGUUAUUUCAUUAAUAUUAAUUAAAAGAAGACGGGGUUAAGUUCCAUGUGAUCCCUAAGCAUCUGCUUGCAUAUGUGCUGGGGAUGUACUUGUAUUUUUAUGACUGCUUUACAGAGAAUCCUGAUAGAUUCCUAGGAUAUUUCAUAUUCAACUUUGUUACUAGGUUGGAUUGUUAAUACACUUACAAAGAUCUGUGUUCUGACAAAAAUUCAGUAAAAAAAAUGUAAAUGCAACUGUCAUUGCUAAAUAUUUUUAUAUCAUUAUUAUUUUAUUCUUAUUAUGCACUCAUUUACAAUCUGACCUUUAGUAGUAAAGAAUUUACAGUUAUACAGUAUUAGGGCUUUUUACUAAACUCAGGAUUUUUACAAAUUAUAUCUAUCUCAUUUACAGUCGCACCUUGACUUAUUUUGCCCCAGUUUUUCAAUUUAAAUUGAACUCUUGAAAUUUCAGUUUAAUCACUAAGCCUGCAUUUAUUUUUUCUCUCAACUGCAAGACGUGAUUAAAAAACUGCACACUUAGUAAACUUUUUUCCUUACGCCUGGUGUAAUACAAUUAAUUUUGCAAUUCUGUCUGUUUUUUUUAUUUUCCCUUCUCCCUUUUCCUCCCCAUCACCUCCCCUCUCUAUAACAGGAAGUAAACAAUACACACAACAAGUGUUGAGCUAAAAGUAAUGGUGUUAAUUCUUGCCUUGGUUUUUUAUCAUUUAACCAAAAAAAAAAAAAAAGGGCCAGCAAAAUGGAGACUUUUAACUCUGUUAUGAUAAUUGUUAAGUUAUAGCUUCCAUUUUAUUUAUCCAUGUGUCCUAGUCUUCUAUUUUAGUAUAUUAAUUUCCUAGGUUCACCAAUAUACCCCUUUCCAUUUUUGCCUGCCAUAUGACUUGUGUUAUUAAUUCUUGAAUGCAUGCGAUUUUCACUGUUUUCCAAUUUUGUUGUAAGAGUAGUUAAGCUGCAGUAAUGAUAUAUAAUGUUACUAUUAGUACUUUUUUUGUCAUUUUAGGCCAAUUCAGGUUUAACAGGAUCACUUCAGGCUUGAAGAGUCGUUUCAUUUCCGUUAUAUGAUAUAUUACAUUGAUUACAUCUUUCCAAAAUUUAUUUAUGGAUACGCAUUGCCACCAAAUGUGGAUCAAAUUACCUUCAUUGACAUUGCAUUUCCAACACCAAUCUGAUGACUCUGGAAAGAUUUUUUUUUUAAAAAUGUUUUGGUAUUAGGUACCAUCUGUUUGAAAGUUUGAAUUGUGUUUCCAUAAGGUUUAGGUAGUGUAUAUGUUUGUAUAGUUUAUUCAGAGAGCUUAUCCACUCGUCGUCUUCUAUAUGUACUUGUAGCUCUUUUUCCCAUUUGUUCAUCAGUCCUAUAGGUUUAUCAUGUCUUCAUCUAUAUAUGACUUUGACACAUUUUACCAGUAAGUUUUUAUAAUUCUUUAGUUCGAGAAGGUGUCUAAGAUUUGUUAUUUUCUCCCGCUUAUUUUUAAGAAGAUAUUCUGAAAUAAAACCUUUGAUUCACAGAUAAUUAAAAGUUUAUUUAGGGGGCAUAUUAAAUUCCUCCAUAAUUUGGUUGAAUUACUUAAUUUUAUGUUCCACUAAUAUGUUUUUAUAUUAUCUAACAUAUCUGAAAUGGUAGAAAAUGGAAGAGCAUCUAUUAUUCUAUUACUACGUCCUAUGUUAAUUGUGUCCCACCAGCUCGUUAAUUCUUUAAGUAUCUGUGAUUUACUUUGUGGGACUUUAAUACAUUUUUAAUUCAAGUCUAAGACCCAAAAUAGUGAGGAUAGAUUACCCACAGAUGUGGCGAAAGUAAUCUCGCCACUGGUUUUUGGAGGGGCCUGUUUGCCAGCCUCCUACCCUGUGACUAUGGCCGGUGUGUUAAACCCUGAUUAAAACCACUGUGUGUGCCUUUUUAGACUUAUAUGGCCACACUUCAAACUCUUGAAGCGGCACUUCGAACUCCCAAAGCAAUUUGAAGCGGCAUUUCGAAUUACCGAAAAACCGCAUGAACCAGAGACCACCCUGGAGCUUGUUAACACCUAUUAACUUGGAACGUUUCUCAUCACAGUGUUCUAAUUGUUUGUCUAGGUGGCCGCAAUUCCUAUGGACAACUACCAGGUGGCGGCCAUCUUGUUCGCAUUAACACAGCCAGUGGUGUUUGGGCAUGAGUCUCCUGGAAAUAAAAUCGGACACAGAAACUCCCGAACACCGACUUCCAUCACCUGCGUUCGAUUCUAUUCAACUUAGAAGGGCACUGUUUGGUGAGAUCAUUCGUCUGCAUGAGGGGAACAAGCUCCAGGGUAAGACUAUAUACUCUGUUUGGUAGUUUGUUCGUUUCCAAACUUCCGAACUAGACCGACCACAAGCCCUGAUUCUCUGGAACUGUUUUGGGCAUGGGACCAUGCCUACGGUCGGUCAAAUAAAUGACUUCCUUAGAAUUCCUGAACCCCUGAUCUGGGUGAUUUUUGGAUAUGUUGGUCACCCAGAUCAAAAAAAACCCUGCCAUACAGUAUCUCGAGUAAUGCAGAACAUUACUCGGAUAUGGGUACCACAUGUUGUGUGGGAGAAGCGUAGUGAGGGUAUGCGGUCUAUGGAGGGCCAACCUUAAGGCACUCCUGGAAAUAAAGAAAACAAAACAAAUGGAAAAGAGUAGGGACAAAAGAAGACCCCACUAAUCUAAACCACAUACACACCUUUCAGCUUGUUAUUGACUCAAUCAUUAUAAAAAUGUUUCCACUCACUAUUACUUUAUUUCCUCAUUGUGCAAAACUUAUAUUAUUACUAAUCUAACCUCUCUAUUGAAUAUUGUUUUUUCUUUUCAUUUUUUUCCCUCCUCUUUCUCUGUCCCCUUUCUGUUUCCCUUUUUUUUUUGGUUUUCCUUGUGUAGAUGUGUACCUUUCUGUGUCACUUUAUCUUCCUUUUGUUCUUAAUGUUUAUUUAGUUUGCAUUUUAUGUCAUCUCAUUCUUAAUUACUGUGAACCUUUAUAUGAGAAUAUUUAUACUUCACUUUGUGCAUUGCUUAACUUGUUACCUGUGUACUUAAUCAAUUUCCUAAUAUAUUAAUACUUUUUCCCUAUUCUUUGCUUGUAUUUCCCAUUAUCCCCUUGUGCUUUUAGACAAAAAAAAAGGGAAAAGGGCACUCAUGUAUAUGUAUAUAUGUAUAUAUAUAUAUAUAUAUGUUUGUUUAUCCAUGGUUAUUCUUAUUUCAUAUAUUCUUCUCUUUUGUCUUCUCUACUUAAGGGGUCAAGUGUUGCGAGUGCCAUUUAUUUUCCCCUUUUCUUCUUCUUUACUUCCUUUCUUUUAGAUAAUUAGAGCCUUGCUGUUUGUUGAUGGGUGAUUGGGGCUACUUCCAAUUUUGUUUGCGGUUAGCCAGCUUUUUAGAUCUCGGUCAGUGCUUGGUCAAUAGGAGUAAUCUUUCCUUCGUGUGAUAUAAUAAUUUUCAUGGGGAACCUCCAUCGAUAUUUAAUGUUAUUGUGUCUCAGAAUUUGGUACUAUCAGAAAAGGUUUUCCUCUUUUGUCUGGUUGGCCAUGACAACUCCUGAAAUAUUUUCAGUGUUUCGUAUUCUUCUGCACAUUUAUUACUUCUUGUAGCUUUCAGUAUUUGCGUCUUAAGUUUAAAAGAGGCACAGCAUAUCAGUACAUCUCCUGGAAGAUGGUCUGGGACACCUUUCGGUUUAUUCACUCUGUGGCAUCUCUCCAUCCUAGGAAUUCUGGCAUCCCAUUCCCCAUCUAGGUGUUUGAAAAAAAUCUUCUAUAUAUGGCUCCAGAUUUCUUUGCAAUUAUUUGUUCUGAUACUCCUCUUAUUCUUAAGUUGUUCUGUCUUGACCUGUCUUCCAGGUCUAUCAACUUGUUCUCCAUAUCAGCUAUUUUCUUUUCUAGUGCCAAGAUGUUCUUCUUUGUGGACUUUUUCCUUGUAUUCCAUUCCAUUUAUUUUCUCUUCUAUCCCUUGUAUUCGUAUAUUAAGAGUCAGUAGUUCUUUCUUAAAGGACCACUACGAGUAUGUUUUCCUGGCACUACAGGGUCUCUAGGUCCCCCCUACCCUCGUGGGCUCCCUCUGGCCGGGCUCUAGGGGGUGGAAGGGGUUAAUUCUUACCUUUUCUCCACCGCUAGGCUCCCUCCGCGGUGGAAAUCUCUGCCUCCUUUCCCUGUCAUCGGCUGAAUGCACAUGCGCGGCACGAGCCGCGUGCGCAUUCAGCCAGUCUCAUAGGAAAGCAUUUUCAAUGCAUUCCUAUGGACGCUGGUGUCUUCUCACUGUAAAAAUCACAGUGAGAAGCGUGGAAGUGCCUUUAGUGGCUGUCAAUGAGACAGCCACUAGAGGCUGGAUUAACCAAAAUAUCUUUGAUUUUGAUAUGAUAUUCCUUUUGUCCUUAACGUUUACUCCUGGACCUCUCUCCUCUUCACCUUCCCCCCGCCUUCUUGUCUCCACUUUUAUACCCAGUUAUAUUUCAUCUUUCUUAUUCUAUUUUAUUCUAUUUCACAUUCACUAAUUCCUGCUUUAAUGGAGUAGUGAAUUCAGUGUGAAAAAUAGGGAUGGAGUACAAGGGGGCUUAAAGGAACAGCAAGAGAGAAAAACGGAACAAAAUAAAUAAAUAAGUAAAUAAAAUGGGAAAAAAAUAAAAAAAACAAAAACCACAAGGAAAAUUGACCCAGCCCACUUAAGACUGCCAGGCAAUCAGCUCAGCACUGUGAGCAAAGUUGAAUGAACUUUAAAUCAUAUAUUGCCCAUUGAGUUUUGCUCUUUAUGUUAUCCUAUAUUUCCCCCCUCUUUCUCAAGAGUCUUUUAAUAUUCAACUGACCAAAAAUUGUAACCAUAUUAUUUGUACAAUCCCCUACAGACUAUACACAUAUAGUCACCUGAACAACUUAAGCUUAAUGAAGCAGACACUAUAGUCACCUGAACAACUUUAGCUUAUUGAAGCAGUUUUGGUGUAUAGAACAUGCCCCUGCAGCCUCACUGCUCAAUCCUCUGCCAUUUAGGAGUUAAAUCCCUUUGUUUAUGAACCUUAGUCACACCUCCCUGCAUGUGAGUUGCACAGCCUUCCAUAAACACUUCCUGUAAAGAGAGCCCUAUUUAGGCUUUCUUUAUUGCAAGUUCUGUUUAAUUAAGAUUUUCUUAUCCCCUGCUAUGUUAAUAGCUUGCUAGACCCUGCAAGAGCCUCCUGUAUGUGAUUAAACUUCAAUUUAGAGAUUGAGAUACAAUUAUAUAAGGUAAAUUACAUCUAUUUGAAUGUGAAACCAGUUAUUUUUUUCAUGCAGGCUCUGUCAAUCAUAGCCAGGGGAGGUGUGGCUAGGGCUGCAUAAACAGAAACAAAGUGAUUUAACUCCUGAAUGACAGUGAAUUGAGCAGUGAAAUUGCAGGGGAAUGAUCUAUAACUAAAACUGCUUUAUUUAGCUAAAGUAAUUUAGGUGACUAUAGUGUUCCUUUAAUAUUAUUAGAUACUUAGCUUUUUGAAAUAUACUCUGAAUCUGGUUUAUUGCAGCUUGCCGUUUCCUCCUUCUGGCUUUAUUCCUGGAGGAGCCAGCUCUAUUGCAUAGCUCUGUCUGGCAGCUUCCUUCUUCUCAGCCCGGCAUCGGGUCCUCUUUGGCCGUUAUGUGGGGAUCCCCAAAUAGCAUGACAUGUAGAUCGAGCCGUCCCCUCAACUCUUGGUCGGCUCCCUCAAUCGCCCCCUCAGCCGCGUUCCACGAGGUCACAUGCAUCGCACGUUACGUCAUUGCUCCACCCCUGUUCAAGCAGUGGCAUAAGCCCCAUCACUUAGUACACUAAUAAUAUUAUAAACUCAUCAAUAGAUAAAAACCAAAGAAAAGAAAAAGUUACCUGUGCUCUCUCCUUAAUUCCUAUGUAUAUUUAGACAAAUGGAGGUCAUUUAGUUGCUCCAAUGGCCAUUGGAGGGAAUGCCCGCCUACCAACGUCAAGGCAGAACCCCCCCAAGCGGGUCCUAACACUGACCCUUCAGCCUGCUUCCUUGAGCUUCUGGCAAAGAUAUCUCUAAUUAGACAGAGAGGGGUAUUUUUUAUAUACACCCCUAUAUACUUAUUAACCCUUAAUAGGGAACACGUGGGAUGGGUGGCAGCAUUGUAACAAGCCUGUGUGAUACGAAGUAAAUACAAAUACAAAAAGAGAAGUCCUGCGCUCACUCCCAUUGUUACUGGGCCGGCAGCAAUGAAUACAGUACACAUCAGCCCCAAUAUAUAGUAGAAACCAAAGAAAAGAAAAAAGGUUACCUGUGCUCUCUCCUUAAUCCCUAUGUAUAUUUAGACAAAUGGAGGUCAUUUAGUUGCUCCAAUGGCCAUCAAUAGAUAAGUAGAUAGAUAGUCAGACAGGCAGAUAGACAGACAGACAUAUAUAAUUUUUAGUCUCAGUAUUGCUCAUAAAAUAAACCAUAUAUAUCUAAGUAAGUGUAUCCACACUACAAAUUCACAAUUCUAAUUUGUGAGAUUUUGUACAAAAAUAAAUAUUAACAGGCAAAACUUUCCCUGUUACCAAAUUGCGUAGUUAAUCAUCUGCUGUGGCUUCCUUAUUGGCACUGGAAAUCAGUAAAGGUCCAGGGUGCUGCAUUGUGAAUACUCAUAGAUAAAAUAUCUCUAAUACCUAAAGUCUAUAAAUGUCUUGCAUUGCAAUUAACCUGAAGCAGGUGCAUGCCUGUAAUUACCAUUAAAUGUAUUCAUCUGCAGCUCACACACAUUGUGAUAUGGAACAAACUACAUGAUGCAUGUUAAUACCUUAAUUUGAUGAUUAGUAAAAUAAAUCAGUACUAAAUGCAGGCAACAUAUCUAUAAAUACAUAGAAACCUUGUGCAUUUUUAUAACUGAGCCAGAUGUUACAUUUUAUUUAGAGGGUCUUCCAAAUCCAAGAUGCACGUUGUCUUGCAUCCCACUGGGUUUCAGGUUAAUGUAGGAACCACACAGUAAAACAAGAGUUUUUAUGUAAUGGUGUAAACAGGUAACUCUCAUAGGAAUAAUACAAAGUCUAUAUGCCAGGUGUGAAAUCAAACUCCUGGGAAUACAGAAGAAAAUAUUAUCUAAAAUAGAAGUGAAAUUCAGUAAAACAUAUUAAAGAAUAACUGGCAUUUUUUUUUAUAUCCAUAAUAUUAUAUUUAUAUUAUGAGAUAUACAAUCUCUCAUUUCUUUAAUUCACGUAUAUUAACAUUUUUGAAGAAAUAACUUGACUGUUUUUCACACUCAACCCUUUCUGACAGCCGUCUAUGCACCCUGGGUCAGACCAUCAGUUAUCCCAGCCAAUGCUCACUAUUUUUAACGGUCCAUUGCUUUUCAGAAUUACUGACAGACAAUGCUGCAGGCAGAACGAACACAUGAUUUUAAAAAUCAACUGAUGGUCACAAAAUAAUGAGCAUUGGUUGGGAUAACUGACAGUCUGACCCAAGGUGACAAAAGAUGGCUGUCAGAUUGGGAUGCUAGGAAAGGUAUGGAUAUCUUAAAAAAAAUAAAAAAAAAAUAUAUAUAUAUACAUAAUUUAAAAAAAAUUGGUAAAAGAUAGUAUAUUUUCAUAUGAAGAUUAUAUUAAGCUAUUAAAAUAAUUAGAUGAGAGGUAAACAGUUACAGCAGGCUAUAGUGUUUAUGAUGCUUAGAGUUACCCUUAUAUCUUCACUACACUGUGCGUGUACUGAAAGUGGUAAUUUUGUCUUGUAGACCACUUUCUCAAGAUUUUCAUUUAUUUAUAAAAUGAUUGUUCAAUGGCAGUUAUGAAGUUGAUCUCUUUUCUCCACCUUCAAUAAGGCACAGAGUCAGCCAAGGCCCAUAGGUAAAAGAACUUGUUUAUUGAUCUUAAGGACAACUGCGAUCAACACAGGUUUCCACAACAGAAUAUCUUACCAGAGAGCAGUCCUAAAGGCAAUAUGUAUAUUACAUGAUUACCUGAAAUAACAAAAUGGAUACAUUUAAUUGGCUGUAUAUUUUUGCAACUUAGGCUAAAUUCAAAUGUCUUAACAUAAGAUACACCUUAAUAUUUAACGUAAUAGCAAUUAACGAUGGACAGAUCUGAUAAAAAAAAAAAAAUCUCCAUUCUCCAUUUUCUUUAAAAACACAUUUCAAACUCCCCUCUGCCUGUAACGUUCCACCUACAAUAAGGAUAGAAUAAAAGUAAGGUUUUUCUACGUGGCAAUCUAUCCGAAUAAAGCUAAAAGAAUUUUGUUCACAAGAUCAAAUGAAAAAUUAGCUUAGUAAUUAUAAACAAACAAAUGAUUGGAUUGUACCUUUGCUAUUAGGUAUUCUCAUUCUCCUGCAUUUUUUUUUUUACUUUGCCCUAUUAAAGUUAUUAAUUUACUCCAUCAAAUAAUAUUACAACCUUCGUUCUACUUAUAUUGAAAGAGAAGACUUUUUUUUUUAGACUCUUCUGCAUACUAAUGCUAUACAUAUGAUGAGUGGAAUCUGUACAUAUGUGCUUCAUUUUAAUGAUGGGUGUAUAUGUUUUAGUAUUGUAUAAAUUGGGACCUGUUUCGUUAGCAAAUGUCAUCAGUUUUAUAGCUGUUAUUAAUAAAAAAAAUCUAACAAUGUUCUGCCAACUCAAGGUAAUUGUGGGUAAAGAGAGUCACACUUAUAGCAUCUAUAUUGCAAGCUUGCAUCUCUAAUCUAUACUCGUGAUAUUACAACUAGAUGCUUUUAAAAGCAGCAAUGAUUGUGGCUUUUAUUUCAGACUAACAUUUUUCAACUCAUCCCUUGCAUUUUGUGUUGAACUCCUCAAUAUCCAAACAGAUUGUAUGCCCUUGCAAAUAGAGCACCAAAUAAGACUAAGUCUGUACACACGUAAUAUGGCUAUACCACAUGACAAUGACGUACAACUGGCACAAUAAUAUUUGCAAUAUAGAAAAUAUAGAAGCUCAGCUGGUCCUGUUACUUCCUGGUAGUGUAGCUAAACUCAAGAGGCAGCCUUCCAAAGGCUUCUCAUUAAGCUGCAUUGUGAAGCCUGCGAUUGGACAGCCACGGAAAGUCUGGGCUGGGGAAAAAUGGGAGGGCUUGCAAAUGCUUCAGACAAGUGAUGCAUCUUUUACUAGCUGUUUUUUAGAUAAACUCCAAUGAAAAAAAUGGAUAAUAAAAUGCAUUCAUGUUUCAUUGGUAAUAUACCUUUUACACAGUGAUUUUUUAUGUAUUGUCAUUUAACUAAAGGUAAUAAAUCUUUUGUACCAAAUGGUAAACCAGGACACAUGUUCUCUGAACACUAGUCUUUUAUUCUUGUUUUAGGAAAUCACAUUUACACAAGUAAGUUUUCACACCAAAUUCUCAUAAAAAUAGAAAAUGUACACUAGUUUACAGUGCAAGGGAAGGCUGAUAUCAAUGUUAAUGCUCACUAAUGCAUAUCUAUAUAUUGUCAGCCACCACUCAAAUUACAGUUUGUGAUUUAUAAUAUUAAACUAUAUUACCAGUGAUAAUAAGUUUUGCUGUCAUCACAUCUAAACCCCAGUGACUGGCAAGAUUAAUGUUUGUACUACUCUGAAAGAGAAAUAAAUUAUAAUAAAAUAUCUAAUGUGUUGCUGAUGUUGACAAUAAACUUGCACAAAAUUUAUUGAAAGUAGAUUUUCUCUCCUCUUUGAAAAAUGUGCCUGAAAUCUUAUUGCCAUUAUUAUAAAACUUUUCUAGUGAGAAAUUUUAAAAACGAUAGCAAUUGUAUUUACAUAGAAUUGAUGUAAGUGAAUAUGCCCCCCCCCCCCAAAAAAAAACAUGGAAAAUGGGUAUUUCAGACUUAGAAAUAUCAAUGCUGUUCCUUGGACCACAGACAUCUUGUUAAUGGUUAAUGUUGCUAGUGUGAUGGAGAGAUGCCUCCAUCAUGAAUGUCCAUUCUGGCAAAAAAAAAGCCUUAUGGUUAAAUGGUUCGACCAUCAAAACUACUCAUCAAUAAAGACUCUUUAUAAGAGGUGAAUAAAAUGGCCUUGUGCUCACACAGAGAUAAUUAGUUUAUUCAUAGCUAUAUAAAUUGAUGAUUUAGUUUAAUGUUUUUAUUAAUCUUUUUUUUUUAAUAUUGCUGAAGAUGAAAACAUGUGGAUAUCAAUAGAUAAUGUUGGUUAUUGGUAGAUUAAAGUUUUAUUUACUGUUUAGGUGUUUUCUAAGUAAAGACAUUAUCACUUGCCUACAUGUAUAUUUACAGACAAAAUGGUGCAGGCAAUAUCUAUAUUAUUAAUGUUUUUCUGUUCCCCAGAGCACUAACUACACUUUGGCACAUGCUGUGGUGAUGGUGGGUUGAAUCACCUGUGGAAGGUUUUCUAUGUCUAUAUAUCUUUAACAAAUUAUUGACAUGAUUAACAAAAUAGGGUUUAUUCACAUUUUUAUUGUUGCAGCCUUGUGCUAGAAUUGCUUAUUUUUGAUAGCAGUCUACACUCAAUAUAGCAUAACAGAAAACAGAGUUUAGAAAAUGUUGCUAAUUUAUUAAAAAAUAAAAUAAAAUAAUACAUUAAAUAAGGAUUAGACCCUUUGCUAUGACACUUUAAAGUUAGCUCAGAUGCUUGAUCAUCUUUGGGGGGUAUUUUUUCAGAAGCAGGGAGUGGUCAAUUUUGAGCAAAAGGUGAAUGCAGCAAAAUACAGAGAUAUAAUUAAUGAAACCAUGGUCUGGAGCUCUCAGGAUCUCAAAAUGAGUUAAACCCUGCAUGCUACCUGACGGUAGGACUUGCAGUGGUAAUGCUCACGUGAAUAGGCUGGAACAUUCUAGCCCUUCCGAAUCGUACUGACCCGAACCAUACCGCUGAGUGGAAACGAGGCAUAAGCAAACAGCCAAGACAAGAGUGGUCAAAGUACCAUAUUUAAGAGUGUCAGUCAGAUAGAAAUAUAGUGUGCACGUUUAGCAGAAUAAGCAUUAGUCUUAGACACAUAAUAUGCUAAAUGAACGAUACAUCAUAAAUAAGAGAACAUUUAUGUAUUGGGUUAAUAAUAAGACAUAUAUAAUAUAUUCUGCAGUUGAAUGAAGAAUAUCCUAAAUAUGAAACUAAUUCCUACUUUUUACUAUGUCUAUUAUUAACACAAGAUCUGUGCCCUGCUCUCAUAAUUGUAAUAAACAAUUUUUUUUAAAGAAAUAGAAAAAGAAAAGGGAGAGGAGAACAAAAAAGGGGGAGAAAAGAGGAGGGUGCCGUUGAGCACAUCUUACUAACUGUCCCAAUUAUUUAAAAAAAAUAAAAGGUUAGUUCAUUCUAGGGAUUCCAUACUUUAGGCGUGACCACAUUGUCUUCAACUUUUGAAAUAAUGGCUUGCAAUGUCGGGGGGCUAAUUUUGAGCCAUUCGGCAGUAAUGACCCUACGAGCCGCUAGUGUGAUUAAAUUUAAAGGUUAAAUCUAACCCUUUAGACACAAUAUGAAAGGAAAUUAGACAAGUCAGUUCACAAAUUACAAAAUUAUUAUUAGAUUAUGUGGCAUGUCAAAUGAAACAGACAGAAAUAUAUUUUUACGAGAGGGCGAACAUAAUUGACAUCCCCUUGGCCUGAUGCCCUCGACCUAGAACACAUAUGAAACCUAUAACAGCGGUUGGAAACCCCUCAGGAUCCAUAGUGUCUGAUGGAGAUAAAAUAUUUAAGAAGUUCCAUUACUUUUACUCCAAACUCUAUAACCAUUGCCCAGAGUUGGACGAUGGGGAGGUGGUAAAGGUUUGAGAGAUUACAGAUUUCUUGAAUUCCCUCUUUUUACCUAGCAUCCCCGCAGAUAUGAUUGGUCCCUUAGAAUCAGAAAUUGCUUUAGAGUUAAUGGAGACAGUGAUAUCAUAAAUUAAAAGAGGAAUGGAUAGAUUUAGAGGCAGUUACUAAAAGAAAUUUCAGGAAAUAUUACCACCUCACCUGUAAGUGAUAUUUAAUCAGGUUUAACAAUCAGAGAAUUUAUCCAUCAAUAUGAUCAUGCCUGCUUACCUUUAUUGUCUAAAAAAGCUGGAUGGCAACAUCCAUACUAUUGCAUCUGUGCUUUUGUAGUAAUAUCUGCCUAAAAUUAGCCCCUCAAUAACAAUUUUGUGAUGUCUGUGACUAGAAAAAGCUCUGCAUAGUAUUUUGCAAAGUAGUUAUUUUUAAUUUCUGUAAAUAACAUGUUCCUUUCCACAUCUUUGAUCAAAUUAAAUUGCUUGUCUAAUUUGAUUUUUUAAACAUCUUAUAUCUUGCAGACAUUUUCUAUUGGACUGAGCGAUGCUCAACUCUACACAUGGACAGAUGGCCUUCGAAGAAAAGACUGGCAUGACUACGAAAGCA
This 303016-nucleotide long non-coding RNA is filed under the name Pelobates cultripes (western spadefoot toad). The record is from RNAcentral. Lineage: Eukaryota; Metazoa; Chordata; Amphibia; Anura; Pelobatidae.